Molecule: long non-coding RNA, 246398 nt
Filed under: Triticum aestivum (bread wheat)
Lineage: Eukaryota; Viridiplantae; Streptophyta; Magnoliopsida; Poales; Poaceae
Description: long non-coding RNA (TAES_LNC009166)
Source: RNAcentral
GUUUUUUUAGUUGGGCUGAGUUGGCACUCCUGGCGUGGUGUUGCCCAGUAAGGCAGUAAGCAGUCAACACAGUCAAAACCUGUUAGCAUAGUCACCAAGCAAAAUCAGGUGAAGGGUUGAUUCCUGAACCAAGUGACAAGUUAAGGGUCUAGGGCAACCGGUUUUUUAGUUGAGGAUUGAAUCUUAAACCGAGUGAUUACUUUAAUGAAUUUUUCUCUUCCGUGGUAUCACCCUUACAACAAAUAUGCACAAUCUUUUGUUAUAUAAUGGUAUCAAUUUUUGAGAACCAUAAGACUCGUUAAAUAUCAAGGGCAUUUUGAUACGCCGGAUUUUCAAAGUGCAGGAACCAGCAAAACAUAAGAGUUGGAGUGGCGUGUUCUCUUAAAUUUUGUAGGAUUGGAAAAAUCAUAUGAAUUUGGAUGAAGAGUUCUUAACGCUUCAGGAAAAAUAAAGAAAUGUACCAAAAAGUUUGAGUGGAUAGACAUUUUGUUCCAAAAAGAAAGUUCCUCGAAAUAUUUCCGAAGGAUACCAAUCCUAUGAAUCAAAUGGAGAAAGAGGCGGAUUAGAUGGACGCGGCUACGCCAACGACAUCGCAGUCCACGGAGCUCGAGCUGUGGGAGGAGACUGAGCUCUAGCUAGAGGAGGAGCUUGAUGGGCACCUCGCCGUCGAGGCGUCUGUCGACAACCAUGACGCCAAGGCAUCGGGCUCCCACAAGGGGCACAUGACCCCCCUUCGACGAGGAUCGGAGCAGUACUUACUUUAGCUCAAUUAAGUGGCAAUCUAUGUUAAUUUAAGUGUUUUUUAAUUUAAUCUAUCGGUGUUAUGUACAAUUAUGCACUCUGUUAGCUUAAUCUUGUUUGAAAUGAGUAGUUUGGUCAGGUUUGUGAUUUUGGAAGUUAAAUUUGGAGGAAGGACUAGAAAUACAAGGAGUUAAAUUCUCAAAGCUGAUUUGGGAGAGAAUUCCUUAUUUGGCCCUUUCUUAAAUUUUGAUUCCUUAUUUAGCCCAAAAUAAAUAUUCUUCCCUAUUUGACACCUAAAGUUAAUUAUGUUCCUUAUAUGACACUUUCAUCCAUUUUAGGUACUAACAGUGUUAAGUGUGAGGCGAAAAUACCAUUUUGCCCAUAGUGCAUUGUGUAAAAAAGCAAUAAGUUCACCCAUGUUUUAGGGAUGUUCAAUGGUUGUUGUGCAUGCAUAUGUAUGCUCUAAUAUUUGGUUCUUUGGAUAAACUGGUAUGUGCGUGUACGUACAAAACAUCCGUAGAACUUGUACUAGCAUAUCUAUGAUCAGUAUGUAACUAUCUUUGUGAAUAAGUACAGUAACAUAUGUACAUCAUAUUUUGGUUACUUCAUCACGUGGAAAUGCGGCUGUGGAGUGGACGACCCACGGCACUGAGGUGGGCUCGGCCUUGGGUGUCCAUGCGGACAUGGUUCCACGGGCAGGGCGCCGACAUCGCCUGUGGUGCUGCGCCAGCGGUAGUCACAUGGCACAGCGACGUCCGAGCUUGCGAGUGAGGCGACGGACGUACCACAGUAUCAACAUCUACAGCCGCGAUGCGCCUUCAAGGCUGGACGCAUGUUCCAAAGUAUUACACAAACGACACCGUUGGAGAGGGUCUCACGAACGACACCGUACGACCCGGGUCGCAUAAGAUUUUCUUCCCAAACUACUAAUUAUUAGAACUAGUAGUACAAUACGCAUGAUAAAUCCUCGAAAUAAGUAGUACACGACGCAUACCGGCAGCUAUACACCACGCACACGAGACAUGGAUGACGAGAACGCAUACUGCUGGCCACGAGCAACCGAACACCACGCACACGGCCCGAUAGUUGGGAGCGACGGCAGCCAACCACACGCGGCAGGAGAACGGAUGCUCGCUAAAGGCAGGGAGAGAAAGCCGUGCGAUUCUAUCAAGAGACAAUCGAUCUAAUCGAUCCAGUAGAAGCUAGCCAAGGCGUUCACGUGUAUGGGCGUGUGCCACUACUAGAAAACUAAUCAAGCGCGUACAAGAAUCAAUCAAGCUAUCUGUGUGCUUGUUUGAGGCUAGCUUCGCAUGCAGGGGCAAAAUGGUCUUUUCACCUCACACUGAACACCAUUAGUGCCUAAAAUGGAUGAAAAUGUCAAAUAAGGAACAAAAUUUACUUUAGGAAAGAAAUUUUUAUUUUAGGCCAAAUAUGAAAGCAAAUUUUAAGAAAAGGCCAAAUAAGGAAUUCUCUCCUGAUUUGAAGGGUUAAAAUACAAGGGACGGACUAGAAAUGCUGUGGCUAGAACGUGUCAAAGUCCACGCAAAGACUAGGACUGUGCCCACACUUCUCAGCCUAGAAGCUGAUUGAUGAUAGGUGUGGUUUCUGGUUAGUGAUGGUCGUCGACGUGUUAGUCUUUGCUUACCCAAGAAAAACUCGAUGCCGGCUUCGCUCUUGGCAUCAACUUCUUUUCUGGAACACAUCAAAUAAUUUUCAUUGUAAAUCUUGGCACCAAUCAGAUCACUCCUCAAUGUGGCGCCCAUUUGCAUAACGCGUUGCUACAUAAUUUUCUUGGUAACUAACGUGACAAAUGACAAUACAACAUUUCCUUGGAGGCGACGGAAAACAGAGAAUGCUGGAGCGUCUCUGCGCUCUGCAGAAAAAUGCAAACCCUGACAAGCAAUCGUGGUCGUGGAAAAAGAAGACAUGUGCUAAGCUAAUGGGACGGCGGCAUCGGCGGGCACUCCGGCCGUGGCAACCCCGGCAGCGGCGGCUGCGGCCGGAGCCCUCCGCGGCAGAGCGGGCACGUCCGGUGCUUCCGGAGCCACUUGUCGACGCCGCAGCUCGCGUGGUAGAAGUGCCCGCAGGCCGGCACCACUCGCACUAGCUCGCCGGCGUCGCCCUCACCGUAAUCAGACAGGCAGAGGGCGCACCGCUCCUCCUCCUCCUCCUCCUCCUUCUCCUUCGCCUUGUCCUUCGCCUUCUCCUUCUUCCUGGCGGUCGCCAGCUCGUACGUCAUAAGCGUGUCGUCGCCGAGGGCGGCCUCGACGUCGGCGUCGUGCACCGCGGCGCUCCCCGUGGCGCCGGCCGCGUCGUCGCAGGCUCCGCCGGAUGCCAUGACGGCCACGGCGACGAUGAUCACCGCCAUCACGACCACCGCGGCGAUCUCGAGGUGGAGCGCCAGGUCCGGGUCCAUGCUCAGUGCUCCUUGGCCAAUGCCAAAAAUGCCAGGCGAACUACCGCUCCAGUCCAGCCUCCAGCCUUUGUAUAGGAGCUCCGGUCCAGAGCCUUCUCGGCCAAGUCAGGACGUAGUGUGAAGGAAAGACAGGGGUUGAGCUUUCCCAGAAUGUUUCCGCUGAUUUCCUUUCUUCUCCCACUGGACAAUUCCCUUGUGGCUGUCUUGUUUCACUUCACUACUCCGGUUUUGGACUUAAUUCAAUUGUCUUCUUCUUCUUCUCUCUCCUUUUUCCCCUUUUGAAAUGAAUCAAGAUGCGAUUACCGCGUAACUUGUAUCCCUUUGCCACUACUAAUAAAAUGGAAUAAGAAACAACGUCGCUGUCUUCCAUUUAAGACAGCCUCACUGGUUAUGACAACCAGCUAAAACUGUUUGUUCAUCAGUUGAGUUUCAUAAUUUCUUAAAAUUCAACCAUACUCUCUCCGUCCGCAAAUAAUUGUACUUGUACCAUUUGUCUUGAGUCAAAGUUUUAUAAUUUUGACAAACUUUUUAGAAAAAAAAGUACUCCGUAUAUGGUAUAAGAAGAAAAAAGAAAGAAAGAAAAAAGUCGUCCAGGGCUAUAAGAUUAGGGUGUGAAUUGGUAUUGGAUAGAAAUUGAUCAAUCCUCAUGGAGUAGAGAAAAGACGGAAAGGGCUAUAAGAUUACGGUGUGGCUAGGUCUCAGUCGAUUGAGACUUAAUCAAGUCUCAGUUAAGUGAUAUAGUAUAAGAAGAAAAAAGAAAGAAAAACUAAAAAGAAAAUGGGAGUACCUAGAACUCAUUUAGAUGAGAUAUUAUUUGAUCUCAUUCACCUGGAAGACAGAACAGAUGAAAAAGGAGUACCAACCUAUAUCAACACACACGCAUCUUAUAGCAUCACAUCCAAUGGCUAUAAAAGUGAAUGAGACAUAACUAAAACUCAGCUAGAUGAGUUCUAACAAAACUGAAAGAAAAUUUGUGUACGAAUCUCCAUGCAAGAUUAAAGAAAUAUAGCAUCGACUGAAAUAUAACAAAGUCUCAGUCGAUUAAGAGUUAGCAAAACUGGUAAGAUUAUCCCCGGUAUUCGUCAUAAUACCAUAUGAUUAGUUGAUGCGCUCGCUCGCGCGCCGACCACAUAGGAAAAGCAGAAGCACUAAGAUUGCAGUGACGCGCUUUGUUUAACCCGUAUGUAUAUAUACUGCACUUGCUCGGACAGUAACGUUUCGGCUUAGAUAUACUCCACUGUGAAAAUUCGUGGCAGCUGACACUGGCAAAAUCGUGGAACCUUCCAAUUGUACGUGUCGUAGGCCGGCCCCGCUCGAGGAGAACCUUCUCGCUUCUAGUUCUGGAACAUCUAGUUCUUUUGUUGCUUUGCUUGUGAGCUCUUUGACCGGGUGACAUGUCGUUUCACGUUGACAUCUCUCGGUUCGGUUUGGAGUCCUUCCUCUUCCGACCGGAAAGAACCCAUGCGACCCGCGUCCGCCCGCGUCUCCGACGGCUCUCGGCUAGCUAGAACACGUCAAGGUCAACUGAUGAACCCACUGGUCUGGUACCCUCCCCUGUAAGCGUUGGUGGACUGGUGGCGAUGUUACCAACAUUUUCAUAAUGAACGUAACGGUUCUGCUGACUGUUUACAAAACGCGUAGAGAGACGAGUGGGAGGAGCAGCCAAGCCCCGAGGCCGAAGACGGCGGGGACGCCGGCGCCGGUGAGGCCUCGGACAGGAGUGACCCGGAACUUACAAUGACGCGGCGGCGGGCGACACAGGUGGAGGCCUGGAGGGAAGUCGAGGUUGGCGGGUUCGGGUGGAGGGUGCGGACUCGCCGGCGAAGAAGAUGAGCAUGUCAGACGUGAGCAGGAGGAAGGGAUGGCGGCCGUUAGAUUUUAUUUUUUUAAAAUAGCCGUUAGAUUUUGGUAAUUCAACAGCUGGGACAAAAUCGACCGAUGUAAAUAGCUUUUCCAGGCAACUGUGGCAUGGGUGCUUCUCACCCAAUUCGCCAUCGGCUGUUGUUUCUCAUUUGCCUACCUGUGUUAAACGUAUAAGAAGUAUGAAAGGUCAUCACUUGGACACGUUAUCACCCAACCCCGAUUAAUUAAGCCGUUGGCGUGAUGCACCGUCACGAAUGGAAUUCGCACCAGAGCCAGUAAAAUUCUUGGAGCAAAGGCAUAACGUUCCAUUUCACCAGUAGCACUAGCAAGCUGACGUAAGUGAAGGCGUACAAUGCAUCUGAUCUCUACUACGAAGCUCGAAGCAGCUGAAGCUGAUCGGGAAAAAAAAUGAUGGACUACGGUACUACCACUACGACGACGGCGGCGCGGCCCGGCAGGCGCGGCGCGGAAGGCCAGAGCGCGCCCCGGCAGAGCGGGCACGUCCGGCGCGCCCGGAUCCACCGGUCGGCGUCGCACGCGGCGUGGAAGAAGUGCCCGCACGCCGGCACCACGCGCACCACCUCCUCGGGCGCCUUGGCGUACUCCGACUGGCAGAACGCGCAGCAGCGCUGCCGCGCCCUCGCCGCCUCGCCCACCUGCGCGUACGCCACCAGCGUCGCGUCGCCGAGCGCGCGCUCCACGUCCUCGGCCGCCGCCGCGGCGCCGGCGUCGUCCCUGCAGGCGCCCGAGGCGGCGAGGGCGAGGGCGACGAUGAGCACCGCCACGGCGAGCACCGCCGCCACCUCGAGGUCGAGCGCCAUGGCGGGGCUCAUCCCUUCCUUCCUUCCCGGCCUGAUCGAUCGGACGAACGGCAGGGCGCGACACCAACCUUGUAUGCGCAGUGUGUGUCCUCUUCCGGUCUUCCCUUGUUCCUUGGGCUGACCUCUUUUUGUAGUACGUAUCUUCCGUGUUUCAGCUAACCAAAUUAACGAACGGGCCAUCUCAUCUCGGUGGCCUUCUUUUCCGUGUCUCCCCUCUCCCCUCGCUCGGCUCGCCAUCUGCUUUCUGUACGAGCUGGCGGUUACCACGAAUAAAAGUUUUUUUUUCACGAGAAAAUUUCCAAUCUAUUCACCUUCAAUCAUAGCAGUACAACGAACACCAGUAAUAAUAAAAGUACAUCCAGAUCCGUAGACCGCCUAGUGACAAACUUGGUUACGUUAGAAUCUUCAGAUUUGUGCGAGUGUUGUUUUCUUUUUUCUUUUCCCCGUAUGGUUGGUACCGAGACACUAUUUUGAAGGAAAUAAAGAUUUAAAGUUCAUGCCUACAAGCGUUGUUAUCAAAAUCUAAUGUACCACUCCACUCAAAAAGAGAAAAAAUCUAAUGUACCACUUUAGAGUUUGAAUCAUUAGAUUUUUCCCAUCCAGUGAUUUGAUCGAAGCCACAGUAAAAUCGCAGCCACUGAGACAUCUGCGGCCGAUUUAAGGUUGAAGCCAUGACCUAAGGCCAACCGCACGACACAGCUGCAAAAAACAACACAAUAAAGGGGGAUUAAGAUCAACAUGCAAAUGCCAGCACGGGCACAUAAUCUAGAUUACUUUUGUUAAUGUUUGUCAUUAAGAAGAUUUAAAACGUUUUGAAUUUGUUUCCAAUAAUAUUUUUUUGAUUUUACUGUUCACCCAAUCAUUUGAGCUCGAGACUAAAAGAGUACUUUCGUCGAUUUCCUUUCUUCUUCCGGUAGACAAUUAAUUCCCUUGAGCUUGUCGUCUUGUUGCUACUCUGGUUUUGGAGUCAAUUGUCUUCGUCUUUUUCUUCUCUCUUUACUUUGCUCUACGGCAGAUUUGGACUUAAUCAGAAUGUGAUUACCAUGUACUCCCUUCGACCGAAAAUACUUGUCGAAAAAAUGGAUGUAUCAUAUACUAAUUCUUGUGAACAUCUAGUUCGGAGUCCUUCCUCUUCCGACUGGAAAGAAUCCAUGCAACAUGGGUCGCCAGGAGAGCGUAGCCUAGCUAGAACACGCCAAAGUCCACGCGAGGACUACUAUUUGGUACGUGCUCCUAUGCACGUGUUGCUCGAUUCAUACCGAUAUUAUUUGAACAUUAACUUACGGUUUCGCUAAUAAUACUCAGCCAACCAAAACUAAUCUUUGCGUCAACCGAUUUCCAGAACGCGUAGAGAGACGAGGGGAAGGAGCAUCGAAGCCCCGAGAACGAAGACGGCCAUGCACGAGGACGCCGGCGAGGCCUCCGACGGAAGCGAGCCCGAAGCCGGCGACCACGCGGCAACGGAGGACGCAGAUGUUAAACGUUAUCACCACCUAAUGCCGAUUACUUAAUUAGUAUUACGCCGUUGGCGUGAUGCGCCGUGACAGAUUCGCGCCGGACGCCAGCCCACCAAAGUUAGUUCUUGGACAAAGAAAUGGUGUGCCGUUUCACCAGUAGCAAGCUGACGUACGUGCCCAAGUAAGUGAAGGCGUAAUAUGCAUCUUUCUCUACCAGUAGUACGAUGCGGUCGAAGCUGAUAGGGAAAAAAUUGAUCGACUAUGGUGGUGGUACUACUACGGCGGCGUGGCUCGGCGCGGGCGGCCAGAGGGCGCCCCGGCAGGGAUGAGACUUGCCUGCUCCCCGCGCAUGCGCCCAUCCGUGUUCCCGCGUACGUGGCUUAAUUUGAUUGGAACAAAAUAUGCCCAGCUCCAUCCCGUUAAAAUCAGGGAGGGAUGAUUAGAUUAGAAAGAAAAAAGGAAAAAAGACAGCCGUAGGAUAAAGUGAAAGCACGGAUGGGAGCAUUGAGAGGGAGCAGCCAAGCCGGAUUCCCCCAGCAGAGCGGGCACAUCCGGCGCGUCCGGAUCCACCGGUCGGUGUCGCACGCGGCGUGGAAGAAGUGCCCACACGCCGACACCACGCGCACCACCUCUUCCGGCGCCUUGGCAUACCCCGACAGGCAGUAAGCGCUGCCGCACCCUCGCCCGCCUCCGCGUACGCCACCAGCGCCACGUCGCCGAGCGCGCGCUCCACGUCAUCCGGCGCGUCCUCUUCCCUUUGUAAGUUCGUUCGAUGUUCAAAAAAAGCGUUCGAUGUUCAAAAAAAGGGUGGGCCAUUCACCAUGAAGGCUAAAAGCAAGAUAGGCUUUACUGGACAUUUUCGCAGCCGAUUCUCCGAAAUUUAAGACAAUUAUCCUCACUCAUACUUCAAAAAGUCCUCCUUUUUCUGAUUGACGUGGCCUCCUUUUGUAGCAUCUUCAUGGCUACAGCUUAACCAAAUUAACAGGGCAUCUGCCUUCUUCCCCGUGUCUCAUUUCACUCGGCUCGUGCUCUGGUCGGCAAAUUUCCUUCCUGCAGUGGCCAACUCGGCAAAUUUCCUUCCUACGUGCGUCCCCUUUUGCUUUUCCAUGUGGUUCGUAAAGCCAUUAUACUGGUACUUUUGCGACCUUACUUUUACUACCUUUUGAGACUAUCAAAAUCUGCCUUUGUGCGAAACAAGAAACGACUUACGAUCGCAGCCACAGUAAAAUCAUAUACGGAGUAUUGGUUAGGAAUAAGCUGAAAUGACCUACCAACGAAGGUCAUGUCAACCUAAGGCCAACAAGCAUGAAACAGCCGCAAAAAAAACAUUACGAAGGGUGCCAGACGAACGGAUUAAGAUUAAGAUCCAAAUGCCAGCACGGCACAUAAUCGAGAUAACACAAUCUAUAACUCCAGCAAGACAAACAAAACUCAAAGGAACAGGUCAUUGUGCAGAGUGCCGGACUUUAACAAAAACGCACGUUGCAAGACUACACUGGGGUGGACAAGAGCGCUCUUCACUCGUCGUCGUCCUCGUCGUCAUCGGCGGCACCGGCAGAGUUGUUGAGGGCGUUGAGCCUUUCGACGAGGCUGGCCUUCCUCUGCUCAUAGGUCAGCUUCUUGGGGUUGUACCUGCAUCCAAAAGACAAAGUUCACAAUGCAGCUCGCAGCAAGUUGUUAAAGAAACAGUGGUCAAGAGUAAAUGCACACUCAAGCCAGUAUGAUGAAGAGCUUGCCGAGUAUACCUCUUGUGAGUCUUGGGAGGCGCCUUGGUUGAUUUGGCCAUGGUGGGAUCAGCACGGAUGGCAGCAUGAACCUUCUUGUAAACUGCUUCCAUGUCAUCAGCUGAGAUUCCCCUCUUGAUGUACUCACUGAAAUGAGUUUGGAACUUCUCUGGUUCCUCAUCUGCUAGUGACUGGAAUAAGAGAAAGGCAAAGUUCAUUAACAGAUGAACAACGAACUAGGGUCAUUUCAUUGCUCUAGGUACAAGAGCAUGAACAAGGGUAAUACAAAAUCAAGAGAGCAAUGGCUUCCAACUCACCCUCAUGUAGUCAGCAACAUGCCCUCCAAAGAUGUACUUGCGGUGAAUCUCAGCAUCCAGCGACUUCUCGUCCUUUUUGAACCCAGCAAAUCUCUUGUCACUGUGGGGAAUGUCAAGGCCACCAUCCAAAGCUCCCUGCAGGACCAAAAAUAAUUACACCAGCGGCAAAAAAAAGCUCCAACGGAUAAAACCUAUGCAUUCUAAAACAAGUUCUGAAGUUCAGCCGAAUAGGGAGCAACAUAUAUCACUUGAUGCAAAUAAGAGAACGAAAAGCAACAACAAUGCCUUUUCACUAGGUCAAAUAGCAUAAAUAGUUGCUUUAGAAACUUGACACAAUAAAGCAGAGCACCUAAAAGCAAGUUACAGGGCAAACAUGCAAUUAAACUCCCAAGUCUAAGGUAGCUAAAGAAGAACGACCAAUCAUGAUUUGCCAAUAGUUUCAUGUCAAAGGCCUGUGACAUUGGGUGCCUAUCUGCAAUUAUAAAACUGUACAAUAAUAACACCGCUUACCUUAAGGGCACCAAACACACGGUUUCCAGUGGUGGUCCUAAUAAGACCAACAUCCAAAAGCGCACGGAAAGGCCUCCUCUCAUCAGAAGGCUCAACAGAGAAGUCCUCACCAGUGGCCUGAGCAGACAUAUAUUAGUUGUGUUCAUCAGACGCAGCAAAUCAGGAUAUUAAACUAAAAAUAAUGAUGAAAACAAAUUAUACCUCAACAUUGCCUUCAUACUCCUCAUCAAGAUCACGGUUCUUGAGCACACGACGAGCCAAAAGCAGACCAGUGCAGUAGGCUACAUCAUACAUUCAGAAAAUUAGAUUAGAAAAGAGGCAUGCAGAAGAUCACAGCAUGCAUUUGUGCAUUCAUUCAGUAGCUAAAAUCAACCUGCAGCAUAGUUGGUGAGGCCAACUUCAAGACCAUAGCGAGGCAACUCAUGGGAGUAGGCAGCGGCCAUCACAAUAUCACCAGCAAUGGUAGCAUACACAAUUUGUGCAGUGACAUCCUUGUUGGUCUAAAGUACUAUUGUUAAGAGAUACAACAUGCCUCCAAGGUAAUAAUAAGCAGAACAUUGAUGAUUGACAAGUGCAUAAAUUAUAAUGAAGAAACUUUGAAGGAUACAAAUCGCACAACAAAACGGUACUUGGGGGUAUUGUAUUUGUUCUUGUCCUGGUUUGUGAGCCUCAGCCUGGCCCUGUAGUCGGUCUUCCCCUCUGAGAAAACAUGGGGAAAAGGAAAAUCAGCCAAUCAGAAUCGCUGUCAAAUGACAGAAGUGGCAGAUUCAUGGAGAAGCAGGUGUUAGACAUACGGCGCCUUCUCUUGAACUUGACUUGGAAACGCUUGGAGUACGCCCUUGUCUUCUGGUUCUUGAUGUACACCUAGAAGACAUAUCCAAGAGAAGCACAUGAGUACAACUAGGUUUGGAACCCAGGAAACACUAGUAAUCAAUCAGGCGGCACAAACAAAACAUACAAGACAAGAUUUUAAGUAGCUCAUAGUUCCAUUCAAUGACGAGAAACCUCAUGGAACCUCCCAAGCUUAGGAUAAUCACAACAAGUAAUUGCUAAAUAAACCCCAGUUUACUAUCGCGACAAGAAACAAAACCGCACCAUACAGCAAUCCCUCGUCAAUCCACUACAGUGAUGAAUCUGGUCUAAGAAAUGGGAACUUCUUCUCAGUUCUAAAAUUAGAGCAGGCAGAGAGCUACUACAGCAUGAUUUGCGAGCAAUAAAAUCUUAUCAAGCGGCACAAAUCCAGAUCUAACAGAUUCUACGAGCGGCGAGUACUAUUCCUCCACGACACAGAGCAAAACCCCCGCAGAUCUGACCAGUCCAGUGCUGAAACCUUAAGCCCUGAGUUGGGUAGUGCAAGCUAUGAAACAAGAAUCGAAAACCUAGGCGACGAUUCCUGCAGCGAAGGCGCACGGAAGGCAGACGCUGCGGGCAGCAACGCGCGCGGACCGAAGCAGCAGCCAUGGAGGAAGAGGAGGAGGGGAGACCGGACGUACCAUCGCGCCUGCGAGGAGGGAGCUCCUGCGGAAGGAGGAGGCGGCGGCGGCGCGGGCGGAAGGGCUAGGGAUGGGAGGCAGCGUGGUGGCGCUUAUAUAUACGAGGGGGCGGGCCUGGCUGCUUGCUGGGCCGCGGUGCGAGUCGCCCCCGAAUGGGUGGGCUUCUUUCGGUCUGCUUCUAAGGCCCAUGAACUGCGUUUCGUUUUUUUUUUUCGGCUCACUGGAGAGCGAGAGCAUAACGGCCGCUGUUGCAUGUUGCAGUUGUAGAGGGGAGAUUAAGUUGACUAUCACUUCUUUUAUUUCAUGUAACGUAGUUCAUGAAUUUAAGAGCUCCAAUAAGGAGGCUCACAAUCUAGCGAAGCAUGCAUUAAUGUUAGGGUCUGGGCGUCAUGUUUGGUUAGGCCAGCCGGAAGGUCUUUCCUUCGUCCCUCUAAACAUUGUGACGGGUUGAAUAAAAGCUUCGUGAGAUUGCCUAAAAGUUGUAGAGGGGAGAGAGCAGUUGCUCGUUCCUUCGCUCGUCUUACGCUGGUACAAUACAAUACAAUACAAUAUAAAGAUAACAACAAACUUAUGUUUUUAUUAAAAUUAUCACAAAUGGACAUAAUUAAGUAGAUCAAUAAGGAUAUCGAGGGACUAGUCGAAGUCGCCAAACACGUUGUUUGCGGUGUACUCAAUCAACAUGUUCUCUGUUUCAGCAGGAUCCUCAUGCGGAUAAGGAAUCAUGGAGUUGCUCGGUCCAGGGGGGACAUCGUGCGAACCACCAGUUCCUUUUGCGUUAUGUGGAUGAAGGUUGAAGUUGGCUUCAAACGUCCCUUGAGGUGCUUUGCGUCCCUGGGAUUGUUGAUACAUCAUAACCAGAUGCUUGGGCAUUGUGCAUUUUUCAGUAGAAUGCGUGUAGCAUCCACACUUGUUGCAAAGCUUAGAUUUAUAAAACCUGGGCUUUGAAGUGCCUUUUCCCUUGCCUGGGUUUCUGGAUCUCAUGUUCCCACUGCGCUUUCGCUUAUGCUCGAAAUUGGAUUGUUUACCUCGAAAGGUACCAUUAAAAUUUUGUCUAUUCGCGACAUUCAGAUGAACUUCAGGUAAAGGUUGUGCCCCAACUGGGCGCUGAGAGUCAUUCUUAUCGAGUAGCUCAUCAUGCUUUUCAGCCUAAAGUAACAUGUGAAUAAGCUCAUAAUAGACAGUGUAGUUACGAGCACGGUAUUGCUGUUGGAGAAUCCUAUCUGAAGGGAGCAUAGUAGACAAAGUUUUCUCUAUCUUCUCCCCCUCAGUAGGUUCCUUCUCACAAAACGCGGUUUAGUACAUAUCUUAUGAACAGCAUGAUUGUACUCACCAAUGGACUUGAAAUCCUGAAGACGAAGAUGAGUCCAAUCAUGGAGUGCUUCGGGCAGGACUAUUGCCUUCUGUUGUUCAUACCUCGUUUUGAGGACCAGAAACAAAGUACUAGGGAGAUUACUCAUGUAAAUACUCACACUUGAGAUCUGAAUGAAUAUGGUGCCUUAUGAUGAAUAAAGCAGCGUAAUUCUGCUGUUCUGUCAGCGGCGUGGCUCCAGACGGGAGAGGAGUCCCAGGGGGUUGGAUUGCACGCGCUAUCCCACGAGACGCAAGACUGAUCUUGAUGUCCAUAGCCCAUGUAGGGUAGUUGUGGCCAUUGAGGGCAAGCUCCUCAAACUCUUUGGCGGUCAUCUUUGCCCACACGAGGAACCAGAGAUAAUUAAUUUACGGGUGGUAAAUUAAAAACCAUCGUGGUUCUGUAAUAAGAAUGCAAAAAAUUAAUGCUCAAGUGAAAAACUUGAAAAAUUCUCAACCUCAAUUGUGUGAACAUACACAUGGAAGAUCACUUAGAUCUCACAAUAAUAGGCUACAUUGUCAUUACCUUGUGUAUGCUACAAUUCAGAUAUAAGGAAUACACGUUGGAGGUAAUCGCUUGUCGAGAUUGACAAAAGCGUAGACCUCACAUUAAGUGGGGAUAAUUUGCAAAUGAGCAGUAGAUCCCAACUCAUUACCUUGUGAUUCCAAAUAUAAUGAGGGAGAAAUAUUCAAAAAUUUGCAAGUUUGGUAUGCGAGAGGAGAUGAUCUCAAUCGCAAAAACAUGUUUAAGAGAACUUGAUAUGUGGUAAACACAUGGAACAUGUCAUUCUUCCCAGAUGAAAUCCAGUACUUUAUUUAUAUUAUCAAUCCUUUGCAUAAUAUAAACACACUAAUAAUUACACAAGUCCUAACCUAGAUUAAAUCUAGAACUGGACUAGAAUGUAAGUAGCAGUCAAACUAGGUGCUAAACAGUAUAAACAUAGUAUAAAACUGCACUAAUACAAUAAUUAGUACUAAUGUUUAACUAAAACAGAGAAAAAAAUGAAAAACGAAUCCUGAAGGGGCAGGCCAGGCACCUAGGCCUGGGCCGCCACGGCCUUUGGCUGGUCCACCCGCGGCUCCACCGCAUAACAGAGAGAGGGGACGACGGAUAAGGGUCGGAUAAUCCGACACCCACACUACCCUAUUGAUCCCCACUCUACAUGGCGCCGCCGACGGAUUGGAGAGGCCGCCGCCGCCCCUCACGACUCCAGUGGUCACCGGCACAGCACGGACGAGCCCUCCUCGUCCGAAGAAGAGUUGACGACGACAGGGUCUAGGCGAGCACCCUGUGGCGUAGCGCUGGUGAGGCCGAGGCUCGCCGGAGCCCACGAACCGGGGUGACGGUCGAUGGCAGCGAGGACGCGCCCAAAGAGGCGUCCGAAGCGUCAUUCUACGCGGCUGCUCGAGCCCGCGGUUGCCUCUAGCAUCGGCGGGGCGUUGGCGUCCGCGCCCUCCAUCCCUGCUCCGAGGCGGAUGACGCCAUACGGUGGGCGCUGAUGUCUACUAUGCAACUUUAUUCUUGUAGACUCGUGUUGCGCCUCCAAGUGCAGAGUUCUGUAGGACAGUAGCAAUUUUCCCUCAAGUGGAUGACCUAAGGUUUAUCAAUUCGUGGGAGGUAUAGGAUGAAGAUGGUCUCUCUUAAACGACCCUGCAACCAAAUACAAGAAAUAUCUUGUGUCCCCAACACACCCAAUACAAUGGCAAAUUGUAUAGGUGCACUAGUUCGGCAAAGAGAUGGUGAUAAAAGUGUAAUAUUGAUGGUAGAAAUAUAUUUUUAUAAUCUGAAUAAAUAAAAAUAGCAAGGUAGCAAAUAGUAAACGGGCACAAAAACGGUAUUGCAAUGCUUAAAAAGGAGGCCGAGGGUCCGUACUUUCGCUAGUGCAAUCUCUCAACAGUGCUAACAUAGUUGGAUCAUAUGAUUAUCCCUCAAAGUACAGCAAAGAAUCACUCCCGAGUUCCUAUUAGCGGAGAACAAAAGAUAGGAAUUUGUUUGUAGGGUACGAAACCAUCUCAAAGCUAUUCUUUCUGUUCGAUCUAUCCUAGAGUUCAUACUAGAAUAACGCAAGCUAUUCUUUCCGAUCGAUCUAAUAAAGAGUUCGUACUAAGAUAACACCAAACAAAAUUCAUAUUCAUAAUACUCAAUCCAGACAAAGAACUAUAAAGAGACCCCGAAGUUUCUACCGGAGAAAAACGUGCAUCAACCCCUAUGCAUAGAUUACUCCAAUAUCACCGCGGGAAUCCGCGAGUUGAAUGCCAUAACAUAUAUCAAGUGAAUCAAUAGGAUACCCUAAUUGUCACAUCAAUUAUUCAUACCGCAAAACAUAUAUCAUGUGUUCUCAUCUCUGAAUAUUCAAUCCGAUAUGACAAAACUUCAAAGGGGAAAGAUUCAAUUCAUCACAACGAGAGUAUAGAGGGGAGAAACAUCAUAUGAUCCGACUAUAUUAACAAAGCCCAUGAUAUAGAUGUUGGGGAACGUAAUAAUUUCAAAAUUUUCCUACGCACACGCAAGAUCAUGGUGAUGCAUAGCAAUGAGCGGGAGAGUGUUGUCUACGUACCCUUGUAGACCGUAAGCAGAAGCAUUUUGUCAACGCGGUUGAUGUAGUCGUACGUCUUCACGAUCCAACCGAUCCAAGUACCGAACGCACGGCACCUCCGAGUUCAGCACAUGUUCAGCUCGAUGACGUCCCACGAACUCACGAUCCAGCAGAGUGUCGAGGGAGAGUUUCGUCAGCACGACGGCGUGGUGAUGGUGAUGAUGAAGCUACCGACGCAGGGCUUCACCUAAGCACUACGACGAUAUGACCGAGGUGGAUUAUGGUGGAGGGGGGCACCGCACACGGCUGGAAACAAUCAACUUGCGUGUUCUAGGGUGCCCCCUGCCCCCGUAUCUAAAGGAGCAAGGGGGGAGGCCGGCCGGCCCUUGUGGCGCGCCAGGAGAGGAGGAGUCCUCCUCCUAGUAGGAGUAGGACUCCCCUUUCCUACUCCUACUAGGAGGGGGAAAGGAAGGAGGAGAGGGAGAAGGAAAAGGGGGGCACCGCCCCCCUCCUUGUCCAAUUCGGACUCCCAAGGGGGGGGGCGGCCUGCCCUGGCCGGCCCUCUCUCUCUCCACUAAGGCCCAUGAGGCCUAUUAGUUCUCCCGGGGGGGUCCGGUUGAAGGAAAUAUUCCCUAGAGGCAAUAAUAAAGUUGUUAUUUAUAUUUCCUUAUAUCAUGAUAAAUGUUUAUUAUUCAUGCUAGAAUUGUAUUAACCGGAAACUUAGUACAUGUGUGAAUACAUAGACAAACAUAGUGUCACAAGUAUGCCUCUACUUGACUAGCUCGUUGAAUCAAAGAUGGUUAAGUUUCCUAGCCAUAGACAUGAGUUGUCAUUUGAUUAACGGGAUCACAUCAUUAAAGAAUGAUGUGAUUGACUUGACCCAUUCCGUUAGCUUAGAUUUUGAUCGUUUAGUAUAUUGUUAUUGCUUUCUUCAUGACUUAUACAUGUUCCUAUGACUAUGAGAUUAUGCAACUCCCGAAUACCGGAGGAACACUUUGUGUGCUACCAAACGUCACAACGUAACUGGGUGAUUAUAAAGGUGCUCUACAGGUGUCUCCGAUGGUACUUGUUGAGUUGGCAUAGAUCAAGAUUAGGAUUUGUCACUCCGAUUAUCGGAGAGGUAUCUCUGGGCCCUCUCGGUAAUGCACAUCACUAUAAGCCGUGCAAGCAAUGCAACUAAUGAGUUAGUUGCGGGAUGAUGUAUUACGGAACGGGUAACGAGAUUGAACUAGGUAUUGGGAUACCGACGAUCGAAUCUCGGGCUAGUAACAUACCGAUGACAAAGGGAACAACAUAUGUUGUUAUGCGGUUUGACCGAUAAAGAUCUUCGUAGAAUAUGUAGGAACCAAUAUGAGCAUCCAGGUUCCGCUAUUGGUUAUUGACCGGAGACGUGUCUCGGUCAUGUCUACAUAGUUCUCGAACCCGUAGGGUCCACACGCUUAACGUUUGGUGACGAUCGGUAAUAUGAGUUUAUGUGUUUUGAUGAAGCGAAGGUAGUUCAGAGUCCCUGAUAUGAUCACGGACAUGACGAGGAGUCUCGAAAUGGUCGAGACAUAAAGAUCGAUAUAUUGGAUGACUAUGUUUGGACUUCGGAAGGGUUCCGGGUAAGUUCGGACAAAUACCGGAGUAUCGGGGGGUUACCCGGAACCCCCCGGGGGGUGUAAUGGGCCUAUUGGGCCUUAGUGGAGAAGUGGAGGGGCGACCAGGGCAGGCCGCGCGCCCCCUCCCCCUCUAGUCCGAAUUGGACAAGGAAGGGGGGGCCCCCUUUUUCCUUCCCCCUCUCUCCUCCUUCCUUCCCUCCUACUCCUACUCUUGGAAGGGUUGGAGUCCUACUCCCGGUGGGAGUAGGACUCCCCUUGGGGCGCACCUAGGAGGCCGGCCCCCUCCCCCUCCUCCACUCCUUUAUAUACGGGGGAGGGGGCACCCCAUAGUGACAGAAGUUGAUCUUUUAGCCGUGUGCGGUGCCCCCCUCCACCAUAAUCCACCUCGGUCAUAUCGUAGUGGUGCUUAGGCGAAGUCCUGCAUCGGUAGCAUCAUCAUCACUGCCAUCACGCCGUCGUGCUGACGGAACUCUCCCUCGAAGCUCUGCUGGAUCAUGAGUUCGUGGGACGUCACCGAGCUGAACGUGUGCUGAACUCGGAGGUGCCAUGUGUUCGGUACUUGGAUCAGUCGGAUCAUGAAGACGUACGACUACAUCAACCGCGUUGUCAUAACGCUUCCGCUUACGGUCUACGAGGGUACGUAGACAACACUCUUCCCCUCAUUGCUAUGCAUCACCAUGAUCUUGCGUGUGCGUUGGAAUUUUUUUGAAAUUACUACGUUCCCUAACAGUGGCAUCCGAGCCAGGUUUAUGCGUAGAUGUUAUAUGCACGAGUAGAACACAAGUGAGUUGUGGGCGAUACAAGUCAUACUGCUUACCAGCAUGUCAUACUUUGAUUCGGCGGCAUUGUUGGAUGAAGUGGCCCGGACCGACAUUACGCGAACGCUUACGUGAGACUGGUUCUACCAACGUGCUUCGCACAAAGGUGGCUGGCGGGUGUCAGUUUCUCCAACUUUAGUUUAAUCGAGUGUGGCUAUGCCCGGUCCUUGUGAAGGUUAAAAUAACACAUACUUGACGAAAUAUCGUUGUGGUUUUGAUGCGUAGGUAAGAACGGUUCUUGUUCAGCCCAUAGCAGCCACGUAAAACUUGCAACAACAAAGUAGAGGACGUCUAACUUGUUUUUGCAGGGCAUGUUGUGAUGUGAUAUGGUCAAGACAUGAUGCUAAAUUUUAUUGGAUGAGAUGAUCAUGUUUUGUAACAGAGUUAUCGGCAACUGGCCGGAGCCAUAUGGUUGUCGCUUUAUUGUAUGAAAUGCAAUCGCCAUGUAAUUGCUUUACUUUAUCACUAAGCGGUAGCGAUAGUCGUAGAAGCAAUAGUUGGCGAGACGACAACGAUGCUACGAUGGAGAUCAAAGGUGUCGCGCCGGUGAUGAUGGUGAUCAUGACGGUGCUUUGGAGAUGGAGAUCAAAGGCACAAGAUGAUGAUGGCCAUAUCAUAUCACUUAUAUUGAUUGCAUGUGAUGUUUAUCCUUUAUGCAUCUUAUUUUGCUUAGAUCGACGGUAUCAUUAAGAUGAUCUCUCACUAAAUUUCAAGGUAUAAGUGUUCUCCCUGAGUAUGCACCGUUGCGAAAGUUCAUCGUGCCGAGACACCACGUGAUGAUCGGGUGUGAUAAGUGCAGGAGCAACGCCAGAUGUUAUGAACGUCUGGCAGAGCAAAGCUGAUGACUACUCGUUAGUUCAGUGUGCCAUACUUUACGGCUUAGAACCGGGACUUCAACGACGUUUUGAACGUCAUGGAGCAUAUGAGAUGUUCCAGGAGUUGAAGUUAAUAUUUGAAGCAAAUGCCCGAAUUGAGAGAUAUGAAGUCUCCAAUAAGUUCUACAGCUGCGAGAUGGAGGAGAAUAGUUCUGUCAGUGAGCAUAUACCCAAAAUGUCUGGGUAUAACAAUCACUUGAUUCAACUGGGAGUUAAUUUUCUGGAUGAUAGUGUCAUUGACAGAAUUCUUCAAUCACUGCCACCAAGCUACAAGAGCUUCGUGAUAAACUAUAAUAUGCAAGGGAUGGACAAGACAAUUCCCGAGCUCUUCGCAAUGCUAAAGGCUGCGGAGGUAGAAAUCAAGAAGGAGCAUCAAGUGUUGAUGGUCAACAAGACCGCCAGUUUCAAGAAAAAGGGUAAAGGGAAUAAGGGGAACUUCAAGAAGAACGGCAAGCAAGUUGCUGCUCAAGUGAAGAAGCCCAAGUCUGGACCUAAGCCUGAGACUGAGUGCUUCUACUGCAAAGGGACUGGACACUGGAAGCGGAACUGACCCAAGUAUUUGGCGGAUAAGAAGGAUGGCAAGGUGAACAAAGGUAUAUGUGACAUACAUGUUAUUGAUGUGUACCUUACUAAUGCUCGCAGUAGUGCCUGGGUAUUUGAUACUGGUUCUGUUGCUAAUAUUUGCAACUCGAAACAGGGACUACGGAUUAAGCGAAGAUUGGCUAAGGACGAGGUGACGAUGCGCGUGGGAAAUGGUUCCAAAGUCGAUGUGAUCGCGGUCGGCACGCUACCUCUACAUCUACCUUCGGGAUUAGUUUUAGACCUGAAUAAUUGUUAUUUGGUGCAUGCGUUAAGCAUGAACAUUAUAUCUGGAUCUUGUUUGAUGCGAGACGGUUAUUCAUUUAAAUCAGAGAAUAAUGGUUGUUCAAUUUAUAUGAGUAAUAUCUUUUAUGGUCAUGCACCCUCGAAGAGUGGUCUAUUCUUUUUGAAACUCGAUAGUAGUGAUACACAUAUUCACAAUAUUGAAGCCAAAAGAUGCAGAGUUGAUAAUGAUAGUGCAACUUAUUUGUGGCACUGCCGUUUAGGUCAUAUUGGUGUAAAGCGCAUGAAGAAACUCCAUUCUGAUGGACUUUUGGAAUCACUUGAUUAUGAAUCACUUGGUACUUGCGAACCAUGCCUCAUGGGCAAGAUGACUAAAACGCCGUUCUCCGGAACAAUGUAGCGAGCAACAGAUUUAUUGGAAAUCAUACAUGCUGAUGUAUGUGGUCCAAUGAAUGUUGAGGCUCGCGGCGGGUAUCGUUAUUUUCUCAGCUUCACAGAUGAUUUAAGCAGAUAUGGGUAUAUCUACUUAAUGAAACAUAAGUCUGAAACAUUUGAAAAGUUCAAAGAAUUUCAGAGUGAAGUGGAAAAUCAUCGUAACAAGAAAAUAAAGUUUCUAUGAUCUAAUCGUGCAGGAGAAUAUUUGAGUUACAAGUUUGGUCUUCAUUUGAAAAAUUGCGGAAUAGUUUCGCAGCUCACGCAACCCGGAACACCACAGCGUAAUGGUGUGUCCGAACGUCGUAAUCGUACUUUACUAGAUAUGGUGUGAUCUAUGAUGUCUCUUACUGAUUUACCACUAUCGUUUUGGGGUUAUGCUUUAGAGACGGUUGCAUUCACGUUAAAUAGGGCACCAUCUAAAUCCGUUGAGACGACGCCUUAUGAACUAUGGUUUGGCAAGAAACCAAAGUUGUCGUUUCUUAAAGUUUGGGGCUGCGUUGCUUAUGUGAAAAGGCUUGAACCUGAUAAGCUCGAUCCCAAAUCGGAGAAAUGUGUCUUCAUAGGAUACCCAAAGGAAAUUGUUGGGUACACCUUCUAUCACAGAUCCGAAGGCAAGACUUUUGUUGCUAAGAAUGGAUCGUUUCUAGAGAAGGAGUUUCUCUCGAAAGAAGUGAGUGGGAGGAAAGUAUAACUUGAUGAGGUAAUUGUACUUACUCCCUUAUUAGAAAGUAGUUCAUCACAGAAAACUAUACCAAUUAGCGAGGAAGCUAAUGAUGAUGAUCAUGUAACUUCAGAUCAAGUUACUGCCGAACCUCGUAGGUCAACCAGAGUAAGAUCCGCACCAGAGUGGUACGGUAAUCCUGUUCUAGAGGUCAUGUUACUUGACCAUGACGAACCUACGAACUAUGAGGAAGCGAUGAUGAGCCCAGAUUCCGCAAAAUGGCUUGAGGCCAUGAAAUCUGAGAUGGGAUCCAUGUAUGAGAACAAAGUGUGGACUUUGGUUGACUUGCCCGAUGAUCGGCAAGCCAUAGAGAAUAAAUGGAUCUUCAAGAAGAAGACUGACGCUGACGGUAAUGUUACUGUCUACAAAGCUCGACUUGUUGCGAAAGGUUUUCGACAAGUUCAAGGAGUUGACUAUGAUGAGACUUUCUCACGCAUAGCGAUGCUUAAGUCCGUCCGAAUCAUGUUAGCAAUUGCCGCAUUUUAUGAUUAUGAAAUUUGGCAAAUGGAUGUAAAAACUGCAUUCCUGAAUGGAUUUAUGGAAGAAGAGUUGUAUAUGAUGCAACCUGAAGAUUUUAUCGAUCCAAAGGGUGCUAACAAAGUGUGCAAGCUCCAGCGAUCCAUCUAUGGACUGGUGCAAGCAUCUCGGAGUUGGAAUAAACAUUUUGAUAGUGUGAUCAAAGCAUAUGGUUUUAUACAGACUUUUGGAGAAGCCUGUAUUUACAAGAAAGUGAGUGGGAGCUCUGUUGCAUUUCUAAUAUUAUAUGUGGAUGACAUAUUGUUGAUUGGAAAUGAUAUAUAAUUUCUGGAUAGCAUAAAAGGAUACUUGAAUAAGAGUUUUUCAAUGAAAGACCUCGGUGAAGCUGCGUAUAUAUUGGGCAUCAAGAUCUAUAGAGAUAGAUCAAGAUGCUUAAUUGGACUUUCACAAAGCACAUACCUUGAUAAAGUUUUGAAAAAGUUCAAAAUGGAUCAAGCAAAGAAAGGGUUCUUGCCUGUGUUACAAGGUGUGAAGUUGAGUCAGACUCAAUGCCCGACCACUGCAGAAUAUAGAGAGAAAAUGAAAGAUGUUCCCUAUGCUUCAGCCAUAGGCUCUAUCAUGUAUGCAAUGUUGUGUACGAGACCUGAUGUGUGCCUUGCUAUUAGCUUAGCAGGGAGGUACUGUUGGGGAUAUAACUAUUGAGUAUAAACCGCCCAGGAGGGGCCGGGUUAUGCUCAUAGUGAUUUACCCAUAUUUGAAGCGCAUGAAGACAUGGAAGAUGGCGCUUUACGAGGGAGGCUUAAUAGUAAGGCCCAAAGCCCAAAGGCGGAUUAGGGUCCAAAGAUGUAAACCGCCAUAAGAUGUAUGACUUGUAUUGUAAGAUAGGAAAGAGUAGAAACCGAGCCGAACGCGUUUAUGAGCCGGCCGGGAUUCUGCAAACCGCUGGGUGUCAACCUGUGUAUAUAAAAGGACAACCCGACGGCGGUUUAAGGGCAAGAAACAACAACUCAAGAGCCAGGCAAAGCGUAUUCGCUCCCUGGUCAUCGAAACCCUAGCAAUACCACCUCAAACUGGAUUAGGCCUUUACCUUCACCGCAAGGGGCCGAACCAGUAUAAACUCCCCGUGUCCUUUGUCCUGUUUAACCCCGUUAAGCUAACCUCGUCACAAUGGCUCCACAACCAAGUCCUUCCAUGAGGACAUCCGUCGUGACAUUUCCACGACAGUUGGCGCCCACCGUGGGGCCAGCGCACGGUGGUUUCGAGUUCUUAAAGGGCAGCUUUGAAGGGAUCAAGGGGUACGCUGUGGGCCGGAUGACCAAGAGUCGUCGCGGUAAGCUCUACAUCAAUGACGCAGGCUGGGGCCCCGACGCCGGCUCAAUUGAGUACGGGUACUGGGUCCCCUUUGGAGGAAUUCACGUCUUCAUCGGCAAGAUCAGCGAACCGGGCCCUGAGCCAGACAUCUGCACCGACAUCAUCGAAACGGCUCAACGUGCGAGACCCUCCCGGGUUCAGCCUGCCAUGAAGCAUGCCUUCGUGGGAUUCAUCCACAGGGCGGAAUCUGAGGAUAGAUCGGUAUCUGGUGGUGAGAUCAUCAUUUAUUCAGAUGGCGAGUCAUCUACUGGAGAAACCGAGUCGUUGUACCAACUGCAAGACGGCUGUCUUGGGGGCUAUUCCGAUGGUGACAGUAUUCCGGAUCCCUACGAGCCGCCGAACCGAGUCACAAUCUUCAUGGCCGGUACACAGCCAGGGCAGAAUUCCUCAACUGCGGCGGCGUUGAUUUCCGGACCAGCAGCGGCAACAGCGGCCGGGGCAGGUGGCCCUGUGCACCCGCCGGCUCAAGUCUUGUCUGGUUUACUUGACACUUUAGCAACACUGAUGACGGCCGAGGUUAGUGGGGCAAAUCGAGACGAGCAUAAUGCGGAAGUUGCAAAGGUGAGAGACCAGAUAGCUCAAGCCAAGGAAGACCUGACAGCCGAGGACGUGAGGAUGGCCACGAUGCGGGCCGAGUUGGAUGUUCAGGCGUAGCGGAUUCAAUUGGAGUCCUUCCGGCUUUGCUAGAUCAGAACGCGUCAAAUGAUGUGAUGAGGAGAAGGCUUCCUUUGGUUUACGAGGCGAGAAACCUCUUUAACACGCCCGGAGCAGGGACCAGUAACCAGCCAGUGGUAAACCGGACUGAAACACCGGGAACGGGGGCGCCGGUUCAACCGCGCACGAUGUACCCGCCUCGUCAAGACAAUAACCCGCCGCAACACGUGCCGACGCCGCAGCAUGUGCCGACACCGCCGGGUCAUUACUCUAACCCCUUGGAUAACAUGGUUGCGGCCGCUUCGCGAUUGGCGGCUCUCCCAGUCGACGGUGAGUCCCCAAUAGCGGUUGAGACGCGGCGGGCUAGAGAGCUCCUUCAGACAUCCUUGGCUGAGCAGCAAGCUUAUUCGUACAGCCGUGAGAGGAUUCAUUCCACCCCCCGCCCAAGCCGGAGUUACAGCAGACAUAUUGACGAGCCGGCCGUGUCAAGUAGUGCGCGAAAUCGUAAUCCGCCUCGCGGCCAUAACCCGGCAAGCGGUGGUGCUGAUGCUUAGAACAUGGUGGACCAAGGUAGAGCACGUCGAGAGGCCGAGCUGGCGGCGCAGUACGCGGCCGGUCAACCUUAUCCGGUUCGUCUGACGACUUCGGUCGAGACAGGUGUGACUUUCAGGACUUUGGGUGUACCGUGUUUCGCCCCGGCUCUGCGUAACGUAUGGUUGCCCAAGGAUUUAAAGGUCCCCGUAAGGUGCCCAACUACACUGUCGAUUUACCUCCUGAAGCAUGGAUUGAGAGUUAUGAGAUGGCGAUGGAACUGUUGGAUGUUGAUGAGGCUGCAUGCGCUAAAUACUUCACCAUGAUGUUGGAACGGACGACUCGUACUUGGUUGAAGGGGUUACCGGCUAACUCUGUUGGAUCAUGGGCCGAGUUAAAAGCCCGGUUUAUCCAGAAUUUCAAGGACACGUGCAAGCAGCCCAUGUCAAUUGUGGAUUUGGCCUCCUGUGUCCAAGAAGAAGGUGAGUCGACAACCCAUUGGGUGCACCGGGUUUCAACAAUCCUGCACUCAUUAGACCGGAUCAAUGCUGAUUCAACAGUCUUGACGUUGGAGAAAAAUUGCCGUUUUACGCCCCUCAAGCAAAAAUUAGGGCGGCUAAAACGCCACUGCAAUGACAUGGGGACGCUCAUGCCGCCUCUGGUAAAAUACGCUGACUCUGAUGGUACCAAGGACCCCGAGUCUGACGAUGAAAAGACGGGAAAGGUAAAGAAGAGCAGCAGCACCAGAGAGCAGCAGCAUAACCCGGCGGUGAAUCAAGGAGGUAAUGGUAAGCGCAAGGCUGAUAAUAGUUUGGACUUUGUGGCAAAUACCAAUGCACAUAAUAAUGGCCAGGGUCAUAAGGGUAGACCGCCCCCACAGACCGGAGGAUCAGGCAUUAAUCUUGAGCAUCUGUUGAAUCAGCCCUGCCCAAGGCAUGGUACGCGACAAAGACCGUCUACUCAUCUCUGGAAGGAUUGUUUUAUCGUGAAGGAAUUCAAAAAUUCAAAUCUUUUUCAAGGCAACCAUGGACCGGGUGGUGGUUCAGGAUCUGGCUCUCAGGGUCCGGGUUAUGGUGGUGGCGGUUCAAGCUCUAGAUUCCAAGGCAAUCAAGGUAAUUGAGGCAAUCAGGGCAAUCAGGGGGGUUACCAUCAACAGUCAGGUCAGGGGAAUCAGCAGCAACAGUCUGGGUAUCAGAGUAACCCGAAGCAGUUGAAUAGUGGGCAAUACCACAUCUUCACCACGAGUUUAUGCAAACGAGAUCAGAAGCUUCAUAAAAGGGCAGUAAACUCCGUUGAACCGGCAGUGCCCCGUUACUUGCGCUGGUCUGAGCGGCCCAUUAUCUGGAGUCGAGAGGAUCAUCCGCCCCGGGUUGAUAAUCCGGGUCAUCUGGCAUUGGUGGUUGCGCCUCAGGUUGGAGGGUAUAAGUUCACCAAGGUGCUCAUGGACGGAGGGAGCAGCAUCAAUAUCCUUUAUUAUGAAACCUUCCGUCGCAUGGGGUUGACAGAUAAAAAUCUUAAACCGUUGAACACUGUUUUCCAUGGUGUGGUGCCCGGUAAAUCGGUGUAUCCAGUUGGUAAGAUAGCUCUGGAGGUUGCUUUUGGAGACGAUCAUGACUCUAGAUCAGAGACAUUAACCUUUGAGGUGGUGAAAAUCAAGAGCCCUUAUCAUGCCCUGUUUGGACGGCCAGCUUAUGCUAAGUUCAUGGCAAGGCCCUGUUAUGUUUAUCUGCAGCUCAAGAUGCCGGGUCAUAAGGGGACCGUCACGGUACAUGGGAGCCGGAAGAUAGCUUUGGAAUGUGAAGAGGGUGAUGCGGCUUAUGCUGAGUCGGUUUGUGCAACCGAGGAGUUGAAGUUUUAUAAGGACAAUGUUGAUCCGGCGGAUAUGACUUCUUUGAAAAAGUCAACUACAAAGCAUGAUCCGGCCUUGAAGUUUAAAUCGGCUGAUGAAACUAAACUGGUUGAUUUUGUUCCUAGCGAUUCAUCCAAGCAGUUCAGCAUCAGCGCUAAUCUGGAUCCGAAAUAGGAAAGCACGCUCAUCGAGUUCAUCCGUGAGAACCGGGACAUCUUUGCAUGGAAACCUUCUGACAUGCCAGGUGUACCGAGGGAACUCGCUGAGCACACCCUUAACAUUGAUCCUAAGUUUAAACCGGUCAAGCAGUUUCUCCGCCGGUUCAAUGAGGAGAGGCGUAAGGCCAUUGGUGAAGAGGUCGCCCGGCUCUUGGCGGCUGGUUUUAUUGUUGAAGUUUUUCAUCCUGAGUGGUUGGCUAACCCGGUGCUGGUACUCAAGAAGAAUGGCACUUGGCGCAUGUGUGUGGACUACACAGAUUUAAACUAGGCUUGUCCAGCUGAUCCUUUUGCUCUCCCUCGUAUUGAUCAGAUUAUUGAUGCUACGGCGGGUUGUGAGCGUUUGAGUUUUUUGGAUGCUUAUUCUGGAUAUCAUCAAAUCAAGAUGGCAGUUAAGGACCAGGAGAAGACAUCUUUUAUAACUCCCUUUGGAGCCUUCUGCUAUGUGUCUAUGCCUUUUGGGCUCAAGAGCGCCCAGGCAACGUAUCAGCCAUGUGUGCAGAAUUGCCUUCAUAAUCAGAUUGGGUGCAAUGUUCAUGCUUAUGUGGAUGAUAUUGUGGUAAAAUCCAGGAAGAAUGAGACGUUGAUAGAUGAUCUGAAGGAAACCUUUGAUAAUCUCCGGGUUUAUAAAAUGAUGCUUAAUCUGACCAAGUGUGUUUUUGGUGUUCCGGCAGGCAAGCUCUUGGGCUUUCUGGUGUCUAACAGGGGCAUUGAAGCUAAUCCGGAGAAGAUCAAGGCCAUCACUUCUCUGACUAAACCGGCAUGUGUUAAUGAUGUGCAACGUCUGGCAGGUCGUAUUGCGGCCUUAAGCCGGUUUAUAAGCCGGUUGGGAGAGAAGGCUAUCCCUCUAUAUCAAAUGAUGAAAAAGACAGAUAAUUUUGUCUGGAGUGAUGCCGCUAAUGCGGCCUUUGAGGAUUUGAAGAAGUAGUUAGCUGAGCCACCUGUUCUUGCUGCCCCUGUUGAUAAGGAGCCAUUGCUGUUAUAUGUGGCUGCUAAUGCCCGGGUUGUCAGCGUGGCUAUUGUGGUGGAGCGAAAGGAGGCAGGCAAGGAAUAUCCGGUUCAACGGCCAGUUUAUUAUAUCAGUGAGGUGCUUAUUGAGUCUAAGCAGAGAUACCCACAUUGGCAGAAGCUUGUGUAUGGAGUUUUCAUGGCAAGCCAGAAGUUUAAGCAAUAUUUUCAGGGUCAUCCCAUCACUGUGGUCAGUUCUGCUCCUUUGGGAGAUAUCAUCCAAAACAGAGAAGCAACUGACCGGGUUGCUAAGUGGGCUAUUGAGCUUGGACCUCACGGGUUAAAAUAUAUGCCUCGUACGGCUAUCAAAUCUCAAGCACUUGUGGAUUUCAUCAAUGAUUGGACAGAGUUGCAGGCAUCAGAGGAAAAUCCAGAUAACACAUAUUGGACUAUUCAUUUUGAUGGCUCCAGGCAAUUGGAGGGCUCGGGGGCUGGAGUUGUGCUCACUUCCCCUCGAGGUGACAAGUUUCGUUAUGUUCUUCAUUUGAUGUUCCCUUGUACUAACAAUGCAGCUGAGUAUGAGGCCUUGCUCCAUGGUCUUCGAAUGGCUAAGGAGAUGAACUUAAGCCAGGUAAGGUGCUUUGGUGACUCAGACUUGGUAGCUCAACAAGUCUCUGGUACUUGGGAUUCCAAGGAUCCACUCAUGGUGGCUUAUCGACGGGAGGUGGAUGUUAUUGCGGGUCACUUCAAGGGUUAUCAGGUUGAGCAUGUUGAUCGGUGCAAAAAUGAAGCGGCGGACGCUUUAAGCCGGUUGGGUUCUCAACGUAAACUGGUGCCGCCCAAUGUUUUUCUUGACGUUUUGCAUAACCCGUCGGUCAAGUUACCUACAGAGGAGGAUUUGGCUAUUCCUGACCCGGAGGCACAGUUGGUGGCGGCUCUUCAUGUUAUCCCUGAUUGGACGGUCCCAUAUUUGGCAUAUAUGACCCGGGGCGAGUUACCUGAGGACGAAACUUUGGCCAGGCAGAUAACCCGGCGGUCCAAGUCAAUGACUAUUGUCAAUGGGGAGUUGCAUCAUUGCAGUGUCACAGGGGCGUUUCAGCGUUGCUUCUCUCCUGAAAAAGGCUAUGAGAUUUUGCGUGAGAUCCACGAAGGAGAUUGUGGUCAUCAUGCCGGUUCAAAAUCUCUAGUAGCCAAGGUUUUUCGUCACGGUUUCUAUUGGCUGACGGCUCAUGCUGAUGCUGAGGACUUGGUCAAGAAAUGUGACGGUUGUCAAAAGUUUUCACGUCGAGCUCAUGUUCCGGCUCAGGAGUUGAGGAUGAUUCCGAUCACUUGGCCGUUUGCAACUUGGGGGCUUGAUAUGGUUGGACCUUUUAAGAGGUCCAAGGAUAAGAAAACCCACCUUCUGGUGGCGGUUGGUAAGUUCACUAAGUGGGUAGAGGCAGAGCCAGUCAGUAAGUGUGAUGCAGCACCGGCGGUUCAAUUCAUGAAGAAGGUGAUCUUCCGUUUUGGCUUCCCACACAACAUUAUAACAGACAAUGGCACUAAUCUCUCCAAAGGUGCUACGAAAGAAUUUUGCCAACGUGAGCACAUCCGGCUUGAUGUGUCAUCAGUGGCUCACCCCCAGUCUAAUGGUCAAGCGGAGAGAGCCAACCAAGAGAUCCUGAGAGGCAUCAAGCCCCGGCUUAUGGUUCCCUUGCAAAGGACGCUGGGUUGCUGGGUGAAGGAGUUACCUUCCGUGUUGUGGAGCAUUAAUACCACCCCCAACAGGUCUACGGGUUACAUGCCUUUCUUCAUGGUUUACGGAGCAGAAGCAGUUCUCCCUAGUGACAUCCGUCAUGACUCGCCUCGCGUGGCGGCUUAUGUUGAAGCGGACAAUGAAAAAACACGUCAAGAAGCACUGGACCUGUUAGAUGAGAAGCGGGACAUAGCGGCGGCUCGAUCGACGAUUUACCAGCAAGAUCUGCAUCGUUAUCACAGCCGUCGGGUUAAAACCAGAACUUUUCAAGAAGGGGAUCUGGUGCUCCGGCUUAUCCAGGAUCAGGCUGAUAUGCACAAGUUAUCCCCACAUUGGGAGGGACCCUUUGUGGUCAGCGAGAAUCUGAACAACGGGUCAUACUACCUUAUCGAUGUUCGAGAGCACAAAGACACGUAAAUCGGAGGAGGAGACCCACCGGCCGUGGAAUAUUGCUCAUCUUCGGCCUUACUACACCUGAGCCACAGGCUCUCCUUAUGUACAUAUUUCUGACAAUGUAUAUAUUAUGAUCAAUAUAAUAAACCGGCAUCCCCGCUAAAGCGGGGCCUCUGUCGUUCUUUCUUAAAAAAAUUGGUCACAUGGGGGCUUCCGGCUUAUGCAUGAAGUUAUGAUUGCCCUUUGAACCGGCUGAUAAGCCAAAAAAAACACUUGGGGGCUUGCUACCCAGGUUAAAGGGACCAAAGAGAGUCUGUUGUAAAAGCACAGCUCAAACAUAGGUGCCCCUUGGGCACAACCCACAAUAUCAUUUGGGGGCUUGGUCGUAUUCGAACCAUAGCUUAUACCCUCUUGAUUGGCGUAAGGCCACCAGGAUAAUCACUUGGGGGCUUGGUCGUAUUCGAACCAUAGCUUAUACCCACUUGAUUGGUGUAAGGCCACCAGGAUAAUCACUUGGGGGCUUGGUCGUAUUCGAACCAUAGCUUAUACCCUCUUGAUUGGCGUAAGGCCACCAGGAUGAUCACUUGGGGGCUUUGGUCGUAUUCGAACCAAAGCUUAUACCCUCUUGAUCGGCGUAAGGCCACCGGGAUGAUCACUUGGGGGCUUUGGUCGUAUUCGAACCAAAGCUUAUACCCUCUUGAUCGGCGUAAGGCCACCAGGAUGAUCACUUGGGGGCUUUGGUCGUAUCCGAACCAUAGCUUAAACCCUCUUGAUCGGCGCAAUGCCACAAUUAUGACUAUCUAAAUCUUCUUGAUUUUUUAGGUUUAUUUGAUAAGGCUUAUAAUGCUUUAUGAUUAUAAUUCAACUGUGUUUAUUAACCCAGCCUGGCCUUUGACUAUAAGUCACCAGUAAGAGGUAAACUAAUAUCCGGUGUUUAUUGACACGGCCUGGUUUUAUUCAUAAACCGGCAAACAUAUGAUAAUUACCAGUAUUCAAGUUUUGGGUUAUCACCCUUACUCACUAGUUUGGUAAACCAACAGUGUGAUCAAAUAUCACAGGUAUGAUCUAUUUUAGGUUAUAUAUGGUUAUUCUUAAAGUCCAGCCCUGGUUAUAAACUAUCUUAGUUUCCAUGGUUUUAUAUUGGGCAUUAUAACCCGCCUAGCGGUAAACCGCCAAGACACUUUCAAACUGUCAAAUGCAGGAACAGAUUCAAGAACUGAUAAUCUCAUGAAGCAGAUGCGACAUAUCUUAACAUGACGGAUUAACAGUGUUAUGCAAAGUAAUAUGCACGAUGGCAUAGCAGAUCAAGAGUUUAAACUAGCCUAUUACAAGGUGGUUGAUGCCCAAAAGAAUAAUUGUUUUCAAUAAGUCUUGCACAAGGCAGAAGUUAAACCGACCCUCGGUUUAUGAAUCUUGGCCAGGCUGGCUUGAAGCUUGCGAAUCAUCCUGCGCCGGUUCAUCCUCCUUUUCUCUACCCAGUUGCUGGAAGUCAAUGGUUGACCAAUCGAUCCGAGUUAAGGCUUUGAAUACAGCUUCAUCACUUAUAAGGGUGGAGGGGUCAACAUCAGGGGCAUAGGUAUGCUUACGGAUUGGCGGGAUAAAAUUUUGCGCAUCAUAGGUUGGCGCAUUAACCCGUUUGUUGUCGGCAUCAUAAAUCGACUGAUAAUGUGAAAGAUCAGUCUCUUCAGCCAAUUUGCUAGCCAAUGGACGCAUUUCCCUCGUUAUGGCUCUGAGGUCGUCAUUAUCAAAAUCUGACCCGUCCUCCUUUAUGCUUGGAUAGUCGUUUCCAAUAUCGGCCGAAUCAAGGUCAGAUAUCCAUGCUUUGGCCCGAGUUAAUGCAGUAAGAGCACCUGCCCUGGCAGCCGAUUUCUUCGGUUCUUCAAACCGGUCAGGCAUCAUUGACAGCCUUUCCAAUGUUUCCUUGAUUAAGGUUGGGGCGGUUUAUUAUGGGAGGUUGUGCAGAUGACCCGCUGUACGCCGGUACAUAACUGCUCUAUAAGUGUAUAGGCAGCUUUCAGCUUUAGACGCAUAUCUGAGCCAAGAUGCGCAAUGCGGCUUCCUGCAUUAUCAAAAAACAUUAGUAAACCGGUAAUUUCAUAGAUACUACAUAUCUUAAGCUUAUGAAGAGGUUCUUUGCCAAAAACAACAGAGGUCAUGGCAUUUAUUUGCCGCUUCAAGCCAUUCAGCUCCUCUGUUGCCGGAUUAAGGGCCACUUCAGCAUCCUCAGCCCUCUUUAGCAGAGUUGCUUUCUCUAUGUCCCAGCCUGCCCGCUCGUUUUUGAAGUCCUCCUUCAAUUUCUCCAUGGUUGCUAAAGAGCUGGUCAACUCCUCUUUGGCCUUGGAAGUUUCUGCUUGCUGAGAUUUAAUGUUAUCUUGAAGGUCGGCGAUUUGGGAUUCUUUCUUGCUAAGAUCAGCCUAUAAGAAACAUUCAAUUUAUGAGUUGGCAGUACAUAUUUGAAGUCCCAAGCACAUAACAAGUUAUACACUUGGCACUUGGGGGCCAAUGCCUAUUGCUUCUUAUCAAAAUUGUGAUAAGUCCCAAGCUCAAUACAAGUAUUAUUCUUGGCACUUGGGUGCUAAUGCAUAUUUGUUCAAGUUAAGGCUAUGGAUUUUUCUUCCAUCAAUCAGUUUGGUCUAGCGGUUUACAAAGGUAUUUCAACAAGAAUUUUUGGACUAACAACAUGAAGUCCCGGUUCAUCCUUGAAAGGGUAAACCGGCCCUUGGGGGCUACUGGAGUUGAUAGUCUAAACCGGUCAUAAGGAAAGAAUACUUAUGCAGAGUUGGUGACAUUUACCUCAUACCGCUCCUUCAUCAUGUUCACUAAACCGGCUUCAUAAUCACGGCUUGUGUACAAACGGUUUAAAAACCCAGAAUGGAUAUCUUGGGCGUUGAGGUGGGCAUAGCUUGCCAAAUCCGUUUUCCACUUGCCCUUGUCCAUAGCAGCAAAUUCUUCCUUGGCACUAUGUUUUGACAAAGCAAUAGGGUUGCCAGGGGUGGUGUAGCCAAAGCCAGUAACUACAACAUCAUCUGUUUUGUCAUCAGCAGUUUUGACUGGGCUUGUCGGUUUAUCAGCAUGGCCCGUCGGAUCAAUUUCCAUUUGUUCAACAAUAAAGUCAUGAUCUUGCGGUGGCGGAUCAUCAAGAAUAGCGUCAACGUUUGGUUCCAAUGGUUCUGGGGUUUUCUCCGGUUCAGUGGCCGUGUUGUCGUCAGCCGGUUUAUUCAACUUAGGCUUUUUGCUGGGUCUGGCUUUAGCUCUGAAAGGGACGAACAUAAAGGUUAGUAUAGUGAGUAAACGUAAGGUAUAAAGGGUUAAUUUGAUAUGCUCACCCAGGAACAGUUUUGAGGGGUGGAAGUUGUGUCCCUGUGGACUCGCCUGAGGAAGAAUGAGAAGUUCCCUGAUAGUUUGAAUCAGACGGAUUAAGAGGUUGUCGGAAAUAACCCGCCUUGGGAUAAGAUGUGUUAGAAAUAUAAGAGACCUUUGGGUGGCGUUUACGAAACGGCGUGUUCGGUAAACCGGAUGAAGUAACCACCUGGCCACUAUGCCGGGUUGUGCGGCGAGCUUCGUGUUGCUGUUUCUUCAAAAGAAAGUUUGGAUCCAAAUAAGCUAGAGGGUGUGAAAAUCUUACUUUCCGGUUUGCUUGAUGGGUUUUCUGUGUUGGCAGAGGAUCUGAACCGGAGCAAAGAAUAAUUACCUCUACUUCACCAGCAUGGCUAGCCUCAGCGUCAUCCUGAUAAUGGUCAUGGUCAAUGAGGUGUAUGAAAAAGGAGCCAAGAGAAUCAAGUUCUACCUCUGAUUCCGGGUUAUCAAGAUCAUCAUCGAUGUUCAACUCGGUGGACUCGGCGGUUUUCUUCUUGGCAGGCUUCUUGGUGACCUUGGUCUUGGGGCGAGGUGUCUUUGCCGGUUUAUCCUGUGGUUUCUUCUUCCAGAAUGGAUCAUCACCCUGUUAAAAAUUGACAAAGGUUAUAAAGGAGUAUUAAAAAGAUCGGAUUAAAACAGGAGUUAGGCAAUUCUUACAGCUGGUGGUUUAUUUGAAACGCAGAAGGGACUAAGCCCCGUUUUACUGCAGACGGCUACCGGCUCAUCCAGUAUUUUCUUGACAGAUUCAGUAAUUUCAGCAUCAGUUAGCUGAAUAUCAAUGUGCCGUUGAGGGUCUUUCACAUCCCCUGUGUUGGGGAUAUGACUAUCAGGCAUGACCCGCUAGGAGGGGCCGGGUCAUCCUGAUAACGAUUCAUCUCCAUGAAGCCCAAGAUCGUAACGAUGGUUCAUAGAUAGGCUGAGUAAAGGGCCCAAGCCCAAAGGCGGCUUAAGGCCCAUAGUUAUAAACCGCCAUAUGUCUAUGACUUGUAUUGUAAGGUAUAUGUAAUUGGUCUCCGAGCCGGACACGUAUAUGAGCCGGCCGGGACUCUGUAGACCGCAGGGCGUCAACCCGUGUAUAUAAGGGGACGACUCGGUGGCGGCUUAGGGCAAGAAACAACAACUCGAGAGACAGGCAAAGCGUAUUCGCUCCCUGGUCAUCGAAACCCUAGCAAUAUCACCUCAAACUGGAUUAGGCUUUUACCUUCACCGCAAGGGGCCGAACCAGUAUAAAACUCCCCGUGUCCCUUGUCCUGUUUAACCCCUUUAAGCUAAUCUCGUUGCGAUGGCUCCACGACUAAGUCCUCACACUAGGACAUCUGCCGUGACAAUUCCACGACAGUUGGCGCCCACCGUGGGGCUAUCGCACGACGGUUUCAAGUUCUUGGAGGGAAACUUCGAAGGGCUCAAGGGAUACGCCGUGGGCCGGAUGACCAAGAGUCGUUGCGGCAAGCUCUACAUCGACGAUGCAGGUUGGGGCCCCGAGGCCGGCUCAAUUGAGUAUGGGUACCGGGUCCCCUUCGGCGGAAUUCACGUCUUCAUUGGCAAAAUCGGCGAGCCGGGCCCUGAGCCGGACAUCUGCACAGACAUCAUUGAGACGGCUCAGCGUGCGAGACCCGCCCGUGUUCAGCCCGCCAUAAAAUGUGCCUUCGUGGGAUUCAUCCAUGGAGCGGAAUCUGAGGAUAGAUCGGUAUCUGGCGGUGAGAAGGUCAUUUACUCUAAUGGUGAGUCGUCCACUGGCGAGACCGAGAUAUUGUACCAACUGCAAGACGGCCGGCUUGGGGGCUGUUCUGAUGGCGACAGUAUUCCGGACCCCUGUGAGCCGCCGAACCGGGUUGCGAUCUUCAUGGCCGGUACACAGCCGGUGCAGCACUCGUCGACUGCAGCAGCAAUGGUUUCUAGGUCAGCAACGGCAACAGCUGCCGGGGCAGGAGGCCUUGUGCGCCCGCCGGCUCAGGUCAUAACUGACUUGCUGGAUAAGCUGACAGCAUUGUUAACAAUAGUGGUUAACCCGGUAGAUCAGGACCAGCACAACGUGGCAGUUGCAAAGUUGGGUGAUGAGAUAGCGCAGGCUAAGGAGGAGCUAACACUACAAAAAAAUACAAUUCCGUGAUGAUACGUGUUUGUCAUAGUAGGUCGCGUUUUUUGUCAUGCAUGUACAUCCAUGACAAUUUUAUGACAGAAUCAAGAUAGUCAUACCUGUGCUGUCGUAGAAGUGUUCCAUGACAUUACCAAAAUUAUCAUCAUGGAAGUGUCCACUUCCAUGACGAUAAAUCGCGCGUCACAGAAGUGCUUUCGUCAAGGGUGACCGACACGUGGCAUCCACCGUAACGGAAUGCCGUUAAGCUAUCGGGUUCGGUUUUGGAUCCGAUAACCCGCCAACAGCCCCGACCAAUGGGGAUUUUCCACAUGUAAAAUCAUCAUUGGCUGGAGGAAACACGUGUCGGCUCACCGUUGGGACAGAUGUCAUCCACUCAUUGGACCUGUCGUGGUUUUGUCACGGCAGAUGUCCUAGAGAAAGGACUUAGUCAUGGAGCCAUCGCUACGGUUUAGCUUAAAGGGGUUAAAGCGGACAAGGGACGCAAGAGAGUUUUAUACUAGUUCGGCCCCUUAUGAUGAAGGUAAAAGCCUACGUCUAGUUGUGAUGGAAUUGAUGGGGUUUCGAUGACCAGGGAGCGAAUAUGCUUUGCCUGAGUCUCGAGUUGUUGUCUGUUGUCCCUGAACGGCCGCCGGGUCGUCCCCUUAUAUAUAUGGGUUGACGCCCGCCGGCUUACAGAAUCCCGAGGCCGGCUCAUAAUCGUGUCCGGCUCGGUCUCUGCUACUUCUAUCUUACAACACAAGUUUACAUGUCAAUGUCGGUUUAUGUCUACAGGCCUUAAACCGGCUUUGGGCCCUGGGCCUUCAUGAAGCGUCACCGUCUGUCUUCAUGGACUUCAGAUACAGAUGAACUACUUAUGGGGUUAACCCGACCUCUCCUGGCCGGUUUACGCCCAGUGGUAAUAUCCCCAACAUUAGGCCCCAGAUUGAUUUGAACUGGUUCAUGUUAAUCCUCAAUACUUAAGAAAAUUUCUUCUUCAACAUCUUCACACAAUCUUGUAAACCGCCGUGACAUCAUCUUCUAGGAUCAUGGUAAACCGCUGUGACGUCACCUGUCAUUAACGAGCCUUCGUCAAUCGAGGCGACAGCUCCGCCUCAUAUCCAAAAUUUAGGCUCCUUGAUUUGCGCGCCUGACGCUUAUCUUUCUGCCCAUAUAAAUAGGGCCAGGGGGUCUUUCCAUUCCCCCCCCAUAUCUCUUCACCUCGUCCUCUUCCUUGCGCUGCCCGACCUUUGGAGCUCCACCGCCACCGUCGACCUUCGCUUCUGCCUCAACUCCGGCCGCUGCAUCACCCUGAAUGCACCAGAGAAUCGCGGCGCCUCUCCGCUCUUCCAUCAGCAUCGGUAAGCCUUCUUUCCUUCCGCCAUAGAUCUGUCAUUAGGGUUUCAGUGUUCAUCGGUGUUCGUCGGUGUUCGUCGUUGUGCAAUAGCUCUUUGAUUCAAACCUUGAUAUUUAUCCUGUACGACGAUAGCCGUAGCCCUUCUUUUCCAUCCAUGCAUCUCGUUUAAGUAGAAAAUCCCAUCUGAACCUUCAUCAACUGCUUCGGUACCAAUAUUUAGGUCUGAAUAUAUUUUCAUUUUCUGACAUGCGGUAGAUCCAAAAUUAUAAUGCCAACUUGUGAAACCUAUUUUCCCCUUCACUUAUACAUCUUUAAUACCAGAUUGGGCGGUUUAACUUCAUAUACAAAAUGAUGACCCAGUAGAUACCAUUAGUCCCCUGUUGAACCGCCAAUGCUUUCAUCAUUGUACUGUUUCCAUUGUCAGACUCCGGUUUACAAAUAACCAACUCCGGUUUAUCAAUAUGCUUGUAUCCUUAUACUGCUGUGUAGUUGUCCACUGUAAAUCUUAAACCGGCAAUAAUCAUGUUUCAGAUUUCCAUUGCCAUGGCCAAGCAAGUCUAUGAAUGCAAUUGGGCUCCCUCUCGAGUAACCGAAGAGUAGUUAAACAAUCUUGUUAAAACGGGAUCUUUAGCUAAAAAAGAUGUCAUCCACUGGAGGGUCCCUGGCCCGGAAAAUCCUCCUACACCCAAGGAUGGAGAGGUAGUCGUGUUCGCUGAUCAUCUCGGACGAGGUUUUAACCCUCCCAGUUCAAAAAAAUUCCAGGAUGUACUGGCUAGUUUCCAACUGCGCCCUCGAGACAUCGGUCCCAAUUCUGUAACCAACAUCUACCACUUCCAAGUCUUUUGUGAGGUUUAUCUGCAAGAGGAACCUUCAGUCGAACUGUUUAGGGAUUUCUUUCACUUAAACCGUCGCACAAAGUUCUCGGAUGGACCCAAUACCGAACUGGGCGGAAUGGCGGUUCAGAAAAGGAAGGAGUCACCUUCCCCCAUCCCAAACUCCACAGUCACCCCAAAGAGUGGAACCAGACUUGGUUUUACUGCAUGGAUACAUCUCCAUCUGAUGAAAACCCCCUGCCGGGUUACCGCCCUGAACGCCUUAGCAACACACAUCCUUUUCCUCAGAGGUUGACGGCAAGAGAAAGGGCCAACUAUGCUCCCCAAUUAUCAAAGCUUAGAGCCUUCAUGGCGAACGGUUUGACAGGAGUUGAUCUUGCUCGUUGCUGGAUAAGCUGGAGUAUUCUGCCCCUAAGCCGGCGCUCCGGUUUGAUGUGUGAGUAUACGGGGAGUUUGAAGGAUGCUCAGCGGCACAUUGACAUUCAGCUUACAGAUGCAGAAGUCACUGAGGCUGUAAAAAAGAUACUGAACGAACCGGAGGCUGUCUGUGCCCAAACCGGACUACUCCCUUUCUGCACCUUCAACAAACUACCAGCUGUAAGAAUCAUAUAAUCUUUUUAUAUGAAGUUGCUUCUGUCCAAAUAUUCUCUGAAAGUGUGAUUAUUUUCUGACAGGGUGAUGAUCCGUUUUGGAACAAGAAACCAUCCCAAGACAGACCGGCGAAGCCGCAAGAUAAACCGGUCAAGCCAGUUCGUCCAAAGACCAAGGUUGUUAAAAAACCUGCCAAGAGAAGGACCACUGCAUCCUCCGAUCCACCAGCUGAUGACGAUGUGGGUAACCCGGAACCAGAGGUAGAACUUGACUCUCUUGGUUCAUUUUUCGUACAUCUCAUUGACAAAGAUUAUUAUCAGGACGACGCUGAAGGCAGUCAUGCUGAGGACGUAGAGGUAACCAUUAUUUCCUCCGAAUCAGAUCCUCUGCCAACAUCAAAAAUCUGUCAAGAAAACCGGAAAGUAAAAUUUUCUCACCCUCUUGCUUACUUGGACCCAAACUUUCUUUUGAAGACGCAGCAGCACGAAGCUCGCCGUACAACCCGGCACAGUGGCCAGGUAGUUACCUCCGCUGGUUUACCGAACAGUCCGGUUUGGAAACGCCGAUCAGAGGUCUCUUAUCCCAUUGAUACUUCAUGCCCAAAAGCAGGUUGUUUCCGCCAGCCUCUUAACCCGUCUGAUUCAAAUUAUCAGGGUACUUCUCACUCAUCCUCUGGGGAGUCAUCGGCCACGCAGCUUCCACCCCUCAAAACAGUUCCUGGGUGAGUUAUGCACGUGUCUUUAUUCUUGAUGUGUUAUCUUUACAUACUGUACUGAUCCUUAUGUCUAUCUUUUCUCAGCGCCAAGCCAAGACCCAGCAAGAAGGCUCGGUUAAGCAAACCGGCUGAUGACAAUGUAGCUGCUGAACCAGAAACAACUCCAGAUCCGGAAGAAACCAACACUGACGACAUGCUUAACGAUCCGCCUCCUCAAGACCACGACUUCCUUGCCGAACAAGUGCAAGUUGACAUUACAAGCCAUGCAGACCGUCCAACCAGCCCUGUCCAAACUGAUGACAAACCGGCCAGUCCGGUUAAGGAUACUGACAAAUCGCCAACUCCAGCGAAGGCUGCUGAUGAUCAAGAUGAUGACAUUAUGAUUACUGGCACUGGCCACACCACUCCUGGCAACCCUGUCGCUUUGUCAAAGCAUACUGCCAAGGACGAGCUCUCUGCUAUCGGCAAAGGCAAAUGGAAUGCCGAUUUAUCAAGCUACGCCCAUCUCAAUGCUCAAGACAUUCACUCUGGCUUCUUGAACCAUCUGUAUACCAGCCGUGACUAUGAAGCUAGUUUGGUAAACUUGAUGAAGGAGCGAUAUGAGGUAACUACUAUUUUUCUCUUUUGUCCAAUUGCAGUUUAUCAACUCCUAGUAGCCCCCAAGUGACGGUUUAUGAUACCAAUCUAAACCGGGACUUUGUCAUAACUUAACUUUGCAUAUUUAGCCUCCAGGGACCAGAUUACUUCUUUAUGAUGAACCGGUUCCUUAAAAUUUGCCAUACUGCUCUUUCACCGGUAUGGCCCCCAAGGGCCGGUUUAACUUUAUAAAGAUGAACCGGGACUGUAUAAGAGUUCCCAUACCAACAAUUUUUGAGCAAACACACAUUAGCCCCCAAGUGCCAAGACUAAUACUUGUAUUGUGCUUGGGACUUGUAGAAAUUUCUGAUAAGGAGCAAAUAUGCAUUAGCCCCCAAGUAUCAAGGGCAUAACUUGUUGUGUGCUUGGUACUUCAAAUAUGUAUUGUCAACUCAUUAUGUAUCUGUCUCUUUAUAGGCUAAACUGAGUAAGAAGGAAAGCCAAACCGCUGAUUUGCAAGAGAACAUCAAGUCCCAAUAGGCCGAAACUUCCAAAGCAAAAGAUGAGCUGACGAGCGCCUUAGCCGCUAUGGAAAAGCUAAAGGAGAGCUUCGCCAAGGAGCGGGCGGUUUGGAACACAGAGAAAUCCGCUUUGCGGAAAAGAGCUGAAGACGCUGAAGCAGCUCUCAAACCGGUGGUAGACGAGCUGACUGGUGUAAAGCGACAGAUACAUGCCAUGACUGCUGCUGUGUUCGGUAAGCAUCCUUACUUUAUACUUUCAACAUAUCUUCCUAUGCGUUGCCGGUUUGCUGAUGUUUGCAAUGAUGCAGGAACUCGCAUUAGUCAUCUGGGCUCUGAUGUUCAGAAGAAGCUGAAGGCUGCCUACACGCUGAUAGAACAACUGUAUACCGGCGCACAACGAAUUAUCUGCACCGCUUCUCACAAUAAGCCGCCCCCGACGUUAAUCAAGGAUACCUUAGACAGGCUAUCUAUGCUGCCUGCCCGGUAGAAGAGCUAAAGAGGUCUGCUGCAAGGGCUGGCGCUCUGACCGCACUAACCCGGGCAAAAGCAUGGGUGCCUGAUCUUGAUCCGACGAAUGUGGCUAAAGGCUACCCAAGCUUAAAAGAAGACGGAUCAGAAUUUUGUACUGAAGAUCUCCGUGCCAUAAACCGGGAAGUACGUCCACUGGCUUGUCAACUUGCUGAAGAGGCUGAUCUUUCAUUUUACCAUGCGAGUUAUGAUACUAAUAACAAGUGGGUUGCUGCACCAACUCCUGAGGCUCAAAACCUGAUCCCUCCAAUCCGUAAGCACACUUAUGCCCCUGACAUUGAACCGUCCACCCUUAUAAGUGACGAAUCUGUGUUCCAAGCUUUAACUAGGAUCGACUGGACAACUGUUGACUUCUAGCCGCUGGGUAGGGACGAAGAUGAAUCGGUGCAAGAUGAUCCGCAACCGUCAGGUCAAGCUGAUAAGCAAUCAUAAUCCGGGGCCGGUUUAGUCUUCCACUUGCUGCAAUGCUUAUUGAGAAACAAUUAUCCCUUUGGGCACUGAAACACCUUGUAAUAGGCUAGUUAAAACACUUGGUCUAUUAUGCCUUCGUGCAUAUCUAUCUGCAACUAAUGCGUGUUAAUCCGCCAUGCUUAAGAUAUGAUGUUCAUAAUCCAUAGCUAUUUAUUCAAGUUAUUCCUGCAGAUAAGAAGCUUAAAGUGCCCUGGCGGUUUACCACCGGGCGGGUCAUGAUACCCAAAUAUAUAUAUGACCAAGGUUUAUAACCAAGGUAAAAGAUAACCAAAUAUGGAAAUAUAUGGUACCUGUGACCUUUAGGCACAGUGUUGGCUAACCAACUUUGUAAUGAGGGUAAUAACCCUAAUCCGGAGUAGAAGUAACUCCUGUUAUAUGAUGCCGGUUUAUCAGAAAACCGUUCCGGGCUGUGAUAAACACCAGUUUAUUCCAUACUGGUGACUUUGAGUCAAAACCAGACCCGGCUGAUGGUCUCCGGAUUAUAAUUUGAUUGUAUACUGUCAACUUGUAGUUGAUAGCCUAACCGGGCUGAUAAACACCGGUUUAAAAACGUCACAAAUCUUAUUAAAACAAAGAAAACUCAGCAAAAGGCAAAUAAAAACCGUUGUAGUCGAGGCUUUUCACGGGCUGCCAGGCCCCAAAUUUGAUCAAGAGGUGUAGCUAUGGUUCGGGUUCGACCAAGCCCCCAAGUGAUGCUGUGGCAUUACGCCGAUCAAGAGGUGUAGCUAUGGUUCGGGUUCGACCAAGCCCCCAAGUGAUGCUGUGGCAUUGCGCCGAUCAAGAGGUGUAGCUAUGGUUCGGGUUCGACCAAGCCCCCAAGUGAUGCUGUGGCAUUGCGCCGAUCAAGAGGUAUAGCUAUGGUUCGGAUACGACCAAGCCCCCAAGUGAUCUAAUAUCAAGCUUUGAGAAGCUAAAACAAGGGGUAAACCGGAUGCCGCUUUGUAAGCUCCAUGUAACCACACAUGAUGUAAGAAAACAACAGAUACCCCGCUUUAGCUGAGGUUCCAGUUUAUUAUAUUGAUCAUAAUAUAUACAAUGUCAUAAUAUGUACAUAAGCAGGGCCUGUAGCUCAAGUAUAGUAGGGCCGAAGAUGAGCAAUAUUCCAUGACCGGUUGGUCUCCUCCUCCGAUUUACGCGAGUCUUUGCGCUCUCGAACAUCGAUUAGGUAGUAUGACCCGUUGUGCAGAUUCUUGCUGACCACAAAAGGUCCUUCCCAAGGGGGGGAUAGCUUGUGCAUAUCCGUCUGAUCCUGGAUGAGUCGAAGCACCAAAUCUCCUUCCUGAAAGGUUCUGGUUCUAACCCGACGGCUAUGAUAACGUCGCAGAUCUUGCUGAUAAAUCGCCGAACGGGCUGACGCCAUGUCACGCUCCUCAUCUAACAGGUCAAGAGCUUCCUGCCGUGCUUUCUUGUUGUUAGCUUCAACGUAUGCUGCUACACGAGGUGAGUCAUGACGGAUGCCACUAGGAAGAACCGCUUCCGCUCCAUAAACCAUGAAGAACGGUGUGUAUCUUGUCGAUCUGUUGGGUGUGGUAUUGAUGCUCCAUAACACUGAAGGUAGCUCCUCAACCCAACAACCCGGCAUCCGCUGCAAAGGAACCAUAAGCCGGGGUUUGAUGCCUCUCAAGAUCUCUUGAUUGGCCCUCUCCGCUUGACCAUUGGACUGGGGGUGAGCCAUUGAUGACACGUCAAGCCGGAUGUGCUCACGUUGACAGAACUCCUUCAUGGCACCCUUUGACAGAUUGGUACCAUUGUCUGUUAUAAUGCUGUGUGGAAAGCCAAACCGGAAGAUCACCUUUUUGAUGAAUUGAACCGCCGUGGCUGCGUCACACUUACUAACUGGCUCUGCCUCCACCCACUUCGUGAACUUAUCAACCGCCACCAAAAGGUGGGUCUUCUUGUCCUUGGACCUCUUGAAAGGCCCAACCAUAUCCAGCCCCCAAGUUGCAAACGGCCAGGUGAUUGGAAUCAUCCUCAAUUCUUGAGCUCAUACAUGAGCGCGCCUUGAGAAUUUCUGACAGCCAUCACAUCUUUUGACCAAGUCCUCGGCAUUAGCAUGAGCUAUCAACCAAUAGAAACCGUGACGAAAUGCCUUGGCCACCAAAGAUUUUGAACCGGCGUGGUGACCACAAUCUCCUUCGUGGAUCUCACGCAAAAUUUCACGGCCCUCCUCAGGAGACACACAACGUUGAAACGCCCCUGUCACACUGCAAUGAUGUAACUCUCCAUUGAUAAUAGUCAUUGACUUGGACCGCCGGGUUAUCUGCCUGGCCAAAAUUUCAUCCUCUGGUAACUGGCCCUGGUUUAUAUACGCCAGAUAUGGAACCGUCCAAUCCGGGAUAACAUGAAGAGCCGCCACCAACUGAGCCUCCGGAUCAGGAACAACCAAAUCCUCUUCACCAGGGAGCUUGACGGACGGAUUAUGCAAAACAUCCAGGAAGACAUUAGGUGGAAUCGGUUUACGUUGGGAACCCAGGCGGCUUAAAGCGUCCGCCGCUUCAUUCUUCUGCCGGUCCACGUGAUUCACCUGAUAACCUUUAAAGUGACCUGCAACAAUAUCCACCUCACGACGAUAUGCUGCCAUUAGUGGGUCCUUGGAAUCCCAAGUGCCGGACACUUGUUGAGCCACCAGAUCCGAGUCACCAAAGCACUUAACUCGGCUUAGGUUCAUCUCCUUAGCCAUCCGAAGACCAUGGAGUAAAGCCUCAUAUUCAGCUGCAUUGUUAGUGCAAGGGAACAUUAAACGGAGAACAUAACAAAACUUAUCACCUCGUGGGGAAGUUAAUACGACUCCGGCCCCCGAGCCCUCCAAUUGCGUGGACCCAUCAAAAUGAAUAGUCCAAUAAGUGUGAUCCGGCUUCUCCUCUGGCGCUUGUAAUUCUGUCCAAUCAUUGAUGAAAUCCACAAGUGCCUGAGAUUUGAUCGCCGUUCGGGGGUAUGUAUUUCAACUCGUGAGGCCCGAGCUCGAUAGCCCACUUAGCAAUCCGACCAGUUGCUUCCCUGUUCUGGAUUAUAUCCCCCAAAGGAGCGGAGCUGACCACCAUGAUGGGAUGACCUUGGAAAUACUGCUUAAGCUUCCGGCUUGCCAUGAAAACCCCAUACACCAAUUUUUGCCAAUGCGGGUACCUCUGCUUGGACUCAAUAAGUACCUCACUGAUAUAGUAAACCGACCGCUGAACCGGAUAUUCCUUUCCUGCCUCCUUGCGCUCCACCACAAUGGCCACACUAACAGCCUGAGCAUUAGCUGCCACAUAUAGCAACAAUGGUUCUUUGUCCACUGGAGCAGCGAGAAUCGGCGGAUUAGCCAGCUGCCGCUUUAAGUCCUCAAAUGCUUCAUUAGCGGCGUCACUCCAGACGAAGUUAUCCGUUUUCUUCAGCAUCUGAUAUAAAGGGAUGGCCUUCUCGCCAAGGCGACUGACAAACCGGCUGAACGCGGCAAUCCGGCCUGCCAGGCGUUGAACAUCAUUGAUACACUUCGGUUUAGCCAAGGAGGUGAUGGAUUUGAUCUUUUCCGGAUUAGCUUCAAUGCCUCUAUUAGACACCAAAAAGCCCAAGAGCUUGCGUGCAGGUACACCAAAGACACACUUGGCCGGAUUAAGCAUCAUUUUAUAAACCUGCAGGUUAUCAAAGGUUUCCUUCAAGUCAUCAAUCAAUGUCUCUUUCUUCCUUGAUUUUACCACAAUGUCAUCCACAUAAGCGUGAACAUUGCGGCCGAUCUGUUUAUGUAGACAAUUCUGCACACACCGUUGAUAAGUCGCCUGGGCACUCUUGAGCCCAAAGGGCAUGGACACAUAGCAGAAGGCUCCAAAGGCAGUUAUGAAGGCUGUCUUCUCCUGGUCCUUAACUGCCAUUUUGAUCUGAUGAUAACCAGAAUAUGCAUCCAAAAAGCUUAAACGCUCGCAACCCACCGUAGCAUCAAUAAUUUGAUCAAUACGGGGAAGGGCAAAAGGAUCUGCUGGACAAGCUUUGUUGAGGUCUGUGUAAUCCACACACAUACGCCAAGUGCCAUUCUUCUUGAGGACCAGCACCGGAUUAGCCAACCACUCAGGAUGGAAUACUUCAACGAUAAAUCGAGCCGCCAAGAGCCUGGCUACUUCUUCUCCAAUAGCUUUGCGCCUUUCUUCAUUAAACCGGCGGAGAAACUGCUUGACUGGUUUAUACUUGGGAUCAACAUUGAGAGUGUGCUCAGUGAGUUCUCUCGGUACACCUGGCAUGUCAGAAGGCUUCCAUGCAAAGAUGUCCCGAUUCUCACGGAUGAACUCGAUGAGCGCGCUUUCCUAUUUUGGGUCCAAGUUAGCGCUGAUGCUAAACUGCUUGGACGACUCGCCUGGCACAAAGUCAACAAGCUUAGUCUCAUCAGCCGAUUUAAACUUCAGGGCCGGAUCAUGCUCGGUAGUUGGUUUCUUCAACGAAGUCAUAUCUGCCGGAUCAACAUUGUCCUUGUAAAACUUCAACUCUUCUGUUGCACAAACCGACUCAGCAUAAGCCGCAUCACCUUCUUCACACUCCAGAGCAAUCUUGCGGCUCCCAUGCACGGUUAUAGUUCCCUUGUGACCCGGCAUCUUGAGCUGCAGAUAGACAUAACAUGGCCGUGCCAUAAACUUAGCAUAAGCUGGCCGUCCAAAUAGGGCAUGAUACGGGCUGCUGAUUUUCACCACUUCAAAGGUCAUGGUUUCUGAUCUCGAGUCAUGCUCAUCUCCAAAAGCCACCUCCAGAGCUAUCUUACCAACAGGAUAUGCCGACUUACCAGGCACCACACCAUGGAACACCGUAUUGGACGGUUUAAGAUUUUUAUCUGUUAACCCCAUGCGACGGAAAGUUUCAUAAUAAAGGAUAUUGAUACUCCUCCCUCCAUCCAUGAGUACUUUAGUGAACUUAUAACCUCCCACCCGAGGUGCCACCCCAGAGCCAGAUGACCCGGAUUGUCAACCCGGGGUGGAUGAUCUUCUCUACUCCACAUAAUCAGCUGCUCAGACCAACGCAAAUAACGGGGCAUCGCCGGUUCAACGGCAUUCACCGCCCUUUUAUGAAGCUUCUGAUCGCGCUUGUCCAAGCUAGUGGUGAAGACAUGAUACUCUCCGCUAUUCAACUGCUUCGGGUUGCUUUAGUAACCCGACUGCUGCUGCUGCUGAUUGCCCUGAUGAUUAUAGCCACCUUGGUUACCCUGAUUACUUCGAUUGUUAUAUCCACCCUGAUUACCGUGGAAGCCUGAAUCGGAAUUUCCUCCACCAUAACCCGACCCAUGAGACCCGGGGCCUGAACCGCCUCCUGGUCCAUGAUCAUACCGGAAAGAAUCAGAAUUUUUGAACUCUUGCAUGAUGUAACAAUCUUUCCAGAGGUGCGUGGACGGUUCCUCCUUCGUCCCAUGCUUUGGACAGGGCUGGUUCAACAUAUAAGACAAACGGUCCGGAUUAGGAUUUGGCCUUCCACCGCGCUGGGGCGGUUUACCCUUACGCCGCUGGCCACAAAGUCUAAACCAUGGUCCUCCUUACGCUUGCCGCCGUUUCCAUGACCCGCCGGGUUGUGGUGCUGCCCCUUGGUGUUGGCGCUCUUCUUUCCCUUCCCUGUCUUAUCAUCGUCAGACUCGGGAUCCUUGGUACUAUCAGAGUCGGCAUACUUCACCAGUGCAGCCAUGAGGGUUCCCAUGUCAUUACAAUGAUGUUUGAGCCGUCCCAACUUCAACUUCAGGGGUUCAAACCGGCAAUUGCCUUCGAAUGUUAAAACUGCGGUGUCAGCAUUGAUGCGAUCUGAUGAAUGCAAAAUCUCCGAAACCCGGCGCACCCAAUGGGUUGUUGACUCUCCUUCGUCCUGGACACAGGCAGCUAAGUCCACAAUUGACAUGGGCUGCUUGCAUGUAUCCUUGAAAUUCUGAAUAAACCGGGCUCUCAACUCGGCCCAUGACCUGAUAGAACUAGCCGGUAAGCUCUUUAACCAAGUGCGGGCUGUCCCUUCUAGCAUCACUGUGAAGUAUUUCGCACAUGCCGCAUCGUCCACAUCCAACAUCUCCAUGGCCAUCUCAUAGCUUUCGACCCAUGUUUCAGGGGAUAAAUCGGCGGUGUAAUUCGGCACCUUGCGCGGGCCCUUGAAAUCCUUGGGCAGGCGCACAUUGCGCAAUGCUGGGACAAGACAUGGCACUCCCAAAGAACUAGAGGUAACUCCUGGUUCCACCGAUGUGGUUGGACGAACCGGAGUAAGCUGACGGGCUUCAUGUUGUGCCGCUAACUCGGCUUCUCUGCGUGCCCGAGCCCGGUCCACCACCUCCUGAGCAUUACCAGCACCACCCGCCGGGUUAUUGCCACGGGGCGGAUCAUGGUUCCGCGCAUUGCUUGACACUGUCGGUUCAUCCAUACGCCUGCUGUAACUCCGGCUUGGACGGGGAGUGGAAUGAAUCCGAUCGCGACUAUAUGAAUAAGCCUCCUGUUGAACCAAGGCUGUUUGAAGAUGCUCCUUAACCCGACGCGUCUCGACCGCCGCUGGAGAAUCGCCUUCGAUCGGGAUGGCCGCCAGCCAUGAAGCGGCAGCGACAAUGUUGUCCAUCGGGUUAGAAUAAUGACCCGGUGGCGUGGGGACAUGUGGUGCCACAAUGUUGUUCUGACGAGGCGGAUCCACCAAACGUGGCUGAACCGGCGCCCCUGCCCCCGGUGCCUCCGCCCGGUUUACCACCGGCGGAUUACUAGUCCCCGCUCCUGGGGUGUUAAAGAGAUUUCUAGCGUCAUAAACCGGCGGCAAGCGAGAUCGGUGCCUCCUCUUCAGGACUUCGUUCGACGCACUCUGAUCUAGCAUAAUCCGGUAAGCUUGUGCAUCCAAAGCGGCCCGCUCCACGGCUAUCCUGGUAUCCUCAGCUGCUAAGUCGGCUUUGGCCUGGGUGAUCUGAUCUUUCACUUUCGCGAUUUCCGCAUUGUGUGCAUCCUGAUCCGCCGGGUUAACCUCCGCCAUCAGCGUUGCCAACGCGUCAAACAAAUCAGAUAGAACCUGAGCUGGCAGUCGCACAGGGCCUCCUGCCUCAGCCGCUGCUGCCGAUCCGGAAAUCAUCGCCGCUGCGGUCGAUGAGUGGAGCGCCGGUUGCGUGCCGGCCAUGAAGAUCGCAACCCGGUUUGGCAGAUCAAAGGGGUCCGGAAUACUGUCGUCAUCGGAACAGCCCCCAAUCCAGCCAUCUUGUAACUGAUAUGAUGACUCGUCGCCGGAAUAAACGACAGUCUCACCACCAGAUUCCGAUCUAUCCUCAGAUUCCCCUCCAUGGAUAACUCCCACGAAGGCACGCUUCAUGACAGGCUUGACCCGGGCAGAUCUUGCACGCUGAGCCGUUUCGACGAGGUCGGUGCAGAUGUCCGGCUCAGGGCCUGGUUCGCCGAUCUUGCCAAUGAAAACGUGUAUGCCACCAAAGGGGACCCGGUACCCGUACUCGAUUGAGCCGGCCUCGGGGCCCCAGCCUGCAUCGUCGAUGUAGAGCUUGCCGCGAUGACUCUUGGUCAUCCGGCCCACAGCGUAACCCUUGAGUCCUUCGAAGUUGCCCUCCAAGAACUUGAAACCAUCGUGCGAUAGCCCCACGGUGGGCGCCAACUGUCAUGGUUUUGUCAAGGCAGAUGUCCUAGAGAAAGGACUUAGUCGUGGAGCCAUCGCUACGGGUUAGCUUAAAGAGGUUAAAGCGGACAAGGGACGCAAGAGAGUUUUAUACUAGUUCGGCCCCUUACGAUGAAGGUAAAAGCCUACGUCUAGUUGUGAUGGAAUUGAUGGGGUUUCGAUGACCAGGGAGCGAAUACGCUUUGCCUGAGUCUCAAGUUGUUGUCUGUUGUCCCUGAGCCGCCGCGGGUCGUCCCCUUAUAUACAUGGGUUGACGCCCGCCGGUUUACAGAAUCCCGAGGCCGGCUCAUAAUCGUGUCUGGCUCGGUCUCUGCUACUUCUAUCUUACAACACAAGUUUACAUGUCAAUGCCGAUUUAUGUCUACAUGCCUUAAACCGGCUUUGGGCCCUGGGCCUUCAUGAAGCCUCACCGCCUGUCUUCAUGGACUUCAGAUGCAGAUGAACUACUUAUGGGGUUAACCCGGCCUCUCCUGGCCAGUUUACGCCCAGUGGUAAUAUCCCCAACAGGACCGAAGGCGCCUAUGAUACGUCGACACGUGGCACGGUCGAACAGAGGCCCAUUCCUGUGAAAAGGCCGGCCCGUUUGACUUGGUCAAAAGGUGGCGGGCCGGCCCAUGGAAAGCAUGUUAACGGCCUGUUCACAUAUAGCCCAUUUACAAUCCGGUAACCCAGGGCCCGUUACGGCCUAUCCGAAUUAGGUCCAGUCGCGUCAUCUGGGCCGUCCAAUAUGAUUCCAGCCCAUUUUAAGUUCCGGCCCAUGUAUGGCCUGAUGUCUACUACACAACCUUCUUCUUGUAGACGUUGUUGGGCCUCCAAGUGCAGAGGUUUGUAGGACAGUAGCAAAUUUCCCUCAAGUGGAUGACCUAAGGUUUAUCAAUCCGUGGGAGGCGUAGGAUGAAGAUGGUCUCUCUCAAACAACCCUGCAACCAAAUAACAAAGAGUCUCUUGUGUCCCCAACACACCCAAUACAAUGGUAAAUUGUAUAGGUGCACUAGUUCGGCGAAGAGAUGGUGAUACAAGUGCAAUAUGGAUGGUAGAUAUAGGAUUUUGUAAUCUGAAAAUAUAAAAACAGCAAGGUAACUAAUGAUAAAAGUGAGCGUAAAUGGUAUUGCAAUGCUAGGAAACAAGGCCUAGGGUUCAUACUUUCACUAGUGCAAGUUCUCUCAACAGUAAUAACAUAAUUGGAUCAUAUAACUAUCCCUCAACAUGCAACAAAGAGUCACUCCAAAGUCACAAAUAGCGGAGAACAAACGAAGAGAUUAUGGUAGGGUACGAAACCACCUCAAAGUUAUUCUUUUGGAUCAAUCUAUUCAAGAGUUCGUACUAGAAUAACACCUUAAGACACAAAUCAACCAAAACCCUAAUGUCACCUAGAUACUCCAAUGUCACCUCAAGUAUCCGUGGGUAUGAUUAUACAAUAUGCAUCACACAAUCUCAGAUUCAUCUAUUCAAACCAACACAAAGUACUUCAAAGAGUGCCCCAAAGUUUCUACCGGAGAGUCAAGACGAAAACGUGUGCGAACCCCUAUGCAUAGGUUCAUGGGCGGAACCCGCAAGUUGAUCACCAAAACAUACAUCAAGUGAAUCAAUAGAAUACCCCAUUGUCACCAUGGGUAUCCCACGCAAGACAUACAGCAAGUGUUCUCGAAUCAUUAAAGACUCAAUCCGAUAAGAUAACUUCAAAGGGAAAACUCAAUCCAUUACAAAUAGUAGAGGGGGAGAAACAUCAUAAGAUCCAACUAUAAUAGCAAAGCUCGCGAUACAUCAAGAUCGUGCCAAAUCAAGAACACGAGAGAGAGAUCAAACACAUAGCUACUGGUACAUACCCUCAGCCCCGAGGGUGAACUACUCCCUCCUUGUCAUGGAGAGCGCCGGGAUGAUGAAGAUGGUCACCGGUGAGGGUUCCCCCCUCCGGCAGGGUGCCGGAACAGGGUCCCGAUUGGUUUUUGGUGGCUACAGAGGCUUGCGGCGGCGGAACUCCCGAUCUAUUCUGUUCCCCGAUCGUUUUAGGGUAUAUGGAUAUAUAUAAGCGGAAGAAAUACGUCAGGCGAGCCACGAGGGUGGAGGGCGCGCCCAGGGGGGGUGGGCGCCCCCCUGCCUCGUGCCUCCCGGGUUGCUUUCCUGACAUGCACUCCAAGUCUCCCGGGUUGCUUUCCUUCCAAAAAUAACUUCUCCAGAAGGUUUCAUUCCGUUUCGACUCCGUUUGAUAUUCCUUUUCUUCGAAACACUAAAACAAGGGAAAAACAGGAACUGGCACUGGGAUCUGGGUUAAUAGGUUAGUCCCAAAAGUAAUAUAAAAGUGUUUAAUGAAGCCCAUAAACAUCCAAAACAGAUAAUAUAAUAGCAUGAAUACUUCAUAAAUUAUAGAUACGUUGGAGACGUAUCAGCAUCCCCAAGCUUAAUUCCUGCUCGUCCUCGAGUAGGUAAAUGAUAAAAGAAAUAAUUUAUGAAGUGUGAAUGCUAGCAGGUGCAUAAGUUUGAUCAAUGAUAAUUUCAAUCACCUUUUCUAGCAUCAUUAUAUGUCAUAAUAGUAGCUCAACUCAUAAAACUUUUCAUGAUCAAGUAACAAGCUAUUCACAUGUUAAAGCAUAGAUCAUAAACUUUCUUGAAAACUAACAAACAAUGUUCUCAGUCAUCAAACAAUUGCACUUCAUCGUAUUUUCAGGAAGGGUCUAUGUAAGAGCUUUGAUUUAACAAAUCCCACAUACUCAACUAUCAUCUAGUCUUCCAUGAUUGCUACCACUCAAAGCAUAUUUUUAGAACAAUUAGCAUCCAUCGAACACAGAGAAAGAUAGGGGCUUAAUGUUUCGCCUCCCAACUUAUUUAUCAUAUAGAUAAUUGUUAACAAUAAUAAUUCAUGAUCAAAUAUAUUUGAAUGGCCAUAUAUGCUUAGAUCUUUCCAUCACAUGAUGCUUGCCAACUAAAGAGUAGGUUGGAAUGAGAAGGAAUACUACUGACUCUUGCAUAAAAGUAAAAGAUAGGCCCUUCGCAGAGGGAAGCAGGGAUUUGCAGAGGUGCCAGAGCUCGAAGCUAAAACAGAGAUGAAAAUAAUUUUGAGAGGUAUGCUUUCAUUGUCAACAUAACGACCAAGAGUUCCCAAUAUCUUCCAUACUACAUACAUUAUAGGCGGUUCCCAAACAGAAAGGUAAAGAUUUUUACUCCCCCUCCACCAACAAUCAUCAAUCCAUGGCUUGCCCGAAACAACGGGUGCCUCCAACUAACAUCAAACCUGGGGGAGUUUUGUUUGCAAUUAUUUUUGAUUUGAAUUCGAUCUUUUGAUCAUGGGACUGGGCAUCCCAGUUACCAGCCAUUUUCUCGUGAAUGAUGAGCGGAGUCCACUCAUCGUGAGAAUAACCCACCUAGCAUGGAAGACACUGCUAGCCCCUAGUCGCUACAUGAGCGAUUCGGGCAUACAAAACAGAUUAUUAUUUGAAGGUUUAGAGUUUGGCACAUGCAAAUUUACUUGGAACGGCAGGUAAAUACCGCAUAUAGGUAGAUAUGGUGGACACUCAUGGAAGAAACUUGUUUCAAGGAAUUUAGAUGCACAAGCAGUAUUCCCGCUUAGUACAGAUAUUUUGGCUAGCAAAGGAUUCUAAAUAGCAAGCACCACAUGUUAGAGGAUCCAUAACAAUAUAACUUCUAUACAAAUAUACCCAAGCAUAACUCAUUAUGUUGUCUUCCUUGUCCAACUUCAACUAAUUUGCUCAGGUUUGAAAAUAAUUAAUGGGGCUCACAAUCAUAGAAGAUGUCCAAGAUAGUAUAUUUAUAUGUGAAAUCUCUCUUCCUUCAAUAUUCUUUCAUGAAUUGUUCAAGUGACCAAAACAACGUUUGCUAACCUACAAAAAAUUUACCACCUCUACUUCUUAUAUGUGAAGGUAUUACUCCCCAUGGGAAAGGCAUAUGAAACAUAUAUAAUUUCAGAUUUAUGACAUUCAAAUCAUUCAACCAUUUACUCAUAGGAUAUAAGUGAAGCACAUGAGCAAACAACAAACUACUCCGAAAGAUAUAAGUAAAGAUCAAUGAGUAGUCGAAUAAUUAUGUAACUAUGUGAAGAAUCUCUAACAUUUAAGACUUUAAGAUCGUGGUAUUUUAUUAAAACAGCAAGCAAAGCUAAAUAAAAUAAAAUGACGCUCCAAGCAAAACACAUAUCAUGUGGUGAAUAAAAAUAUAGCUCCAAGUAAGUUACCGAUGGAAGUAGACGAAAGAGGGGAUGCCUUCCGGGGCAUCCCCAAGCUUUGGAUUUUUGGUGUCCUUAGAUUAUCUUGGGGUGCCUUGGGCAUCCCCAAGCUUAGGCUCUUGCCACUCCUUGUUCCAUAAUCCAUCAAAUCUUUUACCCAAAACUUGAAAACUUCACAACACAAAACUUCACAAAAUAUCUCGUGAGCUCCGUUAGCGAAAGAAAACAAAACACCACUUCAAGGUACUGUAAUGAACUCAUUCUUUAUUUAUAAUGGUGUUAAACCUACUGUAUCCCAACUUCUCUAUGGUUUAUAAACUAUUUUACUAGCCAUAGAUUCAUCAAAAUAAGCAAGCAAAACAAUGAAAACAGAAUCUGUCAAAAACAGAACAGUCUGUAGUAAUCUGUAUCAAACGUAUACUUCUGGAACUCCAAAAAUUCUAAAAUAAAUUGGUGGACCUGAGGAAUUUGUCUAGUAAUCAUCUUCAAAAAGAAUCAACUAAAUAGCACUCUCCAGUAAAAAGUUGAAGCUAAUCUCGUGAGCGCUAAAGUUUCUGUUUUUUACAGCAUGAUCAUAAGGACUUCACCCAAGUCUUCCCAAAGGUUCUACUUGGCACAAACACUAAUUAAAACAUAAAACCACAUCUAACCAGAGGCUAGAUGGAUUAUUUAUUACUAAACAGAACCAAAAAGCAAGAAACUAAAAUAAAAUUGGGUUGCCUCCCAACAAGCGCUAUUGUUUAACGCCCCUAGCUAGGCAUGAUGAUUUCAAUGAUGCUCACAUAAAAGAUAAGAAUUGAAACAUAAAGAGAGCAUCAUGAAGAAUAUGACUAGCACAUUUAAGUCUAACCCACUUCCUAUUCAUAGGGAUUUUGUGAUCAAACAAUUUAUGGGAACUAUAAUCAACUAGCAUAGGAAAGCAAAACAAGCAUAACUUCAAAACUUUAAGCACAUAGAGAGGAAACUUGAUAUUAUUGCAAUUCCUACAAGCGUAUAUUCCUCCCUCGUAAUAAUUUUCAGUAGCAUCAUGAAUGAAUUCAAAAAUAUAACCAGCACCUAAAGCAUUCUUUUCAUGAUCUACAAGCAUAGAAAAUUUACUACUCUCCACACAAGCAAAAUUCUUCUCAUUCGGAAUAGUGGGAGUAUCAUACGAGACUUGAAUACUAUAAAUUGUUUCCACAUUAAAAGAGUAAUGUUCAGAAAAAGGGUAAUCAUAAUAAUGACAAGUUUUAUAAAUAUAAUCAUCACUACUUCUUAUAGCAUAAGUUUCAUCACAAUAAUCAUCAUAAGUAGCAACUUUGUUCUCAUCAUAAUCGAUUGAAACCUCUUCCGAAAUAGUGGAUACAUCACUAAAUAAAGUCAUGACCUCUCCAAAUCCACUUUCAUAAAUAUUAUAAGAUUCAACAUCCUCCAAAAUAGUGGGAUCAUUACUUCCUAAAGUUGACACUCUUCCAAACCCACUUUCAUCAAUAUAAUCAUCAUAAGUAGGAGGCAUGCUAUCAUCAUUAUAAAUUUGCAUAUCAAAACUUGGGAUACUAAAAAUAUCAUCUUCAUUAAACGUAGCAUUCCCAAGCUUGGGACAGACAUUAAUUGCAGCAAAUAUAUUCUCAAAAACAUCAUCUUCAUCAAACAUAGCAUCCCCAAUCUUGGGCCUUUUCAUAUCAUAAGCAUAAUCACUCUCAUCAUUAAUAGUAUGGAUAGCACCGAUAGUAUAGCAAUUAUCAUAUUCUUCCAAGCAAGUGCCAAAAAGAUUUUCAAGAUCAUAAGAAGUAUCAUUAUCUUCCCAAUCAUAAUCAUCACAACAAGCAAUAGGCAUAACGAGAUCAUCAACAAGUGCAUCAUCUUCCACAAUUAUUUUUGAUUCAUUUUCAUGAGGCACAACAAUAAUAGGAGCAACAUUAUUUGGGAGAGAUAUCUUUUUACCUCUCUUCCUUUUCCUUUUCUUCUUCUUCACCACAUCAUGUGUGGGUUCAAUCCUUUUUUUGAAGCUCCUUAUUAAUGAAAUUGGUUGAAUAGAAGGCUCCUCCUCGUUACCUGAUUCAUAAGAAAUAAUAGGAGGAUAUUGGGCAGUCUCUUCCCCUUCAUUAGUAUUAUCUUCAUCUUCUAUUUGUUUUCUUUUCUUUAUGUAAUUGGAAAUAUAAGGAUUUUCAACACAAUUCACCGCACAAUACUUAUAAAUUUCCUCUAGAUCAAAACCAAGAAGUUUGUCACGGGCAAAUACUGGAAGAUAGUUAGUUAUACGUUUCAUUUCUUCAUAACCCAUAAGCAAACUAAGUUCAUUAUGAUGUGCAAGGGAAAUCAAGUCAUCACAAUUUUUGGAAACAAUUAGAUCAUGAAACAAUUUGCAUCGGAUAGUUAAAUGACCACGUUCAUUGCAAAGUUCACAAGUAUGGCCAAGAAAAUUUAAAUUUUCAGCACAAACAUCUAGCCUUUCUUGCAACAAUUUAGUUUCUAAAUGCUUAUGCCUCUUGCAAUAUCUAUCUUCCCUAUUUGGUGUGUAUUUGCAAACCCAAUGCACUCCACAAAAAUUGACAUGUUUAUAGGAGACAUUUUCAUCAUGACUAGUGCAAUCAUCAUUAGUACCAUGGAUAUUCAUAGAGUUCAUACUAAAAACAUUGCAAUCAUGCUCAUCAUUCAAAGAUUUAGUGCCAAACAUUUUAAUGCAUUCUUCUUCUAACACUUUGGCACAAUUUUCCUUUCCAUCAUACUCACGAAAGAUAUUAAAAGGAUGAAGCAUAUGAGGUAUCCUCAAUUCCUUUUUUUUGUAGUUUUCUUUUAUAAACUAAACUAGUGAUAAAACAAGAAACUAAAAGAUUCGAUUGCAAGAUCUAAAGAUAUACCUUCAAGCACUCACCUCCCCGGCAAUGGCGCCAGAACAGAGCUUGAUGUCUACUACACAACUUUCUUCUUGUAGACGUUGUUGGGCCUCCAAGUGCAGAGGUUUGUAGGACAGUAGCAAAUUUCCCUCAAGUGGAUGACUUAAGGUUUAUCAAUCUGUGGGAGGCGUAGGAUGAAGAUGGUAUCUCUCAAACAACCCUGCAACCAAAUAACAAAGAGUCUCUUGUGUCCCCAACACACCCAAUACAAUGGUAAAUUGUAUAGGUGCACUAGUUCGGCGAAGAGAUGGUGAUACAAGUGCAAUAUGGAUGGUAGAUAUAGGUUUUUGUAAUCUGAAAAUAUAAAAACAGCAAGGUAACUAAUGAUAAAAGUGAGCGUAAAUGGUAUUGCAAUGCUAGGAAACAAGGCCUAGGGUUCAUACUUUCACUAGUGCAAGUUCUCUCAACAAUAAUAACAUAAUUGGAUCAUAUAACUAUCCCUCAACAUGCAACAAAGAGUCACUCCAAAGUCACUAAUAGCGGAGAACAAACGAAGAGAUUAUGGUAGGGUACGAAACCACCUCAAAGUUAUUAUUUCGGAUCAAUCUAUUCAAGAGUUCGUACUAGAAUAACACCUUAAGACACAAAUCAACCAAAACCCUAAUGUCACCUAGAUACUCCAAUGUCACCUCAAGUAUCCGUGGGUAUGAUUAUACGAUAUGCAUCACACAAUCUCAGAUUCAUCUAUUCAAACCAACACAAAGUACUUCAAAGAGUGCCCCAAAGUUUCUACCGGAGAGUCAAGACGAAAACGUGUGCCAAUCCUAUGCAUAGGUUCAUGGGCGGAACCCGCAAGUUGAUCACCAAAACAUACAUCAAGUGAAUCAAUAGAAUACUCCAUUGUGACCACGGGUAUCCCAUGCAAGACAUACAUCAAGUGUUCUCAAAUAAUUAAAGACGCAAUCCGAGAAGAUAACUUCAAAGGGAAAACUCAAUCCAUUACAAGAGAGUAGAGGGGGAGAAACAUCAUAAGAUCCAACUAUAAUAGCAAAGCUCGCGAUACAUCAAGAUCGUGCCAAAUCAAGAACACGAGAGAGAGAUCAAACACAUAGCUACUGGUACAUACCCUCAGCCCCGAGGGUGAACUACUCCCUCCUCGUCAUGGAGAGCGCCGGGAUGAUGAAGAUGGCCACCGGUGAGGGUCCCCCCCUCCGGCAGGGUGCCGGAACAGGGUCCCGAUUGGUUUUUGGUGGCUACAGAGGCUUGCGGCGGCGGAACUCCCGAUCUAUUCUAUUCCCCGAUCGUUUUAGGGUAUAUGGAUAUAUAUAGGCGGAAGAAAUACAUCAGGGGAGCCACGAGGGGCCCACGAGGGUGGNNNNNNNNNNNNNNNNNNNNNNNNNNNNNNNNNNNNNNNNNNNNNNNNNNNNNNNNNNNNNNNNNNNNNNNNNNNNNNNNNNNNNNNNNNNNNNNNNNNNNNNNNNNNNNNNNNNNNNNNNNNNNNNNNNNNNNNNNNNNNNNNNNNNNNNNNNNNNNNNNNNNNNNNNNNNNNNNNNNNNNNNNNNNNNNNNNNNNNNNNNNNNNNNNNNNNNNNNNNNNNNNNNNNNNNNNNNNNNNNNNNNNNNNNNNNNNNNNNNNNNNNNNNNNNNNNNGUUGCUUUCCUAACAUGCACUCCAAGUCUCCCGGGUUGCUUUCCUUCCAAAAAUAACUUCCCCAGAAGGUUUCAUUCCAUUUCGACUCCGUUUGAUAUUCCUUUUCUUCAAAACACUGAAACAAGGGAAAAAACAGGAACUGGCACUGGGCUCUGGGUUAAUAGGUUAGUCCCAAAAGUAAUAUAAAAGUGUUUAAUAAAGCCCAUAAACAUCCAAAACAGAUAAUAUAAUAGCAUGAAUACUUCAUAAAUUAUAGAUACGUUGGAGACAUAUCAUGGCCCAUGAUGUCUUUCGGCCCAUAUGAGGCCCUUUGUAACUCUUGGCCCAUUAACGACCCAUGGUGAAACUGGCCCGUAAUGAACAGUGUAUCACUUUAUACCCAUUAACGGCCCAUUAAUCCAUUGGGCCGUUUACAGCCCAUGUUAUCUUUCGGCCUUCUCAGGGCCCAUUUAUUCUUGGGCUCAUUUCCAGCAUUCGGUUACUUACGGUCCGUUACUGCCAUUUUCUGCUUGUGGGCCAAAUUCAGCCCGUGGUUAUAGUCGGCCCGUUUGUGGCCCGUUAAUAUGUUGGGCCGUUUUCAUAGUGUCAUCAAAUACGGCCUAUUAACGACGACCCAUUAUGGUUGGCCCAUGAACGGACAACUCCAACUCUAGCACGUUUACGGCCAUAAUGCGGUCUGUUUUUGGCCCAUGUUUGGCCAAUCGAUCAUACAGCCCGUCUAAGGCCCAUUGAUGAUACGGCCCGUAGAAGGCCCAUUGUUUCUACGGCCCAUAGAAGGCCCAUUGUUUCUACGGACCGUAGAAGGCCCAUUGUUUCUACGGCUCGUAGGAAGCCCAGUGUCACUACAGUAAAUAUGUAGCCCAUGACCUGUUAAAGGCGGGAAACUACUAUAGGUUUAGAGCUGCUAAUGGCCCAAGAUGAUUAUAGGCCCACGUUUUGGCCCAUAUGAGUAACGGGCCGGCCUGAAGACCGACAACACUUAGAUCCACUGAACCUUCCGGCCUAAAUUACAGCAUGCCGACCAAAGAAUAAACCUAGACUAUACAAUAAAGAAAUUACGGCAUAUUACAUCCACUGGGAAUCAAAGUUCGCUACCGGUGAUAAUAAAGCGCAACAUGACCGCGGAUUACAUACACUGGGCAUCAAAGGUCGCCACCAGUGCAUAUAAACGCGCCGACAAAAGAAUAUACAAAACUGAGAGCACUUCAGAAGGCACUAGACCUGGCAAGCUCAGGCCCCGCAAGCAGCCGAACAAGCUGAUGAGACCUAAGUUGUGUCAAUGAUAGAUGCUUCAUCCCUAGCUGUAUGGCACCAUAGUGCGCAAGGCAGUCCCCUGACAUCCUCAUUACAUCUUUGACUUCAAGUCGGAGUUGAGCCGAAGCAAGCCUUUCCGCUUUAAGUUGGGACUGAAGAAGUCGAACUGAUUGAGGCAGCGACUGCACAGAGGUUGUCUCACACCUGCUGGUGAGUAGCUUCAACUCACUGUCUUCAUCAAGACAGGACCUUGGGGUCAUCUCGCUGUCCUCAAGAUGGUUUGGCUCACUAUCUUUCCUAAAGUUCUGCCUAGCAUAAGAGAUACGACUCUGAAAGAGAAACAAGGAGACACGUAACAGGUUCCACAAUUAUAUAAGCAAAUAAAUGGAUCUGUUCUGCAUAAGGAACAUGUUUUUACAACUACAAUUUAAAACUGGUAGUUGUUGCAAACAUCCAAUCAGAUGUAAACAGCAGUGGAGGAAAUGAUGCCUAUCCAAAUCUAUACAAGAACAAAGUUUGAAGGCUUGAGAAGGAUGAACUUACAUUACAUGUUAACAUGGGCUGGACAAAGCCCUUCUCCAUGUUGAUGGAAAGAUAAUUAAAUAAAUUCCCCAAAGAAAAUUCUUUAUAAGCGUUGCCAUUAUUCUAUAUUUUGCAAAGAGUAAAUAUAGAUCAAAUAAUAUUGGAAGAAAUAGAGGAUAAUGAAGCUCAUGUGCAGAAUGAUGAUACAUAAUCAAAUAGCAAUUAAUUUAAGUAUAGCGUUACAAGGCAAAAGGUACUGACAAGAGGAAUGCAGACAUCAACGUGUGCAGUGGCAUUGGCUUUAUUCAACAUUUUGGUAAGAGUAAAUGUAGAUAUGAUAAUUUGGAGAAAGUGGAGGGCAGGGAAGAUAAGAUGCAGAGUAAUGCUAGACAAUCAACUAUCUCGCGAUGCAUGUACAGUAAUACCACCACCGUCCGUUAUUAGUUGUCGCUCAAAUGGAUGUAUCUAGCACUAUUAAGUUCUAAAUACAUCCAAUUGAUCAACAAUUAAUUCGAUACAGAGGGAGUACAUGACAACAUGUACUUACAUGAGCAAUCCAAAACUUCAUAACCAUUGUGUUAAUUUAUCUAAGAGUAAAUAUAGAUCUUAUAAUUUCAAGCAAAGGGAGGAUAAAGAAGUGAACAUUUACAGUGAUGCUACAUAAUCAAACAGCAAUGAGUGUAAGUAUGCUGACAAAGGGCAAGAGGUACUGACAAGAGCAAUGCAGAGCCCAGUAUUGUCGUGAGAUCCUAUGAUCCUUUGAGCAAGGAGAUUCAUAUGAAAUUAGUUUUCAUACAAGAGAGAAGGUAAGGCACAUGCAGAAAUUUAGGAGUUCAAAUUUUGAAUUGAUAUCAUAGACAGUACCUGACGCUGGGCUGUCAGCAGUUCUAAUAGGGGUUUGGCCACUGGAGUAGGGGUAAAGUCUGUUACAGUUGGGCCUGUGUUUUCUGUGGCUGCUGAUCUAUCUGAUUUAACAGGUAUCACUACCUUUUCCAAAUACCUAGUUUGUCCUCCUUGAGGAUCUGCAAUCACCCUCUUCCUUUUGGACAUCUAUUACGAAAGAACAACAUUUGACUGGAAAAACAUAGUAUGACGACACAUGGAAUAGGUACAGAAAAUGGAUAGGUAUGUCAUAUACUCAUAUAUGAUGCUUAAACUAAGCAGAUGGUGUAACGAAGUAGAAGUAAUGCAAGAGGUCAGAUGCAAAAUAUGUGCGACCAAUACAACCUUGCCAAGUUAGAGCAUGCACCUUGAUGGGUGAAUAAGAUAGGCCAUCCUCCACCAUGCCAAGUUUGUUAGCCAGUGGAUUGUUCCGCAAUAUUCCUCUCGUGCGCCCAUUCUCAUAUUCAUUUUGAUAAUGUUCAAUACCUGACAUGCAUGAAAACAUAAAAACAAGUGAGAUUAUCUUUGUAAUGCAGAAGUGAUUCUAAUCUAAUACUUCCUCCCUGUAAACCCCUUUGUGCUAUCUCUGCAAUUCUUCUAAGAGGUGCCAUGCAUGCUGUAAUUUGAUGUGUGCAUUAAUAUAAUGUGGCCUACUACUCAAAAUAUGAGAGCUGCAGAAGUGAUGAUACUUCGCAGAUGACAGCUUCAACAUAUAGUAAAGAAGAACAAGUCGACCUGACCUGACAGAUUCAAAAUAUACUAAGGGAGAAUAACUCGACCUGGCCAGUCGACCGCAAGAGAAGAGGAUCAUCUAAAGAAGAGCAGAAGAGCAAGCAGAUUGAAGAUAUUACAAGUUUUUCUAUACAAUGUCGGUUGGCCACCCAUGAUGAACCAGAGCGCACAGAGAAAUACUAUUCCUUCCGGUCUCUCCAUAUGUGGCUCACAUGCAUUUCGAAACGGAAGUAGGAACAUUUAGCUGACCAAUUAAACAUCUCUCAGUUUUACUAAUAUCAACAUAAUAUCAGAUUUGAAUUUGUACAACUAAGCUUGUUUAGCUCGAUGGGUGGAGCAGUGCUAUUACGACACGAACCACGUAGGCUGAUCGUGGUCAUCAUAAAAUGGGGAAACCGUAAGCAUGAUGAGUAUAGUGUUGACCGUGGCAGUGGGAUGGCAGAUCUGAAGCUGCAAACCGCGCAAAGGGUAGUUAGCAACCGAUAUUUGCUUUGAAAUAACAACUAAGAUUUGGUAUGGACAAGAAAUUACAGUCAACAAGUGACAAAGAAAUGCAAUUCUAAUGUCUCUCUAUAUGUCGCGACAUGCAUUUGGAAACUCAAGUGGGACCUUUAGCUAACCAAUUAAAUGUGUGUGUUAACUAAUAUCAGUAUCAUAUCACAAUCAUAUUUGAACAACUAAGCUUUGGAAUUUUGAGUGUUGUGUUGUUUAGCUUGAAGGGUGGAGUAAUGCUAGUAUGACAGAAAGCACCUACGCAGAUCAUAGUAGAGUAGAUAAAAGGGGAAAACCCUAAGCAUCAAGAGUAAAAUCACGGAAGUGGAACUAGCUGGACCAGUGGGUGGCGCACAUGCUUUUCGAAAUGAAUAUAGGAACAUUAGGUGACCAAUUAAACAUUCUCUGUUUUAGUAAUAUGAGCAUCAUAUCAGAUUCGUAUUUCAACACGUAAGCUUUGGAAUUAUGAGUGGCAUGUUGUUUCGCUUGAUGGGUUGAGGUCUUGAUGAGCAGUGCUAGCACGACACAAAGCAGUGAAGCACCUACGAUGAUGGUAGUGAAUAUAAAGGGGGAAACCAUAAGCUUUACGAGUAUAGUGACAGUGACAUGGCGGAUCUGAAGGUGCAAACCGGACAAAGCUACUUGCAACCAAUGUUUGCAUUCAACUAGCCACUAUGAUUUGGUACGGACAAGAAAAGUACAGUAAACAAUUUAAGAUCUAUUUUUCGGGUGAGAUCGAUAACUUAAGCACAUAUGGAAGAGUACAACCUAUCUUGCGACGCCGUGUAGGCCCCUGCUGAUACGUUGAGGGUGCUGCGGGUGCGAUGGCUGUCGGCGGCAGGGAAGAAGACUUUAGAUGGCAGACUGCCGGGUCGGGGGAUAAAUCCUGUUGCCGUGGAUGAGGUGAUCGUAGGAGCGACAACGGCAAAGUGGACGAAGGCGCCAAUGAAGCGAGAGGACACGAUGAAAGGAUCCUGGUCCGGCGCCGUGGAUGAGAGACGUCCAUCUCUUGCAGUCGACGACGGGGUAGGGGUAGCGGCUCCAGCAAGGUGGAGGAUGGGGUGGCGGAUGGAGGAGGCUGGCCGCAGUGGGGAGGUUGUCGUGGCGCCGACGGGGUAUGAAUGGGGAAAUGGAGGGGGAGGGGGGGAUCUCAAACUUUGGGACGCGCUUGUCUGAAAUGUGGGAAAGUUACGAACUUAUCCCCCGUUUAAAAUUUUGGACAUCACGUCGGUUGGGGAUAGGACGGUAAUCUCGCAUCUCCCAAAUAUUUGCCGGUAACGAUUUCGGGCGAGGAGAGGGUGUUUUGCCGCCCACGGUUGGCGCCCACAGAUAAUUUUAUGUUUUGUUAUUUAUUUCUUCAAAACCACAACAAAGAUUUAUUCCACCUUUAUAUAUGAUUAUGAUUUAGAAAUGCCGUGAUCUUCGAAUUCAGUAGGUUGGAUACACUUUGAGUCAAACAGUUAUUUCAUCCAAUACAAUAUGCUCACAGAAAAACAGUUCACCUUAUGUCAAUCAUACAAGUACUGAGGAUUACCUCGCCUAAAAAAUCCGGAUCAUUACAACACAUGGACAACAUAGGGGGUCUUACAACAUAAUCCAUUCAGAGACAUGACACAACAUGCAAGUACAAUAAUCUAAUGACAAUUUCAACUGCUAUCUAAAGAAGAACUGGGGUUAUCCUGGGCUUCAGAUAGCAGAAGCAGCAAGACCUCCUCCGUCUUCAAAUGCAACAUUCUUACUUCCUCCAAUUCUUGGGUUGCUUGCAUAAUGCGUGCAACUAAUUGCAUAAUUUCCAGCUUCAAGAUCAAGAUUACCUCAUUCAUGGCAGCCACACCAUCUCUUUCUGCCUCUAGUAGAGCCUCAAGAACUAUAAUAUCUAUGCUCAGACUGCUCUCCGGCGGUGUUGCCUCUAAACUGCUGCCAUCUAGUAACAUGGAUGGCGCACUGCUUCCACAAAUAGAUUCUGGGGUUGUACAUUGUGUCCUAGUCUGAACGACAUCCUCAAAGGUUUCCACUGGACAUAAGUAAGAGAUAGUUAUCGCAUGAUCCAGGCAGUAAGCUUACAUGGUAAACGACAUAUGAAUUAUUGCCAAGCAUGGCAAGCUAUAUUUAAAUGGUUCGAAGCAACAUCAGCCGAAAAGAAAUUAAAAUGGUAAGAUGAAACUAGGGAUGUAAGUGGCAAAUAAACGACAUCCGCUAGUCCCAUCUAGUUAGUUUUUGCUAGCUCCCUGGUUCAUUUUCCUCAAAAAACAAAAACUCUUUUGAACUAUCAUACCACUAGUGGACUUUAAUCGGGAUUAAAGGGGACCCAGUUGACAUCCCUAGUUGAAAGGGAGUGUACCACCGCUAUAUUUAAGUUGCCAAGGCAUCUAAGCAGUUGAAAUAAUCUGAGAAAGCACUUAACAGUGUGGCCUCACAUAAACUACGAAGACAGUCUUGUGAUGAAGUUCAGAGGAAAAGUUAAGGACUCAAAUGAACUAGGCAUGCAUUUCUUUAUGAUAGUACAGCAGGCACUGCGGACAUAUUGGCCAACUCAGGUAUAGCGUAACAAGUAACAAACAAGCAUUCGAAUCAAGCAAUACAGCAAAGCAGACAACUGAACUAUUUGUUAUUCUAUAGGAUUACAGGUUGAGGGCACAAGCCAAGAAAGCAGCCCACACGCAUUACAUUUCACAUGUACUAAAACACACUGGCUUACCAUAUGUUGCUGUGAAGCCUCACUGCUGUUGCAAUGUUCUUUGAAGAUAUCGUCAGCAUCCCGUGGUUGCAAAUCUACUUGUAGUUUAUUCUGCACCCUCUAUUUAGGUAAAAUUAAUUUUAAUCGCAUGCACUGGUUCGAAUUGAUCAUCAAUGGUUCAUCUAAACUAAUGAAAGAAGGGUGUGUGCAUACACGACAAUAUAUCUGCUUCCCUCUAUUUUUAUGCUUGUUCGAGGUGCCAGCCCCAAAACAACAAAUAUUUUGCUUGAUGGGGUUGGCAGCUACAUAAUUAAUAGAAGCAUCAAAUUAGUCAUGUAACUUGGGAAGAUCAAGAACACACAAAAAAGUAAUGAACAGAGGCUCGUAGCAGUGAUGUAAUAGCCAACAUAAAAAAAUGUAGGGUAAAAUGAACAAAAACCAGCAGAACCACAUGCUAGUUUGCUGAUGUGUAAUUAAGCAUACAGAACAUGAAGCAGUCUGAUGGAACCAACAGGUGGCAUCAGAACAACACCAUUAUCAUAAAUAUAGCAUGCAAGAAGUAAAAUAGUAGGCAGUGAUAUCUAGGAAGUACAAUAAUAAUUAGGACAAAACUAAAGCAUAUUAACUAUAUGUGCACUGGUAUGUAAUUUAGCACAUGUAACAUGUUCACCGCCAGAAGUAUGGCCCUACAGGUGCAAGCAGAAUAACGUGUCUCAUGAAAAACUGAAUGAUGCCCUGAAGAAAUUCAAAGGUGCGGUGCUUAUGCUAAGAAAGUGAACGUAGGCGCCGGCCGUUGGAUAAUAGUACCCGAUUCUCGGCGGCGUAUGGGUAUCGUUGGCAUACUUGAUAGCUAAGGAUCGUCGAUGGUGCUUGUGUUGCGGUCGAGUUUGGGCCGACUGUCGUCGUCGCUGAAGCGGCUCCGGUGCUACGGUUGCGGCGCCUGUCGACAUACAAGAAAGCUCAUCUGUGGUAAGUGAACAGUUGCACGAUAAAGAUAAAAACUGAAGGAGUACAGAUCGAAAUAACCUGAUGAGGCUGCGGUGUCGGUAAAGCAGGGCCGGUGGAGUUGAAUAUGGCGUCCGUGGAGCGGGUCCGGUGCAGUGGACGAAGGCUUCGGCGGGCGCGUUGUAUAGUGCUUUCGGUGAGGCGGAUCUGUUGCGGCGGACGAGGGCUUGUAUGAAGGGCCAGCGAAGGGACAGACGAGGGAGUCAGUGAAGGGUCUACACUGUGGUGGACGAGGGCGCCGGUUAAGCAGAUCCGGUGCGGUGGACCAUGAUGGCGGUCAAGGAGAUCUGGAGCGGUGUACAAGCCAGUCGCUGAAGCGGCUCCGGUGAAGUGGUGAAUUGGCAGUUGGGGGUUCCAAGGUGCGGAAGGUAGAUCCGUCGGGGUGUGAGGUCCACCGCUGCGGUGGAGGACUAGAUUCAGCGGCUUGCCGUGGUUGGGGGGGGGUCGGGGAGGGGAAGGGGAGGGGCUCUGGGGAAGAAUGUUGGGGGCAAAGAGGGGAAAACAAUGGAGUUACCAAAGCAGCCCUUUUCCGUUCAUGUGGCAGGGGUAAAACAGGAAUAUCGCAGGGCUAAACUUUCGGGCGCGAGAUAUUUCGAUGUGAGCGGGAAGUUUGAAAGCUUUUGGCGCCUGAAAUUAUAUUCUGCUCUUGUAUGGCCGACUAUGAUAUCAUGGGCGAGAAUUUGUUUGUUUUGCACACACAAAAAAAGUGCAAGUUUUGAAAAUCAAUGUCUCCAACUCGGAACUUAGAUUGUCCAUUCAGUUCAAAUAUGGAUCAUUGAGCUACUACAAGCAAAUACCAUCAUAUGGUCCAAUUCAAAUGAAAUUCCAAAUGUGUUUAUCCUAAAUAUGAUGACAAAAGCAAAAAUGUGUAUGUGUAUGAAUAAAGUGGAUGAUUAUAAAGUUUGAACAUGCCCGUAUGUGUAUAUCUCAAGGUUUGAUAUAUGAAUUUGAAAUCACGAAAUCCCGGCUUAAAAAUGUACCUCCGUUUAAAUGAAUUACAAAAGCUAAUGAUGGAGUCGAAUUCCAAAAUUCCAAUCUUAGGUUUGUAAUUCUGGUACAUCAAAGUAUAUCACGCAUGUUCAAAAGUAUCGUUAUCUCAUAGUCCAAACUGUGAAACAAAUUGAUCAACCUUGAGUGCACACACUAUUGACCAUGUAUAUCUCAAUUACGCUAAAGUCCCUCAAAUAUAGACACCUCACUNNNNNNNNNNNNNNNNNNNNNNNNNNNNNNNNNNNNNNNNNNNNNNNNNNNNNNNNNNNNNNNNNNNNNNNNNNNNNNNNNNNNNNNNNNNNNNNNNNNNNNNNNNNNNNNNNNNNNNNNNNNNNNNNNNNNNNNNNNNNNNNNNNNNNNNNNNNNNNNNNNNNNNNNNNNNNNNNNNNNNNNNNNNNNNNNNNNNNNNNNNNNNNNNNNNNNNNNNNNNNNNNNNNNNNNNNNNNNNNNNNNNNNNNNNNNNNNNNNNNNNNNNNNNNNNNNNNNNNNNNNNNNNNNNNNNNNNNNNNUCUCUCUCUCUCUCUCUCUCUCUCUCUCGCUCUCACACCCCUCUCCCACACACAAUCGAUGUCUCUUCCAAAUAGUCUGCUCCCCCCGCCCACACCCAUGCUAUCCCGCUACUACACAUGUCACACCAUUCCCCCUUCCCUUAUACUAGGUUUACGUCAUUAGUGGUCUCUCUACUCCACAUACACACACUCCCUCUCACACACAAAUGCGCGCACAAACACACACAGACAUGCACAAACACCCAUUAAUCUGGAUCCUCAUCUCUACCCAUGUCCGCAUGUGUAUCUCGCGCACUCACUCUCUAAUUAUGUAUAUGUGUCUCCACGUUACACAACACAAAGCCCCAUGUACAUGUCUAUCUCUAUCCUCCACACACAUAGACACAAAGAAUAUGUUAUCAUUGCCUCAGUCUCUAGACAUAUCACACACGCACACUGUCUCUCUCUCUCUCUCUCUCUCUCGCAAACACGCUCAACAAGGGUUUCCCCGUGAAUAACUUACCGUCUAUUCAUCAACAGUCGUGGCAGUACGGCGAACACGAGACGUGAAGAAGAAUAAAUCUACACGUGCUUAGACCACCUAGUAUGACUACUAGGACUAGAGCAAGCCAAAAAGCGCGCCGCCGUCACCCCCUCCUUAUCGGCGACGGGAAAACCUUUGUUUUACACAGUCGAGAAGUCAUUGUGCUAAGGCCUCACAUGCUGAGGCAUUGAAUAGAAUGUAGAUGCUAGUUUACGGAAACAAGUAUCGAUAAUACGUUUGUAUCUCCAUACUUAUAUUUCUUCUCUUAUAAACAACCGAGUUGGUGAUGAUGGUACGCGUGCCAUCUUGCAAUAUAGACCGUCCGAUGUAUAUCUGACUGAUGGAAAUUAAACUAAAAGAUACCUGCACCCCUCUCCACAUUUGCAGACAAGGCCUUCCCUCGUUCAUCCUUAUCUCCAACAACCUCAUUGUUGAGCAAUUAAGAAAGGAAGCCUCUGGAACAAACUGGCCUGGUGGCCGCUGCCGGCGCCGUCAAUCCCCAUGCCUCCGCUCAGUCCGACCACCAAUCACCAGCAUGCCCCACUCCUCUUCUCUUUAUCUCCUAUUUCUCGAGAUAUCAUUAGUUUUUACACAUGGGAUUACUCCCGCAUGGGUCAAUCACAACGAGUGUUUUUAUAAAAAAAUGCAUCUUGAUGUUCCGUGCAAUGCACGGAUCUUGCUAGUACUCCUACAGAAGACUAAGUUGGUGAUGAUGGUGUGUCUGCCAUCCGUCGUUUGUGACCAUUAGAUCUACAUCUAACGACUAUGUGGUAAGUUGUUGCCUUUUCUCACAAACAUCCCACUCGUCUACCAAUUUGCAGAAAAAACCCAUAAUUAGUAUCUUAAAACCAACCACAUCCCUCCCUGACCUCACCAAAACAGCCCAAGGAAUAUAUUCUAAUUGAAACAUAAUAUAUCUCUAGUGAUAUAUGUAUAUCAAAAUUAGAGUGUUUUGUAUCAAGUUUGUGAAUAAGUAUUAUUCUAAUUAUGAUUCAUUGCAACGCACAUGAACAUUGCUAGUAUUUCCAACCAUGCAAUUUUUUCCCUAGUAUUCCAUAGUUUCGAGUUUUCCAUCAAGAUAUUAGUCACUCAUGGUUGAUAUUUACUUUCAAUCAUGUACAGAUAUGCACUAUGUAACUAGCCUUGCUUAUUGGGUUCCAAAGCUUAACUUUCACUCCUACUUACAAUAUGUAGAGUAUUUAACAAAAAACUACCACUUUCAACCAGCCAUAGGAAGAAUCUAUUGUACAAAAAAUAGCAAAAACAUACCCAAAAUUUCUUAAUCCACGCCAAAAACUACUACAUACCGAUUAGGUUAGUUUAAAACCAUUUAUGACAGGGUUGGCCCACACGUCCGUGCUGACGAGGCAGCUUAAACCAACACAUUUUGUUUGACCGUUGACACGAGGGACCCACAUCUGACCUUCUAUCCUGUUAUUCCCCCUCAAAUCAUUAUUUUUCCUAAACAUUACUUCAAAUAGUACUGAUGCGUGUUCGUCGGUGGCGCCGGUGAUGAACGAGUUGGCCGCCGCUCCGCCGGACGGGCCGGACGCCGCGCUGGCCUCCGCACGGGUUGGCAGGCUGGCCCGAGCGUGACUCACGAGCGAGCAAGCCGCCGCGCUGGCCUUCACUCGAGCCAGAUGGCUGGCCUUAGCGCAGCGCGCACGAGCAAGCCGCCGCGCCGCCGUGCCAAUCUAGCUAGCAAACCUUGCAGACAAGCAGCUGGACGGAGCUAUCUUGGCUAGCUAGCGGCCGCGAGCGCUGGACGGAGCUGGCAUCCGGGCUGCCGCAAGAUGGGCUCCGCACUGCCGGCGGUUUUGACCUCGCCUUCUACCGGCAGUGGUAGCUGCGUCCCAUGGCCGAGGAUGACUAGGUGGACGGGCCGGAGGUAGGAGGUCACUCGGGGAUUUUUGUGCAGACUGACAUGUAGGUCCCACAAGUCAUAACGCCCGGUCGAAUAGAAGGCAUUGACUUAAUGGGCGACAUGGGCCCUGUUUGGAUACUCUAAGUCAGAGGUUAGAUUCUAACCCUAAACUAACUCUAACCAAAGUGGUGUUUGGAUGGCAGGGUUAGAUUGACAACAAAUGUAUCCAAACAGGGCCAUGGGUUGAAACGUGCCUAUAACGACACUUUGUAGAGUAGUUUUUUCUUGGUAGGGCUGGUUGGUAAGAGCAUGUACAAUGGUUGAUAAGGUAGUCUUAUCUUAAGUCUGCCAUGUAUGCAAGUGGUAGUAGUUUCUUGGCAUUAUUAGUGGUUUCUUGCAUCAUUAGGGGUUUCUUGUAAGGAACAAUGUACUACUAGCGACAAAAGGCGAUUCUAGGUUGCAUUGUACUCCAACGAGUACUACUAGUGGUCGCUGGAGUGUAUACCUCGUUUUGUGGGUUCGAUCCCGGCCGAACGCACGGCGACCUUUUUUUUAAAUAGUAACUUCGCUGCGAGCCAAUAUUUUACACGGGUAGUUUGAGUUUUGAAGUCAAACGGACGUGCGGCACCACAAUCUGGGUGCACUGGAUAGCCUAGCCACGUGAACGGGUUUUCCUUCCUAGCAUCUCGUGGCUCGCGUGCUCGCCCUAGCCGCACCUCGCUUGCAGCUUCCUCAUCAGCUAGUAGCAUAUUUAAACUAGCGCCUCCCAAUUAAGCCCGAGGAGCCGGAAAAGCUUGGCGGGGCAUUGGGAACUGUGCAAUAUGGCUCUGUACGUAAAGUGCUCUACUACUACUCUAUAGCUCGUGGCGUUGCACGCAUGGACUUCACUCCAUUAUCGGCUCUACUAUAAAAGAAAUUCCUCUUAACGUGUUUUUUUUAAACGAAGGCAAAAGCUUUGCUUCAUCUCAUUCAUAAAGAAGGAACUACUAACAAAGUUCGACGAGAUCCAUUACACCUCCACAAAUGGAAGCGAAAAGCCUAGUCUCGUUGUAUGCUGAUAAACAGGCUGCUAGUGUGUGCGUGAGAGGAGCGACUGAGUAGGCCAGCUACGUGAGAGGAGCGGCUGAAUAGAGCACCGAGAGUACCCACUAGGACACUACGUAGGUGUACUUUCCCUGCAUUGAUAGUACAGCGAUGGUUCUAGAGAAUAGUAGUACCCUCCACUUCCAACUGUAGCUCCUUGGCCCUGAGAUUCAAGAGUUCAAAACUGGUGCACUAUACUAGAAGUAUAGUACAUCGCACUACUAGUUGAGAAAGUAGUACUAGUACUGCUACAGUACGAGUACGUACUCCUCCGUCACAUAAUGUAAGACGUUUUUUGACACUAGUUGGCAUGUACAAAAAAUAGCAAAAACAUACCCAAAAUUUCUUAAUCCAUGCCAAAAACUACUAGCUAGUGCCAAAAAUUUCUUACUAGUGCUAUUAUUUACAGUAGAAUGCAAUCCCAUAACAUCCCAUAAUGCUAGUACUAGUAGUAAAUAAUAGCCUCACCCCUUCGCUAAGGAACGAUCUACAUUUGGAAGGGACGAGGUCCUGCGGUUACUACGCUCUUAUAUCCUCCUCGCCAGUUCCCCUCCCCCCGAAGAGAAGGUAGUUCAUCGCUGCUCCCAUGGAUUUGCCAGGCGGUUCUCCUCCUCGUCGGGGCUAGGAGACCUUGGACGACGAUCCUCUGGAAGAAAUUACACGCCGCUCCGACGUCCUCACCGCCGCAAGACUCGGUGCUUCCUGCACCAACUUUUUCAAGAUGGUGCUUAAAAUGGCUUGGGAAAAGGCCAUGCUUGUUGGUCUUCCAUGCGUCCUCGAGGAGAAGGUUCUUCUAUGGGACAAUCCUUCGAAUAGUCCACCGCUCCCUGUUCAUGGUUGCACGUUGACUCCGCUAGAGUUGCCGACGUUGAGAGGUAGUUGGAUUUUGUCCGAUGAGCAGGUCAGUAAUGGAUUUUGAUCUGUAGUACUUAGUUAUUCCAUUUCCAUCCCGUAAUUUCUCCACUGCCCACCGUCUUAUAUAUAGGUCUGGGUUGGUGACAACGAAGAUUGGCUUGCAUACCUCCGGCCGGAUACCACCAUCAUUUUGCACAACAUCCACAGCAGUGCGGCCAUUCCGGUAGACCCCUUCUCCACCAUUGGGAUCGGCCUUCCGGACUGGCUGGGCUUGAAUACGUAUGAUGAUGCCUACAUGAGAUUGAAGAAGAUAGCAAUUGCGGACCCGCCGACAAAGCGACGUGGCUACGAUGAUUACUAUCUCAUCGCGGUGUUCGACAUAAGGAUUGCCAUCAAUGCAAGAGGCAGUAACGGCAGAGGCUGGCGCAUGUUGGCGGCGGCAGAUUUGUACCCCUACACGUUCGAAGACGCCGUGCGCCAUCUAGGCCGCAUCUUCGUGGUGACAAGCCAGGGGACUUGUUUCAUCUGGUUGCCAUCCUACGGUAUGGGAGAUUACAAACGGAAUGCACAAACCAUCAUUUGCAUCCCUAAUGGUACUCCAUUAUUUUGCAGGGACCAGUCAUCCCGCGAUCAAAAUAAGAUCGCCGAUCUUGGAUGUGCAUUUGCAUCUGUGAUUCGGUCUAACCUGGAACCUUGUAGCUGACUUUGGCAUAUUGGGAUCAACUAUCUUAGCAGUCGUUACCCAUGGUACCACUGAUGUGCAACAUGGUCACACAAUCUACCACGAUCAGACAGUCACCAUCUACCCAGGUAUUCCAUUUUUUAACCCUCUCGCCUUCUCUUUCAUUGUUGUACUAGUACUCUACUUACGUACUAGUAGGAGUACUUUUUACCUUGGAGGACGCGUAUAGCUAGCUAGGUCCUUGAAGACUUGAGUCCACUAGCUACCACCAUUUUUGUUUUUCCAUGUCUUACUAUCUCAUCCAUGUAGCCAAGAGUGGCUAUAUAUAAUAAGCCGGUUAUUUUACUUCCUCUAUACCGGAGUAGUACUAUUUGCUGCACAGUAUUACUGACCGCCAUAUUUGAGCACAACAUUAUUAUGCAUGGACCUUGACUAUGUACGUCACCAUGUGUCCAGAUCUGAGAUGCUGCGUGCACCAGAUGAACGACGCCAAGUUCGACCCCCGUGAUGCUACGUGGGUGCCGAGGAACACUCUUGAGAGUACUCGCUUUUCAUUGGGGACAGCUACCCCAUUGUGAAGCGGAUGCCACCUUCCGUUUAAGACACGGAAGGCCUACCGUUCAUGAAGCAUGGUUGUGUCUUCAGUGCGCACCGCCGGAUGAACGACAUGCUGGGACACGCUAUCCCUGAUUUAUGCCGCUUCAGCUUGGAUGAGUCUCCAUCGUGUGGAACCGGACUAGAAAGCUGCGACAAUGAUUCCCGUUGCCCACCGCUAUGGAUCGUGCCAUCCAUGAAGAACACCUGGGACUGGAACCUAGAGGAGGACAUGUAGCCCAUCUAUAACGUGUUAGUGGAGUACGGUAAAUUGUGAACGGUAGCGCUGUGAAUAUAUGUAGACUAGUCGUGCACAAAUUUAUCACAUGAAUUGGAGAUGAACUUGUGUGGCAUACUAGCAUUUGUCCUUUAGAAUUUAUUACUAGUAAAUGUGUUAUGUGUACGUGCAACUUGUGUGGUUGUUGCACGGGCUCCAACACGCUCUUUGAGAAAAAAAAAGGUGGCACAGCUUUGGAUAUACGUGACGUGGCGGCAUCAUACAGUAGCAUCGUCCGCUAUAGUUGUAGUACGCUCCUACUAGGAUGACAACUCCUAUAAAACCUUGCGCUUGGCUCUUUGCCUCUUCGGGAGGUUCAACAGUUCGUACUCGUGUGAACCUUGCACUUGGCGCUUCGCCUCUUCGGAAGGUCCAACAAUGAUGAUACUACAGUACACAUUAUGCUUCUGGCAAUCUGACACCGAUUGAAUUGCUGCACGUCCACCGCGAGGGCGAGGGCGAGGGAGAGGGAGAGGGAGAGGGCGCUGUAGUCAAAACUCUCUCCUCGUCCUGUGAACCACCGCGCGCGUGGGCGAGGGAGAGGCGUAGUAAGCAAGUUUCUCCUCGUUCGGUGAGUUGACGGAACACAUCAAAGCAGUACUAGUACUAGUACAUACUGCGUCCUUUCCGGUUAAUAUGGCUUAAUUUGAAACGAGAAAAAUACACUGGCGGUCAACGUAUGUAACAAUACGCUCUUUAUGGUCACUAUAUAUAGUUUUGCGGUGAUUAUACGAUCACUAGCUCAUCGUAGAGCACCAUAUUGCACCCUACUGACCGGCCACAUAGUCGACGUGGCACUUUGUUGACUGGUUAAAUUGUCACCUGGUUUCUGGAUCCCACCUAUCAGUUGGCAGAGCAAAGAAAUCAGCUAAAAAACAAAGAGUGUAGUACAUCUACACUUCCAAUGCAUUUAGCCUUUAAUCUAAAUCGAUAUUGAUUGACUAAUGCACCAACUUGUGCUCUAGGUAUAGGCUACAUGUCUAUCCUUAAUUACAGCAUGCAACGACCUUCAUUUAAUCUUCUUCUCUCAAUGGUCGCAUGCACACAUAAGUCUGCUACUUUUGGGCGUUAAUUAUGCCCUGGUCAAUGUGUAAAUCUCUAAAUGUACAGUCUUUCACGGACAUAGGGAGUAGGUUGAGGACUUGAGCGUGAGCGUGUGUGUUGCGUCGUGUGUUGUGUGCCGCAUGGGUGCGUGAGUGUUGCGUGCGUCCAUGUGUACGUGUGAGUGUUGCAUGUUGCAUGCAUGCAUGCAUGCAUGGGGCUUACUCCCUCCCAUUGACAUGUUCAUAUUUCAAGCUUCCUCUGUUCCCUCCAUAUGGUGAUACUCCCUCUGUUCCCAAAUAUGGAGUAAAAUCCUCCCUCUGUUCCCAAAUACGGAGUAAAAUCCUCCCUCUGUUCCCAAAUACGGAGUAUUUGUCUUUCUAGAGAUUUCAACAAGUGACUACGUACGGAGCAAAAUGAGUGAAGUGAGCGUAGAGGCAUAGGGAGAAUGUAGAAAGGAAGUCUUCGCGAUCCAUUAUUCCCCAUCUCGGUCAGAGAGAACUAUUCAACUAGUCUUCGCAGUGAAGUGACAAUACACGCUGCAGCAGAUGGGACACUUAAUUAAUAAGCUGAACCAGCGUGUUGGUGUUACUAAAUCAGCCUUACCCAGUACUGCCAUCAUGUUUGCCAGUAGAGCACGCUUCUGUCCUCCAUUAACUGACAUAUGGGCCCUCUUGUGGUAGACCCACAUGUCAUCGAUGUAACUAUUUACACUCCGAAGGACGGUAUAUCCUGGUAGUAGGAGUAGAAUUGAGAUUUAAUGCACUUUCUUCCCCGUCUUCCACUCUUCUUCCUCCUCUCUUCUUCUUCCUCCUCUCUUCUUCUUCCUCCUCUCUUCCCCAUCGUCGGCCGCACACCAUUUCCCCCCGCUCACUGCUCGCCCGCCCGCGCUAUCUUCCUUGGUAGCUCGCGCGUACCAUAUCCCCCCGCUCACUGCUCGGCCACACGAGGAGAAGCUUCUUCGCUCGCCCGCCCGAAUCCACUUCCCCGCUGGCUCGCAGGCACAGAAAACCCCAAUGGCAGAACCGACUGACACGCAGAGCCGCGAUUGGAAUUCCCUCCCCGAUGUUCUCUUGGAGCAGAUUUGUAAUCGUAUGGACCUACUCAGCACCGUCCGUCUGGCCGCAUGCUCGGUGUCUUUGUACCGUCUACUCGUCUGCAACCGUCCGGCUCUUUUCAAGACACCGUGCUUGCUGAUGCCCAAUCCUCGCAUGUGGCCCAGACACCGACUUGAUGAUCCUACGGAGGUUGCCAUGGUGCCCCUCGACAUGCUACCACUACCCGUCCACCUGUCCUUCAUGCGCGGCCACUACUGGGCGGGCAUGAAGGCCAACUAGAUCGUCCUCAUCCACCAAUCCGGUAGUCCGUGGCGUCUCGUGGAUAUCUACACCCAGCGAGAGAUCACCCUUCCAUCUUUGGAUACCACCGCCAUCGAGCCUCGCGGCCUGCCGGACACUCCUGCCUACUACGCACGAGACGCGUCGAGCUUUUGGCUCGACCUCUGUUUGCUGAAGGUUGUAAUCUGCGAAGUGCCCACACCAUUAGAAGACUACAUGGAUUACAAGCUCAUUGUCGUGUUCAACAUGGGAUUAGUCUAUCUGGAAUCCGGUCGCCAUACAUGGUUAUGGCUCAUCGUCGAUCCUCUUUACCCAACACUUCUGUCUGAUGCUAUAGUGCACGAUGGCAUCGUUUAGGCAGUCAACACACAGAUUGGCUGCCUAUACUGGUGGAAUCUAUCGUUGUGUAAUUGUUCUAUCUCAUCUCAUCUUUACCUUAAGAAUACGACUGCCUGUUCAUUGUUACAAAUUUAGAAUAUAUAGUAUGUCUAUAACCACAUCAUUGCUAUAUGUUCCUCUCAUUUCCUAGAUUUUUAUGACCACACAUGUUAUUGUUAGAGUUGAUAUGAGAACAAUUGGUAUCUAAUGAUUGUUAGAAUAGAUAUUAUGAGUAUAACCUCAUGAUUGCUAUAUGUUACUCUCAUUUCCAGGAUUUUUAUAACAACGCAUGUUAUUGCUUAGAGUUGAUAUGAUAACUGUAGUAAGUGCUAUGGUAGAAUACGAGUAGGCCCUGUCAUAUCUGUUUUCCUCUCAUUGUUACAUGAUGUUUGAACCAUGAUAUAUUGCUAGAAUAUGAAAUCCAUUGGCUUAUUUUUUUUAACUUGGGGUAUGAUUAUGACCACGACAUUGCAAUUCUCUAUCUAUGAUAUGUGUCACUGUUAUAAUAAUCUUAAUUCCACACAUACUCUGAACAUGAUUGUUUAUUUUUGUCCUUUUGGUCUCCAAUUUGAAUUGUUGCAGCAGACGCAAAUGCGCUGGCCUUCAUGAUUCCAGGACUUGGAAUCAUACCAGCCGAUGGGUGGUGGUUUAUCGCUCGUUGAGCUGACGGUGGUCAUUUGAUGCUCAUUUGCACGUACCAAAUUGACCAAACCAUUUCAUCAAACCACAUGCAGUACAAUGCCUGCGGCGUUCGUGACAUUGAUGGCUAUGGCUGCUUCGUGUUCGAGAAAGAUCCCAACUCCGUUGGGCCAGGCGUAUUCAACUAGAGGCGGGUUUACAGCCUCAGCAACCACUCCAUGUUCCUCGGGCUCAAUUAUCCGAUCGUCCAACCAAUCAUCGAUCAUAUCACCGGUGAUGAUUACCGUGCUAUGCAACCUCCAUUCGCCAGGGGGACUGUGUUUACACAUCAUACCAUGGGUUUCAUGAAUCACCAUAUCCAGAGAUUCGUCGACACAGCUUGUUGCUAGAUUAUCUUUAGUGUGUGAAAGGCAUCAAGCUUCCAUGCGAUGGAUGGCUUUUGCAAACCCGACAUGCGGCGAUGUGGUUCAUGCCAACAACAAGUAUGCACAACUUGAUUCGUACUGAUAUGUAGACCGAGCCAUGUAUUCUGCUGCUGUAGCACGACCCUCUUUUGUUGGAUAUUAUGUACUGUUGUUAGUUUGAAGCACUCCUCUGGUUUGAAGGAUAGAUACCUUUCUGGGAUCAAGUGCAUCCUAACUCACCUGCAUGAUGUACUGAUAAUGAUGAUGGAGAUGCUGUGCAGUAUAUAUAUAUAUCACUUAGGCUUCAAGUGCGUACUUGUUAGUUAAACCUAUGGUUAAAAUGUGACACUAAAUACGACUAGUAAGUAGAACAGUAGCAGUACUAGUAUACGUCGGUCAAAUUAUUCAUCAUGUCCACACAUUGAAUUGACGUGACAACACGCUGCGCGUGAGGUGACACAAGAAUCCCAGCGGCGUGUUCGGGUAUUCUGGACUUCAGAUUUGGAGUACCACUUAUCUGUCGAAAUAUUUCAUCAUUCACUUAAAACAGUCGAUUGAUCAUACAUUGAGUACCAUAUAACUGGAAUUAACCCAUGCAAGUCGAAGAAGGAUUGGCCGGUGCUGCCGGCUGGCGUCAAGUUCGAUCCCACGGAUCAGGAGCUGAUCGAGCACCUUGAGGCCAAAGUGAGUGCUGACAGCGCGAGAUCUCACCCUCUCAUCGAUUUGUUCAUACCAACCAUCGACAGCGAGCACAGCAUAUGCUACACCCAUCCUGAGAAACUUCCAGGUAAGACACCGAUCUGCCGUCUACUCGCACAAACAUAUUCCUUUGUUUAUAGCUCUAUUUUUAUUUUUAGACGCAGACCUGGUGAAGCAAUUACAAUUUGACAGUUAAUAAAAAUUGAAACAAGUGACUGCAACAUGCCAAAGAUGUUAUGAAAAUGCCCACUACGUACACUAAAACCUGUAUUCGACAAUACUGCAGGUAUCACACUGAGUGGCCUAAGCAAGCAUUUCUUCCAGCGCAAUUCUAGGGCGUUCAAAAAGGGCACGUGGAUGCGUCGCAAGAUACAGUCGGAGUGCGACAUGCAUGCGAUGUGGCACAACACCGGCAAUACCUUGCCGGUGAUGGUCAACGGCCGGCAGACGGGCAGCAAAAAGGUUCUGGUGCUGCACACCAACAAGAACUUCGACCAGCAGACGACCAACUGGGUGAUGCACCAGUACCACCUCGGGAACCUGGAGCAAGAGAAAGAGCGGGAGCUCGUGUUGGGUACGUAGUAAUUUCAAAAAAUUUCCUACGCACACGCAAGAUCAUGGUGAUGCAUAGCAACGAGAGGGGAGAGUGUUGUCCACGUACCCUCGUAGACCGACAGCGGAAGCGUUAUCACAACGCGGUUGAUGUAGUCGUACGUCUUCACGAUCCGACCGAUCAAGUACCGAACGUACGGCACCUCCAAGUUCUGCACACGUUCAGCUCGAUGAGGUCCCUUGAACUCCGAUCCAGCCGAGUGUUGAGGGAGAGUUUCGUCAGCACGACGACGUGGUGACGAUGAUGAUGUUCCACCGACGCAGGGCUUCGCCUAAGCUCCGCAACGGUAUUAUCGAGCUGUAAUAUGGUGGAGGGGGGCACCGCACACGGCUAAAAUAUCGUAUAUCAAGUGUGUCCAUGGGGUGCCCCCCUGCCCCCGUAUAUAAAGGAGCAAGGGGGAGGCCGCCGGCCUAGGGAGGAGAGGCGCGCCAGAAGGGGGAGUCCUACUCCCACCGGGAGUAGGACUCCUCCUUUCCUUGUUGGAAUAGGAGAAGGGAAGGGAGAAGGAGAAAGAAGGAAGGGGGCACCCCCCUUCCCUAGUCCAAUUCAGACCAGAUCAUGGGGAGGGGCGCGGCCACCUUUUGAGGCCUUUCUCUCCUUUCCCGUAUGGGCCAUUAAGGCCCAAUACGAAUUCCCGUAACUCUCCGGUACUCCGAAAAAUACCCGAAUCACUCGGCACCUUUCCGAAGUCCGAAUAUAGUCGUCCAAUAUAUCGAUCUUUAUGUCUCGGCCAUUUCAAGACUCCUCGUCAUGUCCCCAAUCUCAUCCGGGACUCCGAACUCCUUCGGUACAUCAAAACUCAAUAAAACUAUCAUCGUAACGUUAAGCGUGCGGACCCUUUGGGUUCAAGAACUAUGUAGACAUGACCGAGACACCUCUCCGGUCAAUAACCAAUAGCGGGACCUGGAUGCCCAUAUUGGCUCCCACAUAUUCUACGAAGAUCUUUAUCGGUCAGACCGCAUAACAACAUACGUUGUUCCCUUUGUCAUGGGUAUGUUACUUGCCCGAGAUUCGAUCGUCGGUAUCUCGAUACAUAGUUCAAUCUCGUUACUGGCAAGUCUCUUUACUCAUUCCGUAAUACAUCAUCCCACAACUAACUCAUUAGUCACAAUGCUUGCAAGGCUUAUAGUGAUGUGCAUUACCGAGUGGGCCUAGAGAUACCUCUCCGACAAUCGGAGUGACAAAUCCUAAUCUCGAAAUACGCCAACCCAACAAGUACCUUUGGAGACACCUGUAGAGCACCUUUAUAAUCACCCAGUUACGCUGUGACGUUUGGUAGCACACAAAGUGUUCCUCCGGUAAACGGGAGUUGCAUAAUCUCAUAGUCAUAGGAACACGUAUAAGUCAUGAAGAAAGCAAUAGCAACAUACUAAACGAUCGAGUGCUAAGCUAACGGAAUGGGUCAAGUCAAUCACGUCAUUCUCCUAAUGAGGUGAUCCCGUUAAUCAAAUGACAACUCAUGUCUAUGGCUAGGAAACAUAACCAUCUUUGAUUAACGAGCUAGUCAAGUAGAGGCAUACUAGUGACACUCUGUUUGUCUAUGUAUUCACACAUGUAUUAUGUUUCCGGUUAAUACAAUUCUAGCAUGAAUAAUAAACAUUUAUCAUGAUAUAAGGAAAUAAAUAAUACUUUAUUAUUGCCUCUAGGGCAUAUUUCCUUCAGUCUCCCACUUGCACUAGAGUCAAUAAUCUAGUUCACAUCGCCAUGUGAUUUAACAUCAAUAAUUCACAUCACCAUGUGAUUAACACCCAUAGUUCACAUCUCUAUGUGACCAACACUCAAAGGGUUUACUAGAGUCAAUAAUCUAGUUCACAUCGCUAUGUGAUUAACACCCAAAGAGUACUAAGGUGUGAUCAUGUUUUGAUUGUGAGAUAAUUUUAGUCAACGGGUCUGUCACAUUCAGAUCCGUAUGUAUUUUGCAAAUUUCUAUGUCUACAAUGCUCUGCUCGGAGCUACUCUAGCUAAUUGCUCCCACUUUCAAUAUGUAUCUAGACCGAGACUUAGAGUCAUCUAGAUUUAGUGUCAAAACUUGCAUCGACGAAACCCUUUACGACGAACCUUUUGUCACUUCCAUAAUCGAGAAACAUAUCCUUAUUCCACUAAGGAUAAUUUUGACCGCUGUCCAGUGAUCUACUCCUAGAUCACUAUUGUACUCCCUUGCUAAAAUCAGUGUAGGGUAUACAAUAGAUCUGGUACACAGCAUGGCAUACUUUAUAGAACCUAUGGCCGAGGCAUAGGGAAUGACUUUCAUUCUCUUUCUAUCUUCUGCCGUGGUCGGGCUUUGAGUCUUAUUCAAUUUCACACCUUGUAACACAGGCAAGAACUCUUUCUUUGACUGUUCUAUUUUGAACUACUUCAAAAUCUUGUUAAGGUAUGUACUCAUUGAAAAACUUAUCAAGCGUCUUCAUCUAUCUCUAUAGAUCUUGAUGCUCAAUAUGUAAGCAGCUUCACCGAGGUCUUUCUUUGAAAACCUCCUUUCAAACACUCCUUUAUGCUUUGCAGAAUAAUUCUACAUUAUUUCCGAUCAACAAUAUGUCAUUCACAUAUACUUACCAGAAAUGCUGUAGUGCUCCCACUCACUUUCUUGUAAAUACAGGCUUCACCGCAAGUCUGUAUAAAACUAUAUCCUUUGAUCAACUUAUCAAAGUGUAUAUUCCAAUUCCGAGAUGCUUGCACCAGUCCAUAGAUGGAUCGCUGGAGCUUGCAUAUUUUGUUAGCACCUUUAGGAUUGACAAAACCUCCUAGUUGCAUCAUAUACAACUCUUCUUUAAUAAAUCCAUUAAGGAAUGUAGUUUUGUUUAUCCAUUUGCCAUAUUUCAUAAAAUGCGGCAAUUGCUAACAUGAUUUAGACAGACUUAAGCAUAGAUACGAGUGAGAAACUCUCAUCGUAGUCAACAUCUUGAACUUGUCGAAAACCUUUUUGCGACAAUUCUAGCUUUGUAGAUAGUGACACUACUAUCAGCGUCCGUCUUCCUCUUGAAGAUCCAUUUAUUCUCAAUUGCUUGCCGAUCAUCGGGCAAGUCAACCAAAGUCCACACUUUGUUCUCAUACAUGGAUCUCAUCUCAGAUUUCAUGGCUUCAAGCCAUUUUGCGGAAUCUGGGCUCACCAUCGCUUCUUCAUAGUUCGUAGGUUCGUCAUGGUCUAGUAACAUAACCUCCAGAACAGGAUUACCGUACCACUCUGGUGCGGAUCUUACUCUGGUUUACCUACGAGGUUUGGUAGUAACUUGAUCUGAAGUUACAUGAUCAUCAUCAUUAACUUCCUCACUAAUUGGUGUAGAAGUCACAGGAACAGAUUUCUAUGAUGAACUACUUUCCAAUAAGGGAGCAGGUACAGUUACCUCAUCAAGUUCUACUUUCCUCCCACUCACUUCUUUCGAGAGAAACUCCUUCUCUAGAAAGGAUCCAUUCUUAGCAACGAAUGUCUUGCCUUCGGAUCUGUGAUAGAAGGUGUACCCAACUGUCUCCUUUGGGUAUCCUAUGAAGACACAUUUCUCCGAUUUGGGUUUGAGCUUAUCAGGAUGAAACUUUUUCAGAUGAGCAUCGCAACCCCAAACUUUAAGAAACGACAACUUUGGUUUCUUGCCAAACCACAGUUCAUAAGGCGUCGUCUCAACGGAUUUUGAUGGUGCCCUAUUUAACGUGAAUGUAGCUGUCUCUAAUGCAUAACCCCAAAACGAUAGUGGUAAAUUGGUAAGAGACAUCAUAGAUUGCACUAUAUCCAAUAAAGUACGGUUAUGGCGUUCGGACACACCAUUAUGCUGUCGUGUUCCAGGUGGCAUAAAUUUGUGAAACUAUUCCACAUUGUUUUAAUUGAAGACCAAACUCAUAACUCAAAUAUUUGUCUCCGCGAUCAGAUCAUAGAAACUUUAUUUUCUUAUCACGAUGAUUUUCAACUUCACUCUGAAAUUCUUUGAACUUUUCAAAUGUUUCAGACUUAUGUUUCAUCAAGUAGAUAUACCCAUAUCUGCUCAAAUCAUCUGUGAAGGUCAGAAAAUAACGAUAUCCGCCACGAGCCUCAAUAUUCAUUGGACCACAUACAUCUGUAUGUAUGACUUCCAACAAAUCUGUUGCUCUCUCCAUAGUUCCGGAGAACGGCGUUUUAGUCAUCUUGCCCAUGAGGCACGGUUCGCAAGUAUCAAGUGAUUCAUAAUCAAGUGAUUCCAAAAUCCCAUCAGUAUGGAGUUUCUUCAUGCGCUUUACACCAAUAUGACCUAAACGGCAGUGCCACAAAUAAGUUGCACUAUCAUUAUUAACUUUGCAUCUUUUGGCUUCAAUAUUAUGAUUAUGUGUAUCACUACGAUCGAGAUCCAACAAACCAUUUUCGUUGGUGUGUAUGACCAUAGAAGGUUUUUAUUCAUGUAAAUAGAACAACAAUUGUUCUCUAACUUAAAUGAAUAACCGUAUUGCAAUAAACAUGAUCAAAUCAUAUUCAUGCUCAACGCAAACACCAAAUAACACUUAUUUAGUUUCAACACUAAUCCCGAAAGUAUAGGGAGUGUGCGAUGAUGAUCAUAUCAAUCUUGGAACUACUUCCAACACACAUCGUCACCUCGCCUUUUACUAGUCUCUGUUUAUUCUGCAACUCCCAUUUUCGAGUUACUACGCUUUAGCAACUGAACCAGUAUCAAAUACUGAGGGGUUGCUAUAAACACUAGUAAAGUACACAUCAAUAACAUGUAUAUCCAAUAUACCUUUGUUCACUUUUCCAUCCUUCUUAUCCACCAAAUAGUUGGGGUAGUUCCGCUUCCAGUGACCAGUCCCUUUGCAGUAGAAGCACUUAGUCUCAGACUUAAGUACAGACUUGGGCUUCUUCACUUGAGUAGCAACUUGCUUGCCGUUCUUUUUGAAGUUCCCCUUCUUCCCUUUGCCCUUUUCUUGAAACUAGUGGUCUCAUCAACCAUCAACACUUGAUGUUUUUCUUGAUUUCUACCUUUGUCGAUUUCAGCAUCACGAAGAGCUCGGGAAUUACUUUCGUCAUCCCUUGCAUACUAUAGUUCAUCACGAAGUUCUACUAACUUGGUGAUGGUGACUAGAGAAUUCUGUCAAUCACUAUUUUAUCUGGAAGAUAAACUCCCACUUGAUUCAAGCGAUUGUAGUACCCAGACAAUCUGAGCACAUGCUCACUAGUUGAGCGAUUCUCCUCCAUCUUUUAGCUAUAGAACUUGUUGGAGACUUCAUAUCUCUCAACUCGGGUAUUUGCUUGAAAUAUUAACUUCAACUCCUGGAACAUCUCAUAUGGUCCAUGACGUUCAAAACGUCUUUGAAGUCCCGAUUCUAAGCCGUUAAGCAUGGUGCACUAAACUAUCAAGUAGUCAUCAUAUUGAGCUAGCCAAACGUUCAUAACGUCUGCAUCUGCUCCUGCAAUAGGUCUGUCACCUAGCGGUGCAUCAAGGACAUAAUUUUUCUGUGCAACAAUGAGGAUAAUCCUCAGAUCACGGAUCCAAUCCGCAUCUUUGCUACUAACAUCUUUCAACAUAAUUUUCUCUAGGAACAUAUCAAAAAUAAAUACAUGGAAGCAACAACGCGAGCUAUUGAUCAACAACAUAAUUUGCAAAAUACUAUCAGGACUAAGUUCAUGAUAAAUUCAAGUUCAAUUAAUCAUAUUACUUAAGAACUCCCACUUAGAUAGACAUCCCUCUAAUAAUCUAAGUGAUUACGUGAUCCAAAUCAACUAAACCAUGUCCGAUUAACACGUGAGAUGGAGUAGUUUCAAUGGUGAACAUCACUAUGUUGAUCAUAUGUACUAUAUGAUUCACGCUCGACCUUUCAGUCUCUGUGUUCCGAGGCCAUAUCUGUAUAUGCUAGGUUCGUCAAGUUUAACCUGAGUAUUCCGCGUGUGCAACUGUUUUGCACCCGUUGUAUUUGAACGUAGAGCCUAUCACACCCGAUUAACACGUGGUGUCUCAGCACGAAGAACUUUCGCAACGGUGCAUACUCAGGGAGAACACUUUAUCUUGGAAUUUUAGUGAGAGAUCAUCUUAUAAUGCUACCGUCAAUCAAAGCAAGAUAAGAUGCAUAAAGGAUUAAGAUCACAUGCAAUCAAUAUAAGUGAUAUGAUAUGGCCAUCAUCAUCUUGUGCUUGUGAUCUCCAUCUCCGAAGCACCGUGCUUGUGAUCUCCAUCUCCGAAGCACCGUCAUGAUCACCAUCGUCAUUGGCGCGACACCUUGAUCUCCAUCGUAGUAUCGUUGUCGUCUCGCCAACUAAUUUCUUUUACAACUAUCGCUACUGCUUAGUGAUAAAGUAAAACUAUUACAUGGCGAUUGCAUCUCAUACAAUAAAGCGACAACCAUAUGGCUCCUGCCAGUUGCCGAUAACUCGGUUACAGAACAUGAUCAUCUCAUACAAUAAAAUAUAGCAUCAUGUCUUGACCAUAUCACAUCACAACAUGCCCUGCAAAAACAAGUUAGACGUCCUCUACUUUGUUGUUGCAAGUUUUACGUGGCUGCUACGGGCUUAGCAAGAACCGUUCUUACCUAUGCAUCAAAACCACAACGAUAGUUUGUCAAGUUGGUGCUGUUUUAACCUUCGCAAGGACCGGGCGUAGCCACACUCGGUUCAACUAAAGUGAGAGAGACAGACACCCGCCAGUCACCUUUAAGCAACGAGUGCUCCGAACGGUGAAACCAGUCUCGCGUAAGCGUACGCGUAAUGUCGUUCCGGGCCGCUUCAUCUCACAAUACCGCUGAACCAAAGUAUGACAUGCUGGUAAGCAAUAUGACUUAUAUCGCCCACAACUCACUUGUGUUCUACUCGUGCAUAGCAUCAACGCAUAAAACCAGGCUCGGAUGCCACUGUUGGAGAAUGUAGUAAUUUCAAAAAAAUUCCUACGCACACGCAAGAUCAUGGUGAUGCAUAGCAACAAGAGGGGAGAGUGUUGUCCACGUACCCUCGUAGACCGACAACGGAAGCGUUAUCACAACGCGGUUGAUGUAGUCGUACGUCUUCACGAUCCGACCGAUCAAGUACCGAACGUACGGCCCUCCGAGUUCUACACACGUUCAGCUCGAUGACGUCCCUCGAACUCCGAUCCAGCCGAGUGUUGAGGGAGAGUUUCGUCAGCACGACGGCGUGGUGACGAUGAUGAUGUUCCACCGACGCAGGGCUUCGCCUAAGCUCCGCAACGGUAUUAUCGAGGUGUAAUAUGGUGGAGGGGGGCACCGCACACGGCUAAAAUAUCGUAUAUCAAGUGUGUCCAUGGGGUGCCCCCCUGCCCCCGUAUAUAAAGGAGCAAGGGGGAGGCCGCCGGCCUAGGGAGGAGAGGCGCGCCAGAAGGGGGAGUCCUACUCCCACCGGGAGUAGGACUCCUCCUUUCCUUGUUGGAAUAGGAGAAGGGAAGGGAGAAGGAGAAAGAAGGAAGGGGGCGCCCCCCUUCCCUAGUCCAAUUCGGACCAGAUCAUGGGGAGGGGCGCGGCCACCUUUUGAGGCCUUUCUCUCCUUUCCCGUAUGGCCCAUUAAGGCCCAAUACGAAUUCCCGUAACUCUCCGGUACUCCGAAAAAUACCCGAAUCACUCGGAACCUUUCCGAAGUCCGAAUAUAGUCGUCCAAUAUAUCGAUCUUUACGUCUCGGCCAUUUCGAGACUCCUCGUCAUGUCCCCAAUCUAAUCCGGGACUCCGAACUCCUUCGGUACAUCAAAACUCAAUAAAACUGUCAUCGUAACGUUAAGCGUGCGGACCCUUCGGGUUCGAGAACUAUGUAGACAUGACCGAGACACCUCUCCGGUCAAUAACCAAUAGCGGGACCUGGAUGCCCAUAUUGGCUCCCACAUAUUCUACGAAGAUCUUUAUCGGUCAGACCGCAUAACAACAUACGUUGUUCCCUUUGUCAUCGGUAUGUUACUUGCCCGAGAUUCGAUCGUCGGUAUCUCGAUACCUAGUUCAAUCUCGUUACCGGCAAGUCUCUUUACUCGUUCCGUAAUACAUCAUCCCGCAACUAACUCAUUAGUCACAAUGCUUGCAAGGCUUAUAGUGAUGUGCAUUACCGAGUGGGCCCAGAGAUACCUCUCCGACAAUCGGAGUGACAAAUCCUAAUCUCGAAAUACGCCAACCCAACAAGUACCUUUGGAGACACCUGUAGAGCACCUUUAUAAUCACCCAGUUACGUUGUGACGUUUGGUAGCACACAAAGUGUUCCUCCGGUAAACGGGAGUUGCAUAAUCUCAUAGUCAUAGGAACAUGUAUAAGUCAUGAAGAAACCAAUAGCAACAUACUAAACGAUCGAGUGCUAAGCUAACGGAAUGGGUCAAGUCAAUCACGUCAUUCUCCUAAUGAGGUGAUCCCGUUAAUCAAAUGACAACUCAUGUCUAUGGCUAGGAAACAUAACCAUCUUUGAUUAAAGAGCUAGUCAAGUAGAGGCAUACUAGUGACACUCUGUUUGUCUAUGUAUUCACAAAUGUAUUAUGUUUCCGGUUAAUACAAUUCUAGCAUGAAUAAUAAACAUUUAUCAUGAUAUAAGGAAAUAAAUAAUACUUUAUUAUUGCCUCUAGGGCAUAUUUCCUUCAGCUGGUCCUCUGCAAGAUUUUCUACCAGACAAACACUAGGGACAGGAGUAAAAAGAUUAUAAGUUAGUUUGGUAUUAGUACUUGUACUACCUUGUCGUCCGCAAGUUGGUAUUGUUGUUAACGAUCUUUUGGUAUGAACUUGGCAUUUGCUUCCAACCAUCAUGCCGAGGGUCGACGUGGAUAUAAAGCUUGCCAUCCGCUGGUUCUGCCGCCGUCAUUGCCUCCUCGUCGACCUCCCUCUGUGCCACCAGUGCGGCGCUGACCACUUGAUUCGUCGCUGCUAGAUAUAGCAGCAACGGCUCUCGUGGUUUAGGCGCAACCAGUAUUGGCGUGGAGGAAAGGUAUUUCUUCAGAUCCUGCAAUGCUGCCUCGGCUUGUGGGGUCCACUCCAUUGGGCCUGCCUUCUUCAAGAUUUUGAAGAAAGGAAGGGCGCGCUCGGCAGACUUGGAGAUGAAUCGGCUCAUGGCGGCGAUGCAGCCAGUGAGCCGACACACAUCUUUGAUCCGCUUGGGCGCCUCAAUCUGCUCAAUAGCCUUGAUUUUGUCUGGGUUUGCCUCGAUCCCGCGCUGUGACACAAAGAACCCGAGAAGCUUGCCGGACGGAACGCCGAAGACACACUUCUCAGUGUUCAGCUUGAGGUUGAUCUUGCGCAGGUUGGCAAAUGUCUCUUCCAGAUCUUUCACAAGAGUCGGCCCGUCCUUGGUUUUGACCACUAUGUCGUCCAUGUAUGCCUCCAUAUUUCUAUGGAGCUGAGGUUCAAAACCAAUUUGGACCACUCUUGCAAACGUCGAGCUAACACUCUUCAACCCGAAAGGCAUCCGUGAAAAGCAAUACGUACCACAUGGGGUGAUGAAUGCUGUCUUUUCUUCAUCCUCUCUUGUCAUGAAGAUUUGGUGGUAGCCCGAGUAGGCGUCGAGGAAUGAUAACAGAUCACACCCGGCCGUGGAGUCAACAAUCUGGUCGAUGCGCGGCAACGGGAAGGGGUCCUUAGGACAAGCCUUAUUGAUAUCUGUGUAAUCAAUACACAGCCUCCACUUCCCAUUCGCCUUGCACAUGAGGGCAGACAACUAGGUGGUGCUCAAUCACCUCCCUGGGAACACCGGGGAUGUCGGAUGCUUGCCACGCAAACACGUCAACAUUCGCCCGCAGGAAGGUGACGAGCACGCCUUCCUAUUUGCUGUCGAGGGUGGAGCCUAUGGUGAAGGCCCCUCCCGUGCCAUCCUCCCUGGCGGACACCUUCUUGGUCUGCGAUGGCUCGGCUCUGGAUUUCUUGCUCUUGCCGGUAACCUCUCUGGCACGUCCUCGACGGUAGCGUAUCACUCCCAAGAGGCGUGCUUGCCGGAGUGGGUGUGAGAGGUCUUGCCGGGCUUUCUCUUCCCUUCCGGGCCUUCAGCGGCAGGAGCAGGUGCCUUGACGGCAGCUGCUGCAACUGCUUCCCGGUAGAGUUGGUCGGCGCAGAUCAGCGCGUCCUUCUUGUCGGAGGGGACGGAGAUGAUGGUCAACGAACCGGGCAUCUUUAGCAUGUUGUAGGCAUAGUAUGAUGUUGCCAUGAACUUGGCUAGUGCUGGGCGGCCGAGGAUCCCGUUGUAGGGCAAGGGGAUCUCGGCCACGUCGAAGGUGAUCCUCUCCGUCCUGUAGUUCAACUCUCCUCCAAACAUCACGGGCAGUGUGACCUUCCCCUUCGGCUGGCUCCUCCCCGGAUUGACCCCUUGAAACGUGCCUAUUUUCUCGAGGUCUCCAUCAGGAAUUUGCAGCCUUUUGAUCACGACAGGCGAGAUCAAGUUCAGGCCGGCCCCAUCGUCAACCAACAUCUUGUUCACCUUGAGGUUGCAUAUCGUUGGCAAGACCAACAAUGGCAAACACCCGACCGCGGCUGUGCGGUCAGGGUGGUCCUCGGCAUCAAAGAUGAGGGGCGUGCUGGACCAUUUCAACGGCUUCUGAGCGUCGAACGAUGGUUCCGCUGCUGUAAUCUCACGCGCCCACUGCUUGGGCUGGCGGUGAGAAGUAUGCAGCGAGGCGCCACCAUCGACGCACAUGGCCUCCGCAGCCUUCUGGAACUCUUGCUCACCGGACUCGUCGUCCUCGUCGCGAUCAUCGUCUUCUUGUUUCUUGUCACGGCCCCGGGCCGGCCUCUCCUGCUGGUUGUCCUUGCCGCGGCAGUCUCCUUGGCCGCCAAGCUUCUUGCCGGAUCCCUCGGCACCAUCCUGGUCCUUCUCCUUGUCCCGCCUCUCGUACUCAGCUUUUUGCUUCUCAGCAAGCAGCUCGACUUGUCGGCAUUUCUGGAGGUCGUGGCCCUUGGUGCGGUGGAUCUUGCAGUAUUGCUUGCCAGAGCUUCCUGGCUUGUCGGUAGCCGCCAAGGCCCGGCAGGCGGCGCACCCGGCAAUCUCCUUGCCGGGGGCGUCUGCCUUGACCUUCUUGGCAUCGCCGGUGUCGUCAGAUCCUUCAACGGCAAGCACGGCCUUGCCUUUGCGUUUCCUGUUGCGACGCCGGCCCUUCUUCGUCGGGGUGGCGGCGUCUUCGUCGGUAGAGUCGGUUUCCGCACCGGCAUCUUCGCCGGGUACUUCCUUCCCUCUUCAGCCCGGGCGCACCUAUCGGCCAGAACGUAGAGCUUGGCCACAUCCUUAACCUUGGUCAUCGCCAGCUCUUCGUGCAUCUUGCGGUUGCGCAUGUUCUGAUGGAACGCGCUGAUCACAGCGGCGGGAUGAACGUCGGGGAUGUUGUACUGCACCCGGCUGAAUCUCUGGAUGUACUUGCGCAGGGUUUCCCCUUCCUUCUGGGAAUGAUAUGCAGAUCACUGGCCUGGCCAUGAGCUUGGUGGCCUCCUGUGAAGGCGCCAACGAACUCAUGGCACAGAUCCGACCAAGAAGAAAUGGAAUCCGCCGGCAAGUGCAUCAACCAAGACAUAACAUUGGGCUUCAGUGCCAGCAGGAAAUAGUUGGCAAGCACCUUGUCGUCGCGAGCUCCAGCAGCCUGCAUCGCGAUGGUGUAGAUGCUGAGGAACUCGGACGGAUGGGUCUUGCCAGUGUACUUUUCGCUGACGUCGGGCUUGAACGUGCGGUGGGACGGCCACUGGAACUGCCGCAGCUCACGGGUGAAGGCCGGGCAGCCCACCUCAUAAGGUAGGCCGCCGGAGCCCCCCGAUGCUGGGUGGUCCAUAGCGGGUCCCACCCGCUUGUCCGACUGGUGGCGUGUAUCACGCCGGCACACGAUGGUGGUCCGAGCAUCUUCGUGAGCUCGUUCUCGAAGAACUUGGCGCUGGUCGCGGUGGGCCGUGGGUCGAACGACGCUAUAGAGAUGUUAUCACAAGCGUCGUCAUGACAGGCAGACGCCUGCGGCGGCUGGCGAGGAGGAGGAGAGUGCACCGUGGCCACAGCUCCCCCGGUCCUCUCAGCGCCAGCACGUGGUGGCUCGGUGGAGCGCCGACCCGAGGGCCCUGCCGGUCGCGGAUCGUCUUUGUUGGUGACGGUGACGAGGCUUCGGAUGGUGGCCCUCCACUCGUCGAGCUUCUCCGCAGCAAGAGGGAAGUCGAGGAGCAGCUGCGCGUGCGCCAAAGCUUCUGCUGGCGUGGGUGGCGGCGAUAGCUGCGUGGAUCGCGGCGCGCUUUGACUUCUAACUACGUUAGAAGGAGCUCCGUUACGACCCAGCGGCUGCGCGCCAUUUUCGCCAGCACUUCGGCGGGCAUGCUGAACCCCUUCAUCCCGCGGACGACGCACAGGGCUCUUCCCACGGCGGUGCCCAGGGUCACCAGCGUGGUGACGCUGCUCGGCGCGCACACCAUGGGAAGAGCGCACAGUGGUCGCCGGUGCGGGCGUCUUGGAGGUCGCUGCGCCGCCCGGAGGUAGCACAAUGACACCCCUGGAGGGCCCCGCGCCGCCUGCGGGGGCCCCAGCUCCGUCUUUGGAUCUGGCGACGUGCGGCCGUCAUCUGGCGCGCGAACGACGCCGCUCGCCAGGCUCUGACUGCCAGGGCGAUGCUGGUGCUCACGGACCGCGGCCCGGGUCUGAUACGUCUCCAACGUAUCUAUAAUUUAUGAAGUAUUCAUGCUGUUAUAUCAUCUAUCUUGGAUGUUUAAUGGGCUUUAUUAUACACUUUUAUAUGAUUUUUGGGACUAACCUAUUAACCUAGAGCCCAGUGCCAGUUUCUGUUUUCUCCUUGUUUUAGAGUAUCGUAGAAAAGGAAAAGUAAACGGAGUCCAAUUGACGUGCCACUUGACGGAGAUCAUUUUUGGACCAGAAGAUGCCCACGGAGUACCAGAAGCAGGCCAGAAGAGUGCCGGGCUGCCCACGAGGGUGGGAGGCGCGCCCAGCCCCCUAGGGCGCGCCCCCUGCCUUGUGGACAGUCCAGAGACCCCCCUGACGUGAAAUCAACGCAAAACUCUUCUAUAUAUACCCAAACUUCCAGAAAGAAACCUUGAUCGGAAGUUCCGCCGCCGCAAGCCUCUGUAGCCACGAGAAGUCAAUCUAGGCCCUCUCCGGCACCCUACCGGAGGGGGCCAUCAUCACCGGUGGCCUUGAAGGAGUAUCCCGGAGGGGGCCAUCAUCACCGGUGGCCUUGGAGGAGUAUCCCGGAGGGGCCAUCAUCACCAUGAAGGCCAAGGACCAGAAGGUGGAGAAUCUCUCCCCCUCUCUUUCGGUGGCGCCGGAGUGCCAUCGGCAGGGGAAUCAUCGCCACGGUGAUCGUCUUCAUCAACAUCACCAUCAUCAUCAUUAUCCUCAUCUCUUUUACGCGGUCCACUCUCCUGCACCCUGCUGUAAUCCCUACUUGAACAUGGUGCUUUAUGCCACAUAUUAUGAUCCAAUGAUGUGUUGCCAUCUUAUGAUGUUUUGAGUAGAUAUCUUUUGUCUUUGGGUUGAUGGAUGAUCUAGAUUGGUAUGAGUUGUAUGUUUUAUUUUGGUGCUGUCCUAUGGUGCCCUCCGUGUCACGCAAGCGUGAGGGAUUCCCGUUGUAGGGUGUUGCAAUACGUUCAUGAUUCGCUUAUAGUGGGUUGGUGAGUGACUGAAACACAAACUCGAGUAAGAGGGAUUGUUGCGUAUGGGAAUAAAGAGGACUUGAUGCUUUAAUGCUAUGGUUGGGUUUUUACCUUAAUGAUCUUUAGUAGUUACGGAUGCUUGCUAGAGUUCCAAUCAUAAGUGCAUAUGAUCCAAGUAGAGAAAGUAUGUUAGCUUAUGCCUCUCCCUCAUAUUAAACUGCAAUAGUGAUCACCGGUCUUGUCAACGGUUGCCUAGGACAAUUCCGCACACCGAUCCACCAUUAUUCCACACUCGCUAUUUAUAAUAUUUAGUAAUAUAUUCUAAAUUUAUGAUAACAGCACCUACUUUUAUUUUCUAGCUCUCCGUUACCAUGCAAAGUUAUCCUCUUCAUACCCACAACGUAGUUUUAUUUCUCGGUCCUAGUUGGAAGCAAACGUUCGGUGCACGUAGAGUCGUAUCAGUGGCAGAUAGGGCUUGAGAGAAUAUUGAUCUUACCUUUAGCUCCUUGUGGGUUCGACACUCCAUACUUAUCACUUCCACCAUUGGAAAUUGCUACGAUGAUUCCCUGCACUUGGGGAUUAUCAAGCUCUUUUCUGGCGCCGUUGCCGGGGAGCAAUAGCGUGGGGUUGAUAUUCUCGUGUGUGCUUGUUUGCUUUCUUCACUAAGUAGAUUUUGUUUUUCCUUUUUGUUUCUGUUUAGUUGUGGGUGAAACAUACAAAAAAAUAAAAUAAUGAAAAUACAAAAAAAAUUCACUUGCCUUUCAUGCCUAAAAAGUUUUUCGAAAAGAGAAGUGAUUGGAAAGUUAUGCAUUGAAGAAGUGAGGGUCGACCUUGUGCACUUGUGUUCAUGCUCACGGAAACAAUGUAGAAUUUUUCAUGGAAGUUUCUCUGUAAAUAAUUAUCCCCUUGUAUAUAUUCAUUGUAUUAUAAAAAAAUGUGCCAAGCUUUGGUUUUAGGAUGAUUAGAUUGCUGGUUUACUAUGUGCAGAACAAAAACAGAAACUUUGGCUGUAGUGCGUGAAUUUAAUUUUUUUUACUGGAAAGUCAAAUGGGUCUGAAACUUUUUGCACAUUACUUAUGUAUAAAAUUUUCAAAUUGUAAUUUUUUUUUCAUAAUUUUAGGAGUUACAGAAGUUUACCAAACUUCCAGAUUACUACAGACUGUCCUGUUUAAGACAGAUUCUGUUUUUGAUGCAUUGCUUGCUUAUUUUGAUGAAACUAUCGAUUUCUAUCAGUGGAUUAAGCCAUGAAAAAGUUAUAUUACAGUAUCUGUAAUGCAAAAACAAAAUAUGAAUUGGUUUUCAACAGCACUUAUAGUAGUGAUUUGCUUUGUUAUACUAACGGAUCUCACAAAGUUUUUGUUAAGUUCUUGUGGAUGAAGUGUUCGAAGAACGAGGAGUUACCGAUGUGAGAAGAAUAAAGAGAAGCAAGAGUUCAAGCUUGGGGAUGCCCAAGGCACCCCAAGUAAAUAUUUCAAAGGAUACUCAAGCAUCUAAGCUUGGGGAUGCCCCGGUUGGCAUCCCAUCUUUCUUCCUCAACAAUUAUCGGUAUACCUCGGUUUUUGUUUUGUUCACAUGAUUUUUGUCCUUUGUGUUUUUCUUUUUCUUUAAGAACCAUGCUAGUAUGAGAUAGACUUUCAUCAAUUUAUAGAAUACUUCAUGUGCUUCACUUAUAUCUUUUAAGUACGAUCUUAUAGACUUGCUCUUUGUGCUUCACUUAAAUCUUUUGAGUAUGGUUUUAUAGAAUGCUUCAUGUGCUUCACUUAUAUAUAUUGAGCUUGGAUAUUGGUUAGUCUAUAUCAAUUGUAGAAUGCUCCAUGAACUUCACUUAUAUCUUUUGGAGCAUGAAUAAUACUAUCAUUUAAAGUGGGUAUGGAAGAGUGUCAACUUUAGGAAUUAGUGAUCCCACUAUCUUGGAGGGUGUUGAAUCUUAGUGUGAUAUUUAUGAAAAUGGAUUUGGAAGAGUGUCAACUUUAGCUAGUAAUGAUUCCACUAUUUCGGAAGAGGUUCCAAUUGAGUAUGAGAACAAAGUUUCUAUCCAUGAUGCUACUGAAAAUUAUUAUGAGGGAGGAAUACAUGCUUGUAGGAGUUGCAAUAAUAUCAAGUUUCCUCUCUAUGUGCUUAAAGUUUUGAAGUUAUACUUGUUUUGCCUUCCUAUGCUAGUUGAUUCUUGUUCCCAUAAGUUGUGUGCUCACAAAAUCCCUAGGAAUAGGAAGUGGGAUAGAUUUAAAUGUGCUAGUCAUAUUCUUCAAGAUGCUCUCUUUGUGUUUCAAUUCUUGUCUAUUAUGUGAGCAUCAUUGAAAUCAUCAUGCCUAGCUAAAAGGCAUUAAAGAAAAGCGCUUGUUGGGAGACAACCCAAUAUUUACCCUUACUGUUUUUGUGUGUUUACAUGAUUAAGCUACUGUAUUAAUAAUAUUUUAUAGUUUUUGUUUCAAUAAAGUGCCAAGUAAGACCUUUGGGAAGUCUUGGGAGAAAGUCAAUGUGAUCUUGCUGUAAAAAACAGAAACUUUGCGCUCACGAGAUUAGCUGUCAAUUUUUACAGAAGUGUGAUUUUGAGUUGAUUCUUUUUGCAGAAGAUUAUUAGACAAAUUCCUCACGUCCACCAAUUUAUUUCAUAAUUUUUGGAGUAGCAUAAGUAUGGUUUAUGUUCAGAUCAUUACAGACUGUUCUGUUUCUGACAGAUUCUGUUUUGAUUGCAUAGUUUGCUUGUUUUCUAAUUUCUAUGACUUAUAUUUCUCAAUAUAAAUUGUAGAAAUGAUAUGGUACAGUAGGAAUUGUGUGAGAACAAUUAUGAACCUUGUCUUUGACAGUACCAAAGUGAAUGGUUUGCUCUUUAUCAUACUAACCUAUCUCACGAAGUUUGGUUAAGUUUUGUGUGAUUGAAGUUUUCAAGUUUUGGGUGAGAUAUCGAUAUGAGGAGAAUAAGGAGUGGAAAGACCCUAAGCUUGGGGAUGCCCAAGGCACCCCAAGGCAAUAUUCAAGGAAUACUCAAGUACCUAAGCUUGGGGAUGCCCCGGAAGGCAUCCCCUCUUUCGUCUUCAAAACUAUCGGUAUACCUUACUCGGAGCUAUAUUUUUAUUCGUCACAUGAUAUGUGUUUUGCUUGGAGCGUAUUUUCAAUUUUACUUGCUGUUUGAAUAAAAUCAUUGGAUCUGAAAUAUUGAAUGAAAAAGAAUCCUCCCAUGGCUAGUUAAUUAUUUGACUACUUAGUGUUCUUCACUCAUAUCUUUUGGAGUAGUUUGUCAUUUACUCAUGUGCUUCACGUUUAUCCUAUGAGUAAAUGGUUGAAUAAAUUGAAUGUCAUAAAUCUGAAUCUAUAUAUGUUUCAUAUCCUUAUAAUAUGGGGAGUAAUGACUUCACACAUAAUAAUUAUAGGUAGUAAACUUGUUGAAAGUUAGCAAACGUAGAAUUGGUGACUUGAACAAUUCAUGAAAGAAUAUUGAAGGGAGAGGGAUUUCACAUAUACAUAUACUAUCUUGGACAUCUUUUGUAAUUGUGAGCACUCAUUAAAAUAUGACAUGCUAAAAGGUUGAUGUUGGACAAGGAAGACAACGUAAUGGGUUAUGUUUUCUUAUAUCUGAAAUAAAGUAUAUUGUCAUGGAUCGCCCAACAUGUUGAGCUUACCUUCCCCCUCAUGCUAGCCAAAUUCUUUGCACUAAGUAGAGAUACUACUUGUGCUUCCAAAUAUCCUUAAACCAAGUUUUGCCAUGAGAGUCCACCAUACCUACCUAUGGAUUGAGUAAGAUCCUUCAAGUAAGUUGUCAUCGGUGCAAGCAAUAAAAAUUGCCCUCUAAAUAUGUAUGAUUGACUAGUGUGGAGGUAAUAAGCUUUAUACGAUCUUGUGAUGUGGAAGAAAUAAAAGCGACGGACUGCAUAAUAAAGGUCCAUAUCACAAGUGGCAAUAUAAAGUGAUGUUCUUUCGCAUUAAGAUUUUGUGCAUCCAACCCUGAAAGCGCAUGGCAACCUCUGCUUCCCUCUGCGAAGGGCCUAUCUUUUACUUUUAUCUCUUACCCUUAUGGAAGAGUCAUGGUGAUUUUCACCUUUCCUUUUUACAUUUUAUCCUUUGGAAAGCACCUUGUGUUGGAAAGAUUCUGAUAUAUAUAUAUCCAAUUGGAUGUAAGACAUCAUGAACUAUUAUUGUUGACAUUACCCUUGAGGUAAAAGGUCGGGAGGCAAAUCUAUAAGCCCCUAUCUUUCUCUGUGUCUGAUUAAAACUUUGAACCCAUAAAUAUCGCGUGAGUGUUAGCAAUUAUGAAAGACUAAAUGAUAGUUGAGUAUGUGGAGUUUGCUAAAUCAAAGCUCUGACAUAGACUCUUCCUGAAAAUAAGAUGGAUUGCAAUUGUUUGAUGACUGAGAAUAUUGUUUGUUAGUUUUCAAGAAAGUUUACGAUCUAUACUUUAUCAUGUGGAUAGCUUGUUACUUUAUCAUGAGAAGUUUUAUGAGAUGAGCUACUGUUAUGACAUGUAAUGAUGCUAGAAAAAGUGAUUGGAAUUAUCAUUGAUCAAACUUAAGCACUUGCUAGAAUUCACACUUCAUAAAUUAUUUCUUUUAUCAUUUACCUACUCGAGGACGAGCAGGAAUUAAGCUUGGGGAUGCUGAUACGUCUCCAACGUAUCUAUAAUUUAUGAAGUAUUCAUGCUGUAAUAUCAUCUAUACUGGAUGUUUAAUGGGCUUUAUUAUACACUUUUAUAUGAUUUUUGGGACUAACCUAUUAACCUAGAGCCCAGUGCCAGUUUCUGUUUUCUCCUUGUUUUAGAGUAUCGCAGAAAAGGAAAACUAAAUGGAGUCCAAUUGACGUGCCACUUGACGGAGAUCAUUUGUGGACCAGAAGAAGCCCACGGAGUACCAGAAGCAGGCCAGAAGAGUCCCGGGCUGCCCACGAGGGUGGGGGGCGCGCCCCCCUGCCUCGUGGAUAGCCCGGAGACCCCCCUGACGUGAAAUCAACACAAAACUCUUCUAUAUAUACCCAAACUUCCAGAAAGAAACCUAGAUCAGAAGUUCCACCACCGCAAGCCUCUGUAGCCACGAGAAGUCAAUCUAGGCCCUCUCCGGCACCCUGCCGGAGGGGGCCAUCAUCACCGGUGGCCUUGGAGGAGUAUCCCGGAGGGGGCCAUCAUCACCGGUGGCCUUGGAGGAGUAUCCCGUGAAGGAAAUAUGCCCUAGAGGCAAUAAUAAAGUUAUUAUUUAUUUCCUUAUAUCAUGAUAAAUGUUUAUUAUUCAUGCUAGAAUUGUAUUAACUGGAAACUUGAUACAUGUGUGAAUACAUAGACAAACAGAGUGUCACUAGUAUGCCUCUACUUGACUAGCUCGUUGAUCAAAGAUGGUUAUGUUUCCUAGCCAUUGACAUGAGUUGUCAUUUGAUUAAUGGGAUCACAUCAUUAGGAGAAUGAUGUGAUUGACUUGACCCAUUCCGUUAGCUUAGCACUCGAUCGUUUAGUAUGUUGCUAUUGCUUUCUUCAUGACUUAUACAUGUUCCUAUGACUACGAGAUUAUGCAACUCCCGUUUACCGGAGGAACACUUUGUGUGCUACCAAACGUCACAACGUAACUGGGUGAUUAUAAAGGUGCUCUACAGGUGUCUCCGAAGGUACUUGUUGGGUUGGCAUAUUUUGAGAUUAGGAUUUGUCACUCCGAUUGUUGGAGAGGUAUCUCUGGGCCCUCUCGGUAAUGCACAUCACUUAAGCCUUGCAAGCAUUGCAACAAAUGAGUUUGUUACAAGAUGAUGUAUUACGGAAUGAGUAAAGAGACUUGCCGGAAACGAGAUUGAACUAGGUAUCGAGAUACCGACGAUCGAAUCUCGGGCAAGUAACAUACCGAUGACAAAGGGAACAACGUAUGUUCUUAUGCGGUCUGACCGAUAAAGAUCUUCGUAGAAUAUGUGGGAGCCAAUAUGAGCAUCCAGGUUCCGCUAUUGGUUAUUGACCAGAGAGGUGUCUCGGUCAUGUCUACAUAGUUCUCGGACCCGUAGGGUCCGCACGCUUAAAGUUAGAUGACGGUUAUAUUAUGAGUUUAUGUGUUUUGAUGUACCGAAGGAGUUCGGAGUCCCGGAUGAGAUCAGGGACUUGACGAGGAGUCUCGAAAUGGUCAAGACGCAAAGAUCGAUAUAUUGGACGACUAUAUUCGGACAUCGGAAAGGUUCCGAGUGAUUCAGGUAUUUUUCGGAGUACCAGAGAGUUACGGGAAUUCGUAUUGGGCCUUAAUGGGCCAUACGGGAAAGGAGAGAAAGGCCCCAAAGGGUGGCCGGACCCCUCCCCAUGGACUAGUCCGAAUUGGACUAGGGAGGGGGGCGCCCCCUUCCUUCUUUCUCCUUCUCCCUUCCCUUCUCCUAUUCCAACAAGGAAAGGAGGAGUCCUACUCCCGGUGGGAGUAGGACUCGCCCCUUGGCGCGCCCUCCUCCUAGGCCGGCCGCCUCCCCCCUUGCUCCUUUAUAUACGGGGGCAGGGGGGCACCUCUAAAGGCAACAAUUGAUCAUUGAUCUCUUAGCCGUGUGCGGUGCCCCCUCCACCAUAUUACACCUCGAUAAUAUCGUAGCGGUGCUUAGGCGAACCCUGCGUUGGUAGAACAUCAUCAUUGUCACCACGCCGUCGUGCUGACGAAACUCUCCCUCAACACUCGGCUGGAUCGGAGUUCGAGGGAUGUCAUCGAGCUGAACGUGUGCUGAACUCGGAGGUGCCGUGCGUUCGGUACUUGAUCGGUCGGAUCGUGAAGACGUACGACUACAUCAACCGCGUUGUGUUAACGCUUCCGCUUUCGGUCUACGAGGGUACGUGGACAACACUCUCCCCUCUCGUUGCUAUGCAUCACCAUGAUCUUGCGUGUGCGUAGAUUUUUUUUGAAAUUACUACGUUCCCCAACAGUGGCAUCCGAGCCUGGUUUUAUGCGUAGAUGUCAUAUGCACGAGUAGAACACAAGUGAGUUGUGGGCAAUAUAAGUCAUACUGCUUACCAGCAUGUCAUACUUUGGUUCGGCGGUAUUGUUGGAUGAAGCGGCCCGGACCGACAUUACGCGUACGCUUACGCGAGACUGGUUCUACCGACGUGCUUUGCACACAGGUGGCUGGCGGGUGUCAGUUUCUCCAACUUUAGUUGAACCGAGUGUGGCUACGCCCGGUCCUUGCGAAGGUUAAAACAACACCAACUUGACAAACUAUCAUUGUGGUUUUGAUGCGUAGGUAAGAACGGUUCUUGCUCAGCCCGUAGCAGCCACGUAAAACUUGCAACAACAAAGUAGAGGACGUCUAACUUGUUUUUGCAGGGCAUGUUGUGAUGUGAUAUGGUCAAGACAUGAUGCUGAAUUUUAUUGUAUGAGAUGAUCAUGUUUUGUAACCAAGUUAUCGGCAACUGGCAGGAGCCAUAUGGUUGUCGCUUUAUUGUAUGCAAUGCAAUCGCCAUGUAAUUGUUUUACUUUAUCACUAAGCGGUAGCGAUAGUCGUAGAAGCAAUAGUUGGCGAGACGAUAACGAUGCUACGAUGGAGAUCAAGGUGUCGCGCCGGUGACGAUGGUGAUCAUGACGGUGCUUCGGAGAUGGAGAUCACAAGCACAAGAUGAUGAUGGCCAUAUCAUAUCACUUAUAUUGAUUGCAUGUGAUGUUUAUCUUUUAUGCAUCUUAUCUUGCUUUGAUUGACGGUAGCAUUAUAAGAUGAUCUCUCACUAAAUUUCAAGAUAAAAGUGUUCUCCCUGAGUAUGCACCGUUGCCAAAGUUCGUCGUGCCCAGACACCACGUGAUGAUCGGGUGUGAUAAGCUCUAUGUCCAUCUACAACGGGUGCAAGCCAGUUUUGCACACGCAGAAUACUCAGGUUAAACUUGACGAGCCUAGCAUAUGCAGAUAUGGCCUCGGAACACUGAGACCGAAAGGUCGAGCGUGAAUCAUAUAGUAGAUAUGAUCAACAUAGUGAUGUUCACCAUUGAAAGCUACUCCAUUUCACGUGAUGAUCGGUUAUGGUUUAGUUGAUAUGGAUCACGUGAUCACUUAGAGGAUUAGAUGGAUGUCUAUCUAAGUGGGAGUUCUUAAGUAAUAUGAUUAAUUGAACUUAAAUUUAUCAUGAACUUAGUCCUGAUAGUAUUUUGCAAAUUAUGUUGUAGAUCAAUAGCUCGCGUUGUUGCUUCCCUGUGUUUAUUUUUGAUAUGUUCCUAGAGAAAAUUAUGUUGAAAGAUGUUAGUAGCAAAGAUGCGGAUUGGAUCCGUGAUCUGAGGAUUAUCCUCAUUGCUGCAGAGAAGAAUUAUGUCCUUGAUGCACCGCUAGGUGACAGACCUAUUACAGGAGCAGAUGCAGACGUUAUGAACGUCUGGCUAGCUCAGUAUGAUGACUACUUGAUAGUUUAGUGCACCAUGCUUAACGGCUCAGAAUCGGGACUUCAAAGACGUUUUGAACGUCAUGGACCAUAUGAGAUGUUCCAGGAGUUGAAGUUAAUAUUUCAAGAAAAUACCCGAGUUGAGAGAUAUGAAGUCCCCAACAAGUUCUAUAGCUAAAAGAUGGAGGAGAAUAGCUCAAGCAGUGAGCAUGUGCUCAGAUUGUCUGGGUACUACAAUCGCUUGAAUCAAGUGGGAGUUAAUCUUCCAGAUAAAAUAUUGAUUGACAGAAUUCUAUAGUCACCAUCACCAAGUUAGUAGAACUUCGUGAUGAACUAUAGUAUGCAAGGGAUGACGAAAGUAAUUCCCGAGCUCUUCAUGAUGCUGAAAUCGACGAAGUUAGAAAUCAAGAAAAACAUCAAGUGUUGAUGGUUGACGAGACCACUAGUUUCAAGAAAAGGGCAAAGGGAAGAAGGGGAACUUCAAGAAGAAUGACAAGCAAGUUGCUGCUCAAGUGAAGAAGCCUAAGUCUGGUCCUAAGCCUGAGACUAAGUGCUUCUACUGCAAAGGGACUGGUCACUGGAAGCGGAACUACCCCAACUAUUUGGUGGAUAAGAAGGAUGGCAAAGUGAACAAAGGUAUAUUGGAUAUACAUGUUAUUGAUGUGUACUUUACUAGUGUUUAUAGAAACCCCUCGGUAUUUGAUACUGGUUCAGUUGCUAAGAGUAGUAACUCGAAACGGGAGUUGCAGAAUAAACAGAGACUAGUAAAAGGCGAGGUGACGAUGUGUGUUCGAAGUAGUUCCAAGAUUGAUAUGAUCAUCAUCGCACACUCCCUAUACUUUCGGGAUUAGUGUUGAAACUAAAUAAGUGUUAUUUGGUGUUUGUGUUGAGCAUGAAUAUGAUUUGAUCAUGUUUGUUGCAAUACGGUUAUUCAUUUAAAUUAGAGAAUAAUUGUUGUUCUGUUUACAUGAAUAAAACCUUCUAUGGUCAUACACCCAAUAAAAUGGUUUGUUGGAUCUCGAUCGUAGUGAUACACAUAUUCAUAAUAAUGAAGCCAAAAGAUGCAAAGUUAAUAAUGAUAGUGCAACUUAUUUGUGGCACUGCAGUUUAGGUCAUAUUGGUGUAAAGCGCAUGAAGAAACUCCAUACUGAUGGGAUUUUGGAAUCACUUGAUUAUGAAUCACUUGAUGCUUGCGAACAGUGCCUCAUGGGCAAGAUGACUAAAACGCCGUUCUCCAGACUAUGGAGAGAGCAACAGAUUUGUUGGAAAUCAUACAUACAGAUGUAUGUGGUCCGAUGAAUAUUGAGGCUCGUAGCAGGUAUCAUUAUUUUCUGACCUUCACAGAUGAUUUGAGCAGAUAUGGGUAUAUCUAUGUAAUGAAAUAGAAGUCUGAAACAUUUGAAAAGUUCAUAUAAUUUCAGAGUGAAGCGGAAAAAAUCAUCGUAACAAGAAAAUAAAGUUUCUACGAUCUGAUCGUGGAGAAGAAUAUUUGAGUUACGAGUUUGGCCUUCAGUUAAAACAAUGUGAAAUAGUUUCACUACUCACGCCACCUGGAACAACACGGUGUAAUGGUGUGUCCGAACAUCGUAACCGUACUUUAUUAGAUAUGGUGCGAUAUAUGAUGUCUCUUACCGAUCUACCACUAUCGUUUUGGGGUUAUGCAUUAGAGACAGCUGCAUUCACGUUAAAUAGGGUACCAUCUAAAUCCGUUGAGACGACAUCUUAUGAACUGUGGUUUGGCAAGAAACCAAAGUUGUCGUUUCUUAAAGUUUGGGGUUGCGAUGCCUAUGUGAAAAGGUUUCAUCCUGAUAAGCUCAAACCCAAAUCGGAGAAAUGUGUCUUCAUAGGAUACCCAAAGGAGAUAGUUGGGUACACCUUCUAUCACAGAUCCGAAGGCAAGACAUUCGUUGCUAAGAAUGGAUCCUUUCUAGAGAAGGAGUUUCUCUCGAAAGAAGUGAGUGGGAGGAAAGUAGAGCUUGAUGAGGUAAUUGUACCUGCUCCCUUAUUGGAAAGUAGUUCAUCACUGAAAUCAGUUCCAGUGAUGCUUACACCAAUUAGUGAGGAAGUUAAUGAUGAUGAUCAUGAAGCUUCGGAUCAAUUUAGUACCGAACCUCGUAGGUCAACCAGAGUGAGAUCCGCACCAGAGUGGUACGGUAAUUCAGUUCUGGAGGUCAUGUUACUUGACCAUGACGAACCUACGAACUAUGAGGAAGCGAUGAUGAGCCCAGAUUCCGCAAAAUGGCUUGAGGCCAUGAAAUCUGAGAUGGGAUCCAUGUAUGAGAACAAAGGGUGGACUUUGGUUGACUUGCCCGAUGAUCGGCAAGCCAUAGAAAAUAAAUGGAUCUUCAAGAGGAAGACGGACACUGAUAGUAGUGUUACUAUCUACAAAGCUAGACUUGUCGGAAAAAGGUUUUGACAAAGUUCAAAGUGUUGAAUACGAUGAGAUUUUCUCACUCGCAGCGAUGCUUAAGUCUGUCCGAAUCAUGUUAGCAAUUGCCGCAUUUGAUGAAAUCUUGCAAAUGGAUAAACAAAACUGCAUUCCUUAAUGGAUUCAUUAAAGAAGAGUUGUAUAUGAUGCAACCAGAAGGUAUUGUCAAUCCUAAAGGUGCUAACAAAAUAUGCAAACUCCAGCGAUCCAUCUAUGGACUGGUGCAAGCAUCUCGGAGUUGGAAUAUACACUUUGAUAAGUUGAUCAAAGCAUAUAGUUUUAUACAGACUUGCGGUGAAACCUAUAUUUACAAGAAAGUGAGUGGGACCACUACAACAUUUCUGAUAAGUAUAUGUGAAUGACAUAUUGUUGAUCGGAAAUAAUGUAGAAUUAUUCUGCAAAGCAUAAAGGAGUGUUUGAAAGGAGUUUUUUAAAGAAAGACCUCGGUGAAGCUGCUUACAUAUUGAGCAUCAAGAUCUAUAGAGAUAGAUGAAGACGCUUGAUAAGUUUUUCAAUGAGUACAUACCUUAACAAGAUUUUGAAGUAGUUCAAAAUGGAACAGUCAAAGAAAGAGUUUCUUGCCUGUGUUACAAGGUGUGAAAUUGAGUAAGACUCAAAGCCCGACCACGGCAGAAGAUAGAAAAAGAAUGAAAGUCAUUCCCUAUGCCUCGGCCAUAAGUUCUAUAAAGUAUGCCAUGCUGUGUACCAGAUCUAUUGUAUACCCUACACUGAUUUUGGCAAGGGAGUACAAUAGUGAUCUAGGAGUAGAUCACUGGACAACGGUCAAAAUUAUCCUUACUGGAAUAAGGAUAUGUUUCUCGAUUAUGGAAGUGACAAAAGGUUCGUCGUAAAGGGUUACGUCGAUGCAAGUUUUGACACUAAUCUAGAUGACUCUAAGUCUUGGUCUAGAUACAUAUUGAAAGAGGGAGCAAUUAGCUAGAGUAGCUCCGAGCAGAGCAUUAUAGACAUAGAACUUUGCAAAAUACUUACGGAUCUGAAUGUGACAGACCCGUUGACUAAAAUUAUCUCACAAGCAAAACAUGAUCACACCUUAGUACUCUUUGGGUGUUAAUCACAUAAGCGAUGUGAACUAGAUUACUGACUCUAGUAAACCCUUUGGGUGUUGGUCACAUGACGAUGUGAACUAUGGGUGUUAAUCACAUGGUGAUGUGAACUAUUGAUGUUAAAUCACAUGGCGAUGUGAACUAGAUUAUUGACUCUAGUGCAAGUGGGAGACUGAAGGAAAUAUGCCCUAGAGGCAAUAAUAAAGUUAUUAUUUAUUUCCUUAUAUCAUGAUAAAUGUUUAUUAUUCAUGCUAGAAUUGUAUUAACCGGAAACUUGAUACAUGUGUGAAUACAUAGACAAACAGAGUGUCACUAGUAUGCCUCUACUUGACUAGCUCGUUGAUCAAAGAUGGUUAUGUUUCCUAGCCAUCUACAUGAGUUGUCAUUUGAUUAAUGGGAUCACAUCAUUAGGAGAAUGAUGUGAUUGACUUGACCCAUUCCGUUAGCUUAGCACUCGAUCGUUUAGUAUGUUGCUAUUGCUUUCUUCAUGACUUAUACAUGUUCCUAUGACCAUGAGAUUAUGCAACUCCCGUUUACCGGAGGAACACUUUGUGUGCUACCAAACAUCACAACAUAACUGGGUGAUUAUAAAGGUGCUCUACAGGUGUCUCCGAAGGUACUUGUUGGGUUGGCGUAUUUCGAGAUUAGGAUUUGUCACUCCGAUUGUCGGAGAGGUAUCUCUGGGCCCUCUCGGUAAUGCACAUCACUUAAGCCUUGCAAGCAUUGCAACAAAUGAGUUUGUUACGAGAUGAUGUAUUACGGAACGAGUAAAGAGACUUGCCGGAAACGAGAUUGAGCUAGGUAUCGAGAUACCGACGAUCGAAUCUCGGGCAAGUAACAUACCGAUGACAAAGGGAACAACGUAUGUUCUUAUGCGGUCUGACCGAUAAAGAUCUUCGUAGAAUAUGUGGGAGCCAAUAUGAGCAUCCAGGUUCCGCUAUUGGUUAUUGACCGGAGAGGUGUCUCGGUCAUGUCUACAUAGUUCUCGAACCCGUAGGGUCCGCACGCUUAAAGUUAGAUGACGGUUAUAUUAUGAGUUUAUGUGUUUUGAUGUACCGAAGGAGUUCGGAGUCCCGGAUGAGAUCAGGGACUUGAUGAGGAGUCUCGAAAUGGUCGAGACGUAAAGAUCGAUAUAUUGGACGACUAUAUUCGGACAUCGGAAAGGUUCCGAGUGAUUCGGGUUUUUUCGGAGUACCAGAGAGUUACGGGAAUUCGUAUUGGGCCUUAAUGGGUCAUACGGGAAAGGAGAGAAAGGCCCCAAAGGGUGGCCGGACCCCUCCCCAUGGACUAGUCCAAAUUGGACUAGGGAGGGGGGCGCCCCCUUCCUUCUUUCUCCUUCUCCCUUCCCUUCUCCUAUUCCAACAAGGAAAGGAGGAGUCCUACUCCCGGUGGGAGUAGGACUCGCCCCUUGGCGCGCCCUCCUCCUAGGCCGGCCGCCUCCCCCCUUGCUCCUUUAUAUACGGGGGCAGGGGGGCACCUCUAAAGACAACAAUUGAUCAUUGAUCUCUUAGCCGUGUGCGGUGCCCCCUCCACCAUAUUACACCUCGAUAAUAUCGUAGCGGUGCUUAGGCGAAGCCCUGCAUCGGUAGAACAUCAUCAUUGUCACCACGCCGUCGUGCUGACGAAACUCUCCCUCAACACUCGGCUGGAUCGGAGUUCGAGGGACGUCAUCGAGCUGAACGUGUGCUGAACUCGGAGGUGCCGUGCGUUCGGUACUUGAUCGGUCGGAUUGUGAAGACGUACGACUACAUCAACCGCGUUGUGUUAACGCUUCCGCUUUCGGUCUACGAGGGUACGUGGACAACACUCUCCCCUCUCGUUGCUAUGCAUCACCAUGAUCUUGCGUGUGCGUAGAAUUUUUUUGAAAUUACUACGUUCCCCAACAUCCCAAAGGGGCCAUCAUCACCAUGAAGGCCAAGUACUAGAAGGUGGAGGCCAUGGAGGAGGAAGCACAAGGGGGAGAAUCUCUCCUCCUCUCUUCCGAUGGCGCCGGAGUGCCAUCGGGACGGGAAUCAUCGCCACGGUGAUCGUCUUCAUCAACAUCACCAUCAUCAUCACCAUCCUCAUCUCUUUUACGCGGUCUACUCUCCGGCACCCCGUUGUAAUCCCUACUUGAACAUGGUGCUUUAUGCCACAUAUUAUGAUCCAAUGAUGUGUUGCCAUCUUAUGAUGUUUUGAGUAGAUAUCUUUUGUCUUUGGGUUGAUUGAUGAUCUAGAUUGGUAUGAGUUGUAUGUUUUAUUUUGGUGUUGUCCUAUGGUGCCCUCCGUGUUGCGCAAGCGUGAGGGUUUCCCGCUGUAGGGUGUUGCAAUACGUUCAUGAUUCACUUAUAGUGGGUUGGUGAGUGACUGAAACACAAACCCGAGUAAGAGGGAUUGUUGCGUAUGGGAGUAAAGAGGACUUGAUGCUUUAAUGCUAUUUUUGGGUUUUAUCUUAAUGAUCUUUAGUAGUUGCGGAUGCGUGCUAGAGUUCCAAUCAUAAGUGCAUAUGACCCAAGUAGAGAAAGUAUGUUAGCUUAUGCCUCUCCCUCAUAUUAAACUGCAAUAGUCAUCACCGGUCUUGUCAACGGUUGCCUAGGACAAUUCCGUACAUCGAUCCACCAUUAUUCCACACUCGCUAUUUAUAAUAUUUAGUAAUAUAUUCUAACUUUAUGAUAACAACACCUACUUUUAUUUUCUAGCUCCCCAUUACCAUGCAAAGUUAUCCUCUUCAUACCCACAACGUAGUUUUAUUUCUCGUUUCUAGUUGGAAGCAAACGUUCGGUGCACGUAGAGUCGUAUCAAUGGCAGAUAGGGCUUGAGAGAAUAUUGAUCUUACCUUUAGCUCCUUGUGGGUUCGACACUCCAUACUUAUCACUUCUACCUUUGGAAAUUGCUACGAUGAUUCCCUGCACUUGGGGAUUAUCAGGGUCCUGUCCGCGACCGGUCCACUGCUCGUCCGCACCGGCACGGGCCGUUCGGCUCCCAACGAGCCAAUCGCCGUGGCCGUCUUCUUCUUAGUAUCCAUGGAGACGAAGAACUGCUAGGCUGACUACUAGACCAGAUUCUCACAAUCGCGCCCCCUACCUGGCACGCCAAAGAUGUCGGUGUGGAACGACACCGAUGGGAUCACAAGAAUCCCUACUAUGGUUGCCGGGGCGCGGGGUUGCAAGAAGAGCAGGAUCAGUAGUCAGCACAAGGAUCGUUUACCCAGGUUCAGGCCGCGAGGAUGCAUAAAACCCUAGUCCUGCUUUGGUGGGUGUAUUUCAGAGAGUUCUUGAGCUCUCGAACUAGCUGUGGUGAGUGUGUGGUUCGAAAGAGCCGAAUCCUUCUCCAGUAUGCCAUGGGCCUCCUUUUAUAGGCGAAAGGGGCUACCACAGUGGCAUACAGGAGGUGGAAAGGCGCACAGUGCUAUGAGCUUAUCGCUCGUAUUACAGGACAAGACGCAUUUAAUGCCCUACUAAGGUGUCCCCUUGCUUUAUCGGGGACGGGGGCGAGGCCCGUCCCGUCCGUCGCCGCUCCUCCUUGCUUCGACACACGCCCUGGCCAGCGAUGCGUGCAACGCCAUGUAGGCAGGCAGGCAGCUGAGGUGGCGCGGUGGUAGGGUCUUCACGAAGAUCUACAUGCGGCCACGCAGGCGCUUGAUGAGUUGGCCUGGAAGCUGCACGUUGCCACGCAGGUGCCUGCCCAGCUGGUCGGGCUGGCAGCUGCAUGUGAACGGCGGUGGAGACUUGGUUGGUGCAGGCCUGGCAGUGGCCCUGCUGGCGUCUUUGGCAAGGGCCUUGCCGGGUGGCCCGGCAAGGGUCUUGCCGUGGCGCGUUGUCGUCCCCGGCAAGGAUCUUGCCCGGGGUCUCGUGGCUUUCCUCGGCAAGGUGCCGAGGAUCGUCGUCUUCUAAUACUCAUCUAAUCUUGGGUAUGUCUUCACAAAGAUCUGCAUGCCACCACAGAGGUGCCUCCCAAGCCCUGGCCCGACGUGGAUGAUGGUGUUGGGGACCGUGGGCUCAAGGGUGGUUCGCUCUAUUGGUGUGGGGUGAGCUGCCCCGACAAGGGUCUUGCCGGGGCUGCCCCGGCAAGGGUCUUGCCGGGGGAACCUGCUUCAUCCCUCUGCUCCUUGUGGUCUUGGCCUUGGCGUUGCUCUGGUUAUCUUGGGCUUUGGUUUUACCUUGGUUCACCUCCCCUGUUCUGCUUGGUGUGACUGUGGGCGCGGCUCCGACUACCCGUGCACAGGUAAAGGGGUACAAAGGUGCGCCCCUUCUUUUGUACACCGACAGGAGCCCCCGGGCCUGGGCCACACAUAAGCGCGACACGUUGUUGGGCCAGGCCCAAAAUGGUGCGCGGGCAGGUGGGGCGGUUUUUACCGUGGUAAAACUUUUCACGCGCUACGCUUCCCACCCCCCGCGCAGCAUGGCGUGGAGGGGUGCGCGUGACGUGGGCGGCAUGCGUGGGGCGGUUCCUGCAUGCAUGCGUCACAUCGCAGUAAAGAGGCGGCUCGCGCCUUCCCCGUAAAAAGAGGGAGGCGUGGAGGCGCGGCUCAAUUACUGAAUGGGGCCGGGUCACGGUCUUCAAGGCGUCCACACCCCACGAUCACGGGGUGGGGAGAGGUCGCUUCACCCGUCCCCUCGGUUCUGCACGUCCGCCACGCGUCCUUCAUGCGCUUGUGGUGGCAAGCGGUGGAGGCGGGAAACCGGGCCGUCGCUGGUUGGGGCAGUGGGUCGGUCCCGAUUCCCUGCGCCUCUGGUGGCUGGAUUGGCCGAGCGGGGCGCCCGAGCCCCGACCCCGCCCCUUUAUAAGGAGGGGGAAGGGGGGAUGGCGUCCCGCACUCUUCUGUCAUCUAUCUCCUCUCGCUUCUGCUUCUUCCUUUCACUCGCCAUGGAGAAAGGGAAUCCUGGUCCCUCGACGGUGGCGGCGAGGGUCGCCGCUCGAUAGCGCGUCCCUCCUCCUCCUGAGCCCGCGGUGGUAGAGCCGGCCGCAAGGGGAAGGGGGAGGGGGCAAGGCCGUGGGCGAGGCCGGGGCAGAGGUCGUAGUGCUCGGGGAAGAGGAGGACGGGGCGGCGCGCCGGCUUCGCCCCCGCCAAUGAUGCCAUUUCCGAUGGAAGGCCAUGUUGGAGACCAACCCUGUGAAUUCUUCAUUAGGCUGCGCCGGCCUCCGUGUCGCCGUCUUUGUCUUCCCGCCCCGUUUGCUCAGGAGAUGGAGCGUGACCCGCCCCAAUCCCUCAGAUUGCAGAUGAGGGGCUGUGGGAAUGGGGGCACGCGGGUCGACGUCGACUUCCCAACUCCUCGGGUGAUGUACCUCCGUCGCGGAUGGAAGACGUUCGCUCGCAUCCACAGCCUGACGGCGGGGCUCGUCCUCUACUUCAAAUUAAUGGAGGACGGCCUGCUCUCCGUCAAGGUCUUCGGAGACUUCGGGACUCGCCUAAAGUGCUGCCUGGAGAGCUCCUCCGACGGAGAUUCCGAUGAUGGAAGCUCUUCCUCGAGCGAAAGUGAUGAGGAGGACAGCGGGGCAUAUGACGGGGACGAGUCCGACUAGGUGUCGGACGCCCCGCGCCUGGGCGGGUGCGGCAGCAGCGGGAUCUGCACCUGGCUGCUCCUCCGGCAGAGUUUUGCCAGGGGCGGGGCCAGCUCCUUGAACUUCUCGGGGCCGUCUCCUUGGGCGGCUGGCGUCGGGAGGCUGCGGAAGAGGAAGAGGGCGGGCGGCAAGGCCAUCAACUCGGAGUACGCGGGCACCGACGCCUUCAUCGCGUAUUGCCAGUCCUGCCGCCUCGUCUUCCAGCUCCUUUCCCGGCACCGUCAUCACUGGCCCACCUGUGGGCGGCCACCGAGGUGUUCUCUUGGUGCUUUCUGCUGCUCGUAGCUCGCCUAGGUGCCCCUUUUGCCCUCUCGCCUCCUUGACCUACCUCCUAAGGAGAGGGACAAGAAAGGGAUUACGGGCAUCUUAUCUCUUUUUUAGUUUGUAAGCCUGCGGGCCUUCGUUAAAUUUAGAACUUGUAAUCCCCUUGCUCAUGUUUUUCAUUCUGUAUGAACUGUACCUGUAUGGGAUGUUUUUAAUGAAAAAGGGAUGCUUGCCGGGUUUUUCGUUCGUGGGUAGACCCCGCGACAAGGAGCAAAUCCUUGUUAUUAUUUAAGAUAAACCUUUUUCGCCCGGCAACAGGCCUUGCCGCCCCCCUCACUUCACUCGACCAUUCUCGCGCUCUUGGCGGAGGCAGGGAUGAAGUGGGCUUAGGCUCCUCGUUCUAUCUCCUUGCCGCCGCGGCUACAACCAAAUCCAGACCUAGAAGAUAAUCCUUAGGUAUAGGAAAAAGGGGAGCACGGUAGCCUGGAGAUAAAACGAGGUUUCACAUGCCCCAGUUCCAUUCCGAAAUGCAUGACAGAGGAUGAAAGACUUAUCUGGAUCUGCAGCCCCUGGCAACCUCAUCUUGCUGCGAUUGGAUCCUUGUGCUUGCAGCCCCCGGCAACUCUGGUUUGCCGGGGUCGGGACGUCGGUCCGUUUCCUUUCUUCCAAGUAGCUUACCAGAAGUGCUCAUGUGCCCUGCGAACCAAAGGAGGACAGAAAAGAAACAGAUAGACGCGCACUCGAUCUCUAGGCUAGGGGUUAGUCGCCGCUAAGCACUAUCAACCCUAACCAAGGAAGAGACUCGACCUAGCAUGCAUGCUAUAACUUAGGGCGCCAGUGCUUCAUUUAUUUAUGCUCAGGGUCUGUGCCUGGCUUUGUACAAAGGGUCACAUGCCUUGCCGGCAAAGCUUGUACAAAAGGUGGCUUGCCGAGAGGCCCGACAUGCCGCGCCUUAUGGGUAAAACUUGCGAAGAUGCCCGAUGUUCCAGGAGUUUCUCACUGGGACAUCAUCUUCAGUCUCCAGGCGGACUGCGCCGGGCCUGGUGACUCGCAUUACCCGAUAAGGGCCUUCCCACUUUGGCGUCAACUUGUUGGAAUUCUUGGCCGACUGAACGCGCCGAAGAACAAGGUCGCCUUCCUCAAAGCUUCGGGCAUGAACCUUGCGGCUAUGGUAGCGGCGCAAGGCUUGCUGGUAGCGUGCUGCUCUCACAGUCGCCCGAAGACGAUCUUCCUCAAGGAGCGUCGCGUCAUCUUGGCGCAACUGCUCUUGCUCAAGCUCAUCAUAAGCGAGCACUCGAGGUGACCCGUAUAUGAGUUCCGUGGGGAGAACUGCUUCUGCCCCGUAUACCAGGGCAAGAGGUGUCUGGCUGGUGGCUCGAUUUGGCGUCGUCCUGAUCAACCAAAGAACUGUCGGCAAUUCAUCAAUCCAACGCCUUCCACUCUUGUGCAGCUUGUCAAAGGUCUUCGUUCUCAGGCCUCGCAACACUUCAGCAUUUGCCCUCUCCGCUUGGCCGUUGCUGCUUGGGUGUGCCACGGAAGCAAAACAGACCUUGCUACCGAGGUCUUGAAUGUAUUGCAUGAAGGUGUGGCUUGUGAACUGCGUGCCGUUGUCGGUGAUGACUCUGUUUGGCACACCAAAACGGCAGACCAGUCCCUUGAAGAACUUGACGGCUGACUGAGCAGUCACCUUUCUCACUGCUUCCACUUCCGGCCACUUUGUGAACUUGUCGAUUGCAACGUACAAGUACUCAAAGCCCCUGACAGCGCGGGGGAAAGGGCCCAGUAUAUCGAGCCCCCAGACCGAGAAUGGCCAGGAGAGAGGGAUUGUUUGAAGGUCUUGAGCUGGUUGAUGAAGCUUCUUUGAAUGGAACUGACACGCUUCACACUUGGUUACUAGUGUCGUUGCAUCCUGGAGGGCGGUGGGCCAGAAGAAACCUUGUCGGAACGCCUUUCCGGCAAGGGCCCUCAACCCUAUGUGGGAGCCACAUAUGCCUCCAUGUAUCUCUGCCAACAGCUCCAGUCCAUCCUCCCGGGGGAUGCACUUCAGUUUCACACCGUUCGGCCUUCUCCUGUACAGGAGGUCAUCGACGAACUGGUACAGGGCGGACCGACGGGCUACUUUUUCCGCUUCUUCCUGCUCCUCAGGAAGUUCCCCUAUUUGGAGGAAUUGGACGGUAGGUUGCGCCCAUGCCGGAGCCCGGGGCUGAACGGCAAGGACCAAAGGCAUCUCUUCCGCCAUGGGAGCGGCUGUCUCUACGGCCAGGGCUUGACGCCCUGCCGGAGCCAGUUGCUCUUGGGCAGGCCCAGUGUCCGCGGCAGCACCCUUGCCGGCAGCCCCAGGGGGCUCGAUAGGAAAGUACUUGCCGGGACCUGACUUCCUCCGCUUGUUCUGCCCCGUUGAUGGCUCGACGGAUGGUUGAGUUAACCGGAGCAAAAAGGUACCUGGUUCCACAUGUAGCUUGAAUGCAGCACGCUUUGACAGGUAAUCGGCGAUGUCGUUCUCCAUUCGGGGGACAUGCUCCGCUUGGAUACCGUCAAAGCGUUCCUCCAGCUUCCUCACCUCAUCUACGUAGGUCUCCAUCAAUGGGCUCUGGUAAUCCUUGUUGACCUGCCUAACAACAAGCUGCGAGUCACCCCUGACGAUGAGCUUCUUAACCCCGAGGUCUGCCGCGAUCCUGAGACCGGCGAGCAAUCCCUCGUACUCAGCAGUGUUGUUGGUGGACAUCUCCCUGGGGAAGUGCAUCUGGAUCACGUACUUGAGGUGCUCUCUGGUGGGCGCGACGAGCAGCACACCGGCACCGGCGCCUUGCAGUGAGAAAGCCCCAUCAAAGUACAUGAUCCAGUCGCGGUCUGCUUCCUUGCCGGGGAGAGUGGUCUCCUGGAUUUCUUCGCCAGGCGUUGAGGUCCAUUCUGCGAUGAACUCCGCCAAGACUCUACUCUGGAUUUUCGAGGUACUUUCAAACUUCAAACCGAAACUUGAUAACUCUAAGGCCCAUUCCACAAUCCUUCGUGUUGCAUCUGGGUUAUGCAGUAUCCGUUGCAACGGGAGGCGGGUGACGACAGUGAUCUCGUGGGCUUGGAAGUAAUGAUGUAGAUUCCUCGAGGCCAUAAGGAGGCCGAAGAGCAAUUUUUGCACACCGGAAUACCUCGACCUAGCCCCUGCAAGAGGGAGCUGACAAAGUAAACCGGGUGUUGCAUCAUCUUCUUCUUCUGCACCACCUCACCCGACUGCGCGGGCACUGCCUUGGUGGCAUCAAACUCUGCCGGGGGCCGCGCCUUGCCGGCACCAGGCCCUGCAGGGGGAAUCUUUGGCUUGCCAUCCGCUGGUUCUGCCGCCGUCACUGCCUCCUCGUCGACCUCCCUCUGUGCCACCAGUGCGGCACUAACCACUUGAUUCGUCGCUGCUAGAUAUAGCAGCAACGGCUCUCGUGGUUUAGGCGCAACCAGUAUUGGCGUGGAGGAAAGGUAUUUCUUCAGAUCCUGCAAUGCUGCCUCGGCUUCUGGGGUCCACUCCAUUGGGCCUGCCUUCUUCAAGAUUUUGAAGAAAGGAAGGGUGCGCUCGGCGGACUUGGAGAUGAAUCGGCUCAUGGCGGCGACGCAGCCGGUGAGCCGACGCACAUCUUUGAUCCGCUUGGGCGCCUCAAUCUGCUCAAUAGCCUUGAUUUUGUCUGGGUUUGCCUCGAUCCCACGCUGUGACACAAAGAACCCGAGAAGCUUGCCGGACGGAACACCGAAGACACACUUCUCAGGGUUCAGCUUGAGGUUGAUCUUGCGCAGGUUGGCAAAUGUCUCUUCCAGAUCUUUCACAAGAGUGGGCCCGUCCUUGGUUUUGACCACUAUGUCGUCCAUGUAUGCCUCCAUAUUUCUAUGGAGCUGAGGUUCAAAACCAAUUUGGACCACUCUUGCAAACGUCGAGCUAACACUCUUCAACCCGAAAGGCAUCCGUGAAAAGCAAUACGUACCACAUGGGGUGAUGAAUGCUGUCUUUUCUUCAUCCUCUCUUUUCAUGAAGAUUUGGUGGUAGCCCGAGUAGGCGUCGAGGAAUGAUAACAGAUCACACCCGACCAUGGAGUCAACAAUCUGGUCGAUGCGCGGCAACGGGAAGGGGUCCUUAGGACAAGCCUUAUUGAUAUCUGUGUAAUCAAUACACAGCCUCCACUUCCCAUUCGCCUUGCGCACCACUACCGGAUUGACCAACCACGUCGGGUGGAGCACUCUUCUCACCAAACCUGCCGCUUCCAACUUCCUAAUCUCCUCUGCGAUGAACUCCUGACUCUCCAGAGCCUGCUUUCUGACCUUCUGCUUGACGGGCCGCGCAUGAGGGCACACAGCUAGGUGGUGCUCAAUCACCUCCCUGGGAACACCGGGGAUGUCAGAUGCUUGCCACGCAAACACGUCGACAUUCGCCCGCAGGAACGUGACGAGCACGCCUCCCUAUUUGCUGUCGAGGGUGGAGCCUAUGGUGAAGGCCCCUCCCGUGCCAUCCUCCCUGGCGGACACCUUCUUGGUCUGCGGUGGCUUGGCUCUGGAUUUCUUGCUCUUGCCGGUAACCUCUCUGGCACGUCCUCGACGGUAGCGUAGCACUCCCAAGAGGCGUGCUUGUCGGAGUGGGUGUGAGAGGUCUUGCCGGGCUUUCUCUUCCCUUCCGGGCCUUCAGCGGCAGGAGCAGGUGCCUUGGCGGCAGCUGCUGCAACUGCUUCCUGGUAGAGUUGGUCGGCGCAGAUCAGCGCGUCCUUCUUGUCGGAGGGGACGAAGAUGAUGGUCAACGGCCCGGGCAUCUUUAGCAUGUUGUAGGCGUAGUGUGAUGCUGCCAUGAACUUGGCUAGUGCCGGGCGACCGAGGAUCCCGUUGUAGGGCAAGGGGAUCUCGGCCACGUCGAAGGUGAUCCUCUCCAUCCUGUAGUUCAACUCUCCUCCAAACUUCACGGGUAGUGUGAGCUUCCCCUUCGGCUGGCUCCUCCCCGGAUUGACCCCUUGAAACGUGCCUAUUUCCUCGAGGUCUCCAUCAGGAAUUUGCAGCCUUUUGAUCACGACAGGCGAGAUCAAGUUCAGGUCGGCCCCGCCGUCAACCAACAUCUUAUUCACCUUGAUGUUGCAUAUUGUUGGUGAGACCAACAAUGGCAAACACCCGACCGCGGUUGUGCGGUCAGGGUGGUCCUCGGCAUCAAAGAUGAGGGGCGUGCUGGACCAUUUCAGCGGCUUCUGAGCGUCGAACGAUGGUUCCGCUGCUGUAAUCUCACGCGCCCACUGCUUUAGCUGGCGGUGAGAAGAAUGCAGCGAGGCGCCACCAUCGACGCACAUGGCCUCCGUAGCCUUCUGGAACUCUUGCUCACCGGACUCGUCGUCCUCGUCGCGAUCAUCGUCUUCUUGUUUCUUGUCACGGCCUCGGGCUGGCCUCUCUUGGUGGUUGUCUGUCAGGACCCCGAUUCCAACUCACAUCGAUCUAGCCGGUAACACCUCAUAUCACUUUGCGGCCUCACGCACGGUAUUCCCACGGGUGUCGCCUUACCAUGGCCCGGGACCGUUUGCGCCUUUUGGCUCACGUAUAUGACAGUGUCGCUAGCAUCCAUAUGACAGAGAACCCGGGCCGACAUGACUAGUCGUGAACCCAAAGUGGCACUAACUUACGGGGACAGACAUACAUGAAUCAACAUCGAGCAUGUCGGUCAGCAGCGUGCGAAUCCGGGCUGUAGCACUGGGCUAACAGGACUCCGGUGAACGGGGCAGUAGCAGGCUAGGCAGGACUCCGGAUGUCACCGCGUGACAUUUCCCCGAAGGGACAGACACAGGAAUGAACUGAAUCACAUGCCAGUCAGUCAAGUGUUCUGGAGCAGUAGUGCUGGGCUAGCAGGACUCCGGUGAACCGGGCUGUAGCGGACUACUAUGGCUCAUGGAGGCACAAGACUACAUUUCGCCAUAAGAGAGGCUACCAAGGAUAAACAACUAGGUUGUCGGAUCCCACACAUACCAAGCAUUUCAAUCAUACACACAAUAUGCUCGAUAUGUGUAAAUACAACAUGGCAUCACAACAAAACUCUACAACUGUAUUUAUUCAAUAGGCUCCGAGGAGCGAGAUAUUACAAACAUGGGUCUCAUGACCCAACAUUCAGAGCAUACAAGUCAAAGCACAUGCGGAAGCUUAACAUGUCUGAGUACAGACAUCUACAAAUGAAAAAGGCUGAGAAGCCUAACUAUCUACAAGACCCUCCCAAGGGUACAAGAUCGUAGCUGAGGUAACAAGCAAAACGUCGAAGUCCACGCGGAACUACUAGCGAGACUGAAGUCUCUCUGCAAAACAUAAAAUAAGCAAACGUGAGUACAAAUGUACCCAGCAAGACUUACAUCAGAACUAUCUACAUAUGCAUCGGUAUCAACAAAGGGGUGGUGGAGUUUAACUGCAGCAAGCCAGCUUUGACUCGGUGGCUAACCUGAACUAGAACUGCAAGUAACUCUGUUGAGGUGGCGCACACGAGUCCACAUAUUCACCAUAUCAAUACACCACUAUGGAUCCGCUCCCGUCUCCCUACGAGAACACCAUCCAUAGCACUCACGCUUAUCUUGCGCAUUUUAGAGUAUCCACUUUCACUUGUCUAUGAACUGUACAGGCAACCCAGAAUUCCUUUUCCGCGGACACGGCUAUUCGAAUAGAUGAUGUUAACCCUGCAGGGGUGUACUUCUUGACACACGCUCUCGCCACUUAUCUCCAUGUACACGUCGUGUAUCUCGGCAACCUUCAAGCGGAAGCCUGGCAAGGGAGUCGGCCACGACCUGACUAACCACGCAAGUCUCUAGUCCAAGUUUAUAGCCUAUUCGGUUUCCAUCCGCAAGGAGAUCCGGCCAGGGUGUCGCUCACGGCCCCAAACGAUGUGAGCAGGGUUCCCAAGCCCAUCAUCCGGGUGCCACUUGGUACACCGUGCCACUUUGCCUAGUCUGUCCCAAGCCCACCUGUACCGGGUGCCACUUGGUAGACUACUAACACUACCUACAAACACCAGAAACUAGUUGCAACUCCUGGACAGAGAUCAGGUUGAUUAAUAAGUCGAGAGGGGCACUUAAGCAUUCCAAUGCGUGGUAGUAACUGUUCAUGGAUCACAAACACAUAACUCAGUUCCUGAGGACGGCUGCAAUGAGACAACCCACCAUGUACUCCUACAUGGCCUCUCACCGCUACCUUUACCAAAUCGUGUUCACACACCUAGCUCUCAGCAGUAGGACAUGUUCACCACAUUCCAAUUCAAUCGGACCUGACUCAACUCUAAGCAGUAGCAGGCAUGACAAACAAGCGCGAAUGAGUAGGCACAUCAGGGCUCAAACAACUUCUACUCAUGCUAGUGGGUUUCAUCUAUUUACUGUGGCAAUGACAGGUCAUGCAGAGGAAAGGGGUUCAACUACCGCAGCAUGUAACAGCUGAAUCGCUGUUGUCCUAAUGCAGUAAAAGAGAGCAGGAGCGAGAGAGUGGGAUUAUAUCGGAAUGAACAAGGGGGUUUUGCUUGCCUGGCACUUCUGAAGAUAGCAUUGAGUCUUCAUUAGUGUCAACGAUCACAACGUCGGAACAACGUCUACAGAGGGGGAACAACACCGACAAACAAGAAGGAACACAAUCAAUGCGAUGCAACAACAUGAUGCAUGAUCAUGACAUGUAAAUAUGCUAUUGAUUGAGCUAAUGCAACUAGCAACCAGAUUAAAUGAAGUUGGUUUGAACCAAAGGUUCAAAUUCAAACUCCAUAUAAGACAUUUCAAAUGCCAUUUAUUCAAAUUGUCAUAUACAGUGGCCGUAAGUUGUUCAAACAUGCAUGAGGAUGCCAUAAACAGAUUCUUUGGAUUUUUCUGAUAAUUUUUCAUAUAUAAAUUAUUUCAUUCUGAGCUACGGUUCAAUUUCUAUGAUUUUUAGAAGUUUGGGGUAUUUUCUGAAAUUUAUAAAUCAUUUCUGAUUUAUUUUAAUUCCAGAAAACUUUACUACGUCAGCAUUAAGUCAUGCUGGCGUCAGCUGGUCAACAGGACCAUCCAGGUCAAACCUGACAGGUGUGGCCCACCUAUCAUUGACUCAGUGCUAACCAGGGUUUAGUUAAAUCCUAACUAAAGUAAUUAGAAGGGCUGGGGCCCACAGUCAGCGAGUCAGUGGGUUAGCUAAAAUUUAAUUAGCAUCUAAACUAAAUUAGCAGGGCCUCGGGCCCACAUGUUAAUGACCCAGGGGGGUCAAACCCUGGUCAACUCGGUCAAACCUGCCGGCGACUCGACGCCGGCGAGGCCAGACGCGGCGGGGCACCUCGGGUUUCGCCUACAGGGCAUGGCUUGCGACACGGUUGGGUUCCACGACGAGCUGGGGCUCAUGCGCAUCCAGCGGUGGUAGUGAGAGGGCGCGAGGUGGUCUGUUGCGGCGGCAGUGGCGAGUUGGGCGGCGGCCAGAGCUCUGGCGUCGACGGAAUCGACGACACGGCGUGCGGGAGGACCAACGUUUUGUACCUACGUGAUCUACGAGAGCUCACGAACCCAACGGAGGCACGCACGGGACCAAAUGGCCACCGGAGCCUCAUCGGCGACGAGCUCGUGCGGCGGCGUGGUUCGGGCAUCAAUGAAAAAUGCGGCUACAAUGAGCGCUAGGCCGCGGGGUUAGGAGAAACGACGGCGAAGCUCACAGUGAUCACGAAGAGGGGCUCGGCUUGAUCGGGGACGGCUUGGCGACGGCGAAUUGACGUCGGCAGUGACCGACUCCCGAGGUUGAAGACGGUGGCGAUGAUGACGCUAUGGAGCGUCCCGGCUGGCUUGGCUCGGUGGAGAUGAUGAGGAAGAUGACGCGGAGCUCGUGGGCACAACAGAGGGGCGAGGGGGUAGCUGUGGCCGUGGUGGUUCUCGUCGGCGGUCUCGGGUGCGUACGGUCGGUCAUGGGAGAGAGAGUCAGAGAGGGGAUGGGGACGAGCAAGCGGUCGAGGGACGCGCGGGAGAGUGCGUGGCGUCCGUAGCCAGCGCUAGGCGUUCAGCGGCAAGCAGGAGGUGGCCAGGCGCGUGCCAGCGCGCCGCGGCCACGCGCUCCUGUCCUCCUGGCGCGACGAGGGAGAUGACUGGCAGUGCUAGGUGGGCUGGGCCGGUAAGCUACAGGUGAGCGCCAGGUAAGUUUCUCUCUUUUCCUAUUUUUCUUUCUGUUUUCUAUUUAUUUUGCUCUGUUUUGAUUUAGUAAUAAUACUAAACCAUUUUUGUUGCUUCUGAAAUUAUUUGUGGAUGCAAUAUGGACUAGCCCAAAGCCCCACAAUAUUUUUCAAAAUGAUUGGAGUUAUAAAAGUAUUUAUAGGAAUUUAUAACCCCAAGUCAAAUACAAUAUGAGUUAAUUCAAAAAUCCAAAAAUGUCCUAGAAAUAUAUUCAUCAUUUUUGGCAGAGGUUUCUACCUUAACCAAAAAUCAUGAACUUUUCUUGAGGCAGUUUGGGUUCAUUGAAAAUGUUUUCAAGUUGAACCUAGUUGAGUUCUUUUGGUGCUAGGGAUUGAUCACCCCUAUUUCAAAUUUAGAUAAAAUUUAAACAUGAUGCAACACCAGAUGCUGGCACUAGGCAUUACCAGAACUAGGGAUGUGACAACUCACCCCCACUAAACAAGAAUCUCGCCCCGAGAUUCAAGAUGUGAGGUAAGAAGACAGGGAGGCACAAAGCUAACACAAACUUCACGAUCCAGGUUGCACUUCAUAAGAACGUUGAUUCGAUCAUCAUCCUUGUCUUGACAUCUUGUUCUGAGAACUCCAUCCAGCAUGACAACGAGAAGAAAGGGAAAACUCUAGAAGAAUCAAUCUUCAUGAAGAUCGAGCAACUGACGAUCAACUCACGGAAUGAGACGUAGGAACACCUCUUGAGUUUGAGAGUCAAAACACACCUCGGAGGGAUUUGUAAGGAGCUGAUGACGAAGGUUCAAUUUGUUAGGCAACAAUUCCACGCUUGAACAAGAUGGUUGAUAGGUUUCAAAGUAGCGAGGAGAUACUGUCAUGAUUCCAUAAUGGGGCACCUUAGGGAAGGUGACUCGUAGAGCUAUCCCCUUAAGUGGCAAAAGAAUUACUUUCGAUACAGAGAUCAUUGAAACUCUCUACACCAGCCUAAGGCAAAUCUCAUCCGAUUGGUUGAAAGAGUUUGAAGGGAUGGCACACUCAUACUAGAAUGGACGAUGUGGACUACCUUGUUGAAGACAACGCAACGAAUGAUUUUUGCUUAUCACCGAAAAUGGAUGGGACCCAUGGUAGGACCACUUCUGAAGAUGAUCCUGAACAGCAAUUACUGAGAGGGGCAGCCCAUGGGAGAUUGGCACAAUGGCGGUGCAAGCUGGGAACAAGAUGCAAAUGUUGGGAAUGUUCCAACCAUCAUAUCUGCCUGAGAUUCAGAUCUGGUUGGUAACAGAAUAUUUCAGACAACAUGCCUGAAAAGGAAAGGUUGCAACACAAAUUGACGAGACAACGUUGCAAGAUUCUCGGAAAACAAACUACGAUAGUAAGCUCCAAAACAUGAGCUGGUUCUGCUACACACAUGUGAAUACGCUGUCCCAGACAAGCUUGACCACAUAGUAGUCUUAUAAUAAAACACUACCGAGUUCUGAUUGGGAACCAUCAUUGAGGGUAACGAAGUCUUGUGCAUGACCUAGGAUUAGCAGUUAACUUCUUUUCCUAGAACAAAUCAAUCAGUGGCUUGGUGUGCUAGGGAAUACAUAUGGAGUGGAGGUAAUUAAUCUACCAAACCAUAGAAUACUUCGCACGUAUGCAUGACUGGUUUGGGAUGAUUCCAAAGGAAACAAAACAAACCUUUCUCAAAUUCAUGGCGGCAACUUACAACUAAUGCAAGUGAACUUGGAGAAAGUCAUUUCUUUCACCAAAACAUAUACCUCAUGAGCGAAACACGAAGGCAAUGCUUACAAAGUUUCCAACACUAGCUCAAUGUUCAACAUGAAUCAUGGAGGAGACAAGAUGCUGCUGAUGGGCUCAACAGCAACUCAUCGGAAUUUCCAUAUCACUGGAAUUCCACCAUUAUGUGAACAAUGUGAUAGUAUUUCUCAGACCCAAAAGAUAUAAUGGUGUAUGCUCGAGGAAACAACCAUGAGUAAGACAACAUUACGAUUAUCGUUGGUUCUGAUUUGAUUUGAUGAUAGCCCAUGGGCAAAUCAGAGAUUGGAUAAGACAAUGGCACCGACAAUUGAUCACGAAGAUCAAUCGAUGAAGAUAUCAUCUUUCUUCAACGAACACUCAAACACAAAGAUAUCCCUUUGGAGAUGAACUAAGCGGGACAAGCUUUCAUCUUCCAACUCUCCAAGUUGUUGUCUAGCUCAACCAACUAGCUCAGGGAUAUCCGACACAGAUUCUUGGAGAAAGAGUGGUUUAUUGGAAAACCAACUUGAUCACGAACUCAACAUAUCGGUCAGGGGACAACCUGGUGAUACCUCCAUGAAGAUAUCCGGAAAAUCACGAACCACCGAUAUGUCUCUAAGCUCGAGAACAAUCUUGCUUUUCAAGGCAAGACAACAUGAUAGAAGAGCAAGGGAUUGAAUAAUCCUAACUCAUUGAUCGAAGAGUGCACCAGAAAUAAGGACUAGGUAGCACAAUCUAUCUUAGAAUGAUGAUUCAAUAACCAACACGCUAAGAAUGAGAAUAUUGUCCAUUAACUACCAAGCAACGAGGUUGCUAGGGGUAUUGAUUUCACACAUCACAAUUCACUUGUCGGUAUUCCGGUUACAAUAACACGGAGACCGAAGAAUGACCGAUGAUGGCGAGAAGUAUCACUGCACCAAGAAUUCAUAGGAUGGUGUGCAAUUCCUAUGACCUUCUUGACAUAAAGAGGGUAAUACUCCAGGGUAGAACAGGACAAAAGCUGGAUUGGCAUUUUGAUCUGCGGAAUACAACUGCUUUGACCCAAUCCUAGAAAUGGACAAGGUACUGGAGUUUGUUUCUCCUAGUCAUUCCGGAAUAGAAUGGCUUGACGGACCACAAGAAUAAUAGGCAUCGAUAACAUGAAUGCACAACUAUUCUUGACCAACAAUUGAUAGACGAAGGUCAGAAAUCAACUAAAGAGAACAACUCAGAGGAACAUAUGAUUUUCUGAGUUGUGGAUGCAUAGAUUAGUAUGUCGAGCGAAGCUCAACAUUUCUUCCGGAUAACCCAUGCGGAACGGGUAGAACUGGCAGAUUCACAAUAUAGAAUGGAGAACUCAUCAAGAGCACUCUGAUUGUGAUAUUUUUGGUUCAAAAGAACUCCUGCCAAGAAUGGUUCAUGGUAAUUGGAAGAGGGAUGUGCCACGAACCUCGAGGACUAUCGCAAAGGUUACUAAUAUCUUAAAGGAACUAGCAACACUAUCAACAUGAAGUAAGUAGGGUGAAUCUCGAGUUCAAGAACCCAGAAAUGGAAUGCCUACUAACUAAAUGGCAUCACAGGAUGCUUUCGAGAAUAAUGGCCAGAAUCAUCACACUUGGGAUACAAAGCAUUGCUAGAUUACUGGGUGGUCCUCUAUGACACCUAGGGUCAUAAUAAUAGCUCCAACAUAUAUGUCGAGGUAACAGAGUACCUCAACUCACCGAUUAGUGUGGUUAAGCUGGCCCAAAGAAACAUCGGGAACAGAAAGAAGGGAUUUGCAAAUGCAUCAGACUAUUUAGAAACCUGGGAUGACUCGGACAGCAUAACGGCUGUAAAUGCUCAAAAAGAUUUGAGACAUCCUGCAAAAUGGUGGCAUAACCACUCAAUAUCACAAUAUCAAGGUUCCGAGACCAACUGUUAACACACAGAAGUACUAGAAACCGAACUGAGACUUGAAUCCAACAAUCCUAUAAGUCUACGGAUUAGUAACAUGUGAUCCUGAUAGAAAGAUGAGAAACCUAGUUCUUAAUCCUCGUAGAAAAGAAGAGGUUGACUCAGAUCAGAAGGCAUAGGGUAAAGGAGUAAAAAGAGCCUUACGUUCCCUUCCACAAUCAAUUCCCUUAUAUAACUAAAGCAUUUCUAGACUCAACUUCGACCAGUUUGGCUUGGUAAUCCUACAGGCAGUCAAGCUCUGAUACCAAAACUGUCAGGACCCCGAUUCCAAGUCACAUCGAUCUAGCCGGUAACACCUCAUAUCACUUUGCGGCCUCACGCACGGUAUUCCCACGGGUGUCGCCUUACCAUGGCCCAGGACCGUUUGCGCCUUUUGGCUCACGUAUAUGACAGUGUCGCUAGCAUCCAUAUGAUAGAGAACCCGGGCCGACAUGACUAGUCGUGAACCCAAAGUGGCACUAACUUACGGGGACAGGCAUACAUGAAUCAACAUCGAGCAUGUCGGUCAGCAGCGUGCGAAUCCGGGCUGUAGCACUGGGCUAACAGGACUCCGGUGAACUGGGCUGUAGCAGGCUAGGCAGGACUCCGGAUGUCACCGCGUGACAUUUCCCCGAAGGGACAGACACAGGAAUGAACUGAAUCACAUGCCAGUCAGUCAAGUGUUCUGGAGCAGUAGUGCUGGGCUAGCAGGACUCCGGUGAACCGGGCUGUAGCGGACUACUAUGGCUCAUGGAGGCACAAGACUACAUUUCGCCAUAAGAGAGGCUACCAAGGAUAAACAACUAGGUUGUCGGAUCCCACACAUACCAAGCAUUUCAAUCAUACACACAAUAUGCUCGAUAUGUGUAAAUACAACAUGGCAUCACAACAAAACUCUACAACUGUAUUUAUUCAAUAGGCUCCGAGGAGCGAGAUAUUACAAACAUGGGUCUCAUGACCCAACAUUCAGAGCAUACAAGUCAAAGCACAUGCGGAAGCUUAACAUGUCUGAGUACAGACAUCUACAAAUGAAAAAGGCUGAGAAGCCUAACUAUCUACAAGACCCUCCCAAGGGUACAAGAUCGUAGCUGAGGUAACAAGCAAAACGUCGAAGUCCACGCGGAACUACUAGCGAGACUGAAGUCUCUCUGCAAAACAUAAAAUAAGCAAACGUGAGUACAAAUGUACCCAGCAAGACUUACAUCAGAACUAUCUACAUAUGCAUCGGUAUCAACAAAGGGGUGGUGGAGUUUAACUGCAGCAAGCCAGCUUUGACUCGGUGGCUAACCUGAACUAGAACUGCAAGUAACUCUGUUGAGGUGGCGCACACGAGUCCACAUAUUCACCAUAUCAAUACACCACUAUGGAUCCGCUCCCGUCUCCCUACGAGAACACCAUCCAUAGCACUCACGCUUAUCUUGCGCAUUUUAGAGUAUCCACUUUCACUUGUCUAUGAACUGUACAGGCAACCCAGAAUUCCUUUUCCGCGGACACGGCUAUUCGAAUAGAUGAUGUUAACCCUGCAGGGGUGUACUUCUUGACACACGCUCUCGCCACUUAUCUCCAUGUACACGUCGUGUAUCUCGGCAACCUUCAAGCGGAAGCCUGGCAAGGGAGUCGGCCACGACCUGACUAACCACGCAAGUCUCUAGUCCAAGUUUAUAGCCUAUUCGGGUUCCAUCCGCAAGGAGAUCCGGCCGGGGUGUCGCUCACGGCCCCAAACGAUGUGAGCAGGGUUCCCAAGCCCAUCAUCCGGGUGCCACUUGGUACACUGUGCCACUGUGCCUAGUCUGUCCCAAGCCCACCUGUACCGGGUGCCACUUGGUAGACUACUAACACUACCUACAAACACCAGAAACUAGUUGCAACUCCUGGACAGAGAUCAGGUUGAUUAAUAAGUCGAGAGGGGCACUUAAGCAUUCCAAUGCGUGGUAGUAACUGUUCAUGGAUCACAAACACAGAACUCAGUUCUUGAGGACGGCUGCAAUGAGACAACCCACAAUGUACUCCUACAUGGCUUCUCACCGCUACCUUUACCAAAUCGUGUUCACACACCUAGCUCUCAGCAGUAGGACAUGUUCACCACAUUCCAAUUCAAUCGGACCUGACUCAACUCUAAGCAGUAGCAGGCAUGACAAACAAGCACGAAUGAGUAGGCACAUCAGGGCUCAAACAACUCCUACUCAUGCUAGUGGGUUUCAUCUAUGUAGUGUGGCAAUGACAGGUCAUGCAGAGGAAAGGGGUUCAACUACCGCAGCAUGUAACAGCUGAAUCGCUGUUGUCCUAAUGCAGUAAAAGAGAGCAGGAGCGAGAGAGUGGGAUUAUAUCGGAAUGAACAAGGGGGUUUUGCUUGCGUGACACUUCUGAAGAUAGCAUUGAGUCUUCAUUAGUGUCAACGAUCACAACGUCGGAACAACGUCUACCGAGGGGGAACAACACCGGCAAACAAGAGGGAACACAAUCAAUGCGAUGCAACAACAUGAUGCAUGAUCAUGACAUGGCAAUAUGCUAUUGAUUGAGCUAAUGCAACUAGCAACUAGAUUAAAUGAAGUUGGUUUGAACCAAAGGUUCAAAUUCAAACUCCAUAUAAGACAUUUCAAAUGCCAUUUAUUCAAAUGGUCAUAUAUAGUGGCUGUAAGUUGUUCAAACAUGCAUGAGGAUGCCAUAAACAGAUUCUUUGGAUAUUUUAUUAAUUUUUCAUAUAUAAAUUAUUUCAUUCUGAGCUACGGUUGAAUUUCUAUGAAUUUUAGAAGUUUGGGGUAUUUUUUGAAAUUUAUAAAUCAUUUAUGAUUUAUUUUAAUUCCAGAAAACUUUACUCCUUCAGCAUUAAGUCAUGCUGGCGUCAGCUGGUCAACAGGACCGUCCGGUCAAACCUGACAGGUGUGGCCCACCUGUCAUUGACUCAGUGCUAACCAGGGUUUAGUUAAAUCCUAACUAAAGUAAUUAGAAGGGCUGGGGCCCACAGUCAGCGAGUCAGUGGGUUAGCUAAAAUUUAAUUAGCAUCUAAACUAAAUUAGCAGGGCCUCGGGCCCACAUGUUAAUGACCCAGGGGGUCAAACCCUGGUCAACUCGGUCAAACCUGCCGGCGACUCGACGCAGGCGAGGCCAGACGCGGCGGGGCACCUCGGGUUUCACCUACAGGGCACGGCGUGCGACACAGUUGGGUUCUACGGCGAGCUGGGGCUCGUGCGCAUCCAGCGGUGGCAGUGAGAGGGCGCGAGGUGGUCUGUACCGGUGGCAGCGGCGAGUUGGGCGGCGGCCGAAGCUCUGGCGUCGACGAAAUCGACGACACGGCCCGCGGGAGGACCAGUGUUUGUACCUACGUGAUCUACGAGAGCUCACAAACCCAACGGAGGCACGCACGGGACCAAAUGGCCACCGGAGCCUCGUCGGCGUGCUUCGGGCAUCAAUGAAAAAUGCGGCUACAACGAGCGCUAGGCCGCGGGGUUAGGGGGAAACGACGGCAAAGCUCACAGUGAUCACGAAGAGGGGCUCGGCUUGCUCGGGACGACUUGGCGACGGCGAAUCGACGUCGGCGGUGACCGGCUCCCGUGGUUGAAGACGGUGGCGAUGACGACGCUACGGAGCGUCCCGGCUGGCUUGGCUCGGUGGAGAUGACGAGGAAGACGACGCGGAGCUCGUGGGCACAACAGAGGGGCGAGGGGGUAGCUGUGGCCGUGGUGGUUCUCGUCGGCGGUCUCGGGUGCGUACGGUCGGUCACGGGAGAGAGAGUCAAAAAGGGGAUGGGGAUGAGCAAGCGGUCGAGGGACGCGCGGGAGAGUGCGUGGCGUCCGUAGCCAGCGCUAGGCGUUCGGUGGCAAGCAGGAGGUGGCCAGGCGCGUGCCAGCGCGCCGCGGCCACGCGCUCCUGUCCUCCUGGCGCGACGAGGGAGAUGACUGGCAGUGCCAGGUGGGCUGGGCCGGUAAGCUACAGGUGAGCGCCAGGUAAGUUUCUCUCUUUUCCUAUUUUUCUUUCUGUUUUCUAUUUAUUUUGCUCUGUUUUGAUUUAGUAAUAAUACUAAACCAUUUUUGUUGCUUCUGAAAUUAUUUGUGGAUGCAAUAUGGACUAGCCCAAAGCCCCACAAUAUUUUUCGGAAUGAUUGGAGUUAUAAAAGUAUUUAUAGGAAUUUAUAACCCCAAGUCAAAUACAAUAUGAGUUAAUUCAAAAAAUCCAAAAAUGUCCUAAAAAUAUAUUCAUCAUUUUUGGCAGAGGUUUCUACCUUAACCAAAAAUCAUGAACUUUUCUUGAGGCACUUUGGGUUCAUUGAAAAUGUUUUUAAGUUGAACCUAGUUGAGUUCUUUUGGUGCUAGGGAUUGAUCACCCCUAUUUCAAAUUUAGAUAAAAUUUAAACAUGAUGCAACACCAGAUGCUAGCACUAGGCAUUACCAGAACUAGGGAUGUGACAUUGUCCUUGCCGCGGCGGUCUCCUUGGCCGCCAUGCUUCUUGCCGGAUCCCUCGGCACCAUCCUGGUCCUUCUCCUUGUCCUGCCUCUCGUACUCAGCUUUUUGCUUCUCAGCAAGCAGCUCGACUUGUCGGCAGUUCUGGAGGUCGUGGCCCUUGGUGCGGUGGAUCUUGCAGUAUUCCUUGCCGGAGCUUCCUGGCUUGUUGGUAGCCGCCAAGGCCCGGCAGGCGGCGCACCCGGCAAUCUCCUUGCCGGGGGCGUCUUCCUUGACCUUCUUGGCAGCGCCGGUGUCGUCAGAUCCUUCAACGGCAAGCACGGCCUUGCCUUUGCGUUUCCUGUUGCGACGCUGGCCCUUCUUCGUCGGGGUGGCGGUGUCUUCGUCGGUAGAGUCGGUUUCCGCACCGGUGUCUUCGGCGGGGUACUUCCUUCCCUCUUCAGCCCGAGCGCACCUAUCGGCCAGAAUGUAGAGCUCGGCCACAUCCUUAACCUUGGUCAUCGCGAGCUCUUCGCGCAUCUUGCGGUUGCGCACGUUCUGAUGGAACGCGCUGAUCACAGCGGCGGGAUGAACGUCGGGGAUGUUGUACUGCACCCGGCUGAAUCUCUGGAUGUACUUGCGCAGGGUCUCCCCUUCCUUCUGGGGAAUGAUAUGCAGAUCACUGGCCUGGCCAUGAGCUUGGUGGCCUCCUGUGAAGGCGCCAAUGAACUCAUGGCACAUAUCCGACCAAGAAGAAAUGGAAUCCGCCGGCAAGUGCAUCAACCAAGACAUAACAUUGGGCUUCAGUGCCAGCGGGAAAUAGUUGGCAAGCACCUUGUCAUCACGAGCUCCAGCAGCCUGCAUCGCGAUGGUGUAGAUGCUUAGGAACUCGGACGGAUGGGUCUUGCCAGUGUACUUCUCGCUGACGUCGGGCUUGAAUGUGCGGUGGGACGACCACUGGAACUGCCGCAGCUCAUGGGUGAAGGCCCGACAGCCCACCUCAUAAGGUAGGCUGCCGGAGGCCCCUGGUGCUGGGUGGUCCAUAGCGGGUCCCGCCCGCUUCUCCGACUGGUGGCGUGUAUCGCACCGGCGCAUGAUGGUGGUCCGAGCAUCUUCGUGAGCUCGUUCUCGAAGAACUUGGCGCUGGUCGCAUGUAACACCCCGGAUGUAACUUUCCAUAUUUGUAACUCCAACUAUUGCCAUUUUCGGCUAUGUGUUAUGAUAUUCCCUUCGUGGUCGGGUUUUGUCGUUCGUUUUGCAUUUUGUUCAUGUCAUGCAUUUCAUAUCAUGUCAUCAUGCGCAUCUCAUUUGCAUACGUGUUCGUCUCAUGCAUCCGAGCAUUUUCCCCAUUGUUCGUUUUGCAACCCGACACUCCCACGUGCACCGGCGCACCCCUCUUGUCUCUUUUCGUGAGCGGGUGUUAAACGUUCUCAGAAUGGACCGAGUCUUGCCAAGUGGCCUUGGUAUACCACCGGUAGACCACCUGUCAAGUUUCGUUCCAUUUGGAGGUCUUUUGAUGCUCCAACGGUUAACCGGGUAACCGGAAAGUCCUUUUGUGUGUUGCAGCAAAACCCUCCUCCAAACAGCGCAAAAUCCCUCUAAGUCACCUCCAUGCUCUCGGUCGUUCGAUCAUGAUCGUGUGGGCGAAAACGACACUCCGUUUGGUCUCCUAGCUCCCUCUACCUAUAAAAUCACCUCCCCCUCCGAAAUCUGGGUCGAAACCCUAGCAAAAUCGCCCCCGCCGCCACCGGACACGUCCACCGCCGCCGCCCGCUGCCAAUCUCCGUGCGACACGUGGCGCCCGUACGCCGCGNNNNNNNNNNNNNNNNNNNNNNNNNNNNNNNNNNNNNNNNNNNNNNNNNNNNNNNNNNNNNNNNNNNNNNNNNNNNNNNNNNNNNNNNNNNNNNNNNNNNNNNNNNNNNNNNNNNNNNNNNNNNNNNNNNNNNNNNNNNNNNNNNNNNNNNNNNNNNNNNNNNNNNNNNNNNNNNNNNNNNNNNNNNNNNNNNNNNNNNNNNNNNNNNNNNNNNNNNNNNNNNNNNNNNNNNNNNNNNNNNNNNNNNNNNNNNNNNNNNNNNNNNNNNNNNNNNNNNNNNNNNNNNNNNNNNNNNNNNNNNNNNNNNNNNNNNNNNNNNNNNNNNNNNNNNNNNNNNNNNNNNNNNNNNNNNNNNNNNNNNNNNNNNNNNNNNNNNNNNNNNNNNNNNNNNNNNNNNNNNNNNNNNNNNNNNNNNNNNNNNNNNNNNNNNNNNNNNNNNNNNNNNNNNNNNNNNNNNNNNNNNNNNNNNNNNNNNNNNNNNNNNNNNNNNNNNNNNNNNNNNNNNNNNNNNNNNNNNNNNNNNNNNNNNNNNNNNNNNNNNNNNNNNNNNNNNNNNGCCGCUCCGGCGACCUCGGCGCCCCGUCGCCCGCGCCCCGGCGGCCUCCCCCCUCUCCGCGCGCACGACGCCUCCCGCGCCGCCGACCGCCUUCUCCCUCCUCUCCACGCUGGCGCCCUCCUCCCGUCGCAGCUCCGGCGAGCGGCCCGAUCCAGAUCCACCGGAGGUUGACUUUCUUCCCCUCCCCGUUUUUCUCUAAGUCCCGAUAUAAUUGCUAUAUGUUGCUCACUUCAUUGCAUCAUAACUCUCUGCAUAUAGCUCCGUUUCGUGCGUGAAAUAUAUCAAAAUGUUCGUUCGAGAUGCUCUUCAUUUUGUUCCAUUAUGCCAUGUUCAUUUGAGUCCAUCUUGAUGCCCAAGUCUCUUGUGCAAGAGUGCUAUAUGCUGUUAACUGCUGUUACUUAUCAGAACUUGAGGAUUUGUUAUUUUUGUUGCAUUUGAUGUGUGCAUCUUAUGGGCAUGAGCUCUACAUGUGUUUUGAUCUAAGCCAUGCCAUCUUUAGAGAGGUGUAAGCCAUGUAUUUUCAUGAUCUCUGUGGUGACUAGCACAAGCAUGCAAACUAGGCUUCGUGAUGUUUCUGUUUUCAGAGACUUGGUAAUUUUACCAAGUCUGUGACUGCUGUUAUUUUGUUGCCAUGUAUCCAUGUGGCUACAGUGAGAUCCAUGCUCCUUUGGUGAUGUUCAGUAAGGAUGUUUUGUAGAUAUAGUAGUGAUCUAUCCAUCCAUGUCCUUGUUCGCAAUUAUGAAGUGUCAUAGCAUGUCUUAAUCUUGCUCUACUUUUGCUAUAAAAUAUUCCUGGCAGAUUGUUAACAUGAUAUUCAAUUUUGCCAAGCUUGUUGUAGUUGAUCCAUACAUGCUAUGACUUUGAUCUUGCCAUGGAUAGCUUCAUAAACAUGUCAUCUUACUUUAGGUAUGCUUUUUUGUCAUGCAUUGCUUUGUGGUGAGUGAAUCAAGCUCACAAAGAUACCUUCAUAAUACUGUUACUGCCAUGCUCUGUUUUCUGCCAAGUCUGAAACCUGUUAACGAUACUUGCUAUGUUUACAUGGGUGCCAUCAUAUCUUCUGCUCCUUUCUGUCUCAUGGUCAUUAAGGGACUUUUGUCAUAUGCAUUUAGUAGAUUCAUGCCAUGCCUUGUAUUGCUAUGUUAAGUUCCUGUAGCAUGUUGAUUGCUUGCUCUGAACAUUGCUACCUGAUGCUGUUUAUGCCAUGUCCAGUAAUUUCACUAAGUCUGUGAACCUGAUAUCUUUUGCAUUUUUGCCAUGCUUGUUUUAACUUGGUAUGGUGUGAUCUAGCCGUAGCUCACUGUUCAUCUUUUGUCAAGCAUCUCCUUUAGAUCACUGCCAUAUAUUUUGUUGCUAUGUUGGAGUGCUGUAGCAUAGUUACUUGAUGUAUUCUAAGUGCUAUCAUGCUGUUAAUCGCAGAUUCGUGUCAUUCUUGUUUUGCUUGCCAUUUGCAAACCGUGCAUCCGUUUCCGGUGAUCUUUAUAUCGAUUUCGACCGAAAUCAUCUAAUCUUUCCAGUGGCAUGCUUGGUUUGCCAAGUUACUACCUUGUUCAUCAUUUUUCUUCCGGAGCACGCAUACGCAUCGCAUACCACAUCUCGCAUAUCAUACAUGUUUUGCAUCAUGUUGUUUGUGCAUUUCCCGUGAUUGAUUGUGGUUCCUUUGCUUGUGUUCUUGCUGUGGGUAGAGCCGGGAGACGAGUUCGUGAACGAGGAACCUGUUGAGUACGCUUACGAGGAUCAAGCUUUCGACAACUCUGAGAACCUUGCAGGCAAGAUGACCAUACCCUUGAAAUCACUUCUAUCUUUGCUUUGCUAGUUGUUCGUUCUAUUGCCAUGCUGCGCUACCUACCACUUGCUAUAUCAUGCCUCCCAUAUUGCCAUGUCAAGCCUCUAACCAUCCUUUCCUAGCAAACCGUUGUUUGGCUAAGUUACCGCUUUUGCUCAGCCCUUCUUAUAGCGUUGUUAGUUGCAGCUGAAGUUGAAGUUGGUUCCAUGUUGGAACAUGGAUAUUUUGGAAUAUCACAAUAUCUCUUAUUAAAUUAAUGCAUCUAUAUAUUUGGUAAAGGGUGGAAGGCUCGGCCUUAUGCCUGGUGUUUUGUUCCACUCUUGCCACCCUAGUUUCCGUCAUACCGGUAUUAUGUUCCUUGAGUUUGCGUUCCUUACGCGGUUGGGUGAUUUAUGGGACCCCCUUGACAGUUCGCCUUGAAUAAAACUCCUCCAGCAAGGCCCAACUUUGGUUUUACCAUUUGCCACCUAAGCCUUUUCCCUUGGGUUUUCGCGAGCCCGAGGGUCAUCUUUAUUUAAACCCCCGGGCCAGUGCUCCUCUGAGUAUUGGUCCAACCUGUCAGUCGCCGGUGGCCACCAGGGGCAACUCUAGGCUUACCUAUCGGAAGCUUGGACAAUCCGGUGUGCCCUGAGAACGAGAUAUGUGCAGCUCCUAUCGGGAUUUGUCAGCACAUUCGGGUGGCUUUGCUGGUCUUGUUUUACCAUUGUCGAAAUGUCUUGUAAACCGGGAUUCCGAGGCUGAUCGGGUCUUCCUGGGAGAAGGUUUAUCCUUCGUUAACCGUGAGAGCUUAUAUUGGGCUAAGUUGGGACACCCCUGCAGGGUAUUAUCUUUCGAAAGCCGUGCCCGCGGUUAUGAGGCAGAUGGGAAUUUGUUAAUGUCCGGUUGUAGAGAACUUGUCACUUGACCCAAUUAAAAUACAUCAACUGUGUGUGUAGCCGUGAUGGUCUCUUCUCGGCGGAGUCCGGGGAGUGAACAUGGUUUGAGUUAUGCAUGAACGUAAGUAGUUUCAGGAUCACUUCUUGAUCAUUUCUAGCUUCGCGACUGUUGCGUUGCUUCUCUUCUCGCUCUCACUUGCGUAUGUUAGCCACCAUAUAUGCUUAGUGCUUGCUGCAGCUCCACCUCAUUACACCAUCCUUUCCUAUAAGCUUAAAUAGUCUUGAUCUCGCGGGUGUGAGAUUGCUGAGUCCUCGUGACUCACAGAUUCUAUCAAAACAGUUGCAGGUGCCGACGAUGCCAGUGCAGAUGACGCAACCGAGCUCAAGUGGGAGUUCGACGAGGAACGUGGUUGUUACUAUGUUUCUUUUCCUGAUGAUCAGUAGUGAAGCCCAGUUGGGACGAUCGGGGAUCUAGCAUUUGGGGUUAUCUUAUUUUCAUUUGGAUUUUGGCCGUAGUCGGUCUAUGUGUGGAUUUUGGAUGAUGUAUGAAUUAUAUUAUGUAUUGUGUGAAGUGGCGAUUGUAAGCCAACUCUCGUUAUCCCAUUCUUGUUCAUUACAUGGGAUUGUGUGAAGAUGACCCUUCUUGCGACAAAACCACAAUGCGGUUAUGCCUCUAAGUCGUGCCUCGACACGUGGGAGAUAUAGCCGCAUCGUGGGCGUUACAUCGCGGUGGGUCCAUGGGUCGGACGACGCUAUAGAGAUGUUAUCACAAGCGUCGUCACGACGGGCAGACGCCCGCGACGGCUGACGAGGAGGAGGAGAGUGCACCGUGGCCGCAACUCCCCCGGUCCUCUCAGCGCCAGCACAUGGUGGCUCGGUGGAGCGCCGACCCGAGGGCCCCGCCGGUCGCGGAUCGUCUUUGUUGGCGAUGGCGACGAGGCUCCGGAUGGUGGCCCUCCACUCGUCGAGCUUCUUCGCAGCAGGAGGGAAGUCGAGGAGCAGCUGCGCGUGCGCCAAAGCUUCUGCUGGCGUGGACGGCGGCGACAGGUGCGUGGAUCGCGGCGCGCUUCGACUUCUAACUACGUUAGAAGGAGCUCCGUUAUGACCCAGCGGCUGCGCGCCAUUUUCACCAGCACUUCGGCGUGCAUGCUGAACCCCUUCAUCCCGCGGACGACGCACAUGGCUCUUCCCACGGCGGUGCCCAGGGUCACCAGCAUGGUGACGCUGCUCGGCGCGCACACCAUGGGAAGAGCGCACAGUGGUCGCCGGUGUGGGCGUCUUGGAGGUCGCUGCGCCGCCCGGAGGUGGCACAACGACACCCCUGGAGGGCCCCGCGCCGGCUGCGGGGGGCCCAGCUCCGUCUUUGGAUCUGGCAACGUGCGGCCGGUCAUCUGGCACGCGAACGACGCCGCUCGCCAGGCUCUAACUGCCAGGGCGAUGCUGGUGCUCGCGGACCGCGGCCCGGGUCCUGUCCGCGACCGGUCCACUGCUCAUCCGCACCGGCACGGGCCGUUCGGCUCCCAACGAGCAGAUCGCCGUGGCCGUCUUCUUCUUAGGAGCCAUGGCGACGAAGAACUGCUAGGCUGACUACUAGACCAGAUUCUCAGAAUCGUGCCCCCUACCUGGCGCGCCAAAGAUGUCGGUGUGGAAUGACACCGAUGGGAUCACAAGAAUCCCUACUACGGUUGCCGGGGCGCGGGGUUGCAAGAAGAGCAGGAUCAGUAGUCAGCACAAGGAUCGUUUAACCAGGUUUGGGCCGCGAGGAUGCGUAAAACCCUAGUCCUGCUUUGGUGGGUGUAUUUCAGAGGGUUCUUGAGCUCUCGAACAAGCUGUGGUGAGUGUGUGGUUCGAAAGAGCCAAAUGCUUCUCCAGUAUGCCAUGGGCCUCCUUUUAUAGGCGAAAGGUGCUGCCACAAUGGCAUACAGGAGGUGGAAAGGCGCACAGUGCUAUGAGCUUAUCGCUCGUAUUACAGGACAAGACGCAUUUAAUGCGCUACUGAGGUGUCCCCUUGCUUUAUCGGGGACGGGGGCGAGGCCCGUCCCGUUCGUCGCCGCUCCUCCUUGCUUCGACACGCGCCCUGGUCAGCGAUGCGUGCAACGCCAUGUAGGCAGGCAGGCAGUUGAGGUGGCGCGGUGGUAGGGUCUUCACGAAGAUCUGCAUGCCGCCACGCAGGCGCUUGAUGAGUUGGCCUGGAAGUUGUAUGUUGCCACGCAGGUGCCUGCCCAGCUGGUCGGGCGGGCAGCUGCAUGUGAACGGCGGUGGAGACUUGGUUGGUGCGGGCCUGGCAGUGGCCCUGCUGGCAUCUUUGGCGAGGGCCUUGCCGGGUGGCCCGGCAAGGGUCUUGCCGUGGCGCGCUGUCGUCCCCGGCAAGGAUCUUGCCGGGGGUCUCGUGGCUUUCCUCGGCAAGGGCCUUGCCGAGGAUCAUCGUCUUCUAAUCCUCAUCUGAUCUUGGGUAUGUCUUCACAAAGAUCUGCAUGCCACAAAAGAGGUGCCUCCCGAGCCCUGGCCCCACGUGGAUAAUGGUGUUGGGGACCGUGGGCUCAAGGGUGGUUCGCUCUAUUGGUGUGGGGCGAGCUGCCCCGGCAAGGGUCUUGCCGGGGGAACCUGCUUCGUCCCUCUGCUCCUUGUGGUCUUGGCCUUGGCGUUGCUCUGGUUAUCUUGGGCUUCGGUUUUACCUUGGUUCACCUCCCUUGUGCUGCUUGGUGUGACCGUGGGCGCGGCUCCGACUGCCCAUGCUCAGGUAAAGGGGUACAAAGGUGCGCCCCUUCGUUUGUACACCGACACCAUACUAUCAAGAGGGAAUGCACAUUGGAAGGUGUUGGGGGAAUCUUUUCACGUACACUUGCCUCACCCCUCUCUUGCCUUCCUUAGUUGUGUGAGAGAGCUCUUCCCUUCUUAUCCUACUGCUUGCUGUGGCUUCCCAGCGGUUGUACCGCUCUCUGGAGUGGUUGUACCGCUGGUUCUUGGCGCUUACCAGUCUUGAUCGAGCGAUUUUACCGCUGCUUCCGGGCGGUGGUACCGCCGCCAUGCUCAGCAAAGACUACGGCGGUUGUUCCGGCCAAGUACCGCCCAAGUACCGGUCAGCCUUAUGUUUUGAUGCGGUUCUCGGGCGGUGGUGGCCCGGUUGGUCCAGUCGUGCCGGUACCACUGGUGCCCUGAGCGGUUCUACCGCUCAGGACUUAGCCGCCCAAGCGCUCAAGGCCAAGCGGUUGCACCGGUCCUGUACCGCUCGACUACUGCACUCAGGGGUGACUCCCUACUGUUUCUAUGCGGUGGUUGAGCGGUGGCUGGGCGGUUGGUCCGGUUGUUCUCUUCAACCGGUACUACCGCCUAGUCGCCCGGUUGUAUCACCUGGUAGGGUUCUACACGUAAACCGUGAGUCCCGGUUGUACCAGGACAAGGAGCGGUUGUACCGCUGCAGUACAGAAAACGCAGUAACGGUUGGAUUUUUAGGGUUGCUAUAUAAGGGUGCUUCUUCCACCUACCACAUUCACCUCUUACCUCCCUCACUCCACCAUUAAUGCUACUCAAGCUCUCUUGCCCGAUCUCUCUCUCUCUAGCCACUCAAACUUGUUGAUUUGCUAGGGAUUGAAGGAGGAGACCUAGAUCUACACUUCCACCAAAGGAUAUUUGCUUCCCCCAUACUUUCUUGUGUGGAUUUUGUUACUCUUGGGUGUUUGAGCACCCUAGACGGUUGAGGUCACCUCGGAGCCAUAUUCCAUUGUGGUGAAGCUCCGUGGUUUCGUUGGGAGCCUCCAAUUCAGGUCUGGAGAGAUCCCGAACCUUGUUUGUAAAGGUCCGGUUGCCGCCUCCAAGGGCACCAAUAGUGGAAUCGUGGCAUCUCGCAUUGUGUGAGGGCGUGAGGAGAAUACGGUGGCCCUAGUGGCUUCUUGGGGAGCAUUGUGCCUCCACACCGCUCCAACGGAGACGUACUUCCCCUCAAAAGGAAGGAACUUCGGCAACACAUCCUCGUCUUCACAGGCUCCACUCUUGGUUAUUUCGUCCCUUUACUUGUGCAAGCUUAUUUGUGUUAUAUCCCUUGCUUGCUUCUGUGCUUGUUGUUGUUGCAUCAUAUAGGUUGACCACCUAGUUGCAUUUCUAGACAAGCUACUUUGAUGCAAAGUUUAAUUUGGUAAAGAAAAGCUAAAAAUUGUUAGUUGCCUAUUCACCCCCCUCUAGUCAACUAUAUUGAUCCUUUCAAUUGGUAUAAGAGCCUCAUAUCUUUUUUAAGGACUUUGCCGUCCGAAGAGUAUGGUUGACACUGUAGAUGGUGCGGAGGAGCACUCCGGUGCGAAUCCGGUCUCGUCUACGGGCGAUGGGGGAACCGCGGUCUCUCGCAAGGAAUUCAAUGUGGCUUUGGACACAUUGAAAACCUCCAUGACAACCGAGGUUGAAAGCAUGUUUAAUAAAUUCAUUGAAGGGCUUAAACUAUCCACCGCACCGUUGAAAGUGGGUGAUCCCACUAACAAGGUGACGGAUGCUAACUCCGACAAGGGGGAAGCUACUAGUGAAAAAGCUCCUUCUUCUAGUGGUAAGAAUGGCAACGGAGCAUGAGCCGGCAAUGAAAUUUAAGUCAGCUGAUGAGACCAAACUUGUUGAUUUCGUUCCAGGUGACUCAUCUCAGCAGUUUAGCAUCAGUGCCAAUUUGGAUCCAAAAUAGGAAAGCGCGCUCAUCGAGUUCAUCCGUGAGAACAGGGACAUCUUUGCAUGGAAACCUUCUGACAUGCCAGGUGUACCUAGAGAACUCGCUAAGCACACUCUCAAUAUUGAUCCGAAAUUUAAGCCGGUCAGGCAAUUCCUUCGGCGGUUUAAUGAAGAGAGGCCGAAAGCCAUUGGUGAGGAGGUGGCCCGGCUCUUGGCGGCCGGGUUUAUUGUCGAAGUCUUUCAUCCAGAAUGGUUAGCUAACCCGAUGCUCGUGCUCAAGAAGAAUGGCACCUGGCGGAUGUGUGUGGACUACACGAACUUAAACAAGGCGUGUCCGGCUGAUCCUUUUGCCCUCCCCUGUAUUGAUCAAAUCAUUGAUGCCACGGCGGGUUGUGAGCGUUUAAGUUUCUUGGAUGCGUAUUCUAGAUACCAUCAGAUUAAAAUGGCAGUUAAGGACCAGGAGAAGACGGCGUUCAUCACUCCCUUUGGAGCCUUCUGUUAUGUGUCUAUGCCUUUUGGACUCAAGAGUGCACAGGCGACUUACCAGCGUUGUGUGCAGAAUUUUCUUCAUAACCAGAUUGGGCGCAAUGCUCACGCCUAUGUGGAUGAUAUCGUGGUUAAGUCCAGGGAGAAGGAGACCCUGGUAGAUGACCUUAGAGAAACCUUUGAUAAUCUCUGGGUUUACAAGAUGAUGCUUAACCCGGCCAAGUGUGUUUUUGGUGUUCCUGCAGGCAAGCUCUUGGGUUUCCUGGUUUCUAACAGAGGCAUUGAAGCUAACCCGGAAAAAAUCAAGGCAAUCACCUCUCUGGCUAAGCCGGCGUGUAUAAAUGACGUCCAGCGCCUAGCAGGCCGCAUUGCUGCUUUGAGCCGGUUUAUAAGCCGCUUGGGCGAAAAGGCCAUGCCACUGUACCAGUUGAUGAAGAAAACUGAUGACUUUAUCUGGAAUGAUGCUGCUGAUGCUGAUUUUGAGGAUUUAAAGAGGCAGCUGGCUGAGCCCCCAGUCCUUGCUGCUCCGGUUGACAAGGAGCCCUUAUUACUGUAUGUAGCUGCUAACACACGAGCCGUCAGUGUGGCUGUGGUGGUGGAGCGCAAGGAAGAGGGUAAGGAGUACCCGGUUCAGCAGCCGGUUUACUACGUCAGUGAACUGCUCAUUGAGUCCAAACAGCGGUAUCCACACUGGCAGAAGCUUGUUUAUGGUGUGUUCAUGGCAAGCCGGAAGCUUAAGCAUUAUUUCCAGGCUCACCCUAUCAUUGUGGUUAGUUCCGCUCCCCUCGGAGAUAUCAUCCAAAACAGAGAAGCCACAGGAAGAGUGGCUAAGUGGGCUAUAGAGCUCGGGCCUCAUGGUCUGAAAUACGUACCGCACACUGCUGUUAAAUCUCAAGCUUUGGUGGAUUUCAUCAACGAUUGGACAGAGCUACAAGUGCCCGAAGAAAAGCCGGAUAAUACAUACUGGACUAUUCACUUCGAUGGGUCCAGGCAAUUGAAGGGCUCGGGGGCUGGAGUUGUAUUGGCUUCCCCUAAAGGUGACAAGUUUCAUUAUGUGCUACGGUUGAUGUUUCCUUGCACUAACAAUGCGGCUGAGUACGAGGCCUUGCUCCAUGGUCUUCGGAUGGCUAAGGAGAUGAGCUUGAGCCGGGUAAGGUGCUUCGGCGACUCAGACUUAGUGGCUCAACAAGUAUCAGGCAAGUGGGAUUCCAAGGACCCUCUCAUGGCGGCUUAUCGCCAUGAAGUUGAUGCCAUUGCUGGACACUUUCAGGGUUACCAAGUAGAGCACAUCGAUCGCAGGAAGAACGAGGCGGCUGAUGCAUUAAGCCGGCUGGGCUCUCAGCGAAAACCGGUGCCGCCUAAUACUUUCUUGGACAUCUUGCAUAACCCUUCUGUUAAGGUACCUACAGAGGAAGACUUGGCUGUCCCUGACCCGGAAGCAUAGUUGGUGGCGGCUCUCCACAUCACCCCAGACUGGACGGUACCAUACUUGGCUUACAUGACCCGGGGAGAUUUGCCUGAGGAUGAAACUUUGGCCAGACAAAUAACCCGGCGGUCUAAGUCAAUGAUCAUCAUCAAUGGCGAGCUGCAUCGUCGCAGUGUUACUGGAACUUUCCAGCGUUGUGUUUCCCCUGAGGAAGGCCAAGAUAUUUUGCGUGAGAUUCAUGAUGGGGAUUGUGGCCAUCAUGCCGGCUCAAAAUCUCUUGUGGCCAAGGCUUUCCGUCAUGGUUUUUAUUGGCUGACGGCUCAUGCUGAUGCGGAGGACUUGGUCAGUAAAUGUGACGGUUGUCAGAGGUUCUCGCGACGGGCUCAUGUGCCGGCUCAAGAGUUGAGGAUGAUACCAAUCACUUGGCCAUUUGCGGUCUGGGGGCUUGACAUGGUUGGGCCUUUUAAAAGGUCCAAGGAUAAGAAGACCCACCUCUUGGUGGCAGUUGACAAAUUCACAAAGUGGGUUCAGAGCUAGUUAGUAAGUGUGACGCAGCCACGGCGGUUCAGUUCAUGAAAAGGGUGAUAUUUCGCUUUGGCUUUCCACACAGCAUUAUAACUGACAAUGGUAGCGAUCUAUCUAAGGGCGCUAUGGAGGAAUUUUGUCAACGAGAGCAUAUUCGACUUGAUGUUUCAUCAGUGGCUCAUCCUCAAUCCAAUGGUCAAGCUGAGAGAGCUAAUCAGGAGAUCUUGAAGGGCAUUAAGCCCUGGCUUUUGGUCCCUUUGCAACGGACGCCGGGUUGUUGGGUGGAGGAGUUACCCUCCGUGUUAUGGAGCAUCAAUACUACUCCUAAUAGGUCUACGGGUUACACGCCCUUCUUCAUGGUUUAUGGAGCGGAAGCAGUCCUCCCCAGUGACAUCCGUCAUGACUCGCCUCGAGUGGCGGCUUAUGUUGAGGCGGAUAAUGAAUAGGCGCGCGAAGAUGCUCUUGACUUGUCGGACGAACAGCAUGACGUGGCAGCAGCUCGCUCAACGAUUUACCAACAAGACCUGCGCCGUUAUCACAGUCGCCGGGUUAAGUCCCGGGUCUUCCAGGAAGGUGAUCUGGUGCUCCGGCUCAUCCAAGAUCAAACAAAUGCACACAAGCUAUCCCCGCCUUGGGAAGGGCCCUUUGUGGUCAGCAAGAACUUGCACAACGGGUCAUACUACCUUAUUGAUGUCCGGGAGCAUAAAGAUUCACGCAAGUCGGAGGAAGAGACCCGUCGGCCAUGGAACAUAGCUCAGCUUCGGCCUUAUUACACUUGAGCCACCGGCUCUCAUAAUGUACAUAUUUCUAUAGCCAUGUAUAUAUUGUGUUAAAUAAUAAAGCAGGACCUCUGUCCUUUUCUCCUCCAAAGGUAAACGUGUUAUUUCCAUUACAACAUCACAUGGUUACUUGGAGGUGGAUCCGGCUUAUGAUCGUAUUCGAAUCUAGCUGUAAACAAUAUAAUCACCUGGGGGCUUCCUGUUCAAACAUAGGUUGUAUUCGAACCAAAGAGAACAUAACUGUCGAUAUCCACUUGAUUGGCAAAGUGCCAAGCUCAUUGGGGAGUUUUCUUUGAUCAUAUUUGAAUCAUAGCUCAACCCCCUUUGGGAACCGACGUGGAUCGUAUUCGAAUCAGCGUUGUUAAACAACUCUUAAGGUCAUUUGGGGGCUUCCUGUUCAAACAUGGGUCGUAUUCGAACCAAAGAGAACAUAGCUAUCGGUACCCUCUUGAUUGGCAUCGCCAAAGCCACUGGGGGCUAUAUGAUCGCAUUCGAAUCUUAGCUUAACCCCUGUGGGACGGUUCUCUGGUCGUAUUCGAACCGGAAGCCCCUACGUUUUUUGAUCUUCUGACUUCUAACAAGUUCUGUUGGUCAUAUCAACAGUGUGCAAGGGCGGAUUUCACUUUGCCGACUUAAUUUUGAUUCACAACGUUGAUAAACACAUAGUAAGUAUUCUUGAUGCUGGUAAACCGGAAUUGAGAUCUUCAUCUCAUUAUUCGGGUUACAUAAACCGGAAGCAUACUUGAAGGCCUGUAAGUAUGCAAUCAUGGUUACAUAAAGGACAUAAUUGAGGGCCAGUCUUUAGUGACUUUGGUUCAUAUUCCGGGUUAUAUAUAUAAGGUCUAUGAUUCUCAGUGCGGUAAGCCGCCUAGAGACUUGUGACUUGUUUUCUAUGCAGGAUGGUUAAAGACAGCUAUUCGCGCUUAAGGAAAAUAACUGAUCAAUUAUAACCCGGAGGAAUAAGAAGAAGCAGCUUCAAUGGAGUUAAGCAUUCAACACGUGCACGAUGGCACGACAAAAUUAAGUGUUUAUCCUACUCUAUUACAAGACUCCCCGAGUCCAAAAGGUGAGGUAUUGCUCUAAGGUGCAACCAUGAGCCGUCUAAAGAUCAAGGUGCUUGUGGAGUCGAAGCUUCCGGCUCAUCCCUCUACGCUCCUCCGGCUGAUUCCAUGACCUGGAAGGUUGAUGAUUUCCAGUCAAUGCCGCUCAAAGCCUCGAAUUGAGCCUCGUCAUCAAUUAACCCGGCCGGGUCAACUUCUGGGGCAAAGGUGUGCUUACGAGUCGGUGGGAUCAAGCUGAUGGCUUCAUAACGCGGAGUGGGGAUCCUCUGAUUUUCUGCGUCGUAGCCCGGCUGGUACUUGGUAAGGUCGGUGUCAUUCCCAAUCAGGGUGGCCACCGGGCGCACGAUCUUCACACAGGCAGCAAAGUCUUUUUGGUCGAAGGGGGUGCUGUCUUCCUUCAGGCUGGCGUAUCCAAGUGCGAUGUCAGCCGGGUCUAGCUCCGGAAGAAAAGCCUUGGCCCGGCUCAGCGCAGCUAUGGCUCCGGCUCUUGUAGAGGCCCGUCGCAGCUCUUGGAAACGCUGAGGAAGAACGGCAAGCCGCCGAAGUACGUCCGCCAGGUGAGUCGGAACCUCAUUGGACAGGGCCACAACGGCCAAGGCGCGCUGUGACCCAGUGUAGAGUUGCUCCACCAGAGUGUACACGGCCUUCAGCUUGGUCAGCACAUUUUGAUUGAGGUUGGUGCUUCUGGGACCUGUUUUACAACGUCAGGUAAGCCGCUAGCAAUGAUGGGACUUAUGAGACAUAAAGAAGGUACACUUGUUGAAAGCUCGCAAAAUGACUUACCGAAGAUUGCGGCGACCAUCUGUGACACAUGGUGUUUUAAGCCGGAGAGUUCGGCGGUUCUCUCCGUCAGAGCCGCCUCCGCCUGUUCGGCCCGGCUGACCAGAGCAGUUUUUUCCUCGGCCCAAGUCUUCCUUUCGGUUUCAAACUUCUUCUUCAGCUUCUCUUGUGCAGCAACACUGAACUCAAAUUUAGCGUUGGCCUUCCGGGUCUCAGUUUCCUAAGUCUUCAGGCGGUUCUUUAGCUCAGAGAUUUCAGCUUCAAAUUUUUUGCAAGCAGCCUGUACAAAUUCCGGGUUAUAGCAUGAGUGAUUGUUAUGCAACAUUAAAGUCCCAAGCACUUUUCAAGCAAAGACACUUGGCACUUGGGGGCUAAUGCAUAUUGAAAGAUUCUAUUUACAAAUUGUCGGUUCAUGAAAGUAAGCCGGAAGUUAAGUCUACAACAUAUUCUAUCAUAAGUAAUAGACUUGGGGGCUAGCAUAGUAAGACUGACUAUGGAGUAAGCAAGAGAUUUGUACCUCAGAUUUUUGUUGGAUCUGCUUCACCAUAUCAAUCUCCAGAUCCCAGCUGUUGUGCACUUGACCAAUGUAACCCGAGACAAUGUCUCCAAUGCUCAAGUUAGCAUAAUCAGUAAUUUCCAAUCUAGCCCGGCGGCGCUCUAGCAGCUCUUCCUUGGCAGAGCAUCUGGCCAGCACGGUGGGUCUUCCCGGCUCAACGUAUUCAGUCCGGGUAAUCACCACAUCCGGGUCAUCGGCCGGUUGAGCUGAGCUGGGGAUCUCCGGGUUAGCAGAAGUCUCUGUGAUUGGCUCGUCGGUUGGAGCAGUGGCUUCAGGAGCAGAGGCAGCUAGCGGCUCUUGAGCUGAAACCUCCGGCUCAGUCAAGACCGGCUCUUCGACCGGUUUAUUCUUCUUCGCCCUCUUGCUGAGCUUUGCCUGGGCACUGAAAGGACAAAAGGUUAGUACAAAAGCAUGAGUAAAGAUAAGCACAACACAAGAUGAUCAUCGUUACCCAGGUGCGGUCUUGAAAGCCGGCAGGUUAGAUUUUAUAGAAUCACCAGAGGAAGGUGAAGUUUCCUGAUAAUUUGAAUCAGAAGAAUUGAGCGGUUGACGAGUAACGCCCGCCAAAGGAUGAAAAGGAUAUAAGUUGGAGAUAACCUCGGUCCGGCGCUUCCUUGAUGCUUCAGGUAAGCCGGAGGAGAGGUCUGCAUCCUUGAUGGUCUGGGUGUGCCGCCGGCUUUCAUGAAUCUGUUGCUUCAAAAGAAAUUGAGGAUCUUGAUAAGCUAAAGGAUGUGAAAAUCUUACUUUCCGGGUUACUCUUCGGACUUUCAGCCUUGGCAAGGGCUCCGAGUCGGAGGAAAGUGUCGUUACCUCUUCAGUCACCGGGUUACUUGCUCCGGUGUCAUCCUGCUGAUGAUCAGUAUCGAUAAGGUGGAUAGGAAUAAACAAGAAACAAAACAAGAGCCUACAGAUUCAGGGGUUACCUCUGACUCGGAGCUGUCGCUUAGCUGAAGCAGCUCUGAGGCAGUAGGCCUGCUUCCCUUCUUGCGGGGAGCGGCUCUCCUGGCGGCUUUCUUAGCCUUCCUGGCUUUUUUGGCCGCCUCAUGGUCAUAUUUGACCUUCCAGAACUUGUCAUUAGCCUGAAACAUACAACAAAGAUGGUUCAGAUGAAAGCUAUUAAAAGGAAAACCAAGGUGUUCAGGUCAGUGGCUUACCGCCGGAGCCGGGUUAGCUCGGCAGAAGGGGUUUAAGCCGGUUUUCCCACAGUAGGCUAAGCUCUCAUUCAGGAGAGACUUGGUCAUGUCGUCCACGACGUCCUCAGGGAGAUCAUUGGGGCUGUGCCGCAGAGGGUCAUCUUUCCGGCCCGUGUAAUCGCACAUUAAGCCGGGGCGGCGGCUCAAGGGAAUCACCCGCCAAGAGAUCCAGACCCGGACCAGAUCAAUGCCGUUGAGGCCGUUUCCCAGGAGAGCCUUGAUCUUGUUGAUGGUGGGGAUCAGAGGUUGACGCUCCGCUUGAGAUAGUUUGUCUGGCAGAGGGUGAUUUGGUUCCAGACGCAGGGCACAAAAGCCGGGCAGAGGGCUCUCGUCAGCCGGAGAGGUGUCCUGGCAGUAGAACCACGUCUGGUUCCAGUCCUUUGGAUGGCUUGGCGGUUCAGCGUAAGGGAAAAGGCAGUCUCUCCGUCGUUGAAUGGAGAUUCCGCCAAGUUCCAAGCUAGGCCCAUUGGCACACUCAUUCUGGCGAUUCAGGUAGAACAACUCCCUAAAGAGCAGUAGGCUGGGCUCUUCUCCAAGAUAGACUUCGUAGAAUACUUGGAAGUUGCAAAUAUUUGACACAGAAUUGGGUCCUAUGUCUUGCGGCCGCAGAUCAAAGAAGUUCAGAACCUCUCUAAAGAAUUUUGAGCCGGGCGGUGCGAAGCCCCGGCUCAUGUGAUCAGCAAAUAUCACCACCUCACCAUCUCUUGGUUGAGGUCUUUCCUCCGACGGGUCAGGGGCACGAUAAGACAUGAUCUCCUUCUUGGGCAAGUAACCCGUCUUCACAAAAUCAGCUAAAGUGUCGUCGGUGACAUUGGAUCUCAUCCAGUUGCACGUGAUGGGUGCCUUGGGAGCUUUGGGUGGCAUUGUGAAAGAUGAAGCCUAUGACAAAGGGAAAAUGUCCGGUUCAAUUAUAAGCCGGCAGACGUCUAUAGUUCAAUACUUAAAUGGCGGAUUAUGAAGGGGCCUAAUGACAUAUGGCUAAGUGCAUCGGGUUAUCUAAGCCGCUGAGGGCAUCGUGAGUAAUUCAAAUUGUCUACAGCUUUAUCAUAAAUGAGCCAGAAGUUUUACAACGCGUGGCUUCUUUAAGCCGGAAAUGUGAGCCGCCAUAGCUAAACAGAUGCAAUUUUUGACUAAGUGUGAUGAAAACAAGUUUCACAGAUCGCAGUAAUUAUUUUGGAUCAAACGGUUGGCUAAAAGGAAAAUUUUCUAGACCUAGAACUGACGCAGAAGAAGUUCAUGGAUUCAGAACGAGAUCUUAUUGCAGACAAAGGGGAUCUACUAGCAUAAAAAUGGAUGCGCAACAACUACUGCAGGAGCUCUGUACUACUCUUGGAUCUAACAUGACUAUAGUGGAAGAACUACAGGAAACUCGAGAAGAAUAGCGAAGAACAGAGGAAGAACAGUGGAACCCUAAUGUGGAUCUACGGUGGAGAGGUGCAGGGACUUACAGAUGCGGAGUUAUUGCGGAGGUUCAUCGCGUUUCUCUGGUCACGUCAGGUUGAUGCAGCGGCCUGAGUUGGUGAAGACGAGGAAACCCGCGGCGGCGGCGGCGGAGCUCGGGCGGCAGCACAGUGGCGAGAGGAGGAAGAAGAUGGAGGCGACGAGUAACUGGAGGCUCAUGGGCCGGGCUAUUUAUAAGGUGAGGCUCAUAAGUGGGUGCGAGAAACGAGGAGGCCACGGCGUGAUUAUCUCGCCACGAAAGCGCCUCGAUUUUCGGGAUAACCAUUAAAGAUAAGAUCCGUUGGAGUAUAACAGAAUAAAAAAUGGACUUACUGGAAAAUGACGUCAUGGCGGGUUACCAGGAAUCCGGAAGAUGACGUCACGGCGGGUUAUAACCUUCGCCCGACCAUAAGCCGGAAGAUUUUUUCUCUCAAAGGAAUUGAAGAUUGACAUGAACCGGUUCAAAUCAAUCUGAGGCCUAAUGUUGAGGAUAUAACCAUUAGAGUCACCCACCCAGGAGGGGCCGGGUUACGUCAUAAUGGUCAUCACGCGAAGCCCAGUACCAAGCUUGAAGACGACGGGUUAGAUAAUGGGCUUAAGACCCGGAGGAGGCUUAAGGUCCGUAGUGAUAAACCGCCGUAUGGCAAGACUUGUAGUGUAAGGCAAGAAUAGAUGAGAGUCCGAGCCGGACACUCUUAUGAGCCGGCCGGGACUCUGAGAGCCGCUGGGCGUUAACCUCUCUAUAUAAAGGGACGACCCGGCGGCGGUUUAGGAAGAAGAAAGAUCUCGUCGAGAACCAGGCAGAGGAAUUAAGCUCCCUGGUCAUCGAAACCAUAAUCAAUACCACCUCAACUGGACGUAGGCUUUUACCUUCACCGUAAGGGGCCGAACCAGUAUAACCCCCGUGUUCCUUGUCCCGUUUAACCCCUUUAAGCUUCCUAGUUGCGAUGGCUCCACGACUAAGUCCUAGCUCGAGGACAUCUGCCGUGACAAUUCCACGACACAUGUGGAACCUCCACUUGUUUAUGGUGGACCGAUUCCUUCUACUCAUUUGAAUCAUGCCGGUCCUCCCCCUAAGAUUGUGAAAAAUGAGGACUUUGAUUCUUGGGUUAUCGCUUUAAGCGUCAUUUAAAUCAUGUGAAUACUAAUCUUUGGAGAAUCAUUGAAGAAGGUUUCUAUCCGCAUGACCGAAGCAACUUCACCCCUAGAGAAGCCGCGGAUAAUCAAUUCAAUGAGAAUGAUGUCUUCAUCAUCCAAGAUGCAAUUCCACCCGAAUAUCUCCCUCAUCUUCGGCCCUUCGCCAUGGCCAAAGAUGCAUGGCAUUGUGUUGUCUCCCUCUACCGGGGAAGUGCAAGCAUUCAACGCUCCAACUAUGAAGUGGUGCAAGAUGAAGCCGAUGAGUUUGCAAUGAAAGAAGAUGAAGAACCUCGUGAGCUUUAUCGGAGAGUAACCAAACUCGCCGUCUCACUCCGAGAUCAUGGGAGCAAGGACACGGAUGACAAUUGGAUCAAGCACAAAUUUCUCAAGGCAAUGACGCCUUACCACAAGGCCAUGUCCUCCGUCAUUCGUCAAAGGCCAGACUUCCACACCUUGUCCUCAAGUGAAGUGUUGGAUGAGUUUGUGGCUAUGAGCAUCUUGGACAAGACCGCCGACAAUGUGGUGCUACACUCUCAAAGGGCAAAGAAGCCCAACCUUGCAUUGAAGGCCAAGGUUAGUGUUGAAGAAGAAGAAUAAGAGGAAGAAGAGGAAAGCAACCCCGAAGAUACAAAGUAUGCCUAUCAUGAACACAUGGCUCUUGCUUCAAGGCAAUUUUGGAGCAAGAAGAACAAAAGGCCCAACUUCAACAAGAGCAACUCAAGUGGCGCAAAGGUCAAGCAACGAGUGAGGACUUGCUAUAAUUGUGGCAAUGUGAGCCAUUUUGUUGCGGAAUGUCCUUACGAGAAGAGGGAGGACAAUGGUGGCAAGCUCAUCCGAAAAGACAAGGCCAAGUCUUUCCCCAACAAGAGCAACUUCACCAAGAAGACUCCUCCCAAGGCGUUGGUGGUCCAAGAAGAAUAUAAUGAGGAUGAUGAAGAUGGUGAGUCGGUUGCCAUGGCCUCCGUUGCCAUUGCGACAACUCCACGGGUGUCUCUCUUCGACUCACCCAAUGAGAGCAUCACCGCCAAGUGCCUCAUGGCUAAAGCCACCAACAAGGUAACCCCCAACAUCAAAACUACCAUCAUUAAUAGUCCUUCUUUGAUGGAUUGCAUUGAUGAACAUGAGGGUUCUAAUGUGGAGGAAAAUGAGUUUGAGUCUUUUAUGAGUAAACUCAAGGGUAAAUCCAAGAAGCACUUCGUUGCUCUCUUGGAACAACUUGGUGAAGCCAAUGACAUGAUCGAGGCUCAUGAAGAUACCAUCUCUAAGAUGGAGGGGCAUAGUCGUGACUAUGCCGAUGAGAUUUCGGAUCUUUCCAAUGCUCUUGAGGAAGAGCGUGGUCUUCGUUUGGCUCUUGAGGAGUCACACAAUGAUGACCAUGCCAAAUUAAAGAAAGAUCUUGAUCAUGCUCUUGUUGUCUCUCGUGUGCUAACCUCCGAGAAGGCCAAACUUGGGGUUGAUCUUGCAAGACUCAAGGAGGAGUUUGAUAUACUUGACAAGGCUCACAAGGCCUUGAAGGGUAUUCAUGCUAAUCUCAAAGAGUCUCUUGAUCAACUUCAAGUGAAGCUAACCAAGGAGAAAGCCACCUUUCCUCAUAUGGUGUUAAUUGAUAAGGCAAAUGCUACUAACCCUUGUUGUGAGCAUGUGCAUCUUGUUGAGGAGAAUGCUAAGUUGAAGGAGCAACUUGAGAAAGGCCUUGUGUCGUGCAUACAAGGUGAGAAGAACCUCAAUGACCUUUUGAGCAAUCAAAAGGAAGUUGUGGCCAAGGAAGGGAUUGGGUUCGCACCCAUGCCCAAGAACAAGAAGAAGAAUGAAACCACCAAACGACCUCCCCCUCUCAAGCAAACCUUUGUGAAGGAGGGAGAGGGUGCUUCCAAGGAGAAGAAAAACAAUGUGAAGGGUGGUGCUGCCAAGAAAAGCAAUGCCACCCCUUCCAACAAAGCCAGCGACUUUAACCCUUCUUAUGUGUUGUGCCGUGCUAGUGAUGGGCAUGUAUAUGCCAAAUUUGUUGGUUCUCCUUAUGAGUACAUUGAAUGGUCUAUUUGGGUUCCUAAGACCCUUGUCACUAACAUCAAAGGACCCAUUACAAAAUGGGUACCUAAAACCAAGCAUUGAUCUCUUGUAGGUGUUUGAUUCCGGUGGGGGAUCAUGGUUGCUCGAUAGUGGAGCCACUAAUCAUAUGACCGGAAGCAAGGACUUGGUGGUGGACGUUUACAAGAUUCCAUCUAUGCCAACAAAUGUCGAGUAGGGUGAUGCCUCGUCCUCUAAGGUAUUGGGGCUUGGCAAGGUUGUCAUUUCUCAUGAUCUCACGAUCGAGAAUGUCAUGCUUGUUGAGUCCCUUGCAUACAAUUUAUUUUCCGUUCGUCAACUUGCACUCAUGGGCUUUGCCACUUUCUUUGAUAUUGAUACCGUGGCCCUCUUGUGGAGCAAGACUCUUAAAGUAGCCUUUGUUGGGCAUGUCGAGAACGGUCUCUAUGUGAUUAACUUUUCGGAGCGACCCACUAAGACCGCGACAUGCCUAAUGGCUAAAGUUGACGUGGGAUGGCUUUGGCAUAGCUGAUUAGCCCAUGUCAAUAUGAGAUCUUUGGAAAGUCUUCUCAAGGGGGACCAUGUCCGUGGACUAACAAAUGUUAGUUUUGCUAAAGAUCGUGCUUGCAGUGCUUGUAUCGAAGGAAAGCUUCAUGAAAAGGCUCACCCUCCCAUGACUAUCAUCUACUCGAAGAGGCCUUUGGAGCUCCUUCACUUGGAUCUCUUUGGGCCUCCAUCCUUUGAUAGUAUUGGGGGUAGAAAGUAUUGCUUGGUGAUUGUGGAUGACUAUUCAAGAUACACUUGGGUAUAUUUCUUCAAGAGGAAGAGCGAGACCCAACAAACUGUUGGGGAACGUAGUAAUUUCAAAAAAAUUCCUACGCACACACAGGAUCAUGGUGAUGCAUAGCAACGAGAGGGGAGAGUGUUGUCCACGUACCCUCGUAGACCGAAAGCGGAAGCGUUAGCACAACGCGGUUGAUGUAGUCGUACGUCUUCACAAUUCGACCGAUCAAGUACCGAACGUACGACACCUCCGAGUUCAGCACACGUUCAGCUCGAUGACGUCCCUCGAACUCCGAUCCAGCCGAGCUUUGAGGGAGAGUACCGUCAGCACGACGGCGUGGUGACGAUGAUGAUGUUCUACCGACGCAGGGCUUCUCCUAAGCACCACUACGAUAUUAUCGAGGUGGACUAUGGUGGAGGGGGCACCGCACACGGCUAAGAGAUGCAAGGGAUCAAUUGUGUCUAUGGGGUGCCCCCCUCCUCCGUAUAUAAAGGGGGGGAGGAGGAGAGGGCCGGCCAAGGGGAGGAGGCGCGCCCAAGGGGGGGCAAUCCUACUCCAAGUAGGAUUCCCCCCUCUUUCCUAGUCCAAGUAGGAGAGGGGAAGGAAGGGAAGGAGAAGGAGAUGGAAGGAGAGGGAGGAAAAGGAGGAAAGGGGGGCUAGCCCCCUAGUCCAAUUCGGUUUGGGCUAGGGGGGCCGCGCGCCCUGCCUCCUCUCUUCCACCACUUGGCCCAUGAGGCCCAUUGCUUCUUCCUCGUAUUCCCGCAACUCCCCGGUACCCCCGAAAAUACCCGAAUCACUCCGAACCUUUCCGAUGUCUGAAUAUAGUCAUCCAAUAUAUCGAUCUUUACGUCUCGACCAUUUCGAGACUCCUCGUCAUGUCCCCGAUCUCAUCCGGGACUCCGAACUACCUUCGGUACAUCAAAACACAUAAACUCAUAAUAUAACCGUCAUCGAAGUUUAAGCGUGCGGACCCUAUGGGUUCGAGAACUAUGUAGACAUGACCGAGACACGUCUCCGGUCAAUAACCAAUAGCGGAACCUGGAUGCUCAUAUUGGCUCCUACAUAUUCUACGAAGAUCUUUACCGGUCAAACCGCAUAACAACAUACGUUGUUCCCUUUGUCAUCGGUAUGUUACUUGCCCGAGAUUCGAUCGUCGGUAUCUUAAUACCUAGUUCAAUCUCGUUACCGGCAAGUCUCUUUACUCAUUCCGUAAUACAUCAUCCCGCAACUAACUCAUUAGUUGCAAUGCUUGCAAGGCUUAUAGUGAUGUGCAUUACCGAGUGGGCCCAGAGAUACCUCUCCGACAAUCGGAGUGACAAAUCCUAAUCUCGAAAUACGCCAACCCAACAAGUACCUUUGGAGACACCUGUAGAGCACCUUUAUAAUCACCCAGUUACGUUGUGACAUUUGGUAGCACACAAAGUGUUCCUCCGGUAAACGGGAGUUGCAUAAUCUCAUAGUCAUAGGAACAUGUAUGUCAUGAAGAAAGCAAUAGCAACAUACUAAACGAUCAAGUUCUAAGCUAACGGAAUGGGUCAAGUCAAUCACAUCAUUCUCCUAAUGAUGUGAUCCCAUUAAUCAAAUGACAACUCAUGUCUAUGGCUAGGAAACUUAACCAUCUCUGAUCAACGAGCUAGUCAAGUAGAGGCAUACUAAUGACACUAUGUUUGUCUAUGUAUUCACACAUGUAUCAAGUUUCUGGUUAAUACAAUUGUAGCAUGAAUAAUAAACAUUUAUCAUGAAAUAAGGAAAUAAAUAAUAACUUUAUUAUUGCCUCUAGGACUGAAAGUGCGUUAUAUCGACUAGAGGGGGUGAAUAGGCGAUUUUUAUAAAUUCUUCACUGAGGAAUUUGUGGGUGAGGAAAUUCCUUAGCGAAGAACUACUUGCAGCGGAAUAAGUGCUCAAAAGUAUGCAUAGCAGAACACAAGCAUAGUCAUCAUGAUGAAAUGAAAACAAGCACAAAGUACAGAAAGCGUAAACACAGGAUAACACAGGAUGAAGACAAACAGCCUGAGGAAAUUGAACUGAGGAAAUUGAGAAAGUCUUCAGUCAAAGUCUUCAAACACAGAUAUGAACAAUUGCACAACACACGAAUGAGGAAAUGAAAGAGUUGAGGAAAUAGAACCAGUUGGCUUUGUGAAGACAAUGAUUUGGUAGACCAGUUCCAACUGCUGUCUCAGUUGUACGUUUGGUUGGAGCGGCUAGGUAUUUAAACCUGAGGACACCCAGUCCCGGACACACAGUCCUCACCGUAUUCUCCUUGAACUAAGGUCACACAGACCUCGUCCAAUCACUCGUGGUAAGUCUUCAGGUGACUUCCGAACCUUCACAAACUCGGUCACUCGGCGAUCCACAAUUUCCUCUUGGAUGCUCUAGACCAUGACGCCUAACCGUAUGGAAGAAGCACAGUCUUCAAAGGUAACAAGCAUCGGAUCCACGCAGGAUCAAUCUCUUCAGUGAUGCUCAAUCACUUUGGGUAUGUAGGUGUUUGGGUUUGGGGUUUUUCCUCACUUGAUGAUUUUCGCUCAAAGUCCUCGGAGGAUGGGAUGCUCUCAAAUGACAAGUGUCAGUUUCUCUCGGAGCAGCCAACCAGCUAGUGGUUGUAGGGGGCGGCUAUUUAUAGCCUAGGGAGCAGCCCGCAUGAUAAGACAUAAAUGCCCUUCAAUGAUAUGACCGUUAGGUGGGUAGAUAUUUUGGGACUGCUGGCGCAUAGCACAGCAACGGUCGGAAAUUUCAGGUUCAAAUUCCUCAGGGCUAUCAUGUUCCUCACUGUGUAGGCAAUCCGCACUGGCGAAUUCCUAACUCCUCAGUCAGAACAAAUUCCUCAAAGACCAGAAGAACUUCGUCUCUGUCACUGAAGAAUAUGACUGAACUGUAUGAGAUUUCCAAUGGCUUCACUUGAAGGGAUUGGUAGGUGUAGGAUUUUGAGUUGAGCAUCACAUGGAAAUUUUUCCUUAGUAUUUCCUCGACCCCUUUAACAGUACGGUGUUUCCUAUGACUCAAGAAAGAGAAAAUGAAACUACGAAAACAAAAGUCUUCACGCUUCAUGUUCCUCAAAUGAAUACCAAGUCUUCAAGGUCACACCAAUUUCUUUACUUUCAAAGUCUUCAGAAAGUCUUCAGAAAUCCAAAGUCUUCAGUCGAAGAACUUCAUUUUUAGGGGGCGACUUUCUCUGUAAUUAUCAAACUCCUCAUAGACUUAUAGAUCUGUGUACACUCACAAACGCAUCAGUCCCUUAACCUAUAAGUCUUCAAUACACCAAAAUCACUAAGGGGCACUAAAUGCACUUACAAUCUCCCCCUAUUUGGUGAUUGAUGACAAUAUAGGUUAAGUUUUCAACGAGGAUAAACAUAUGAAGUGUAAAUACUGAUAUUGAGGAAUUUGAUUGCAAGAUAUAGAAGAACUCCCCCUGAAGAUGUGCAUAGUGAGGAAUUUGCUUUUGAAGCAAUGCACACUUGAAGAGUUGAAUCAUGGAGAUCUCCCCCUAUAUCUUGUAAUUCAUACACGCAUUUGACAUAAUAUAUGAAGAGUUUGAAAUGCAUGAUGAAAUAUGGUGACCGAUGUAAUUCAGCAUGCGUGCAAUAACAUCAAUGAGGAACAAGCAUGCAGAAGAAACAGCAAAAGUAUCAGGCCACCAUAGAGUUUAAGUUUACAACUCGAUCCAACAAAGUCAUCAGAAGAACGAGAGUUGUAACUUUAGAAAAAAACCGCCCAUAAGAUAGACCCGCUUGAAGACUAACUCAAAUUUCUCCCCCUUUGUCAUCAAAUGACCAAAAGGGUCGAAAAUGAGGACUAAUGCCCCUGAAGAAUAUCAAGGUGAUGAAGGAGCGUCAGCGUUGUUGGGGUCGGUUGUUGGAGUAGGGCCUGCCGCAGUGUUGUCCAAAUCUUCAUUUUCAUCAAUGUCACGUGAUGAAGAAUAGGAGCUGGCCACCAAGGAAGGAACCUUGACCUUCUUGUACUUCUUUGGAGGAGGUGCAGCCCAGUCAAGAUUGUCCUUGAGACCCAUUGUCUUCAGAUCUUCUUCACUAUAGACUUGAGACAGAACAGCCCAGGUGCGGUUGAGGAUUUCAUGAAGGUAGUAGUGGUUUUUCUUCACUGCAUUGUGGGUAGCAGUCAUGUUGUGAAGAAUUGAACCAAACUGACGCUUGACCCAUUUAUGAUUGCGAUCAACCUUCUGGUGAAGACUGAGGAGAAGCUCAUGGUCAGUCAUCACCGUGGGUGCUGUGCCUUGAGGAUUUUGCUUCGGUGCGUUGGCGGCAGAGUCAUGGGUGGCAGAGUCAUCAUUGGUGGAGUAGGAUGCAGCCUUGCGAAAUUGUCCAUCCAAUGGACGACUGCCUUCAUCAAUUACAGCAGUAGCCUUGCCCUUUUCAUCAGCUGAGGAAAAUGUCCGUUUGAGGACUUCAAUUGGGGGCAAGUAGCUGCAAUGGUUUAGUGUAUCAGCUUUAUAGUUGAGUGAAGACCUUCUCCUGAUGAAUCUCAUAAUCCAAGGUGCAUAAGGCUUCAACUCAAAUGGUGACAUGGCGACAUUGGCCAGAGUCCUCAUGAAGAAAUCAUGGAAGUUGAUGGGAAUGCCAUGUAUGAUAUUGAAAAGCAGAUUCUUCAUGAUGCCAAUGACUUCUUCAUUUGAGUCGUGGCCCUUGAUUGGACUCAAUGUCUUCGCCAGAAUGCGAUAGACAGUUCGAGGCACAUACAGCAAUUCCUUCACAAGGAAUUUUGUUCGUGAGGUCUGACCUGGCUUCAAAGGCUUCAUCAGCACUUGCAUGUAGUGAUCGGUUAGCUCAGGUUCACUGUAGACGCAACAAGCACCUUCAAGGGGUGGACUGAGAGGUAAGGCACGAAGCAAUUCAGUAGCUGGUGCCUUGUAGUGAGUGUUUUCAGACAUCCAGUCCAGCACCCAUGAAUUCACAUCUUCAGAAUUUCCGGUGAUGUGCAGCGUUGCAUAUAAUUGAAGAAUAAGUUCUUCAUUCCAAUCACAGAUGUCAGUGCAGAAAUUUAACAGUCCAGCAUCAUGAACAACACUGAGGACUGGCACGAAGCACGACAGAGAUUCCAUGUCCACGUGAGGAAUGUGCUCAUGAUCGAAGACUUUGUCUUUGUCGAACAGCACUGAGUAAUAAAAAUUUGCCUGGCUCUCAGUCCAGAAAUGCCUCUUCCUUAUGCGAGCAGAGUCAUAAGGGUUGUAAUCAGUGAAGAAUACAUGCUCGCCAAAGAAGGCAUCAGUCUUGAAUUUUUGCUUCUUGGAGAAAGGAUCCUUUGGUUUGGGCAGAGGAGUGUCAGUGAGUUGCAUCACAACCUCGGGAAUCACAAUCUCAGGUUCUUCAGGCUGAGGAAUUUCUGCUUCCUCUUUAGUGGCAGCCUGGUUCUUGAAUUCUUCAUUUUCAGUUUCUUCAGCACUAGCGGCUGGAAUGUCUUCAUGAGCUUCAUCAGAUCCCAUUUGAACAGUAGUGACUGGGGACUGAGGAAUUUGCUGCAGUGGAGUGAAGAGUGGAGAAUUGGGGUGCUGACUUUCCCAAAAGUCAUCAUUCAUCACAGGUGUAGUACAGCCAAUGUCCACAUCUUCAUCUUCAAUUUCUUCAACGCCGGCCUCUUCAGCAGUAAACUGAGGCACAUGCGAGGAAAUAACUGGGGUUGAAGGGAUUUCAUCCAUCUGCUCUGACGUAGCAGCAGAAGGAGUUUCUUCAUCAGAUCCGCUAGGGAUCACAUAUUCUUCACCAAAAGGAACAAGGUCGUUUGAUGGCAUGGUUGAGAUUGGAACAACAUCAAUCGGGUUUGCAAAAGAGCUGGUCAUAGGCUUCAUUUUCUUCGGAGCAAAAGAAUCUGAAGAAGCUGAUGCUUUCCUUUUCUUCACUGCUGCACGCUCUGCAGCCUUGGUCUUCUUCACAUCAGAUGCAGAUGGAAGGAUUGGAGUUGGAGUAGGCGCAGGUGGAGCAGAGGAAUUUUGUGCAGUUUCUUCAGGCACAACUGAUGCAGUUGCCCUGACCUCUUCAUUUUCUUCAGGCGCACCGCUAGUGGGUGCCCUGGAACUCACAUUAUCUUCAGCAGCCUGAUUGUCAUCAGCGGUGCUGGCAUGCUCUUCAGUUUGCUGAGCAGAUGCUUCAGCCUGAGUAACUUCAAUAUGCACAGGGGCAGCGGCACUUGAAGUGAGUGUCUUCGUCAGAUUGACGAACCUGACCUUGGUCCUUUCCAAUCAGCAUAGUAAGUGCUGAAAUCAUCGCUGAGGACUUUGAUUUCAGACUGGAGCUUUACAAGUUCAUCACUUGUCAUAGAGACAACGUUGUUCUUCAGGAACUUCUCCUUCCUGUACUGUGCUUUCUUGAGUUGCCUGGCCUUCUCAUAUUUCCAUUUUUCUUCACUAAUGAAAUGGGUCAGCAUGUGACUUUGGCCAGGUGUCAACUUGAAAUCAGGCAUAGGAGUGUUUGGGUCCUUGUGCCAGAUAUCAUUAUAGUCGAGGAUCAGCUUUGGAUCCAAAAGCAGUGGCACUUCUAUGCCCUUGGCUCUAGCGGCCCUGACUUGCCUGUCUCUGAUGAUUUCAGCAAGUUCUUCAUCAUCAGCUUCAUCUUCAUCAGACGGUACUUGGAAGGAGACCUGCUUCUUCCGAGGACUUGGGCGAGAGCCUCGUCCAACAGUUGUCUUUGUCUUCAGUAGAGAGGGUCCUGUUGAAGACUUUGGUGCAGCUGAGGAACUAGCUGAAGCUCCUGAGGCAAUAGAGAUGCCUGUAGUCCUUUGGCAUGUGGCAAGAUGCAUAGGUGCUGAGGAUUUUGUCGGAGCAGCUGAGGACUUUGUAGGAGCAGGAGCGGCUUGAGGAAUUGGCCGUGAGGGCUGAGCUGAAGAAAUUGGCCGUGAGGGCAUUGACGAAGAGGCACUUGGCUUGUGCGCAGGCUUCUUUGCCAUGGAUUUCUUCGGCCGUACAGAGGCCUCAGCAGCAGCAGUGGAAUCUUCGUUGAAUUUCUUCACUGCAUCUUUUGCCUGUUUGGCCAACUUGGCUUGGCGCUUGGCCCAUUCUUCAGGAAAAUCCUCACCGCGCUUGAUGCUAGUGGGAUCUGUCUCUUGGCCAGGUGCCAAUGGAGGUCUUUAGCAUGGAGGAGUAACAUCUAAUUUCUUCAUGUAUUUUGGAGUCACAUACCUGUACUCCCUCCACUCUUUUGCCCAUCUCCUUUCUAUCCUCUGAAUGCGCACCUUGCGCUGAUUUUUAUCUUCCUCAGGGCGUGUGCAGUACCCCGCAUAAAUGUCCUCAGGGAUUUCAAAGGCAGUAUUGGCCUCAGGCUUCUUUCCUCCCUUCUGUGGCCUCUUUUCAUUAGCCAAUUUCUUCAGUUGAGGAAUUUGAACAAUUGAACUCUCUGAAGAAGUAUGCAACUUUCCUCAAGGAACGCUGCAAAUGAGUUAAGUUGAUGAGAACCUAGUGAUUCAGCAACGGACAUGAGUACCUGUGAACAGAGUAUAGUUGCGAGGAAUUUGGAGAGGUCAUAUGCGUUCUCAGAAGGUUUUUCAAUAAGAACAAGUUUGAGGAAUUUGACCAGAUGAGUCUUGAAGAAUUUCACUAAGCGUUCUUUGUCUUAGGUUCCAGAGUUGUAUAGAUCGAAGAUCCACACAAUUGAGGAAUCUUGAAGAAAAGUGAUGCUUAGAGAAACGAACCAAGAGCAGAUGACAUGUGAGGUGUUUAGUGUGUGAGAAUUUGAAGAAAAAACACCUUUGAAGAUUUUGCAGUAAACAUUUGAAUCAAAGUGGGCAGUAGAAGUAACUUUUAAUUACCCUGAAUGAAGAACACGACGAACUGGGAUGUGGAGAAGUGAAGCUCGUCUGUGUAGAUCUUCCACGCCCUAACUUGGCGGAGGAAGACGGCUACGGCGGCAGCGGAGUGAAGAUUUCCGCGGCCGGCGUGAGUACGGCGGCGACGAGGUCGAGGCAGUGAAGCUCUUCCUCACCGGCGAUGAUGAUGUAGCGGCGGCGCUAGGGUUUGAGAAGCUCGAGCUGGAGAGAGGUCGAGCGGAGUAAAAGAAGUGAGGAAGGGGAGAGGGGGUAUUUAUAGCCACGGUGAAAAACGGUUCGCUCGAAGAAAUUGGACGAACGUGCCCCUGACCCUUCUCAUUCGCAUGACAUGUGUCACCCACGUACUGAGAGGUGGAGAUCGUGUUAGAUCGUGGGUGAAUAGGUAAGUAUAUCGUGGGAAGCGGAACGGUUUGAGCGGCAAAGCCGAAAAUUUGGAUAAGAUAAGUUAAAAGUUUCGUUCGCAAAUUCUUCAGCUGACAAGGACACAGUGAAGAUUUUGAAUGAGUUUCAAAUAGAAUGCACAUGAAGAAUUUGUGAAUAGAUUGGGUUGAGUAUAGCAUAGAGGGGGAAGGGUCCGAUCACAUUCACUUAGAAGAAAUAGCAACUUGAAGAAAUAGCAAUAAGUGAAUGCUGUAGAGGACAUAAACUCAUAUAUAUAUAGCCAAUGAAGAGAAACGACGGAAACAGUGAAGAUUUUGCAAAGUUGAAGAAUAUGAAAAACUGAGGAAUUUCAAAAAAUGAGGAAAAACUCAAACUGAAGAUUUUCAACUUUUGUGGUGGCGUGACCCACCGUAUAAGAAUGAUGAUUUCAGACACCGCGUACAAUUGUCGUAGGGUUCUGAGAAUCAAAUUCUUCAUUAAUUUCUUCACACUUAGAGUGUUAUUCUUCAUUGAUUGAAGAAAAAUGUUUCUUCAUGUGUUGCACAUCUAAGUCAUCAAUUUUGCAUAAGUGUUAGGAUGAGUGUCCUUUUCAAAGAACAUUCGAAGAUUAUAGGAUAUUUAGCUCACACCGCAACUUGCUAAAUCACUUCUCAUCCAAGGGCUUUGUGAAGAUAUCGGCUAGCUGUUCUUCAGUCUUCACAUGCUCAAUAGAAAUGUCGCCCUUCAACACAUGAUCGCGAAGAAAAUGAUGACGGAUCUGAAUGUGCUUUGUCUUCGAGUGCUGAACUGGGUUGUGAGCAAUCUUGAUGGCACUCUCAUUGUCACAGAAGAGAGGCACAUUCUUCACGUUGACGCCAUAGUACUUGAGGGUUUGCUUCAUCCACAGCAAUUGAGCACAGCAAGAACCAGCAGCAAUGUACUUAGCUUCAGCAGUAGACAGUGAUACGCAGUUCUGUUUCUUCGAGGACCAACAGACCAAAGAUCGUUCGAGGAAAUGACAUGUACCAGAUGUUGACUUGCGAUCCACACGAUCACCAGCAUAGUCAGAGUUAGAAUAUCCAACGAGAUCAAAAGCCGAGCCCUUGGGGUACCAUAAUCCUAGUGUUGGUGUGUGAGCUAGAUAUUGAAGAAUAUGCUUCACAGCCUUAUGGUGUGAUUCCUUCGGUGUAGCUUGAAAUUGGGCACACAUGCAAACACUAAGCAUAAUAUCUGGCCUAGAUGCACAUAAGUACAAUAAAGAACCAAUCAUGGAGCGGUAUACCUUUUGAUCAAAGUCAAUACCAUUUUCAUCAGUGCACAGAUGGCCAUUUGUGGGCAUAGUAAUUUUGACGCCUUUGCAAUCUUGCAUGCCGAAUUUCCUCAGUACAUCCUUGAGGUAUUUCUCCUGAGAUAUGAAUAUGCCAUUGCGCUGUUGACGAAUUUGAAGACCUAAAAAGAAUUUCAACUCUCCCAUCAUAGACAUUUGAUAUUCUUCACUCAUCAUAUAGGCAAAUUCAUCACUAUAACGUUGGUCAGUACAGCCAAAGAUGAUGUCAUCAACAUAUAUUUGGCAUACAAACAAUUCAUCGUCAUAUGAUUUAUUGAAAAGAGUAGGGUCGAGUGAACCGGGUUUUAAGCCUUUCUUCAUGAGGAAUUCCUUCAAAGUAUCAUACCACGCCCGAGGGGCUGCUUGAGGCCAUAUAGGGCCUUAUUUAGUCUGAAGACUUUGUUAGGAUGCUUAGGAUCUUCAAAACCUGGGGGUUGAGCAACAUAUACUUCUUCCUCAAGCUUACCAUUGAGGAAUGCACUUUUCACAUCCAUUUGAUAUAAGGUGAUAUCAUGAUGGUUAGCAUAAGCAAGUAAUAUGCGAAUAGCUUCAAGUCUAGCAACAGGUGCAAAAUUUUCAAUGAUAUCAAUUCCUUCAACCUGUGUGUAGCCUUGAGCUACUAGUCGUGCCUUAUUCCUCACCACAAGGCCAUUUUCAUCUUGCUUGUUGCGGUAGAUCCACUUUGUGCCAAUGAUAUUGUGUUUGCGAGGAUCUGGACGAUUGACCAGUUCCCAAACGUUGUUGAGCUCGAACUGAUGUAAUUCUUCUUGCAUGGCUUGAAUCCACUCAGGAUCCAGAAAUGCUUCAUCUACCUUAGUGGGCUCUGAGAUAGAGACAAAAGCAUAGUGCCCACAAAAGUUAGAUAAAUGUGAAGCUUUUGAGCGUGUGAGAGGACCUGGUGCUUCAAUGUCAUCGAUGAUCUUCUCAACUUGCACUUCUUUUGCAACGCGAGGAUGAGUAGGUUGUCGUCGAGGAAUUUGAUUAGCAUUUUCGUCAGCACCAUUUUCUUCAGCAAUUUCUUCAAGUGCAUUAGUUCGACGUUCUUCACGUUCUGGAAUGAAUUCUUCAGCAGAUUCUUCGGUAGGAAUGACAUCCUCAGUAGCCUUGAACUUGAUAGUUUCCUCAGGUGCUGGUUCAUCUAUCACAGAGGGUAGGUGCUCUCUUUGCGAGCCAUUAGUUUCAUCGAACCGCACAUCUAUAGUUCAACAACCUUGUGAAGAACGGUGUUGAAGACUCUGUAGGUGUGCGAGACCUUUCCGUAACCAAGCAUAAAACCUUCAUGUGCUUUUGGUGCAAAUUUAGCAUUGUGAUGAGGAUCUCUAAUCCAACAUUUAGCACCGAAGACUUUGAAAUAACUCACAUUGGGUUUCUUGUCAGUGAGGAGUUCAUAGGCAGUCUUCUUGAAGAAUUUGUGAAGAUAUACCCUAUUGAUGAUGUGGCACGCAGUAUAAAUUGCCUCAAUCCAGAAGUGACGAGGCGUCUUGUACUCAUCAAGCAUAGUGCGAGCCAUCUCAACAAGAGUUCUGUUCUUGCGCUCCACGACGCCAUUUUACUGAGGAGUGUAAGGAGCAGAUAACUCAUGAGUAAUACCAAGUUCAUCAAGAUAGUCAUCAAGACCAGAAUUCUUGAACUCAGUUCCAUUGUCACUUCUGAUGUGCUUGAUCUUCACACCAAAGUUGGUUGAAGCCCUCGAGGAAAAUCGUUUGAAGACUUCCUGCACUUCAUGUUUGUAAGUAACAAUGUGUACCCAUGUGUAACGAGAGUAAUCAUCAACAAUAACAAGCCCAUAGAGAGAUGUGUCAUUUGUGACAGCUGAGUAAUGGUUUGGACCAAAGAGGUCCAUGUGAAGCAAUUCGAAUGGCCGAGUAGUGGUCAUGAUAGUCUUCGCUGGAUGCUUAGCCUUGGUCAUCUUUCCAGCUUCACAAGCUCCACAUAGGUGAUCCUUGAGGAAUUUGACAUUCUCAAUGCCAAUGACAUGCUUCUUCUUAGCAAGCGUGUGCAAAUUCCUCAUGCCUGCAUGACCAAGUCGUCGAUGCCAUAGCCAUCCUUCUGAAGCUUUUUCAAGUAGGCACACGGCUGGUUGCGGUCCUGUAGAGAAAUCAACAAUAUACAAGUCUCCUCUCCUAAAGCCUUCGAAGACUUUGGAAUUGUCAGCUUCCAUAACCACAACACAACGAUACUUGCCAAAGACAACUACCAUAUCAAGAUCACAAAGCAUUGAGACAGACAUGAGGUUGUAUCCUAAGGACUCGACAAGCAUGACUUUGUCCAUGUGUCGAUCCUUUGUGAUCGCAACCUUACCUAGACGCAAUACCUUACUUUUGCCUUUGUCAGCGAAGAUGAUAUGCUUCAGAUGUGAUGGUGGUAAGGGAGCAUCAAUCAAUAGAUUCUUGUCACCAGUCAUGUGAUUUGUACAUCCACUAUCGAGGACCCACUCAGUGGCUUUGGGUUGAUCAUCCUGCAGAUGAAUUAGUGCAGCUUACGAACUUCAUGUACUUCAUCAGUGAAGAAUAUGACAUCAAUUCAUCAGAUCAAUUUCAUCAAGCAAUAGAACAUAUAAAGCAGUAUGAGUACAUGAGAAAUGAAAGUUCAUUUCUUCAUGAUUAGCCUGCGUCCUUUCAGGCAAACUUCAGGUCUCCAGCAAAUUCUUCAGACGUUCAAGUACGUCUGGAGACCUGACCCUGCAGAAGAGAUUAGUUCUUUUUCUUCACCACCCACAUCUGAAGGGGUGGCAAAGAGUUCAUCACUCUGCGAGCUCCAUAUGAGAAAGGUGGCAUAGAAGCCAAUCCAUUUCGUUUCACAUAAGAGGAGUUAGGGUAAGCAUAUGAAUAAGCAGAGAAAUUCUUCGAGGACUUAUGAACAUAAUGAUUAGAAGAAUAAUGCUCAUAUUCAUAGCCCUUGGCUCUUCCCUGCGAAACAGAGUUGUUAGCACAAUGAUGUUCAUAUGAGGACUUUGAUCCUUUUGAGGAAUUUGAUCCAUGUGAGGAAUUUUGUCCGUAUGAGGACUUGGAUCCAUAUGAAGAAUUUGGUCCAUAUGAAGAAUUUGAUCUGGGGUUCCUAUUCCUCACUGGUGGUGUCAUGAGGACAUUCACCUGAAGACUUUCAAGGCACUUUUUGGGAACCUAGAUUUUCUUCAUAGGGGAACCGUUCCUGCAGUUAGUGCCAACAUAUCUAGCAAAUACUUCACCAUUCUGAUUUUUGAACAGUUUAUAGUUGGAGUCAAAUGACUCAUCAGAAGAAUGAGAAGAUUCACAUGUAAAGCCAGAUAAAUUAGAUGGAUCAACUGGAGGUCCCUUUGCAGCAACCCAUGAGGUUUUGGGGUACUGCUCAGGCUUCCAAUAUGUACCAUCAGCAUUGAGUUUCCUCUCAAAGGCAAUACCCUCUUUCCUAGGGUUUCUGUUGAGGAUAUGCUUUUUAAGCACAUCACAAAGAGUCUGAUGCCCUUUGAGACUUUUGUACAUGCCUGUCAUGUACAAUUCCUUCAGCCCUGCAUCGUUAGUGAUACUAGCAAUGUCCUCAGAUGGGGAAUUAGUGAUAGCAGAGACAGUUGAAGAAUUUGUAGCAUUAGAAGCAUUUGAACAUUCAGGUGAAGAAUUAGCAGAUUCACGUUCAAUGCAUUUCAAACAAGGAGGAACAAAUUCUUCCUGAGCAGCACUGAUUUGUUGAGCAAGUAAUGAAUCGCGCUCCUUCUGAAGAUCUUCAUAACUCACUCCUAGCUUCUCAAGAUCUUGCUUUCUUUGAAGAAAUUCAUAAGAAAGCUUCUCAUGAUCAGAUAAGAGAGUGUUAUGAUGACCCUGAAGGUUGUCAUACCUAGUCUGAAGUCUCUGAAGAUUUUCAGUCAAGGUUUUAGUGCGAUCCAUUUCUUCACCCAACAUAUCAUCACUCUUGUCUAGCAUGUUUUGAACCUUUUCAAGGGCCCUUUGUUGUUUCACAGCAAUCUUAGCAAGUUUUGAAUAGCUAGGCUUAAGGUUUUCAUCACAUUCAUUUUCACUUGAUUGAGAGUAGGCAUAUUUGAGUACCUUGGCACCCUUUGCCAUGAAGCAAUAGGUGGGCGCGUAGUCAUCAUUGCCUUCAUCAGCCUUGUUGGUGAGGUCAUUUUCUUCAGAGUUGAAGAUAGACUUGCUGACGAAUGCAGUAGCGAGGGCUAGGCUUGCCACACCGGAUUCGGAAUCCUCAGAUGCCUCCUCUUCCUCAUUUUCUUCAGAUUCAGCCUCAGAGUCCAUUUCCUUGCCAAUGAAUGCCCGAGCCUUCUUGGAGCUACUCUUCUUGUGAGAUGAAGACUUUGAGGAUUUUGAUGAUGAAGAUUUUGAGGAUUUCUUCUUUUUCUUCGUAUCAUCAGAACUGUAAUCCUUGUAUUUCUUCUUCUUUGAUUCCUUUUCCCACUGAGGACAAUCUUGAAUGUAGUGUCCUGGUUUCUUGCAUUUGUGACAAAGCCUCUUCUUGUAGUCACUGGAUGAGGAAACAUUGCUCCUUGAGGGUCUUCCAAAGCGACCACGUCUUGAGAGCUUCUGGAAUUUCUUCACAAGCAGUGCUAGAUCAUGGCUCAGUUCUUCAAGAUCACCAAGACUGCUUUCAGAGUCUUCAACUUCAGACUCAGAAACUGCCUUGGCCUUCAGUGCACGUGAUCUGCCAUAGCUCGAACCAUAGAGAUCUCUCUUUUCAGCAAGCUGGAACUCAUGAGUGUUUAGCCUUUCGAGGAUAUCAGCGGGAUCAAGUGACUUGUAAUCAGCACGCUCUUGUAUCAUCAAGGCCAGAGUAUCAAAUGAGGAAUCAAGCGAUCUGAGCAGUUUCUUCACCACCUCGUGGUCGGUGAUGUCAGUGGCACCAAGUGCUUGAAGCUCAUUUGAGAUGUCAGUGAGGCGAUCGAAGGUUUGUUGAACAUUCUCAUUGUCCAGUCUUUUGAAGCGGUUGAAGAGAUUCCGAAGAACAUCAACUCAAGAGUCACGCUGUGUUGAGACUCCUUCAUUUACUUUGGACAGCCUAUCCCAGAUAAGCUUAGCAGUUUCCAAAGCACUCACUCUUCCAUACUGUCCUUUGCUCAGAUGUCCACAUAUGAUAUUCUUCGCUUGAGAAUCGAGUUGCUUGAAUCUCUGCACAUCGGCAGCGUUCAGUGAGGGUGAGACAGAGGGAACACCUUUUUCCACAACAUACCAGAGAUCGUUAUCAAUUGCCUCAAGAUGCAUUCGCAUCUUAUUCUUCUAGUAGGGGUAGUCCAUCCCAUCGAAGGUAGGACACCCAGCAGAGACCUUGAUCAUACCUGCGGUCGACACAACUAAAACUCCAGGUGGUUAAACCAAAAUCACACAGAACAAGGGAGUACCUCACUCUGAUACCAAUUGAAAGUAAGUUAUAUCGACUAGAGGGGGGUGAAUAGGCGAUUUUUAUAAAUCCUUCACUGAGGAAUUUGUGGGUGAGGAAAUUCCUUAGCGAAGAACUACUUGCAGCGGAAUAAGUACUCAAAAGUAUGCAUAGCAGAACACAAGCAUAGUCAUCAUGAUGAAAUGAAAACAAGCACAGAGUACAGAAAGCGUAAUCACAGGAUAACACAGGAUGAAGACAAACAGACUGAGGAAAUUGAACUGAGGAAAUUAAGAAAGUAUUCAGUCAAAGUCUUCAAACACAGAUAUGAACAAUUGCACAACACACGAAUGAGGAAAUGAAAGAGUUGAGGAAAUAGAACCAGUUGGCUUUGUGAAGACAAUGAUUUGGUAGACCAGCUCCAACUACUGUCUCAGUUGUACGUCUGGUUGGAGCGGCUAGGUAUUUAAACCUGAGGACACCCAGUCCCGGACACACAGUCCUCACCGUAUUCUCCAUGAACUAAGGUCACACAGACCUCGUCCAAUCACUUGUGGUAAGUCUUCAGGUGACUUCCGAACCUUCACAAACUCGGUCACUCGGCGAUCCACAAUUUCCUCUUGGAUGCUCUAGACCAUGACGCCUAACCGUCUGGAAGAAGCACAGUCUUCAAAGGUAACAAGCGUCGGAUCCAUGCAGGAUCUAUCUCUUCAGUGAUGCUCAAUCACUUUGGGUUUGUAGGUGUUUGGGUUUGGGGUUUUUCCUCACUUGAUGAUUUUCGCUCAAAGUCCUUGGAGGAUGGGAUGCUCUCAAAUGACAAGUGUCUGUUCCUCUCGGAGCAGCCAACCAGCUAGUGGUUGUAGGGGGCGGCUAUUUAUAGCCUAGGGAGCAGCCCGCAUGAUAAUACAUAAAUGCCCUUCAAUGAUAUGACCGUUAGGUGGGUAGAUAUUUUGGGACUGCUGGCCCAUAGCACAACAACGGUCGGAAAUUGAGGUUCAAUUUCCUCAGGGCUAUCAUGUUCCUCACUGUGUAGGCAAUCCGCACUGGCGAAUUCCUAACUCCUCAGUCAUAACAAAUUCCUCAGAGAACAGAAGAACUUCGUUUGUCACUGAAGAAUAUGACUGAACUGUAUGAGAUUUCCAAUGGCUUCACUCGAAGGGAUUGGUAGGUGUAGGAUUUUGAGUUGAGCAUCACAUGGAAAUUUUCCUUAGUAUUUCCUCGACCCCCUUUAACAGUACGGUGUUUCCUAUGACUCAAGAAAGAGAAAAUGAAACUACGAAAACAAAAGUCUUCAUGCUUCAUGUUCCUCAAAUGAAUACCAAGUCUUGAAGGUCACACCAAUUUCUUCACUUUCAAAGUCUUCAGAAAGUCUUCAGAAAUCCAAAGUCUUCAGUCGAAGAACUUCAUUUUUAGGGGUCGACUUUCUCUGUAAUUAUCAAACUCCUCAUAGACUUAUAGAUCUUUCUACCCUCACAAACGCAUUAGUCCCUUAACCUAUAACUCUUCAAUACACCAAAAUCACUAAGGGGCACUAGAUGCACUUACAAGGGCAUAUUUCCUUCAGUCUCCCACUUGCACUAGAGUCAAUAAUCUAGUUCACAUCGCCAUGUGAUUUAACACCAAUAGUUCACAUCACCAUGUGAUUAACACCCAUAGUUCACAUCGUCAUGUGACCAACACCCAAAGGCUUUACUAGAUUCAAUAAUCUAGUUCACAUCGCUAUGUGAUUAACACCCAAAGAGUACUAAGGUGUGAUCAUGUUUUGCUUGUGAGAGAAGUUUAGUCAACGGGUCUGCUACAUUCAGAUCCGUAUGUAUUUUGCAAAUUUCUAUGUCAACAAUGCUCUGCACGGAGCUACUCUAGCUAAUUGCUCCCACUUUCAAUAUGUAUCCAGAUUGAGACUUAGAGUCAUCUGGAUCAGUGUCAAAACAUGCAUCGACGUAACCCUUUACGACGAACCUUUUCUCACCUCCAUAAUCGAGAAACACCUUAUUCCACUAAGGAUAAUUUUUGACCGCUAUCCAGUGAUCUACUCCUAGAUCACUAUUGUACUCCCUUGCUAAACUCAGUGUAGGGUAUACAAUAGAUCUGGUACACAGCAUGGCAUACUUUAUAGAACCUAUGGCUGAGGCAUAGGGAAUGACUUUCAUUCUCUUUCUUUCUUCUGCCGUGGUCGGGCUUUGAGUCUUACUCAAUUUCACACCUUGUAACACAUGCAAGAACUCUUUCUUUGACUGUUCCAUUUGAACUACUUCAAAAUCUUGUCAAGGUAUGUACCCAUUGAAAAAACUUAUCAAGCGUCUUGAUCUAUCUCUAUAGAUCUUGAUGCUCAAUAUGUAAGCAGCUUCACCGAGGUCUUUCUUUGAAAAAACUCCUUUCAAAUACUCCUUUAUGCUUUCCAAAAAAUUCUACAUUAUUUCCGAUAAACAAUAUGUCAUUCACAUAUACUUAUCAGAAAUGUUGUAGUGCUCUCACUCACUUUCUUGUAAAUACAGGCUUCGCCGCAAGUCUGUAUAAAACUAUAUGCUUUGAUCAACUCAUCAAAGCGUAUAUUCCAACUCCGAGAUGCUUGCACCAUUCCAUAGAUGGAUCGCUGGAGCUUGCACAUUUUGUUAGCACCUUUAGGAUCGAGAAAAGCUUCUGGUUGCAUCAUAUACAACUCUUCUUUAAGAAAUCCAUUACGGAAUGUAGUUUUGACAUCCAUUUGCCAGAUUUCAUAAAAUGUGGCAAUUUGCUAACAUGAUUCGGACAGACUUAAGCAUUGCUACGAGUGAGAAAAUCUCAUCGUUGUCAACACCUUGAACUUUGUCAAAACCUUUUUCGACAAGUCUAGCUUUGUAGAUAGUAACACUACUAUCGGCGUUCGUCUUCCUCUUGAAGAUCCAUUUAUUUUCUAUGGCUUGCCGAUCAUCGGGCAAGUCAACCAAAGUCCACACUUUGUUCUCAUACAUGGAUCCCAUCUCAUAUUUCAUGGCCUCAAGCCAUUUCACGGAAUCUGGGCUCAUCAUCGCUUCCUCAUAGUUCGUAGGUUCGUCAUGGUCAAGUAACAUGACCUCCACAACAGGAUUACCGUACCACUCUGGUGCGGAUCUCACUUUGGUAGACCUACGAGGUUCGGUAGUAACUUGAUCUGAAGUUACAUGAUCAUCAUGAUUAGCUUCCUCACUAAUUGGUGUAGGAGUCACAGGAACAGAUUUCUGUGAUGAACUACUUUCCAAUAAGGGAGCAGGUACAAUUACCUCAUCAAGUUCUACUUUCCUCCCACUCACUUCUUUCGAGAGAAACUCCUUCUCUUGAAAGGAUCCAUUCUUAGCAAUGAAUGUCUUCCCUUCGGAUCUGUGAUAGAAGGUGUACCCAACUGUUUCCUUUGGGUAUCCUAUGAACACACAUUUCUCUAAUUUAGGUUUGAGCUUAUCAGGAUGAAACUUUUUCACAUAAGCAUCGCAACCCCAAACUUUAAGUAACGACAACUUUGGUUUCUUGCGAAACCACAGUUCAUAUGUUGUCGUCUCAACGGAUUUAGAUGGUGCCCUAUUUAAUGUGAAUGCAGCUGUCUCUAAUGCAUAACCCCAAAACGAUAGUGGUAAAUUGGUAAGAGACAUCAUAGAUUGCACCAUAUCUAAUAAAGUACGGUUAUGAUGUUCGGACACACCAUUACACUGUGGUGUUCCAGGUGGCGUGAGUAGUGAAACUAUUUCACAUUGUUUUUACUGAAGGCCAAACUUGUAACUCAAAUAUUCUCCUCCACGAUCAGAUCGUAGAAACUUUAUUUUCUUGUUACGAUGAUUUUCCACUUCACUCUGAAAAUUUUGAACUUUUCAAAUGUUUCAGACUUAUGUUUCAUUAAUUAGAUAUACCCAUAUCUGCUCAAAUCAUCUGUGAAGGUCAGAAAAUAACGAUACCCGCCGCGAGCCUCAACACUCAUCAGAUCGCAUACAUCAGUAUGUAUUAUUUCCAAUAAGUCAGUAGCUCGCUCCAUUGUUCUGGAGAACAGAGUCUUAGUCAUCUUGCCCAUAAGGCAUGGUUCGCAAGCAUCAAGUGAUUCAUAAUCAAGUGAUUUUAAAAUCCCAUCAGCAUGGAGUUUCUUCAUGCGCUUUACACCAAUAUGACCUAAACGGCAGUGCCACAAAUGAGUUGCACUAUCAUUAUUAACUUUGCAUCAUUUGGCUUCAAUAUUAUGAAUAUGUGUAUCACUACGAUCGAGAUCCAACAAACCAUUUUCAUUGGGUGUAUGACCAUAGAAGAUUUUAUUCAUGUAAAUAGAACAACAAUUAUUCUCUAACUUAAAUGAAUAACCGUAUUGCAAUAAACAUGAUCAAAUAAUAUUCAUGCUCAACGCAAACACCAAAUAACACUUAUUUAGGUUCAACACUAAUCCUGAAAGUGUAGGGAGCGUGAGAUGAUGAUCAUAUCAAUCUUGGAACCACUUCCAACACACAUCGUCACUUCACCCUUAACUAGUCUCUGUUCAUUCUGCAACUCCCUUUUCGAGUUACUACUCUUAGCAACUGAACCAGUAUCAAAUACUGAGGGGUUGCUACGAACACUAGUAAAAUACACAUCAAUAAUCCGUAUAUCAAAUAUACCUUUAUUCACUUUGCCAUCCUUCUUAUCCGCCAAAUACUUGGGGCAGUUCCGCUUCCAGUGACCAGUCCCUUUGCAGUAGAAGCACUUAGUCUCAGGCUUAGGUACAGACUUGAGCUUCUUCACUUGAGUAGCAACUUGCUUGCCGUUCUUCUUGAAGUUCCCCUUCUACCCUUUGCCCUUUUCUUGAAACUAGUGGUCUUGUCAACCAUUAACACUUGAUGCUUUUCUUGAUUUCUACCUUCGUCGAUUUCAGCAUCAGGAAGAGCUUGGGAAUUAUUUCCGUUUAUCCCUUGCAUAUUAUAGUUCAUCAUGAAGUUCUAGUAACUUGGUGAUAGUGACUAGAGAACUCUGUCAAUCACUAUCUUAUCUGGAAGAUUAACUCCCACUUGAUUCAAGUGAUCAUAGUACUCAGACAUUCUGAGCACAUGCUCACUAGCUGAGCAAUUCUCCUCCAUCUUGUAGGCAAAGUACUGUCAGAGGUCUCAUACCUCUUGACACGGGCAUGAGUAUGAAAUACCAAUUUCAACUCUUGGAACAUCUUAUAUGCUCCGUGGCGUUUCAAAACAUUUUUGAAGUCCCGGUUCUAAGCCGUAAAGCAUGGUGCACUAAACUAUCAAGUAGUCAUCAUACCGAGCUUUUGUCAAAACGGUCAUAACGUCUACAUCUGCUCCUGCAAUAGUUCUGUCACCUAGCGGUGCAUCAAGGACAUAAUACUUCUGUGCAGCAAUGAGGUUAAUCCUCAGAUCAUGGACCAAGUCCCCAUCAUUGCUACUAACAUCUUUCAACUUAGUUUUCUCUAGGAACAUAUCAAAAUAAAACAGGGGAGCUAAACGCGAGCUAUUGAUCUACAACAUAGAUAUGCUAAUACUACCAGGACUAAGUUCAUGAUAAAUUAAAGUUCAAUUAAUCAUAUUACUUAAGAACUCCCACUUAGAUAGACAUCCCUCUAAUCAUCUAAGUGAUCACGUGAUCCAAAUCAACUAAACCAUGUCCGAUCAUCACGUGAGAUGGAGUAGUUUCAAUGGUGAACAUCACUAUGUUGAUCAUAUCUACUAUAUGAUUCAUGCUCGACCUUUCGGUCUCAGUGUUCCGAGGCCAUAUCUGUUAUAUGCUAGGCUCGUCAAGUUUAACCUGAGUAUUCCACGUGUGCAACUAUUUUGCACCCGUUGUAUUUGAACAUAGAGCCUAUCACACCCGAUCAUCACGUGGUGUCUCAGCACGAAGAACUUUCGCAACGGUGUAUACUCAGGGAGAACACUUAUACCUUGAAAUUUAGUGAGAGAUCAUCUUACAAUGCUACCGUCGGUCUAAGCAAAAUAAUAUGCAUAAAAGCAUCACAUGCAAUCAAUAUAAGUGAUAUGAUAUGGCCAUCAUCAUCUUGUGCUUGUGAUCUCCAUCUCCGAAGCAUCGUCAUGAUCACCAUCGUCACCGGCGCGACACCUUGAUCUCCAUCGUAGCAUCGUUGUCGUCUCGCCAACUAUUGCUUCUACGACUAUCGCUACCGCUUAGUGAUAAAGUAAAGCAAUUACAGGGCGAUUGCAUUGCAUAUAAUAAAGCGACAACCAUAUGGCUCCUUCUAGUUGCCGAUAACUCGGUACAAAACAUGAUCAUCUCAUACAAUAAAAUUUAGCAUCAUGUCCUGACCAUAUCACAUCACAACAUGCCCUGCAAAAACAAGUUAGACGUCCUCUACUUUGUUGUUGCAAGUUUUACGUGGCUGCUACGGGCUUAGCAAGAACCGUUCUUACCUACGCAUCAAAACGACAACGAUAGUUCGUCAAGUUAGUGCUGUUUUAACCUUCGCAAGGACCGGGAGUAGCCACACUAGGUUCAACUAAAGUGAGAGAGACAGACACCUGCCAGUCACCUUUAAGCAACGAGUGCUCGCAACGGUGAAACCAGUCUCGCGUAAGCAUACGCGUAAUGUCGGUCCGGGCCGCUUCAUCUCACAAUACCGCUGAACCAAAGUAUGACAUGCUGGUAAGCAGUAUGACUUAUAUUGCCCACAACUCACUUGUGUUCUACUCGUGCAUAACAUCAACGCAUAAAACCAGGCUCGGAUGCCACUGUUGGGGAACGUAGUAAUUUCAAAAAAAUUCUACGCACACGCAAGAUCAUGGUGAUGCAUAGCAACGAGAGGGGAGAGUGUUGUCCACGUACCCUCGUAGACCGAAAGUGGAAGCGUUAACACAACGCGGUUGAUGUAGUCGUACGUCUUCACGAUCCGACCGAUCAAGUACCGAAUGCACGGCACCUCCGAGUUCAGCACACGUUCAGCUCGAUGACGUCCCUCGAACUCCGAUCCAGCCGAGUGUUGAGGGAGAGUUUUGUCAGCACGACGGCGUGGUGAUGAUGAUGAUGUUCUACCGACGCAGGGCUUCGCCUAAGCUCCGCUACGAUAUUAUCGAGGUGUAAUAUGGUGGAGGGGGGCACCGCACACGGCUAAAAGAUCGUUGAUCAAUUGUGUGUCUAGAGGUUCCCCCCUGCCCCCGUAUAUAAAGGUGCAAGGGGGAGGACGCCGGCCAAGGAGGAGAGGCGCACCUAGGAGGAGUCCUACUCCUACCGGGAGUAGGACUCCCCCCUAUUCCAUGUUGGACUAGGAGAGAGGGGGAAGAGGUGGAGGGGAGGAAGGAAGGGGGGCACCGCCCCCCUCUCCUUGUCCUAUUCGGACUGGGGGGGGAAGGGGCGCGCGGCCCUGCCCUGGCCUCCUCUCCUCUCUUCCACCUAGACCCACUAAGGCCCAUUAAGUUACCGGGAGGGUUCCGGUAACCUCCCGGUACUCCGGAAAAAUCCCGAUUUCACCCGGAACACUUCCGAUGUCCAAACAUAGGCUUCCAAUAUAUCAAUCUUUAUGUCUCGACCAUUUUGAGACUCCCCGUCAUGUCCGUGAUCACAUCCGGGACUCCGAACAACCUUCGGUACAUCAAAACAUAUAAACUCAUAAUAUAACUGUCAUCGUAACGUUAAGCGUGCGGACCCUACGGGUUCGAGAACUAUGUAGACAUGACCGAGACACCUCUCCGGUCAAUAACCAAUAGCAGAACCUGGAUGCUCAUAUUGGUUCCCACAUAUUCUACGAAGAUCUUUAUCGGUCAGACCGCAUAACAACAUACGUUGUUCCCUUUGUCAUCGGUAUGUUACUUGCCCGAGAUUCGAUCGUCGGUAUCUCGAUACCUAGUUCAAUCUCGUUACCAGCAAGUCUCUUUACUCAUUCCGUAAUACAUCAUCCCACAACUAACUCAUUAGUUACAAUGCUUGCAAGGCUUAUAGUGAUGUGCAUUACCGAGUGGGCCCAGAGAUACCUCUCCGACAAUCGGAGUGACAAAUCCUAAUCUCGAAAUACGCCAACCCAACAAGUACCUUUGGAGACACCUGUAGAGCACCUUUAUAAUCACCCAGUUACGUUGUGAUGUUUGGUAGCACACAAGGUGUUCCUCCAGUAAACGGGAGUUGGAUAAUCUCAUAGUCAUAGGAACAUGUAUAAGUCAUGAAGAAAGCAAUAGCAACAUACUAAACGAUCGAGUGCUAAGCUAACGGAAUGGGUCAAGUCAAUCACAUCAUUCUCCUAAUGAUGUGAUCCCGUUAAUCAAAUGACAACUCAUGUCUAUGGCUACGAAACAUAACCAUCUUUGAUCAACGAGCUAGUCAAGUAGAGGCAUACUAGUGACACUCUGUUUGUCUAUGUAUUCACACAUGUAUUAUGUUUCCGGUUAAUACAAUUCUAGCAUGAAUAAUAAACAUUUAUCAUGAUAUAAAGAAAUAAAUAAUACUUUAUUAUUGCCUCUAGGGCAUAUUUCCUUCAACAGCACAUGGUCUGAUGAUGAGGUCCCUCGCCAGCCUUCCACCUCCUUUGCUCCAGCUGAUGAUAUCUUGGAGGAAUCUGAUCACGACGAUGAUGACGAGUCUGCUGCUGAUGAGGAUCCAGAUGCUACCAAGGAGUCAGAGGAGGAGGACUGAGCUUUGGGGCGCUAGCUUCGCUCUUUUGCUUUUGGUGUCUUGAUGCCAAAGGGGGAGAGAGUUCUAUAGGUCUCGGGAUUUGCAUGGGUUUUUGCCUCGCUUGGGUUUGUGUUUUCCUUUCGUGCGUGGUGUUGAACUUUGGCUUGUGAACCUUGUUGCUUAUCUCAUCUUGCAUGGUGUAAGGCAUGCGCUUAUCUAUCUAUCUAUCUAUCUUUAUUAUCGGUGAUAUUGUUGCUUUAUUCAUUAUAGUCCUUACCUUCAUAUUAUGGUCUUAUUGCUUACAUUCGCAUGUCUAGUAGGAGUGGCGAGUCUAUAAAUCUAGGGGGAGUCUCGUCCCUAAUUAGUGCUCUCAAAUAGCCUUCUCAAUUUGGGGCACACAUUUAGGGGGAGUCCCGUCUACAUUUUCUUUCCCUACUUUGUGUUUUGGAUGAUGAUGACAACCCUUUGUUGGUCUAAUCUUGUGCUAAGUGCUUCAGGUUCUCGGUGGUUAGUCUUUCAUCGGAUAGCUAUUCUCUCUCGAAGGAAAAGAUCAAACACGGAGUUUUCUAUGCUUUUUAUCUCUUUGGUCGUAGGGAACCCAUACUAUCAAGAUGGAAUCCACAUUGGAAGGUGUUGGGGGAAUCUUUUCACGUACACUUGCCUCACCCCUCUCUUGCCUUCCUUAGCUGUGAGAGAGAGCUCUUCCCUUCUUAUCCUACUGCUUGCUGUGGCUUCCCAGCGGUUGUACCGCUCUCUGGAGCGGUCGUACCGUAGGUUCUUGGCGCUUACCAGUCUUGAUCGAGCGGUUGUACCGCUGCUUCCGGGCGGUGGUACCGCCAUCAUGCUCAGCAAAGACUAUGGCGGUUGUUCCGGCCAAGUACCGCCCAAGUACCGGUCAGACUUCUGUUUUGAUGCGAUACUCGGGCGAUGGUGGCCCGGUUGGUCCGGUCGUACCGAUACCACCAGUGCCCUGAGCGGUUCUACCGCUCAGGACUUAGCCGCCCAAGCGCUCAAGGCCAAGCGGUUGCACCGGUCCUGUACCGCUCGACUACCGCACUCAGGGGUGACUCCCUACUAUUUCUAUGCGGUGGUUGAGCGGUGGCUGGGCGGUUGGUCCGGUUGUUCUCUUAAACCGGUACUACCGCCUAGUCGCCCGGUUGUACCGCCUGGUAGGGUUCUACACGUAAACCGUGAGUCCCGGUUGUACCGGGACAAGGAGCGGUUGUACCCCUGCAGUACAGAAAACACAGUAACGGUUGGAUUUUUAGGGUUGCUAUAUAAGGGUGCUUCUUCCACCUACCACAUUCACCUCUUACCUCUCUCACUCAACCAUUAAUGCUACUCAAGCUCUCUUGCCCGAUCUCUUUCUCUAGCCACUCAAACUUGUUGAUUUGCUAGGGAUUGAAGGAGGAGACCUAAAUCUACACUUCCACCAAAGGAUAUUUGCUUCCCCCAUACUUUCUUGUGUGGAUUUUGUUACUCUUGGGUGUUUGAGCACCCUAGACGGUUGAGUUCACCUCGGAGCCAUAUUCCAUUGUGGUGAAGCUCCGUGGUUUCGUUGGGAGCCUCCAAUUCAGUUGUGGAGAGAGCCCCAACCUUGUUUGUAAAGGUCCGAUUGCCGCCUCCAAGGGCACCAAUAGUGGAAUCACGACAUCUCGCAUUGUGUGAGGGCGUGAGGAGAAUACGGUGGCCCUAGUGGCUUCUUGGGGAGCAUUGUGGCUCGACACCGCUCCAACGGAGACGUACUUCCCCUCAAAAGGAAGGACUUCGGUAACACAUCCUCGUCUUCACCGGCUCCACUCUUGGUUAUUUCGUCCCUUUACUUGUGCAAGCUUAUUUGUGUUAUAUCCCUUGCUUGCUUGUGUGCUUGUUGUUGUUGCAUCAUAUAGGUUGCCCACCUAGUUACAUUUCUAUACAACCUACUUUGAUGCAAAGUUUAAUUUGGUAAAGAAAAGCUAAAAAUUGUUAGUUGCCUAUUCACCCCCCUCUAGUCAACUAUAUCGAUCCUUUCAACUGGGCACAAAGAUCCAGCAGGUAUCUACUGGCCUUUGGCCCGCCAGCGUUAGUUAUAUUUUGUCUUACAACAUCCGCAUGCAGUUUUUUUACUGAGUCAAACACACAGCCCAGUUCUAUUUUCCUCUUGAAACGCAUGUCCUACAUCCGUUUUCUAAUCUCUACCUAUAGUUUUACUAGUUCAUAUACACGUAUCAUUAUACUGAAAAUACAUAAAAUUCCCUUUUCAUAUUUACAUCCUUAUUUUUGUUGUUGUUUUCCCUCCCAGCGCUGAUUUUUUUACCACUGGUUUUCCCAUAAACCAACUCAAUUGUCCCACGUCUUAUUUGCUUACAAAAACAAUACGAUUUUUUUGGCAAAUCAAUAAGUUCUUAAAAAAAGAUUUUUCAUUUCGGGAUUACAAAGUUCAGACUCCACCAAAAUAUGCAAAAUAAGGUUGAACUUUUUGACCGUGGUCCUGGGGAGAAAAUGGGCUGUAAUAAAUUACUUAAGAAUUAGCAAAUGGGCUGCAAAUUAUUAAAAAAUAGCAAAUGGGCUCUAUGUUGUCUGCCACAGAUUUGGAGGCUGACUUGUGGGCCUACUAAGUUCAUGCGUACACAAGGUUUGUCAAAAAAGAAACUUAGUCAACAAUCGACUCUACCAGCGUCAGACCGUUAGAUGUCAAUCUAACGGCAAUCGUGCUUCUUUAGUCUCUGAUCUUCCUGCCCCAGCCGCCCAAACCAACGCCGUCGGAACCGCCUGCUCCCGCCUCCCGUCAUAUACUCGUAUCCCUGGCCUGUCUAUCCCUCUACUCACCCACACCUCCUGUUAGUUUCCGGUGACCGCAGCCGAACCAGUCAACCCUCGUACUCUCCACCGCGUGGGCAGCCACUGCCGUGUUUUCCCUGGCUCCGUGUCAUUCCCUUCGUAGGCCUCACCGUCGUCCACCGCCUUGGUGCUUUCCACGCGGUGUGGUCAACGAACGACAUCCAUCGGAAGUGGACUGUACGUGAAGAGGCUGACAGCUGGGUCCACGGCCGCACACAAGGAAAUGCUUCCUUAUUACGUGCAAAAUAAUGAUUCCUCCACCUGACAUCUAGGACCCGCCAGAAGGGCCUCUGUAUUUCGUGAAAAAAAAUGUUCCCUCCGCUGACAGGUCGGACCCACCAACUAUAUCUUUGCACGCAAGGAAGUGCCUCCUUAUUGCGCACAAAAAAAUGAAUACCCCGUGCCAGCUGGGACCCACCACAGUGGGAGGCUGACUUGUGGGCCUACUAAGUUGACGGGGACGGAGGGCUUUGUCAACUUAGUCAAUAUGAAUGAUUCUAGCUCUAGUGACCGUACGAUGUCCAUCCAACGGCCUUAGUGCUUCUUCAACCUCUGGUCUUCUUGCUCCAGCCGCCCAAAGCAGCGCCGGUCGUGCCGCCUGCUCCUGCCUCCCGUGGCCGGCUGUGCUGCCGCGGAGGCCUCACCGCCCCCAUACUACUCCCACCGCUGGCCAGGCCAUCCCUCCACUCACCCACACCCCCUGUUAUUCUGCGGCGACGACAGCCUCUCACCGCAGCCGAGCCACUGAACCCUCGUACUCCUCUCCGCGUCUUCCUCAGCUCUGCGUCAUCCCCUUCCUAGGCCUCGCCAUCGUCCACCGCCUUGGUGCUCUCGGCGCGGCGUGGUCAAUGUGGUCAACGACCGACUUCCAUCGGAAGAGUACUGUACGUGGAGAGGCUGACAGCUGGGUCCACGGCUACAACCCAGUUGUUUUGUGAUUUGCCAAGUAAGUCGCUUUGUCAGGCCUGUUGGCCUGCAAAUCUUUCAAGACGAGGAGAGCUUCAUUCGGCUGGCCGAGAAAAUGGCCUAUCAGUAAUGAGAAAUGGGAUGUACAUUUUUAAAACACAUCAAACCGGCAAUUAGUUUCAAAUUUCUUUUUUUCAUUUCAAGAUUUUAAAUUGCAUUGAUUUUUAUGCGUUUUCAAUUUGUUGGAUUUUAUAUUGAUAUACAUUUAUUUUUAAAAUCAGUUUGAAUGUGACUCAAAAUUUCAGGAUUAAAAACAGUUCGGACCGCACCGAAAUAUGCAAAAUUUCGUAUAAUUUUUUAACCGUGGCCACAAUAUGGGCUGUAAUGCUAACAAAAAGAAUAUGGGCUCCAAAAAAACCUUAAGAAUUAGCAAAUGGGCUGUAAAUUAUUAGAAAUAAUGGCAAAUGGGUUGUAUGAUGUUUUCCACAGAUUUGAGGCUUUCCUAAAAAAAGGUUGACGCACAAGAAGUGACUGUUGGAUGUCCAUCCAACGGCCGUCAUGCUUCUACAAUCUCUGCUCUUCCUGCUCCAGCCGCUCAAACAAGCGCCGGCGGGACUGCCUGCUCUCUCCUCCCCGCGGCCGGCUGUGCUGCCGCGCAGGCCUCACCGCCCCACCGUACUCCCAUCGCUGGCCUAGCCAUCCCUCUACUCACCCACACCUGCUGUUAUUCUCCAGCGACGGCAGACGAACCAGUAAACCCUCGUACAAUCGUACUCCCCUCAGUGUGGGAAACAACUGCCGAGUCUUCCCUGCCUCCGUGUUGUUCCCUUCCUAGGCCUCGCCGUCGUCCACCCCCUGGUGCUCUCGGCGCGGCCUGGUCAACAUGGUCAACGACCGACUUGCAUCUGAAGUGGACUAUACGUGGAGAGGCUGACAGCUGGGUUUACGGCCGCACGCAAGGAAAUGCCUCCUUAUUACGCACAAAAUAAUGAUUCCUCCACCUGAUAUCUGGGACCCACCGAAAGGGCCUCUGCAUUUCGCGAAAAAACCAUUACCGCCGCUGACAGCUUGGACCCACCAGCUAUAUCUUUGCACGCAAGGAAGUGCCUCCUUAUUACGCACAAAAAAAUGAAUACCCCCCUGCUAGCUGGGACCCAGUAUAGUGGCAGGCUGACUUGUGGGCCUACUAAGUUGACAGGGACGGAGGGCUUUGUCAACUUAGUCAAUAUGCACGAUUCUAGCUCCAGUGAUCGUACGAUAUCCAUCCAAUGGCUGUAGUGCUUCUUCAACCUCUGGUCUUCUUGCUCCAGCCGACCAAACCAGCGCCGGUCGUGCCUCGUGCUCCUGCAUCCUGUGGCCGGCUGCGAUGCGGCGGAGGCCUCACCGCCCCCUACUACUCCCACCGCUGGCCAGACCAUCCCUCUACUCACCCACACCCCCUGUUAUUCUACGGCGACGGAUCCCUCACACCGCAGCGAACUAGUGAACCCUCAUACUCCUCUACGCAUGGGCAUCCACUGCCACGUCUUCCACGGCUCCGCGUCGUCCCCUUCCUAGGCCUCGCCGUCGUCCAUCGCCCUGGUGCUCUUGGCGUGGCAUGGUCAACGUGGUCAUGGAACGGCUUCCAUCGGACGUGGACUGUACGUGGAGAGGCUGACAGUUGGGUCCGCCGCCGCAGCAAGGAAGUGCCUCCUUAUUACGCGCAAAAUAAUUAUUCCUCCACCUGACAGCGGGGACCCACCGGCGGGCCACCGUAUUUCGCAAAAAAAUGUUUCCCCUUGACUGCUGGGACCCACCAGCUACAUCUUCGCAUGCAAGGAAGUGCGUCCGGGCAAAAAAAAUGAUUCGCCCCCUGACUACUGGGACCCACCUGCUACAUCUUUGCAGGCAAGGAAGUGCCUGACAGUCGGGACCCAUCUAGUCGAAGCAUACGUAGCAUUGUCAUUCUGGUCGCGAACGUGUACGUACAUACUGGUCGAUGUAGAGGCGCACACGUGUCGUAGUAGAGGCGCGCACGUAGCAUAUACACGUACGUACAGCGGCCAAUGUGCAAGAAAGAAAAUACGGCCACGUACAUACAUACGGGCAGGGUCUCGAACACCUACUCGCGCAUACGUACGGCCAGGCUCGUGUACAUGGCUGGGUCGGAACAGAGAAACUGCGUCGUCAUCGUGUUCAUGGGGAGCCAACCGGCUGGGUCGGAACGGAAUGCAUUGUCGUGUUCAUCGGGAGGGCUUGGACGGAAUAGCCGAUGGAAACGAGGCCUGGCGUACCGCAGAACAGAGGAAACGGCCUUGUGUUCGACCGGCCACGGUCAAAACGGGAUCCUGUUCAUCGGGAGAGGUCUGGUGUACUGAAAAAUGGAGGAAACGGACCUCCUACGGUCAAAACGGGGUUCCUGUUGAUCGAGAGGGGUGUGGCGUACCGCAAAACGGAGGAAACGGACUUGUGUUGGAGCGCUACGAUCGAAACGGGGGUCCUGUUCAUCGGGAGGGGUGUGGCGUACCGCAAAAAAGGACUCCACGGGAUACUGUUCAUCUCCACCGUCGACCCCCUCUAGCCUCCACGGGCUACUGUUCAUCCACCGUCGACCUCCUCCAGCCUCCACCUGUGACUGUUCAUCCACGGGCUCCUGUUCAUCCAGCCUCCACCGCGCGCUACUCCACCGGCUACUGUUCAACCAGCCCUCUCCAUGGGCUCCUGUUCAACCACCCUCCACGGGAACUGUUCAUCCAGCCCUCCACCAUCUACUAUUCAUCCAGCCCUCCACGGGGUGGUCCUGUUCAUCCAGCCCUCCACGGGGUCCUGUUCAUCCAGCCCCAACCGGCUCGAUCGAUCGGGGUCAUGUUCAUCCAGAGGCAAGACCACGGGGUCCUGUUCAUCCACCCCCACCAGGAACUGUUCAUCNNNNNNNNNNNNNNNNNNNNNNNNNNNNNNNNNNNNNNNNNNNNNNNNNNNNNNNNNNNNNNNNNNNNNNNNNNNNNNNNNNNNNNNNNNNNNNNNNNNNNNNNNNNNNNNNNNNNNNNNNNNNNNNNNNNNNNNNNNNNNNNNNNNNNNNNNNNNNNNNNNNNNNNNNNNNNNNNNNNNNNNNNNNNNNNNNNNNNNNNNNNNNNNNNNNNNNNNNCCAGCAACGCUCGCUGUUCAUCCAGAGGCAAGAUCGAUCGGCUUCAGUUAGCAGCAGUAGCGAAGGAAUCGCUCGAUCGGGUUUAGUUAGCAGCCAUCAAUCGAUCGCUCGGGUUCAGUAACGCGUAGCCUGCAGUGCAAUCGCUCAGGUCCAGUUAGAGCCCAACGCCUCGCUCGGGUUCAGUUAGAGCCCAACGCCUCGCUCAGGUUUAGUUAGAGCCCAACGCCCCGCACCCACGCGCGUGCGUGUACGAGAGAAACGUGCAUCGCUCGGCCCCGACCACCCACCGUAACCGGGAACACCCUGAUAUUUUCCUCGCCCUCGCUUCUACCACGGUUUUUUCCGUCACGGACGGCCCAAAGAAUGUCAUGCAGCUGCGUCUCCGGCCCGCCCAGGACGAAAAGCCCAUUUUCUGUCAUGAUUUUUUGUCAUAGAAGUAGGACCCCACCACAUCUAUGAUGAUACCGGGUUUUGUCACAAUUAUCGUCAUAGAAGUGUCAUAAGUAUGACAGAAAAAAAUUCGUUCGGCCCAAAAUGUCACGGAUGUGUCUUUUUUUUGUAGUGUAAACGCGGAAAACAUGAGGAUGGCUGAGGAGCGGGCCGCUUUGGAUGCGCAGGCGCAGCGAAUUUAGUCGGAGUCGUACCGGCUCAUGCUAGAUCAGAACGCUUCAAAUGAUGUCAUGAGAAGGAGGUAUCAGAGUCGCUUACUGCCGGUUUACAAUGCAAGGAAUCUCUUUAACACGCCAGGAGCAGGAACUAGUAACCCACCAGCGGUAAACUGGGUUGAAGCGCCUGGGACGGGAGCGCCGGUUCAGCCACGCACCACGGUUCCGCCUCGACAGAACGAUGUCCCGCCACAACACGUGCCAACACCGCCGGGUCAUUAUUCUAACCCCUUGGAUAACAUGGUCGCCGCAACAUCACGAUUAGCGGCUAUCCCAGUUGAAGGCGAGUCUCCAGCAGCGGUCGAGACCCGGAGGGCUAGAGAUCUCCUUCAGACGGCUCUGGCUCAGCAGCAGGCUCAUUCUUACAGUCGUGAAAGGAUUCAUUCCACCCCUCGCCCAAGCCGGAGUUACAGCAGGAAUAUUGAUGAGCCGGCUGUGUCAAGCAGUGGGCGGAACCGUAACCCGCCUCAUGGACAUAACCCGGCGGGCAGUGUGCUGAUGCUCAGGGUGUAGUGGACCAAGGUAGAGCACGUCGAGAGGCCGAGCUGGAAGCAUAGUAUGCGGCCCGUCAACUUUCUCCGAUUCGUCCCACGACUUCGGUGGAGCCGGGUGUCAGUUUCAGGAGUUUGGGUGUGCCGUGUUUGGCUCCGGCUCUGUGUAAUGUACGGUUGCCCAAGGAUUUCAAAGGCCCCCGUAAGGUGCCCAACUACACUGCUGAUUUAUCCCCAGAAGCAUGGGUUGAGAGUUACGAGAUGGUGAUGGAACUGCAAGAUGUUGACGAUGCGGCAUGUGCUAAGUAUUUCACCAUGAUGUUGGAAGGGACGGCUCGUACUUGGUUGAAGGGGCUACCAACCAACUCCAUUGGGUCAUGGGCUGAGUUAAAAGCCCGGUUUAUCCAAAAUUUUAAAGAUAGAUGCAAGCACCCUAUGUCAAUUGUGGAUUUAGACUCCUGUGUCCAAGAAGAGGGUGAAUCAACAACCCAUUGGGUGCGUCGGGUCUCAACAAUUCUGCACUCAUCGGAUCGCAUCAAUGCCGAUUCAGCGCUUUUGACAUUGGACAACAAUUGCCGGUUCACGCCCCUAAAGCAGAAAUUGGGGCGGCUCAAAUGCCAGUGCAAUGACAUGGGGACACUCAUGGCGGCUCUGGUUAAAUAUGUUGACUCUGAUGCUACCAAGGACCCCGAGUCUGAUGAUGAUAAGCCGGGAAAGGGAAAGAAGAGCAGCAACACUAAGGGGCAGCAGCAUAACUCGGCGAGCCAAGGAGGCAACGGUAAGUGCAAGGCUGAUAAUAGCUUUGACUUUGUGGCUAACACCAAUACGCAGAAUAACGGUCCGCGUCGUAAGGGUAAACCGCCCCCGCAGAACGGAGGAUCAGGCAUCAACCUUGAGCAGUUGUUAAAUCAGCCAUGCCCAAAGCACGGGACGCGGGAAAGGCCAUCUAUGCACCUCUAGAAGGAUUGCUUCAUUAUGAAGGAGUUCAAGAAUUCAAACUUUUACCAGGGCGGUCAUGGACCAGGUGGCGGCUCAGGAUCCGGCUUUCAGGGACCGGGUUACGGCGGUGGCGGCUCUAACUCCGGGUUUCAGGGAAAUCAAUGCAAUCAUGGCAAUCAAGGUGGUUACAAUCAACAGAAUAACCAGGGGAAUCAACAGCAGCAGCAGUCUGGUUAUCAGAGCAACCCAAAACAGUUGAAUAGUGGGAAGUAUCAUGUUUUUACCACUAGCUUAUGUAAGCAUGAUCAGAAGCUUCAUAAGAGGGCAGUCAAUGCUGUUGAGCCGGCGGUUCCCCGUUACUUGCGCCGGUCUGAGCAGCCCAUCGUAUGGAGCCGGGAGGAUCACCCGCCCCGGGUUGACAAUCCGGGUCACUUGGCUCUGGUAGUUGCACCUCAGGUUGGAGGAUAUAAGUUCACCAAGGUACUCAUGGACGGAGGAAGCAGCAUCAACAUCCUUUAUUAUGAAACCUUCCGUCGCAUGGGGUUGACUGAUAAAAACCUUAAGCCAUCAAACACCAUUUUCAUGGCGUGGUGCCUGCUAAGUCGGCUUAUCCGGUUGGUAAGAUAGCUCUGGAGGUUGCUUUUGGAGAUGAUCAUGACUCUAGGUCGGAGACAUUGACUUUUGAAGUGGUCAAGAUCCAAAGCCUGUAUCACGCUCUUUUUGGACAGCCGGCUUACGCCAAGUUCAUGGCACGGCCUUGUUAUGUGUAUCUACAGCUUAAGAUGCCGGGUCACAAGGGAACUAUCACGGUGCAUGGGAGCCGCAGGAUAGCCUUGGAAUGUGAGGAAGGAGACACUGCUUAUGCUGAGUCUGCUUGUGCAACAGAGGAACUGAAAUUUUAUAAGGAUAAUGUUGACCCGGCGGACAUGACGUCUCUAAAGAAGCCGACUACAGAGCAAGAUCCUUCACUCAGAUUUAAGUCGGCAGAUGACACUAAGAUGGUUGACUUCAUUCCUGGCGAUUCAUCGAAGCAGUUCAGUAUCAGUGCCAACCUAGAUCCGAAAUAGGAAAGCGCGCUCAUCGAGUUCAUCCGUGAGAACUGGGACAUCUUUGCAUGGAAACCUUCAGACAUGUCGGUUGUACCGAGAGAACUCGCUGAGCACACUCUUAACAUUGAUCCAAAGUUUAAACCGAUCAAAUAGUUUCUUUGCCGAUUCAACGAGGAGAAGCGGAAGGCCAUUGGAGAGGAAGUGGCCCGGCUCUUGGCAGCUGGGUUUAUCGUUGAAGUUUUCCAUCCUGAAUGGUUGGCUAACCCGGUGCUGGUACUCAAGAAGAAUGGCACUUGGCGGAUGUGUGUGGAUUACACAGACUUGAACAAGGCUUGUCCGGCUGAUCCGUUUGCUCUCCCUCGUAUUGAUCAAAUCAUUGAUGCUACGGUGGGUUGUGAGCAUCUGAGUUUUUUGGAUGCUUAUUCUGGUUAUCAUCAGAUCAAGAUGGCAGUUAAGGACCAAGAAAAGACGGCUUUCAUUACUCCGUUUGGAGCCUUCUGCUAUGUGUCUAUGCCUUUUGGGCUCAAGAGUGCCCAGGCGACUUAUCAGCGAUGUGUGCAAAAUUGCCUUCACAAUCAGAUUGGGUGUAAUGUUCAUGCUUACGUCGAUGACAUUGUGGUGAAGUCAAGGAAGAAGGAGACCCUGAUUGAUGAUUUGAAGGAGACAUUUGAUAAUCUCUGGGUCUACAAGAUGAUGCUUAAUCCGGCUAAAUGUGUCUUUGGUGUACCUGGAGGCAAGCUCUUGGGGUUUUUGGUUUCUAACAGAGGCAUUGAAGCUAACCCGGAGAAAAUUAAGGCUAUCACUUCUUUGGCUAAGCCGGCGUGCAUUAAUGAUGUUCAGCGUUUGGCGGGUCGCAUUGCCGCUUUGAGCCGGUUCAUAAGCCGACUGGGUGAGAAGGCUAUCCCCCUCUAUCAAAUGAUGAAGAAAAUAGAUCAUUUUGUUUGGAGUGAUGCAGCUAACCAAGCAUUUGAGGAUUUGAAGAAACAGUUGGCUGAGCCGCCCGUGCUUGUUGCCCCUAUUGAUAAAGAGCCUCUGUUGUUAUACGUGGCUGCUAACAGUCGGGCUGUCAGUGUGGCUAUAGUGGUAGAGAGGAAGGAAGCAGGCAAGGAAUAUCUGGUUCAACGACCGGUUUAUUAUAUUAGUGAGGUGCUCAUUGAGUCCAAGCAGAGAUACCCACAUUGGCAGAAGCUUGUAUAUGGAGUUUUCAUGGCAAGCCGAAAGCUUAAGCAAUAUUUUCAGGGUCACCUCAUCAUUGUGGUUAGUUCUGCUCCUUUGGGGGAUAUCAUCCAAAACAGGGAAGCAACUGGCCAGGUUGCUAAGUGGGCCAUUGAGCUUGGGCCACACGGGCUAAAAUAUGUGCCUCGUACGGCUAUCAAGUCUCAAGCGCUUGUGGAUUUCAUCAAUGAUUGGACAGAGUCGCAGGCGCCAGUGGAAAAGCCGGACAGCACAUAUUGGACUAUUCACUUUGACGGGUCUAGGCAACUGGAGGGCUCGGGGGCUGGAGUUGUUUUGACUUCCCCACGAGGUGAUAAAUUUUCCUAUGUCCUCCGAUUAAUGUUCCCUUGGACUAAUAAUGCAGCUGAGUAUGAGGCCCUGCUCCAUAGUCUUCGGGUACCUAAGGAAAUGAAUUUAAGCCGGGUGAGAUGCUUUGGCGGUUCAGAUCUGGUGGCCCAGCAGGUCUCUGGUACUUGGGAUUCAAAGGAUCCGCUUAUGGCGGCUUAUCGUCGGGAGGUCGAUGCCAUUGCAGGUCACUUCAAGGGUUACCAGGUAGAACAUAUUGAUCGAAGGAAGAAUGAGGUGGCUGAUAAUUUAAGCCGGCUAGGUUCUCAACGUAAGCCGGUACCACCAAACACGUUCCUGGAUGUUCUACUCAAUCCUUCGGUCAAGUUGCCUACGGAGGAGGACCUUGCUAUUCCUGACCCAGAGGCAUAGUUGGUGGCGGCUCUUCAUGUUAUUCCUGAUUGGACAGUGCCCUAUUUGGCUUACAUGACCCGGGGUGAGUUACCUGAGGAUAAAAUUUUGGCCACGCAGAUAACCCGACGAUCUAAGUCAAUGACAAUAGUCAAUGGGGAGCUGCACCAUUGCUGUGUUACAGGGGCGUUUCAACGAUGCGUCUCUUCUGAAGAAGGUUGUGAGAUUUUGCGUGAGAUCCACGAAGGAGAUUGUGGUCAUCAUGCCGACUCUAAAUCUCUGGUGGCCAAGGCUUUUCAUCACGGCUUCUAUUGGCUGACGGCUCAUGCUGAUGCUGAGGACUUGGUCAAGAAAUGUGACGGUUGUCAGAAGUUUUCACGACGAGCUCAUGUUCCGGCUCAGGAAUUGAGGAUGAUUCCAAUCACUUGGCCGUUUGCAACUUCGGGGCUUGACAUGGUUGGACCUUUCAAGAGGUCCAAGGAUAAGAAGACCCACCUCUUGGUGGUGGUUGAUAAAUUCACGAAGUGGGUCGAGGCAGAGCCGGUGAGCAUGUGUGAUGCGGCCACGGCGGUUCAAUUCAUGAAGAAGGUGAUCUUCCACUUUGGUUUUCCACACAACAUUAUAACAGAUAAUGGCACUAAUCUCUCCAAGGGUGCUAUGAAGGAUUUUUGUCAACGUGAGCACAUCCGACUUGAUGUGUCGUCAGUGGCUCACCCUCAAUCUAAUGGUCAAGCUGAGAGAGCUAAUCAAGAGAUACUGAGAGGCAUCAAGCCCCGGCUUAUGGUUCCUUUGCAGAGGACGCCGGGUUGUUGGGUGGAAGAGUUACCUUCCGUCUUGUGGAGCAUUAAUACUAUCCCCAAGAGGUCUACGGGUUACACGCCUUUCUUCAUGGUUUACGGAGCAGAGGCGGUUCUCCCUAGUGACAUCCGUCACGACUCUCCUCGUGUGGCGGCUUAUGUUGAAGCGGACAAUGAACAAGCGCGUCAAGAGGCGCCAGACCUGUUAGAUGAGAAGCGGGACAUAGCGGCGGCUCGUUCGGUGACUUACCAGCAAGAUCUGCGUCGUUACCACAACCGCCGGGUUAAAACCAGAACUUUCCAAGAAGGCGAUCUAGUGCUUCGGCUCAUCCAGGACCAGACUGAUAUGCACAAGUUAUCCCCACCUUGGGAAGGACCCUUUGUGGUCAACAAGAAUAUGAACAACGGGUCAUACUACCUUAUCGAUGUUCGAGAUCACAAAGACUCACGUAAAUCGGAGGAGGAGACCCACAGGCCGUGGAAUAUUGCUCACCUUCGGCCUUAUUACACUUGGGCCAUCGGCUCUUCUGAUGUACAUAUUAUAAUGUAUAUAUUAUGAUCAAUAUAAUAAAGUCGGCAUGCCUGUCAAAGCAGGGCCUCUGUCAUUUUCUCUUUGAAUCAUGAGUUUUUGGUCACUUGGGGGCUUGCUACCCAGAUUAAAGGGACCAAAGAGAGUCCGUUGCCAAAGCACAACUCAAACAUAGGUUCCCAUUGAGCAUAGCUCAGAAAUAUUGCUUGGGGGCUCUUUUGUUUAAAGAACAAGAGUUGCUAUAACCCUUGUAAUAGGAUUAAAAUCCAGGCUUGGAAGCCAGGUGUAUUCACCUAAAACCCCGGGUUAUCCUGCCUGUGUGCCAGAUGCUUCUCCAUCAGGUAAUCCUGAUUGACCCGGCGAACUCUUAACAGUCAAUCUUUUCAACAAGACCCUAAACUGGUUAAGGUUAAAACGCCGGUCUGUCAUGAGAGGGCACGGCUUACAGAUAGCAAGGAGAAGCUCAGGCUGAUAAAGCCGCCUUCCUUGAAACUUGGAUAAAUCGGCCUGUGAUGCACGAUGCUGCUAUAACCCCGCGUACUCCUGAUAAGUCUAUCUUUAAAUAAGAACUGAACUUAUCCGGGUUAAAAUGUCGAUUGGGUAAAUGAGGGACGGCUCACAGAAAGCGCGUACCUUCGAGUGGCUAAUGCUAGUUUCAUUGAAGAAGAAAAUUUUGGCUUGGCGGCCUAUGAAAGCCUCGAAAUUUUUCUGUUGAUUUGAUUUGACAGUCUUUUUUGCGUUUUCUCUUAUGACAUCGUCAUUUAUGGUUGAAAACCAGUAAGGCUUAUAAUGCCUUCUGAAUCAUAUAUCACAAUAUGCUGGUGUUUAUUAACCCGGCCUGGCUUUUGACUAUAAAUCGCCAGCAUGACAUAAAAUAGUGUCCGGUGUUGAUCGACCCGGCCUGGCUAUAUUCAUAAGUCGGAAACGUAUGAUAAUUCUUCAUGAUCAAGUUUUGGGUUAUGGCCCUUAUUCUACUGGUUUGGUAAACCACCACUGUGAUCAAAUAUCACAGGUAUGACAUAUUUUAUUAUACGUACGCCAGUCCUGAUUAUAGGAGUGUUUAUGUAUUGGGUAUUAUGACCCGUCCUGCGGUAAACUGUGGGACACUUGUGAUCUGUUUUUGCAUACAGGAACAGAUUCAAAGGCUGCUAUCAUAAACAUCAGUGGCAGAUAUUCAAUUGUCAGUCUCAUGCAAAGCGGAACGUGCACGAUGGCACAGCGGAUUCAAAGUUUUACUACUCUAUUACAAGCCUCCAUGGGCUAAACAAAGGCCAAAGCUUUUCCAAAAGCUCAAGUUUAAAGCCGCCUGGCGGUUCAUUCUUCUUGGCCUUGCCGCUCGGAGUCUUCUGCGUCAUCCCUUGUCGUCUCUUCGUCUUCUUCCUCUGGCUGAAAAGUGGUGAUGACCAAUCGAUGCCAGAUAAAGCUUCAAAUUCAGCUUCAUCAUCUAUAAGCUCAGACGGAUUGACUUCAGGAGCAAAGGUGUGCUUACGGAUUGGCAGGAUUAAGUCCAUCACUUUAUAAGCCGGAGUUGGCAUCUUCUUAUUCUCUUGGUCAUAAGCCGGAUGAUACUUGGAGAGGUCCGAGUCAUUGGCAAUAAGAGUGGCCAUUGGACGGAUUUCCUUUACGCAGGCUGAGAAGUCUUUCUGAUCAAAAGGCGUUCCAUCUUCUUUCAAGCUUGGGUAACCAGUAGCUACCUCAGGCAGGUCAAGCUUUGGUACCCACGCCUUGGAUCGGCUUAAAGCCGUCACAACGCCGGCUCUGGCAGCUGAUCGCUUUAUCUCUUCAAGUCUUACAGGAAGCACAGAGAGUUUCUUCAAAACAUCUAUCAACAAAGUUGGUACUUAACCUGCUGGUGAAAUAGAGGCUAAAGUGCGUUGAGUCCCGGUGUACAGCUGCUCAACAAGUGUGUAUACAGCUUUCAUCUUUAUCAGCAUGUCUUGAUUGAGAUUGCUGCUUCUGGGACCUGAAGAUAUUGCAGAAUGCUUAAAAUUGCGGGUUAUAUGAUCAAAAUAAUGAUUCACUUCAGAUGCUUGAUAAAGGCGACUUACCAAAGAUAGCUGAAACCAUCUGAUUCACACGGUUUUUUAAACCGGAAAGCUCAGUGGUUACUUCUUGAAGCACUGCCUCGGCCUUCUCAGCACGUUGGGUCAAAGCCGCCUUUUCAUCCGCCCAAGUCUUUUUCUCUGCUUCAUAGCCGGUCUUCAGUUUUUCCGUCUCAGGCACGCUAAAUUGGAAUUUCGACUCAGCCUUUCGGGUUUCAGUUUCCUGAGUCGCCAGCCGGGUCUUGGCAUCAUUUAAUUGAGAUUCCAGUUCAGCAGUGGCAUCCUGCAUAAGGAGCAGAGUUGUCAAAUAUCAAGUUUAUCAGAUUACAAGUCCCAAGUCUUUUGCCAGCAACAACACUUGACACUUGGGGGCUAAUGUCUAUCGAAGCAAAUUUUUCAAAACAGCAGCUCUAAUAAAGUCCCAAGUACUUUCCAAUAAGACUACUUGGCACUUGGGGGCUAAUGCAUACCGUUUGUUUUUUUCUUCAUUAUGAGCCGGAAGUGAUGUAACUGUUCCAACCGACUCAUGGGGGCAAUGCAGUCAAGAUUUUUCUUCUUAUACAAACACAAUUUAGGACCGGCUCCUUCCCAUGGAUUAAGCCGGCCCUUGGGGGCUAAGGACAGAAAGCUCAACUUGUACAAACAUCCGGUUUACAUUUAAACCGGACAAGGAGAGAUUCUAGGACGGAAGUUAUGGAUUUUUCUAAAAGUCUACAACCUAUUCAAUAUUAUCAUAGCCAGCAGACUUGGGGGCUGGCAGGAUAUGUAGACAAAUUACUUAAAAGCUGGAAGUCAUACCUCAUAUUUUUGGUGCAUCUGCUUCAUGAUGUCUACUACACAACCUUCUUCUUGUAGACGUUGUCGGGCCUCCAAGUGCAGAGGUUUGUAGGACAGUAGCAAAUUUCCCUCAAGUGGAUGACCUAAGGUUUAUCAAUCCGUGGGAGGCGUAGGAUGAAGAUGGUCUCUCUCAAACAACCCUGCAACCAAAUAACAAAGAGUCUCUUAUGUCCCCAACACACCCAAUACAAUGGUAAAUUGUAUAGGUGCACUAGUUCGGCGAAGAGAUGGUGAUACAAGUGCAAUAUGGAUGGUAGAUAUAGGUUUUUGUAAUCUGAAAAUAUAAAAACAGCAAGGUAACUAAUGAUAAAAGUGAGAGUAAAUGGUAUUGCAAUGCUAGGAAACAAGGCCUAGAGUUCAUGCUUUCACUAGUGCAAGUUCUCUCAACAAUAAUAACAUAAUUGGAUCAUAUAACUAUCCCUCAACAUGCAACAAAGAGUCACUCCAAAGUCACUAAUAGCGGAGAACAAACGAAGAGAUUAUGGUAGGGUACGAAACCACCUCAAAGUUAUUCUUUCGGAUCAAUCUAUUCAAGAGUUCGUACUAGAAUAACACCUUAAGACACAAAUCAACCAAAACCAUAAUGUCACCUAGAUACUCCAAUGUCACCUCAAGUAUCCGUGGGUAUGAUUAUACGAUAUGCAUCACACAAUCUCAGUUUCAUCUAUUCAAACCAACACAAAGUGCUUCAAAGAGUGCCCCAAAGUUUCUACCGGAGAGUCAAGACGAAAACGUGUGCCAACCCCUAUGCAUAGGUUCAUGGGCGGAACCCGCAAGUUGAUCACCAAAACAUACAUCAAGUGAAUCAAUAGAAUACCCCAUUUUCACCAUGGGUAUCCCAUGCAAGACAUACAUCAAGUGUUCUCAAAUCAUUAAAGACUCAAUCCGAUAAGAUAACUUCAAAGGGAAAACUCAAUCCAUUACAAGAGAGUAGAGGGGGAGAAACAUCAUAAGAUCCAACUAUAAUAGCAAAGCUCGCGAUACAUCAAGAUCGUAUCAUCUCAAGAACACGAGAGAGAUAGAUCAAAUACAUAGCUACUGGUACAUACCCUCAGCCCCGAGGGUGAACUACUCCCUCCUCGUCAUGGAGAGCGCCGGGAUGAUGAAGAUGGCCACCGGCGAGGGUUCCCCCCUCUGGCAGGGUGCGGGAACAGGUUCCCGAUUGGUUUUUGGUGGCUACAGAGGCUUGCGGUGGAACUCCUGAUCUAUUCUGUUCCCCGAUCAUUUUAGGGUAUAUGGAUAUAUAUAGGCGGAAGAAAUACGUCAGGGGAGCCACGAGGGGCCCAUGAGGGUGGAGGGCGCGCCCAGGGGGGUGGGCGCGCCCCCUUGCCUCGUGCCUCCCUCGUUGCUUUCCUGACGUGCACUCCAAAUCUCCCGGGCUGCUUUCCUUCCAAAAAUAACUUCUCUAGAAGGUUUCAUUCUGUUUCGACUCCGUUUGAUAUUCCUUUUCUUCGAAACACUGAAACAAGGGAAAAAACAGGAACUGGCACUGGGCUCUGGGUUAAUAGGUUAGUCCCAAAAGUAAUAUAAAAGUGUUUAAUAAAGCCCAUAAACAUCCUAAACAGAUAAUAUAGUAGCAUGAAUACUUCAUAAAUUAUAGAUACGUUGGAGACGUAUCAGCAUCCCCAAGCUUAAUUCCUGCUCAUCCUCGAGUAGGUAAAUGAUAAAAGAAAUAAUUUAUGAAGUGUGAAUGCUAGCAGGUGCAUAAGUUUGAUCAAUGAUAAUUUCAAUCACCUUUUCUAGCAUCAUUAUAUGUCAUAACAGUAGCUCAACUCAUAAAACUUUUCAUGAUCAAGUAACAAGCUAUUCACAUGUUAAAGCAUAGAUCAUAAACUUUCUUGAAAACUAACAAACUAUGUUCUCAGUCAUCAAACAAUUGCACUUCAUCGUAUUUUCAGGAAGGAUCUAUGUAAGAGCUUUGAUUUAGCAAAUCCCACAUACUCAACUAUCAUAUAGUCUUCCAUGAUUGCUACCACUCAAAGCAUAUUUUUAGAACAAAUAGCAUCCAUCGAACACAGAGAAAGAUAGGGGCUUAAUGUUUCGCCUCCCAACUUAUUUAUCAUAUAGAUAAUUGUCAACAAUAAUAAUUCAUGAUCAAAUAUAUUUGAAUGGCCAUAUAUGCUUAGAUCUUUCCAUCACAUGAUGCUUGCCAACUAAAGAGUAGGUCGGAAUGAGAAGGAAUACUACUGACUCUUGCAUAAAAGUAAAAGAUAGGCCCUUCGCAGAGGGAAGCAGGGAUUUACAGAGGUGCCAGAGCUCGAAGCUAAAACAGAGAUGAAAAUAAUUUUGAGAGGUAUGCUUUCAUUGUCAACAUAACGACCAAGAGUUCCCAAUAUCUUCCAUACUACAUACAUUAUAGGCGGUUCCCAGACAGAAAGGUAAAGAUUUUUAUUCCCCCUCCACCAACAAUCAUCAAUCCAUGGCUUGCCCGAAACAACGGGUGCCUCCACCUAACACCAAACCUGGGGGAGUUUUGUUUGCAAUUAUUUUUGAUUUGAAUUCGAUCUUUUGAUCAUGGGACUGGGCAUCCCAGUUACCAUCCAUUUUCUCGUGAAUAAUGAGCGGAGUCCACUCAUCGUGAGAAUAACCCACCUAGCAUGGAGAUACUGCUAGCCCCUAGUCGCUACAUGAGCGAUUCGGGCAUACAAAACAGAUUAUUAUUUGAAGGUUUAGAGUUUGGCACAUGCAAAUUUACUUUGAACGGCAGGUAAAUACCGCAUAUAGGUAGAUAUGGUGGACACUCAUGGAAGAAACUUGGUUCAAGGAAUUUGGAUGCACAAGCAGUAUUCCCGCUUAGUACAGAUAUUUUGGCUAGCAAAGGAUUCUAAAUAGCAAGCACCACAUGUUAGAGGAUCCAUAACAAUAUAACUUCUAUACAAAUAUACCCAAGCAUAACUCAUUAUGUUGUCUUCCUUGUCCAACUUCAACUAAUUUGCUCAGGUUUGAAAAUAAUUAAUGGGGCUCACAAUCAUAGAAGAUUUCCAAGAUAGUAUAUUUAUAUGUGAAAUCUCUCUUCCUUCAAUAUUCUUUCAUGAAUUGUUCAAGUGACCAAUACAACGUUGCUAACCUACAAAAAAUUUACCACCUCUACUUCUUAUAUGUGAAGGUAUUACUCCCCAUGGGAAAGGCAUAUGAAACAUAUAUAAUUUCAGAUUUAUGACAUUCAAAUCCUUCAACCAUUUACUCAUAAUAUAUAAGUGAAGCACAUGAGCAAACAACAAACUACUACGAAAGAUAUAAGUAAAGAUCAAUGAGUAGUCGAAUAAUUAUGUAACUAUGUGAAGACUCUCUAACAUUUAAGACUUUCAGAUCGUGGUAUUUUAUUCAAACAGCAAGCAAAGCUAAAGAAAAUAAAAUUACGCUCCAAGCAAAACACAUAUCAUGUGGUGAAUAAAAAUAUAGCUCCAAGUAAGUUACCGAUGGAAGUAGACGAAAGAGGGGAUGCCUUCCGGGGCAUCCCCAAGCUUUGGAUUUUUGGUGUCCUUAGAUUAUCUUGGGGUGCCUUGGGCAUCCCCAAGCUUAGGCUCUUGCCACUCCUUGUUCCAUAAUCCAUCAAAUCUUUUACCCAAAACUUGAAAACUUCACAACACAAAACUUAACAGAAAAUCUCGUGAGCUCCGUUAGCGAAAGAAAACAAAACACCACUUCAAGGUACUGUAAUGAAAUCAUUCUUUAUUUAUAAUGGUGUUAAACCUACUGUAUCCCAACUUCUCUAUGGUUUAUAAACUAUUUUACUAGCCAUAGAUUCAUCAAAAUAAGCAAGCAACACAACGAAAACAGAAUCUGUCAAAAACAGAACAGUCUGUAGUAAUCUGUAUCAAACGUAUACUUCUGGAACUCCAAAAAUUCUAAAAUAAAUUGGUGGACCUGAGUAAUUUAUCUAGUAAUCAUCUGAAAAAAGAAUCAACUAAAUAGAACUCUCCAGUAAAAAGUUGAAGCUAAUCUCGUGAGCGCUAAAGUUUCUGUUUUUUACUGCAUGAUCAUAAAGACUUCACCCAAGUCUUCCCAAAGGUUCUACUUGGCACAAACACUAAUUAAAACAUAAAACCACAUCUAACCAGAGGCUAGAUGGAUUAUUUAUUAAUAAACAGAACCAAAAAUCAAGAAACUAAAAUAAAAUUGGGUUGCCUCCUAACAAGCGCUAUCGUUUAACGCCCCUAGCUAGGCAUGAUGAUUUCAAUGAUGCUCACAUAAAAGAUAAGAAUUGGAACAUAAAAGAGCAUCAUGAAGAAUAUGACUAGCACAUUUAAGUCUAACCCACUUCCUAUGCAUAGGGAUUUUGUGAUCAAACAAUUUAUGGGAACAAUAAUCAACUAGCAUAGGAAAGCAAAACAAGCAUAACUUCAAAACUUCAAGCACAUAGAGAGGAAACUUGAUAUUAUUGCAAUUCCUACAAGCGUAUAUUCCUCCCUAAUAAUAAUUUUCAGUAGCAUCAUGAAUGAAUUCAACAAUAUAACCAGCACCUAAAGCAUUCUUUUCAUGAUCUACAAGCAUAGAAAAUUUACUACUCUCCACACAAGCAAAAUUCUUCUCAUUCGGAAUAGUGGGAGUAUCAUAAGAGACUUGAAUACUAUAAAUUGUUUCCACAUUAAAAGAGUAAUGUUCAGAAAAAGGGUAAUCAUAAUCAUGACAAGUUUUAUAAAUAUAAUCAUCACUACUUCUUACAGCAUAAGUUUCAUCACAAUAAUCAUCAUAAGUAGCAACUUUGUUCUCAUCAUAAUCGAUUGAAACCUCUUCUGAAAUAGUGGAUACAUCACUAAAUAAAGUCAUGACCUCUCCAAAUCCACUUUCAUAAAUAUUAUAAGAUUCAACAUCCUCCAAAAUAGUGGGAUCAUUACUUCCUAAAGUUGACACUCUUCCAAACCCACUUUCAUCAAUAUAAUCAUCAUAAGUAGGAGGCAUGCUAUCAUCAUUAUAAAUUUGCAUAUCAAAACUUGGGAGACUAAUAAUAUCAUCUUCAUUAAACGUAGCAUUCCCAAGCUUGGGACAAACAUUAAUUGCAGCAAAUAUAUUCUCAAAAACAUCAUCUUCAUCAAACAUAGCAUCCCCAAGCUUGGGCCUUUUCAUAUCAUAAGCAUAAUCACUCUCAUCAUUAAUAGUAUGGAUAGCACCAAUAGUAUAGCAAUUAUCAUAUUCUUCCAAGCAAGUGCCAAAAAGAUUUUCAAGAUCAUAAGAAGUAUCAUUAUCUUCCCAAUCAUACUCAUCACAACAAGCAAUAGGCAUAACGAGAUCAUCAUCAAGUGCAUCAUCUUCCACAAUUAUUUUUGAUUCAUUUUCAUGAGGCACAACAAUAAUAGGAGCAACAUUAUUUGGGAGAGAUAUCUUUUUACCUCUCUUCCUUUUCCUUUUGUUCUUCUUCACCACAUCAUGUGUGGGUUCAAUCCUUUUUUUGAAGCUCCUUAUUAAUGAAAUUGGUUGAAUAGAAGGCUCCUCCUCGUUACCUGAUUCAUCAUAAGAAAUAAUAGGAGGAUAUUGGGAAGUCUCUUCCCCUUCAUUAGUAUUCUCUUCAUCUUCUAUUAGUUUUCUUUUCUUUAUGUAAUUGUCAAUAUAAGGAUAGUUAAAUGACCACGUUCAUUGCAAAGUUCACAAGUAUGGCCAAGAAAAUUUAAAUUUUCAGCACAAACAUCUAGCCUUUCUUGCAACAAUUUAGUUUCUAAAUUCUUAUGCCUCAUGCAAUAUCUAUCUUCCCUAUUUGGUGUGUAUUUGCAAACCCAAUGCACUCCACAAAAAUUGACAUGUUUAUAGGAGACAUUUUCAUCAUGACUAGUGCAAUCAUCAUUAGUACCAUGGAUAUUCAAAGAGUUCAUACUAAAAACAUUGCAAUCAUGCUCAUCAUUCAAAGAUUUGGUGCCAAACAUUUUAAUGCAUUCUUCUUCUAACACUUUGGCACAAUUUUCCUUUCCAUCAUACUCAUGAAAGAUAUUAAAAAGAUGAAGCAUAUGAGGUACCCUCAAUUCCAUUUUUUGUAUUUUUCUUUUAUAAACUAAACUAGUGAUAAAACAAGAAACUAAAAGAUUCGAUUGCAAGAUCUAAAGAUAUACCUUCAAGCACUCACCUCCCCGGCAACGGCGCCAGAAAAGAGCUUAGUUGACGGGGUGUGAGUGCCGCUUACCUAGCCUCCCCGGCAACGACGCCAGAAAAGAGCUUGAUGUCUACUACACAACCUUCUUCUUGUAGACGUUGUUGGGCCUCCAAGUGCAGAGGUUUGUAGGACAGUAGCAAAUUUCCCUCAAGUGGAUGACCUAAGGUUUAUCAAUCCGUGGGAGGCAUAGGAUGAAGACGGUCUCUCUCAAACAACCCUGCAACCAAAUAACAAAGAGUCUCUUGUGUCCCCAACACACCCAAUACAAUGGUAAAUUGUAUAGGUGCACUAGUUCGGCGAAGAGAUGGUGAUACAAGUGCAAUAUGGAUGGUAGAUAUAGGUUUUUAUAAUCUGAAAAUAUAAAAACAGCAGGGUAACUAAUGAUAAAGUGAGCGUAAAUGGUAUUGCAAUGCUAGGAAACAAGGCCUACGGUUCAUACUUUCACUAGUGCAAGUUCUCUCAACAAUAAUAACAUAAUUGGAUCAUAUAACUAUCCCUCAACAUGCAACAAAGAGUCACUCCAAAGUCACUAAUAGCGGAGAACAAACGAAGAGAUUAUGGUAGGGUACGAAACCACCUCAAAGUUAUUCUUUCGGAUCAAUCUAUUCAAGAGUUCGUACUAGAAUAGCACCUUAAGACACAAAUCAACCAAAACCCUAAUGUCACCUAGAUACUCCAAUGUCACCUCAAGUAUCCGUGGGUAUGAUUAUACGAUAUGCAUCACACAAUCUCAGAUUCAUCUAUUCAAACCAACACAAAGUACUUCAAAGAGUGCCCCAAAGUUUCUACCGGAGAGUCAAGAGGAAAAUGUGUGCCAACCCCUAUGCAUAGGUUCAUGGGCGGAACCCGCAAGUUGAUUACCAAAACAUACAUCAAGUGAAUCAAUAGAAUACCCCAUUGUCACCACGGGUAUCCCACGCGAGACAUACAUCAAGUGUUCUCAAAUCAUUAAAGACUCAGUCCGAUAAGAUAACUUCAAAGGGAAAACUCAAUCCAUUACAAGAGAGUAGAGGGGGAGAAACAUCAUAAGAUCCAACUAUAAUAGCAAAGCUCGCGAUACAUCAAGAUCGUAUCAUCUCAAGAACACGAGAGAGAUAGAUCAAACACAUAGCUACUGGUACAUACCCUCGGCCCCGAGGGUGAACUACUCCCUCCUCGUCAUGGAGAGCGCCGGGAUGAUGAAGAUGGCCACCGGUGAGGGUUCCCCCCUCUGGCAGGGUGCCGGAACAGGGUCCCGAUUGGUUUUUGGUGGCUACAGAGGCUUGCGGCGGCAGAACUCCCGAUCUAUUCUGUUCCCCGAUCGUUUUAGGGUAUAUGGAUAUAUAUAGGCGGAAGAAAUACAUCAGGGGAGCCACGAGGGGCCCACAAGGGUGGAGGGCGCUCCCAAGGGGGGUGGGCGCGCCCCCUGCCUCGUGCCUCCCUCGUUGCUUUCCUGACUUGCACUCCAAGUCUCCCGGGUUGCUUUCCUUCCAAAAAUAACUUCUCCAGAAGGUUUCAUUCUGCUUCGACUCCGUUUGAUAUUCCUUUUCUUCGAAACACUGAAACAAGGGAAAAAACAGGAACUGGCACUAGGCUCUGGGUUAAUAGGUUAGUCCCAAAAGUAAUAUAAAAGUGUUUAAUAAAGCCCAUAAACAUCCUAAACAAAUAAUAUAAUAGCAUGAAUACUUCAUAAAUUAUAGAUACGUUGGAGACGUAUCACUUCGCCAUAUCAAUUUCGAGGUCACGGCUGGAGUGGACCUGGCUGAGUAGCCGGAGAGGAUCUCAUUGCUGCUCAGUUGUGAGUAAUGAGAAAUGUCAAACUUAUGUUUCCGCCUCUCAAUAACUUCUUGUUUGGCAGUAUGUUUGGCUAGAGCUAUUUGAUUUCCCGGCUCUACAAAGCUGGUGCCAGUAAUCAACACAUCAUCAUCUUUAGGCUCUGACGGCUUAGGCGAUGUGGCAAAAGUUGAAGGAUUAAUUGUAGCACCAUCAACAAUGGGAACUAGAACUUCAAGCGGAGUGACAGUAACAGGUUCAUCCGGUUGCUUGUCAGAAGCUUCAGGAACGGAGACUUGUGGGUCCGGCUCAACAAUUUCAGGCGCCUUAGUUGGCUUGGUCACCUUUGCCUUUUUGUUAGGCUUUGCUUGUCCACUACAUGGAUUAUGACAAGUUAGUAUAAUUAUCAGAACAUAGUAAGAUGCAGCAAAAAGAAGUGAUUAUUGUUACCCGGGGGCAGUCUUGAAAGCCGGUAGCUCGGUUUGAGAUGAGUCGCCAGAGGAGGAACGGGUAAGUUCCUGGUCAAUUGAAUCAACAACAUUAGAAAAAAGAUGAAUAAGACCUACAAAUGAAAAGGAAAGGGGUUUAAGUUAAAAGGCGCCUCAUUUCGACGUUUCCGAGGAGCAGGGGCAUUCGGUAAGCCAGAGGAUAAUUCUUCACCCUUACUGGUCCGGGUCUGACGACGACUCUCAUGUUGCUGUUGCUUCAAAAGAAAGUGAGGAUCUAAAUAAGCUAGGGGAUGUGAAAACCUUACUUUCCGGGUUACUUGUCAGAGUUUCUGUCUCGGCAAAGAGUCUGUGCCGGAGGAAAUAAUAGUUACCUCUUCUUCAAUUGCUUGGCUGGCUCCCGUGUCAUCCUGAGAGUAAUCAAUGUCAAUAAGAUAAUUGAAAAAAGAGCCAAGGGAGUCAAGGGCUACCUCUGACUCAGAGGUAUCAUCCAGCUUGAGCAGGUCAGAGGCGCUUGGUUUCUUCUUCUUCUUGGUGGUCCUCUUGACGGCUUCCCUAGCAGCUUUCUUGGCAGCCCUGGCUUUUUUAGCAGCCUCGUGAUCAUAUUCCACUUCCCAGAAUUCUGAAUUAGCCUGCAAAAGAUGCCAAAGGUUGAGUUAAUAAGAUAUUUAAAUAAUGAGGUGAAGAUAAGUGAAGUUCAGAGGAUUACAUCUGGCGGCGGAUUAAGCUUGCAGAAAGGGGCCAGACCCACAUUGACACAGUCUUCCGGGUCUUCGUUCAGGAGAGACUUAACCAUUUCAUUGAUGGCUUCAUCAGUUAAUGGUGCGGAGCUAUGGCGCAAGGAAUCUUCUACAUCACCAGUAUAAGUGUGCAUUAAGCCGGUGCGGCGGCUUAAAGGUAUGAUGCGCCAAGAUACCCAGUACUGACCAGAUCAAUGCCAGUUAGCCCAUUUCCUAGCAGGGCUUUGACCUUCACAAUGAUAGGAGCAAUUUUCUUCCGUUCAGCAGCAGUAAGUUUUUCAGGAAGGUUAUGUUUUGGAUACAGGCGUUCAACAUGAUAACCCGGCACUGGAUUCUCGUCAGCUGGAGAAGUAUCUUUGCAAUAAAACCAUGUCUGGUUCCAAUCUUUUGGGUGACUCGGCAAGCAAGCAUAAGGAAAGAUGGCGUCUCUUCUGCGUUGAAUUGAUAUCCCACCAAGCUCCAAGCUGGGGCCGUUUGUGAAUUCAGUCUGGCAGUUCAAGUAAAAAUAUUCUCUGAAGAGGUCAACACUGGGCUCCUCUUGGAGGUAUACUUCACAAAAUACUUGAAAGUUGUACAUAUUUGACACGGAAUUAGGUCCGAUGUCUUGAGGGUGGAGCUGAAAAAAGUGCAGAAUGUCUCGGAAGAAUUUAGAGCCGGGCGGUGAGAAGCCCCGGUUCAUAUGAUCAGUGAAAAUGAUGACUUCGCCGUCUUUCGGUUGGGGUUUUUCUUCGCCCAGGUCAGGAGCACGGUAAUGCAUCACAUUCUUGGUGGGUAGAUACCCGACUUUAACAAAAUCUUUGAGAGUGCCUUCGGCGACGAUGGAAGGGACCCAAUUGCAUGUGUACACUGUUUUGGGCGGCAUUGUGAAAGAAAGCCUAAGGGAAAGAAAAAUGGGACAAUUGCAUUUUUACCCCUAGUUGGUUCCUACCCACGGGUUUUGCCCUUACUUUUCGAGCUUGCUCAGUUUUGCCCUUACUUUUUCCGUCGUGGUCCCCCGAAUGCCCUUUGACCGUUGGACCAAAACUUUGAAAAUUCAAAACUAAUUCAUAUGAACUCAGAAAAAUGCAAAUAAGAUAUGAAAAUGUUCAGAUAAACAUUACCUUUAUGUGCAUAUCAUUUGCAUUCAGGACAAAAGCACCCUUUAAACGACCUGAGGUAAUUAAUGGUAUUAACAUUAUUAAAAAUAAAAAGGUAUACACAAUAUUUUUUUCAUGAAUAAAAAUUACAUGCAAAUGUAGGUGAUGUUUUCUAAACAUCCAGAUAUCUUAUUUGCAUUUUUCUGAGUUUGUAUCAUCUUGUUAUGAAUGUUCUAACGACUUGGAUCAUUAUUUGGAAACUUCAUAAAAAAUGGAUACGAACUCAGCAAAAUGCAAAAAAGAUAUCAGGAUGUUAAGGAAACAUCACCUACAUUUGCAUGUAAUUUUUAUUCAUGAAAAAAUAUUGUUUAUACCUUUUUAUUUUUAAUAAUGUUAAUAACAUUAAUUACCUCAGGUAGUUUAAAGGGUGCUUUUGUCUUAAAUGCAAAUGAUAUGCACAUAAAGGUAAUGUUUGUCUGAACAUUUUGAUAUCUUAUUUGCAUUUUUCUGAGUUCAUAUGAAUUAGUUAUGAAUUUUCAAAGUUUUGGUCAAACGGUCAAAGGGCAUUCGAGGGACCUCGAUGGAAAAAGUAAGGGCAAAACUGAGCAAGCUCGAAAAGUAAGGGCAAAACCCGUGGGUAGGAACCAACUAGGGGCAAAAAUGUAAUUGUCCCAAGAAAAAUUGCCGGUUCAAGUUAAUUGGUGAAAUCACAGUUUAGGCGCUGACAAUAUACAUUCAGGUGGCGGCUUAAGUGAGGGCUAAUGGUAUAUGAAUAAUGGUAAGCCGGAUGUGUAAGCCGCCAUGAAGGGUACAGGUAUUCAAAAUCAGACAGGGUAAAAAUUUGACUAAGUGUUGAACGAACAGGUUUCACAGAUUACAGUCAUGGAUUCAGAUCUGAAACUGCGCAGAAAAAAAGGGAAUAAAUUUGAGACCUACAGAGGUGACAGCGGAAAAAUAGCAGUGCUCUAGAAGGGAUCUGUAGCGGUGAGGGUAUGUUUUAAUAUCAAAAAUACGUGCGAGAGCUACUACCGCACCAGAUUCAUGGGGCGUUUGGAUCUAAUCUGUAAAUCCAGACAAAGACUAAAGACGGGCGGUGAUGAAGACUGAAGAACAGUGAAACCCUAAUGCCAGAUCUACGACGGAGGAAGAAGGGCUUACCGAUGCUGAUGCGAUGGCGGGGAGGUGCCGCGGUUAUCUGGUCCGUUCAGGGUGAUGCAGCGGCCGGAGUUGAAGACGGAGGCGGAGGUCGACUGUGGCGGAGCUCGUGCGGGUCGACGCGUGAUAUGUCUCCAACGUAUCUAUAAUUUAUGAAGUAUUCAUGCUACUAUAUUAUCCAUCUUGGAUGUUUAUGGGCUUUACUAUGCACUUUUAUAUUAUUUUUGGGACUAACCUAUUGACCCAGAGCCCAGUGUCAGUUCCUGUUUUUUCCCUUGUUUUAGUGUUUCUAAGAAAAGGAAUAUCAAACGGAGUCGAAACGGAAUGAAACCUUCUGGAGAAGUUAUUUUUGGAAGGAAAGCUACCCGAUAGACUUGGAGUGCACGUCAGGAAAGAAACGAGGGAGCCACGAGGUAGGGGGCGCGCCCACCCCCCUAGGGCGCGCCCUCCACCCACGUGGGCCCCUCCUCGCUCCCCUGACGUACUUCUUUCACCUAUAUAUACCCAUAUACCCUAAAACGCUAGGGGAACAGAAUAGAUCUGGAGUUCCGCCGCCGCAACCCUGUGUAGCCACCAAAAACCUCUCGGGAGCCCGUUCCGGCACCCUGCCAGAGGGGGGAUCCCUCACCUCCAUCUUCAUCAUCCAGACGCUCUCCAUGACGAGGAGGGUAUGUACUAGUAGCUAUGUGUUUGAUCUCUCUCUCUCGUGUUCUUGAUUUGACACGAUCUUGAUGUAUCGCGAGCUUUGAUAUUAUAGUUGGAUCUUAUGUUGCUUCUCCCCCUCUACUCUCUUGUAAUGGAUUGAGUUUUCCCUUUGAAGUAAUCUUAUCAGAUUGAGUCUUUAAUGAUUUGAGAACACUUGAUGUAUGUCUUGCCGUGCGUAUCUGUGGUGACAAUGGGAUAUCACGUGAUUCACUUGAUGUAUGUUUGAAGGAAAUAUGCCCUAGAGGCAAUAAUAAAGUUAUUAUUUAUUUCCUUAUAUCAUGAUAAAUGUUUAUUAUUCAUGCUAGAAUUGUAUCAACCGGAAACUUGAUAUAUGUGUGAAUACAUAGACAAACAGAGUGUCACUAGUAUGCCUCUACUUGACUAGCUUGUUGAUCAAAGAUGGUUAUGUUUCCUAGCCAUAGACAUGAGUUGUCAUUUGAUUAACGGGAUCACAUCAUUAGGAGAAUGAUGUGAUUGACUUGACCCAUUCCGUUAGCUUAGCACUCGAUCGUUUAGUAUGUUGCUAUUGCUUUCUUCAUGACUUAUACAUGUUCCUAUGACUAUGAGAUUAUGCAACUCCCAUUUACCGGAGGAACACUUUGUGUGCUACCAAACGUCACAACGUAACUGGGUGAUUAUAAAGGUGCUCUACAGGUGCUUCCAAAGGUACUUGUUGGGUUGGCGUAUUUCGAGAUUAGGAUUUGUCACUCCGAUUGUCGGAGAGGUAUCUCUGGGCCCACUCAGUAAUGCACAUCACUAUAAGCCUUGCAAGCAUUGUAACUAAUGAGUUAGUUGCGGGAUGAUGUAUUACGGAACGAGUAAAGAGACUUGCCGGUAACGAGAUUGAACUAGGUAUCGAGAUACCGACGAUCGAAUCUCGGGCAAGUAACAUACCGAUGACAAAGGGAACAACGUAUGUUGUUAUGCGGUCUGACCGAUAAAGAUCUUCGUAGAAUAUAUGGGAGCCAAUAUGAGCAUCCAGGUUCCGCUAUUGGUUAUUCACCGAAGAGGUGUCUCGGUCAUGUCUACAUAGUUCUCGAACCCGUAGGGUCCGCAUGCUUAACGUUACGAUGACGGUUAUAUUAUGAGUUUAUGUGGUUUGAUGUACCGAAGGAGUUCGGAGUCCCGGAUGAGAUCGGGGACAUGACGAGGAGUCUCGAAAUGGACGAGACGUAAAGAUCGAUAUAUUGGACGACUUAUUCGGACUUCGGAAAGGUUCCGAGUGAUUCGGGUAUUUUUCGGAGUACCGGAGAGUUACGGGAAUUCGUAUUGGGCCUUAAUGGGCCAUACGGGAAAGGAGAGAAAGGCCCCAAAGGGUGGCCGCACCCCUCCCCAUGGACUAGUCCGAAUUGGACUAGGGAGGGGGGGCGCCCCCUUCCUUCUUUCUCCUUCUCCCUUCCCUUCUCCUAUUCCAACAAGGAAAGGAGAAGUCCUACUCCCGGUGGGAGUAGGACUCCCCCCUUGGCGCGCCCUCCUCCUUAGCCGGCCGCCUCCCCCUUGCUCCUUUAUAUACGGCGGCAGGGGGGCACCCCAUAGACACACAAUUGAUCAACGAUCUUUUAGCCGUGUGCGGUGCCCCCUCCACCAUAUUACACCUCGAUAAUAUCGUAGAGGUGCUUAGGCGAAGCCCUGCGUCGGUAGAACAUCAUCAUCGUCACCACGCCGUCGUGCUGACGAAACUCUCCCUCAACACUCGGCUGGAUCGGAGUUCGAGGGACGUCAUCGAGCUGAACGUGUGCUGAACUCGGAGGUGCCGUGCGUUCGGUACUUGAUCGGUCAGAUCGUGAAGACGUACGACUACAUCAACCGCCUUGUGUUAACGCUUCCGCUUUCGGUCUACGAGGGUACGUGGACAACACUCUCCCCUCUCGUUGCUACGCAUCACCAUGAUCUUGCGUGUGCGUAGGAUUUUUUUUGAAAUUACUACGUUCCCCAACAAUGUUUUGGUGAUCAACUUGCGGGUUCCGCCCAUGAACCUAUGCAUAGGGGUUGGCACACGUUUUCAUCUUGAUUCUCCGGUAGAAACUUUGGGGCACUCUUUGAGGUUCUAUGUGUUGGUUGAAUAGAUGAAUCUGAGAUUGUGUGAUGCAUAUCGUAUAAUCAUACCCACGGAUACUUGAGGUGACAUUGGAGUAUCUAGGUGAGAUUAGGGUUUUGGUUGAUUUGUGUCUUAAGGUGUUAUUCUAGUACGAACUCUAGGGCUGUUUGUGACACUUAUAGGAAUAGCCCAACGGAUUGAUUGGAAAGAUUAAAUUUGAGGUGGUUUCGUACCCUACCAUAAUCUCUUCGUUUGUUUUCCGCUAUUAGUGACUUUGGAGUGACUCUUUGUUGCAUGUUGAGGGACAGUUAUAUGAUCCAAUUAUGUUAUUAUUGUUGAGAGAACUUGCACUAGUGAAAGUAUGAACCCUAGGCCUUGUUUCCUAGCAUUGCAAUACCGUUUGUGCUCACUUUUAUCAUUAGUUACCUUGCUGUUUUUAUAUUUUCAGAUUACAAAAACCUAUAUCUACCAUCCAUAUUGCACUUGUAUCACCAUCUCUUCGCCGAACUAGUGCACCUAUACAAUUUACCAUUGUAUUGGGUGUGUUGGGGACACAAGAGAAUCUUUGUUAUUUGGUUGCAGGGUUGUUUGAGAGAGACCAUCUUCAUCCUACGCCUCCCACGAAUUGAUAAACCUUAGGUCAUCCACUUGAGGGAAAUUUCCUACUGUCCUACAAACCUCUGCACUUGGAGGCCCAACAACGUCUACAAGAAGAAGGUUGUGUAGUAGACAUCAAGCUCUUUUCUGGCGCCGUUGCCGGGGAGGUGAGUGCUUGAAGGUAUAUCUUUGGAUCUUGCAAUCGAAUCUUUUUGUUUCUUGUUUUAUCACUAGUUUAGUUUAUAAAAGAAAACUAAAAAAUGGAAUUGAGUUUGUCUCAUAUGCUUCAUCUUUUUAAUAUCUUUCGUGAGUAUGAUGGAAAGGAAAAUUGUGCCAAAGUGUUAGAAGAAGAAUGCAUUAAAAUGUUUGGCACUGAAUCUUUGAAUGAUGAGCAUGAUUGCAAUGUUGUUAGUAUGAACUCCUUGAAUAUCCAUAGUACUAAUGAUGAUUGCACUAGUUAUGAUGAAAAUGUCUCCUAUAAACAUGUCAAUUUUUGUGGAGUGCAUUGGGUUUGCAAGCACACACCAAAUAGGGAAGAUAGAUAUUGCAAGAGGCAUAAGCAUUUAGAAACUAAAUUGUUGCAAGAAAGGCUAGAUGUUUGUGCUGAAAAUUUAAAUUUUCUUGGCCGUACUUGUGAACUUUGCAAUGAAAGUGGUCAUUUAGCUAUCCGAUGCAAAUUGUUUCAUGAUCUAAUCGUGUCCAAAAAUUGUGAUGAGUUGAUUUCCCUUGCACAUUAUAAUGAACUUAGCUUGCUUAUGGGUUGCGAAGAAAUGAAACAUAUAACUAAGCAUCUUCCAUAAUUUGCCCGUUAUAAACUUCUUGGUUUUGAUCUAGAAGAAAUUUAUAUGUAUUGUGCGGUGAAUUGCAUUGAAAAUCCUUAUAUUGUCAAUUACAUAAAGAAAAGAAAACAAAUAGAAGAUGAAGAGAAUAAUAACGAAAGGGAAGAGACUUCCCAAUAUCCUCCUAUUAUUUCUUAUGAUGAAUCAGGUAAUGAGGAGGAGCCUUCUAUUCAACCAAUCUCAUUAAUAAGGAGCUCCAAAAAGAGGAUUGAACCCACACAUGAUGUGGUGAAGAAGAAGAAAAGAAAAAGGAAGAGAGGUAAAAAGGUAUCCCUCCCAAAUAAUGUUGCUCCUAUUAUUGUUGUGCCUCAUGAAAAUGAAUCAAAAAUAAUUGUGGAAGAUGAUGCACUUGAUGAUGAUCUAGUUAUGCCUAUUGCUUGUUGUGAUGAUUAUGAUUGGGAAGAUAAUGAUACCUCUUAUAAUCUUGAAAAUCUUGUUGGCACUUGCUUGGAAUAUGACAAUCGGUAUACUAUUGGUGCUAUCCAUACUAUUAAUGAUGAGAGUGAUUAUGCUUAUGAUAUGAAAAGGCCUAAGCUUGGGGAUGCUAUGUUUCAAGAAGAUGAUGUUUUUGAGAAUAUAUUUGGUGCAAUUAAUGUUUGUCCCAAGCUUGGGGAUGCUACGUUUAAUGAACAUGAUAUUUUUAGUCUCCCAAGUUUUGAUAUGCAAAUUUAUAAUGAUGAUAGCAUACCUUCUACCUAUGAUGAUUAUAUUGAUGAAAGUGGGUUUGGAAGAGUGUCAACUUUAGGAAGUAAUGAUCCCACUAUUUUGGAGGAUGUUGAAUCUUAUAAUAUUUAUGAAAGUGGAUUUGGAGAGGUCAUGACUUUAUUUAGUGAUGUAUCCACUAUUUCGGAAGAGGUUUUAAUUGAUUAUGAUGAGAACAAAGUUGCUACUUAUGAUGAUUAUUGUGAUGAAACUUAUGCUAUAAAAAGUAGUGAUGAUUAUAUUUAUAAAACUUGUUAUGAUUAUGAUUACCCUUUUUCUGAACAUUACUCUUUUAAUGUGGAAACAAUUUAUAGUAUUCAAGGCUCUUAUGAUACUCCCACUAUUCCGAAUGAGAAGAAUUUUGCUUAUGUGGAGAGUAGUAAAAUUUCUAUGCAAGUAGAUCAUGAAAAGAAUGCUUUAGGUGCUGGUUAUAUUGUUGAAUUCAUUCAUGAUUCUACAGAAAAUUAUUAUGAGGGAGGAAUAUAUGCUUGUAGGAAUGGCAAUAAUAUCAAGUUUCCUCUCUCUAUGUGCUUAAAGUUUUGAAGUUAUGCUUGUUUUACCUUCCUAUGCAAGUUGAUUCUUGUUCCCAUAAGUUGUUUGCUCACAAAAUCCCUAUGCAUAGGAAGUGGGUUAGACUUAAAUGUGCUAGUCAUAUUCUUCAUGAUGCUCUCUUUAUGUUUCAAUUCUUAUCUUUUAUGUGAGCAUCAUUGAAAUCAUCAUGCCUAGCUAGGGGCGUUAAUCGUUAGCGCUUGUUGGGAGGCAACCCAAUUUUAUUUUAGUUUCUUGCUUUUUGGUUCUGUUUAGGAAUAAAUAAUCCAUCUAGCUUCUGUUUAGAUGUGGUUUUAUGUUUUAAUUAGUGUUUGUGCCAAGUAGAACCUUUGGGAAGACUUGGGUGAAGUCUUUAUGAUCAUGUUGUAAAAAACAGAAACUUUAGCGCUCACGAGAUUAGCUAAAACUUUUUACUGGACAGUGAUAUUUAGUUGAUUCUUUUUGCAUAUGAUUACCAGACAAAUUCCUCAGGUCCACCAAUUUAUUUUAGAAUUUUUGGAGUUCUAGAAGUUUGCGUUAGUUACAGAUUACUAGAGGCUGUUGUGUUUUUGACAGAUUCUUUUUUCGUGUGUUGUUUGCUUAUUUUGAUGAAUCUAUGGCUAGUAAAAUAGUUUAUAAACCAUAGAGAAGUUGGAAUACAGUAGGUUUAACACCAAUAUAAAUAAAUAAUGAGUUCAAUACAGUACCUUGAAGUGGUGUUUUGUUUUCUUUCGCUAACGGAGCUCACGAGAUUUCUGUUAAGUUUUGUGUUGUGAAGUUUUCAAGUUUUGGGUAAAGAUUCGAUGGACUAUGGAAUAAGGAGUGGCAAGAGCCUAAGCUUGGGGAUGCCCAAGGCACCCCAAGGUAAUAUUCAAGGAUAACCAAGCGUCUAAGCUUGGGGAUGCCCCGGAAGGCAUCCCCUCUUUCGUCUUCGUUCAUCGGUAACUUUACUUGGAGCUAUAUUUUUAUUCACCACAUGAUACGUGUUUUUCUUGGAGCGUCAUUAUAGUUGGAUCUUAUGAUGUUCUCCCCCUCUACUCUCUUGUAAUGGAUUGAGUUUUCCCUUUGAAGUUAUCUUAUCAGAUUGAGUCUUUAAUGAUUUGAGAACACUUGAUGUAUGUCUUGCGUGGGAUACCCGUGGUGACAAUGGGGUAUUCUAUUGAUUCACUUGAUGUAUGUUUUGGUGAUCAACUUGCGGGUUCCGCCCAUGAACCUAUGCAUAGGGGUUGGCACACGUUUUCGUCUUGAUUCUCCGGUAGAAACUUUGGGAUAGUCUUUGAGGUUAUAUGUGUUGGUUGAAUAGAUGAAUCUGAGAUUGUGUGAUGCAUAUCGUAUAAUCAUACCCACGGAUACUUGAGGUGACAUUGCAGUAUCUAGGUGACAUUAGGGUUUUGGUUGAUUUGUGUCUUAAGGUGUUAUUCUAGUACGAACUCUAGGGCUGUUUGCGACACUUAUAGGAAUAGCCCAACAGAUUGAUUGGAAAGAAUAACUUUGAGGUGGUUUCGUACCCUACCAUAAUCUCUUCGUUUGUUUUCCGCUAUUAGUGACUUUGGAGUGACUCUUUGUUGCAUGUUGAGGGAUAGUUAUAUGAUCCAAUUAUGUUAUUAUUGUUGAGAGAACUUGCACUAGUGAAAGUAUGAACCCUAGGCCUUGUUUCCUAGCAUUGAAAUACCGUUUGUGCUCACUUUUAUCAUUAGUUACCUUGCUGUUUUUAUAUUUUCAGAUUACAAAAACCUAUAUCUACCAUCCAUAUUGCACUUGUAUCACCAUCUCUUCGCCGAACUAGUACACCUAUACAAUUUACCAUUGUAUUGGGUGUGUGGGGGACACAAGAGACUCUUUGUUAUUUGGUUGCAGGGUUGUUUGAGAGAGACCAUCUUCAUCCUACGCCUCCCACGGAUUGAUAAACCUUAGGUCAUCCACUUGAGGGAAAUUUGCUACUGUCCUACAAACCUCUACACUUGGAGGCCCAACGACGUCUACAAGAAGAAGGUUGUGUAGUAGACAUUAGUGUGUCGCAAGGAGUUAGAAGAAAUGAGAAGGAAAGAAGGGGGAAUGACAGGAGUGCCCGAGGCUCUAUUUAUAAGCCUGGAAGGACAAUCGACAGGCGCGAAAAUCGAGGAGACAAAAAUUGGAUAGGUGACGACACGGGCGCCUCGAUUUCCGGAAAGACAGUAAAGCAAGAGAUUUAUUAAGAUUUGGGUUAUGUGAAGCAUUAAUGACAGAUGAUGUCACGGCGGGUUACCGAAAAUUCAGAAGAUGAUGUCACGGCGGGUUACAAUAUUUCACAUUCAAGAUGAGGAAGGAUUUUUCUAAUAUUGAAGAUUGACAUGAACAAGUUCAAAUCAACCCGGGGCCUAAUGUUGGGGAUAUGACUAUCAGGCAUGACCCGCCAGGAGGGGCCCGGUCAUCCUGAUAACGAUUCAUCUCCAUGAAGCCCAAGAUCGUAAUGACUGUUCAGAGAUAGGCUGAGUAAAGGGCCCAAGCACAAAGGCGGCUUAAGGCCCACAGUUAUAAACCGCCAUAUGUCUAUGACCUGCAUUGUAAGGUAUAUGUAAUUCGUCUCCGAGCCGGACACGUAUAUGAGCCGGCCGGGACUCUGUAGACUGCAGGGCGUCAACCCGUGUAUAUAAGGGGACGACCCGAUGGCGGCUUAGGGCAAGAAACAACAACUUGAGAGACAUGCAAAGCGUAUUCGCUCCCUGGUCAUCGAAACCCUAGCAAUAUCACCUCAAACUGGAUUAGGCUUUUACCUUCACCGCAAGGGGCCGAACCAGUAUAAAACUCCCCGUGUCCCUUGUCCUGUUUAACCCCUUUAAGCUAAUCUUGUUGCGAUGGCUCCACGACUAAGUCCUCACACUAGGACAUCUGCCGUGACAAUUCCACGACACCUUGUGUACUCGCACAUUAAACCGGGGCGACGACUUAAAGGCAAAAUGCUCCAAGAUAUCCAGCAACGAACAAAAUCGAUGCCUGUCAAACCGUUUGCUACGAAGGCUCUGAGCUUCGAAAGCUGCGGGGCAUAUUUGGCCCUUUCCUUUGCAGUGAGUCUUUGGGGGAGUGGAUGUGUACUGGUAAGCCGAUGAGCACGGUAACCCGGCAGAGGGUUUUCACCAGUUGGAGAUGUAUCUUUGCAAUAAAACCAGGUUUGAUUCCAUUCUUUGGGGUGAUUAUGAUGCUUAGCGUGAGGGAAGCUGACAUCUUUUCUUUUCUGAAUCGACACCCCCCCAAGUUUAGUAUUGGGACCGUCUGUAAACUCGGUACGUCAGUUUAAGUAGAAGAAGUCUCUGAAUAAUUCGACUGUGGGCUCUUCUUGUAAAUAAGCUUCACAAAAUACUUGAAAGUUGCAAAUAUUGGACACAGAGUUAGGUCCAAUAUCUUGAGGAUGAAGUUGGAAGAAAUGAAGCAUGUCGCGGAAAUUUUUUGAUCCGGGAGGGCUGAACCCUCGACCCAGAUGAUCAAUAAAAAUGACCACUUCCCCAUCUUUAGGCUCAGGAGGAUUUUUUGGACCGGGAACUCUCCAAUGGAUGACAUCCUUUUUUGCUAAAGCGCCGGUUGCAACACAUCUGUUCAGUUCUUCUUCUGUAACCCGGGAUGGAACCCAGUUGCAGGCAUAAAAGGAUUUGUCCAUCCUAUUCAAACAACUUGGAGGAAGAUUUGUGCCGGUUUAAGAUCCAUGAUUAAUCCGUUAAAAGUUAAAAGGCAGAAAGUGUUGAAGCAUAUUAAGGUGUUAAACCGGAGGUUGGUGUUAUCACAGUCACAAAGACGAGCGAUUGGCGGUUUAAAAGGGGACUAAUGGUACCUGGCGGGUUAUCAUUUUCUAAAGUUAAACCGCCUACACGGGUAUUGAAGGUAUAUAUCUGAAGUUGGAAAUGGCUAAGUGAUGAAAAACAGGUUUCACAGAUUCAUAUCAAAAUUUCAGAUCAACCGCGUGUCAGAAAAUGGAAAAAUAUUCAGACUUAAAUGUUGGUGCCUGAACAAUUUUAUGAAGUUCCAGAUGGGAUUGUUUAUCUAAAAAAGAUCUGAUCUAAUGGAAAAAAGGACUACGGCUACUGCUGCGCAGAAGAGUAUCAAGUUUGAAUCCGUCAAGAACAGGCCAAGAACAGCGCUGAAUUUUUAUGGGUGCAUUUGAACACUAAUGAGAUCUACAGAGGGGAGGAGAAAGAACUUACCGAGAUUGGAGAGCGGCGGAGGUGCGCGAGAAGGAUCUGGUCUGAACAGGUCGAUGCAGCGGCCAAGGUGAGGAAGAAGCUUGGCGGCGGCGGCGGAGCUCGAAGUGCUAGGGCGUCGUAAGGAACACGACGAGACGAAUAGGCACGGGAGGGGAAAAGUGAAAGGACCUCCGGUCCUAUUUAUAAGGCGAAUGGAUAAGUGGCAAGCGCGAGAAUCGAGGAUAUCAAAAAAUGGAUAUGUGACAGGGUUGUCGCCUCGACUUUCGGAGGUUCAUUAAAAAGGUGAUGUAUAUAUGAUUUUUUAAUAACAGGUGACGUCAUGGCGGAUUACCAUGAUUUUGGAAGAUGACGUCACAGCGAGUUACAAGGAUUUCGCGAAGGUGUUAAAGAAGGAAUUUUCCUAAGUGUUGAAGAUUGACAUGAACAAGUUCAAGUCAACCUGGGGCCUAAUGUUGGGGAUAUAACUAUUGAGUAUAAACCGCCCAGGAGGGGCCGGGUUAUGCUCAUAGUGAUUUACCCAUAUUUGAAGCCCAUGAAGACAUGGAAGAUGGCGCUUCACGAGGGAGGCUUAAUAGUAAGGCCCAAAGCCCAAAGGUGGAUUAGGGCCCAAAGAUGUAAACCGCCAUAAGAUGUAUGACUUGUAUUGUAAGACCGGAAAGAGUAGAAACCGAGCUGGACACGUUUAUGAGCCGGCCGGGAUUCUGCGAACCGCCGGGUGUCAACCUGUGUAUAUAAAAGGACAACCUGGCGGCGGUUUAAGGGCAAGAAACAACAACUCAAGAGCCAGGCAAAGCGUAUUCGCUCCCUGGUCAUCGAAACCCUAGCAAUACCACCUCAAACUGGAUUAUGCCUUUACCUUCACCGCAAGGGGCCGAACCAGUAUAAACUCCCCGUGUCCUUUGUCCUGUUUAACCCCUUUAAGCUAACCUCGUCGCAAUGGCUCCACAACCAAAUCCUUCCAUGAGGACAUAUGCCGUGACAUUUCCACGACAGGUACCAAAGUAAUCCAGGAGUGGAUCACUGGACAGCGGUUAAGAACAUCCUGAAAUACCUGAAAAGGACUAAGGAUAUGUUUCUCGUUUAUGGAGGUGACAAAGAGCUCGUCGUAAAUGGUUACGUCGAUGCAAGCUUUGACGCUGAUCCGGAUGACUCUAAGUCACAAACCGGAUAUAUAUUUAUAUUGAACGGUGGAGCUGUCAGUUGGUGCAGUCCUAAGCAAAGCAUCGUGGCGGGAUCUACGUGUGAAGCGGAGUACAUAGCUGCUUCGGAAGUAGCAAAUGAAGGAGUCUGGAUAAAGGAGUUCAUAUCCGAUCUAGGUGUCAUACCUAGUGCAUCGGGUCCAACGAAAAUCUUUUGUGACAAUACUGGUGCAAUUGCCUUGGCAAAGGAAUCCAUAUUUCACAAGAGAACCAAGCACAUCAAGAGACGCUUCAAUUCCAUCCGCGACCAAGUCAAGGAGGGAGACAUAGAGAUUUGCAAGAUACAUACGGAUCUAAAUGUUGCAGACCCAUUGACUAAGCCUCUCACAUGAGCAAAACAAUGAUCAGGACCAAGACUCCAUGGGUGUUAGAAUCAUUACUCUGUAAUCUGGAUUAUUGACUCUAGUGCAAGUGGGAGACUGAAGGAAAUAUGCCCUAGAGGCAAUAAUAAAGUUGUUAUUUAUAUUUCCUUAUAUCAUGAUAAAUGUUUACUAUUCAUGCUAGAAUUGUAUUAACCGGAAACUUAGUACAUGUGUGAAUACAUAGACAAAUAGAGUGUCACUAGUAUGCCUCUACUUGACUAGCUCGUUGAAUCAAAGAUGGUUAAGUUUCCUAGCCAUAGACAUGAGUUGUCAUUUGAUUAACCGGAUCACAUCAUUAAAGAAUGAUGUGAUUGACUUGACCCAUUCCGUUAGCUUAGCUUUUGAUCGUUUAGUAUAUUGCUAUUGCUUUCUUCAUGACUUAUACAUGUUCCUAUGACUAUGAGAUUAUGCAACUCCCGAAUACCGGAGGAACACUUUGUGUGCUACCAAAGGUCAUAACGUAACUAGGUGAUUAUAAAGGUGCUCUACAGGUGUCUCCGAUGGUACUUGUUGAGUUGGCAUAGAUCAAGAUUAGGAUUUGUCACUCCGAUUGUCGGAGAGGUAUCUCUGGGCCCUCUCGGUAAUGCACAUCACUAUAAGCCUUGCAAGCAAUGCAACUAAUGAGUUAGUAGCGGGAUGAUGUAUUACGGAACGAGUAAAGAGACUUGCCGGUAACAAGAUUGAACUAGGUAUUGGGAUACCGACGAUCGAAUCUCGGGCAAGUAACAUACCGAUGACAAAGGGAACAACGUAUGUUGUUAUGCGGUUUGACCGAUAAAGAUCUUCGUAGAAUAUGUAGGAACCAAUAUGAGCAUCCAGGUUCCGCUAUUGGUUAUUGACCGGAGACGUGUCUCGGUCAUGUCUACAUAGUUCUCGAACCCGUAGAGUCCGCACGCUUAACGUUCAGUGACGAUCGGUAAUAUGAGUUUAUGUGUUUUGAUGAACCGAAGGUAGUUCGGAGUCCCGGAUAUGAUCACGGACAUGACGAGGAGUCUCGAAAUGGUCGAGACAUAAAGAUCGAUAUAUUGGAUGACUAUGUUUGGACUUCGGAAGGGUUCCGGAUAAGUUCAGACAAAUACCAGAGUACCGGGGGGUUACCGGAACCCCCCGGGAGUGUAAUGGGCCUAUUGGGCCUUAGUGGAGAAGAGGAGGGGCGACCAGGGCAGGCCGCGCCCCCCCUUUUUCCUUCCCCCUCUCUCCUCCUUCCUUCCCUCCUACUCCUACUCUUGGAAGGGUUGGAGUCCUACUCCCGGUGGUAGUAGGACUCCCCUUGGGGCACGCCUAGGAGGCCGGCUGAGGGAGUCCUGGACUAAGGGGUCCUCGGGCGUCCGGCCUGUUAUCGAUGGGCCGGACUGAUGGGCUGAGAAGACAUGAAGGCCGAAGACUGUACCCGUGUCCGGAUUGGACUCUCCUUGGCGUGGAAGGCAAGCUUGGCGGCUAACUAUGAAGAUUUCUUCUUAUGUAACCGACUCUAUGUAACCCUAGAUCCUUCCGGUGCCUAUAUAAACCGGGGGGCAUAGUCCGGAUAGGAUUUCAUUACCAUAGUCAUACAGGCUAGACUUCUAGGGUUUAGCCAUUACGAUCUCGUGGUAGAUCAACUCUUGUAAUACUCAUAUUCAUCAAGAUCAAUUAAGCAGGAAGUAGGGUAUUACCUCCAUAGAGAGGGCCCGAACCUGGGUAAACAUCGUGUCCCCCGUCUCCUAUUACCAGCGAUCCUAGACGCACAGUUCGGGACCCCUACCCGAGAUCCGCCGGUUUUGACACCGACAUUGGUGCUUUCAUUGAGAGUUCCACUGUGCCGUCGACGAAAGGUUUGAUGGCCCCUUCGAUUGUCUAUAGUGACGCUGCCCAGGGAGAAACUUUCCUCCCCGGACAGAUUUUUGUGUUUGAAGGCUUCGUACUGCAGGCCAACUCGCUUGGCCAUCUGGAGCAGGUCGAUAGCUACGCCCCUGGCCAUCAGGUCAGAUUUGGAAGCUUGAACUACGCCGCGGAUAUCCGUGGAGACUCGAUCUUCAAUGGAUUUAAGACCGCGGUGAUCGCUCCCCCUCGCUCUGAUAAACAUGACUUAAAUCUGUCAUCAGAUCACAUCCAGGAGAGGGUUCCUGUCGCUGCAACGGCCCUAGAGCCAGAGCAGAUCAUGCCAUCCGAAACCAUGGAGUCCGCGGUGUUGGAGUCGCAAACGAACUCGACACCCUGCAAUAUUUGCGUCAACGGAACUUCGGACUCGUCUCCGGCUAUAAGUUCCAGACCAUGUACGCCUGCGGACACCGAGCUAGAUCGGUUAUCGAUCUUCGAAUUCAGCGCAGCGGAGGUUUUUGACCACUCACCUUUGGGCGAUGUGCUGAACUCUUUAAAGAAUUUGUCCUUAGAGAAGGACUCACAGCCGAACUAUGUUCGGUUCGAGCUAGAGGCUGAUGAUGGGGAGUUUCGCUUCCCACCCGCCACCCACUUCACAGCCACUGUCGAGGACUUAACCGACAUGCCUGCUUCGGGAUCCGAAGACAUUGACGGUAUAGACGACGAUGCCGAUAAGGAGCAAGGCCAAGACCCGCCAGUCAUCAGGCGUGGGACGGCCACCCCUUCAUAUGACGUGUACAUGACCGAUACACUUCAAAAGCCUCGCGGCAAUGACAAGGGAGAUCCAGUUAAAACUCCUGAGACACAGUCUAAGUUCCGGUGCCCCAAACGCCGCCCCCAGUCACGCCGCAGCAACGAUGGCACUGGAGAAAAUAGUACUCCAGACGACACCGAAAACAAUGAAGACCCUGCUGGAGCAAGAUCCGAACAGGAACAGGAAAACGGGCAAGCCACCCCCGAUGAACAUGCCCUGCCCAACUACAAUUCGGAGGACGACAACUACCUUCCGCUCUCCGAAGAUGAGGUAAGCCUCGGUGACGAAGACUUCAUCGUACCCGAAGAGCCCCUCGAGCAAGAGCGCUUCAAGCGCAGGCUGAUAGCUACAGCAAGGAGCCUGAAAAAGAAGCAGCAGCAGCUUCAAGCUGACCAAGACCUACUCAACGACAGAUGGACCGGAGUCCUGGUCGCCGAAGAAUACGGCCUUAGUGGCCUAGCCAAAAGCUACCCAAAGCACAGAUUGCUAUACCAGUCUGAUGACGGGGCGUUGGAGCCCAUACCAUCGUCACACAAUGCGGCAGGUCGCCGACAACUCUGUCCGGAUAAAGAGGCAACUCAAGCCGAACACCAGACCGCCCCACCUCGCCGUAAAGGCAAGAACAACGCAAGUCACGAUUACCCAGACGACCUGCAGAGGGACUUGGACAAUAGAGCAGGAUACGCAGGACCGAUCUACGGGUCGCGAAAGCAUGCUUCGACACGCGAUGAUGGCUACCUAUUCGGACGUAUCAAACCUCGCCACGCCCGAGCCGAAAACCGCAAAGGGAAUCCUUCAGAGUUACGUCGCAGUGUGGUCCAACAUAGAGGCGCCGCACACCCGCUUUGCUUCACUGAUGAAGUAAUGGAUCAUGAAUUCCCCGAAGGAUUCAAACCCGUCAAUAUUGAAUCAUACGACAGGACAACCGAUCCCGCGGUAUGGAUAGAAGAUUUCAUCCUCCACAUCCAUAUGGCACGUGGGGAUGACCUCCACGCCAUUAAAUACCUCCCACUAAAGCUAAAAGGGCCAGCUCGGCACUGGUUAAACAGCCUGCCUGAAAAUUCCAUAGGCAGCUGGGAGGACUUGGAAGAGGCCUUCCUCGACAACUUCCGAGGAACAUAUGUCCGGCUACCGGAUGCCGAUGACCGAAGUCACAUUGUCCAGCAGCCCGGAGAGUCAGCCAGGAAGCUCUGGACUCGGUUCUUAGUCAAAAAGAACCAAAUCAUCGACUAUCCGGACGCGGAAGCCCUGGCGGCUUUCAGACACAGUGUCCGGGACAAAUGGCUUGCGCGCCACCUCGGCCAAGAAGGACCUAAAUCCAUGACAGCCCUCACUGCUCUGAUGACCCGCUUUUGCACGAGAGAAGACAGCUGGCUCGCUCGUAGAAGCAACAGCGCCAGCGACCCGGGCACUUCUGAAAUUCGAGACGGCAAUGGCAAGCCACAACGAAGCAAAUACAACAGUCGCAAUGACAACGAAAGAUCACGCGACACAGCGGUCAACGCCGGAUUCAGCAAUCCCAAGCCCGGCCAACGGAAGAAGCCAUUCAAGGUGAAACGAGACAAACCAUCCAACCUAGACAGGAUAUUGGACCGACCCUGCCAGAUUCACAACCACCCCAAUAAACCAGCUAAUCAUACUAACAGAAACUGCUGGGUCUUUAAAUAGGCCGGCAAGCUCAACGCCGAACACAAGGGGAGGAGGCCGCCAGGCGACAGGGAUGACGGAGAGGAUCACCAACGAAAUACUGGGGGUCAGAAGCAAUUUCCACCCGAGGAUCAACUACUCUCGGAGCGAAAAUAGCAGUCCGGCUUCCGCCGCCCACCUCGUACACCUGCAAAAUUUGUGUCGCUCAUACAUCACUAUGCACUCCAAAUACCAUGGGCAUUGGUGGAAGCACACUAUGGACAAGCCUGCAAACACCCCCGUAACAUUUUUUACCCAUUUUGUUUUUAUUUCUUCCUUCGCUGUCUCUUAGAAAUAGGUGACGAACAGGUCAAACAUCUGAAACUGGCUCUAUCGGAGUUCGGAUCCGUACACUCACCUAAGGGGCUAUCUCUGUCAAGGAUUCCCCCCGCCGAGGACUGGCGGCGUAGACGUGCGACAGGAGGUCCAAAAUAACUUUUUGUAGACCGCACUCUCUAUUUCGAGCCUGUACUAUGCCUGUUCCUCCGCCUCCGACCCCGACCAUGUCAAAUAGCCGGGAGGAUGGCUUUUAUAUAUAUAAUAAAUAAUCAUUGGCAUAUCGCUCAUCUCCCAGUAUCCGAAUUAAUCAUCCAUGCUAUUUCACCACUAAAUACGGCUCUCAUGGUUGUUUCAUAGACAUACCUUGGCAUAACCUGCCAGGGGCUCGGUAUGGGAAUAAAUGAGUUGCCAGCAAAAGCCCGAACAGCUCUACAGCGUACUUCGGCGUCGCAAGUUUGGCCUUAUAUGCAUCAGCUCCGAAUCAUUGUCUUGGGUCAAUAGUUGGGUUGCCCGGCUCCUAUGCUUGCUACCCUACGUUCCGCUCUAUCGGCUAGGGUAGUAAAGGGAGAACUACUGCGAGUGUGCCCUGGUCUAAACCGGACGAGCACCUCAGUAGAGAAAGCCGAAAACUGACUGUCAUGAUGCGGCGUGAGCUGGUCAACCACUUGACGUCUUCUUGGAAUCUUUAGCGAUUCUCCGUGUCACACGAAGGAUCUUUUUCAGAUCAAAUAUGUAAGGCACCAUACGCCGCAUACAUACCAGGGGCUAUGUAGUAGUCCCACCAUAAAACUCCUAUGGCUAAGUGAAAGUGUUAACACCCUAUAGUCCGAUUGCCUGGUUCGCCGCAUUAUCACCUCCUUCAUGGACCAAGACGUUGGAUAAAGAGUGAUUAAAUGCUUUUCCGAACACCCUCGUACUUCCUACGAGGGGGCUGAAGCCAACGACUGGAAAACUUUCAGAUUAUAUUAAAACGGCCGCACAGGAGGAAUUCAAGCUUUCGAGCAAAACAUAAAAAUAGAUUAACUAUAAAAUUGUCUUUUACAAUUCUCAUACAUCUCACUCGAACAUUAUGUCUUUCGAGCACUGACCCUCUAUCAAGCGGGCGGCCUCUAGGACGUCUUCAAAUAAUGCUCCGGUUCCGGACGGUCCUUGCCUUUGGGUGUACUCUUCGUCGCAACAUCGAUGGCCUUCAUCUUCCCCAGAACGUCUUGACUCGGGCAAAAGCCAUCCGUGCACCCUCAAUGCACGUUGACCGCUUCACAGCGUCGAUACGCGGCACCGCGUCAACAAGCCUCUGCACCAAACCGAAAUAGCUAUUCGGAACAGGCUUGGUUGGCCACAACCGGAUUAUGACAUCCUUCAUGGCAGCGCCGGAUAUCCUAUGAAGUUCGGCCCAUUGGGACAGCUGUUCAUUGAGCAACAGAGGGCGCUUUGAUGCGCCAAACUGCGACCAAAAAAGCUUCUCCGUUGCAUACCCAUCUCGCGCUUGGUAAUACUGCACCGCAUCGGAAGAACUCUUCGGCAAGUCCAAGAACUCGUCCGGAGAACUCCACACUUGGUUAAGCUGAGCAUAGUUCGGGUCAACGAACUUAGUUUGCAGCAGAAAUGGCUUUCCAGCCGCAAUCUCCCUAGCCUGCCGAACCUCCUCACGGACUGCUCUGGAUUCCGAUCGUGCUUCCCUCGCCUCUUGUAAGGCCUUGUCCAGUUCAGCCGUUAAGGCUUUAUUCUCCUUCUCCAGAAAUUCACAGCGGCCAGUGGCAUUUUCUAGUUCAAGCGCCACCAUGGAUAUCUUCUCCUCGUCCUGGCGCCGUGUAGCUUGUUCGGCUUUCAGCUCGGCCGAGGCCUUUUCGGCAGCAGAAUUGCUACACCGGGCCUGCUCCUUGGCCUGGGCCAGCUCCGCUCGAAGAACUUCAAUGGCGGCAGCACCAUCUGCAGCCACGCAUACUCCAGCAUACAGAUUUUAGCGUCAUGCUUAUACCACAAAAAUGUAUAGGGAUUGCACCGAAUACAUACCUUGCGACUCGUCAAGACGCAUAUUGAUUAAUGCAAGAUCCCCUGCCACAUCAAUCUUCCGCUGCAGCUCGGCAAUUUCCAUAGUCCGAGAAGUGGCCAAGGGGGAAGCAGCCUGUGUUCAAGUUUAUUAGGUUAGUCCUCAAGCGAUCAUUUUUGAUCCUCCGUUUGCUUCCUCGGGGAAGACAACCCGAGUCUCAGGGGCUACUACCUAUACACAGGCGCAUCUUCAGUAGGCUCAUGAAGGCUUCAUUUAAUCCGCUUUUCACGGACAAAAUCUUCUCAAUCACUGUACCCAUCAAGGUACGCUGCUCCCCCGAGACAGAUGCUUUCCGCAACAUGUCCCGCGAUAUAUCCGGAGUCUCCAGGUCUCCGAAAGCCGCUCUAGGAGCAAAACCAUCCUUUGAAGGAAUCGGUUCACCCGUCUCCAGAUUGUCGGCUGCGAGCCAGACUGUCCGGGGCCUUUGUUAUCAUCAGCCCAAUAAUCCUGGAUGGCCGGAGAUCCACCUUCGGGUACUGCCUCUUCUGCCCCCUGCGUAACUUGUUGAUUAAGAGGGACCCUCCGCGAUGACACUUCAGAGUCAUCCGCCCUAUUGGGCGAAGAGGUUGGAGGAGGCGUUUCGCUCUCCAUCAUCUCUAGGAGGAGACUUCCCGAAGAAGAGGAUCGCCCAGAAAAACUCUGUGCCGACCUGUAAAAAUGCAGGAAAGCGUUACGUGUAUCUUCGGUAAUAGCAACGGAGCAGGACGCUAUCAAAGUACUCCGGAUUCACUUACGGUUUGGCAGAGGGCUUAUCCCCUUGUUGGAGCUGUUUAACGGCGUCGCUUUCCAAAUCCAAGCCGCUCGACGGUGGCACCUUACCCUUCUUAAAAGACCGCCCCUCCCAAUCUUCGGAGGCGGCCCUUUUCCUCCUGCUUGGAGAAGGGAUACUGGGUCCUCUUCCGCCUCUGUUCUCAGGCGAGAAAAGGUCGAUGUCUCCAGACUCAGUGUCCGACUUACCUCCGGAACCAAGGUCAUCUUGGGUCUUCUCACUCUCCUCUUUACCCUCCCUUACCGGCGCCUGGUAUGGUGCCGAGGCCAGCAUCCUUGUUAGCACAGGAGUAGCUGAGUCUUCGGGAAGGGGAGCCGAACACCUAAUCCGUUCCACCUUAUUUAUCCAGCCCUGAAAAAGGAUGAUUUUUUAAGUAUCUUGCCACUGGGUAUCUGAUUAUGAGGUAUUUGGCAAACGGGUACUCACCGGGGUAUCCGGAUGGUUACAGUCUAGGCCGACAUCUUUGGUGGUGUCCAGCCAUUGCCUUCGUUUCCCGAAGAAUAAUCUCCACAUUCCUUUGUGCAUUGUGCUGAAGAAGUGCUGAGGAGUCUGCGGCCCUUCUGGAUUGAACUCCCAUAGGCGGAGAGGCCGUCGCUGGCACGGCAGGGUCCGAUGAACUAUCAUUACUUGAACGACGUUGGCUAUGUCGAUGUCCCUCUCAAUGAGGCUUCAGAUGCGACUUUGUAGAGUUCGCACAUCAUUCGUCGAUCCCCAAUCCAGCCCCUUGUUAAUCCAUGAUUCAAGCUAAAUUGGGGGGCUGGAUCGGAAUGCGGGCGCAGUUGCCCACUUGGAGCCGCAGGGCUCGGUGAUAUAGAACCACCCCUGCUACCACAGAUCGGAAGAUUUGGCGAAGGAUCCUUUCAGCCAAACGGCGCUUGCAAGCUUGCUCACUGUAGUGCCGCCGCACUCGGCCUGCUCCCCCUCUACCACUUGCGGCUUCACAUCGAAGGUCUUGAGCCACAAGCCAAAGUGCGGAGGAGUUCAGAGAAAGGCCUCACACGUGACGAUAAACGCGGAGAUAAGAAGAAUAGAGUCUGGGGCCAGAUCGUGAAAGUCUAGCCCAUAAUAGAACAUGAGCCCUCGGACGAAGGGGUUAAGUGCAAACCCCAACCCGCGGAGGAAGUGGGACACGAACACGACCCUCUCGCCGGAUCUGGGGGUGGGAAUAACCUGCCCCUCAGCGGGAAGCCGGUGAUGGAUUUCAACGGUCAGGUACCUCGCCGCCCGAAGCUUUGCAGUGUCUUCCUCCGCAACAGAAGACGCUACCCACCGGCCUUGACAGCUGGAUCCGGACAUGAUUGGGGCUUGAGGCAACCAAUACCCGGGUGUUGAAACUCGGGGUAGCAGGGGUCGGGGAAGAAGCAAGCGUGAAAGAAAAAGACGGGUUUGUACCCCUAUAUAAAGGUUGCGAAUAUCAAACGUCUCCUCCUGGGCCUUGGAACUAGCCUAUUCCCAAGGAGUUGUACCCAAGCGACGGUUGGGUUACCCACGUCUGGGUUGGAAAGAAUCCCCUAAAGAAGGGGAGACACGAUCUCCGCUUGGAUAAGACAUGCCAAUAAAACCGCGUCUCGAGACGUGGGACGAUGGGCCUGCUAACGGUUUGAAAAUAAUGGCUGAGCAGGCGUGAUGUCAUAUUACCAAAAAUUAUCAGAGGAUUGAACUCGUGAAAUAUUAUAUCCUCUGCAGUUGUGUAUACAGGUCCGGAUACAAUCAUUACAUCUGAAGACUAUCUUGGAGUUCGGAAAGGGGAACCCGCCUUGCAAUGCCGAAGACAAUCUGCGCGCCGGACUCCUCGUCAUUGAAGCUAGGUUCAGGGGCUACUGAGGGAGUCCUGGACUAAGGGGUCCUUGGGCAUCCGGCCUGUUAUCGAUGGGCCGGACUGAUGGGCUGAGAAGACAUGAAGGCCGAAGACUGUACCCGUGUCCGGAUUGGACUCUCCUUGGCGUGGAAGGCAAGCUUGGCGGCUAACUAUGAAGAUUCCUUCUUAUGUAACCGACUCUAUGUAACCCUAGAUCCCUCCGGUGCCGAUAUAAACCGAGGGGCAUAGUCCGGAUAGGAUUUCAUUACCAUAGUCAUACAGGCUAGACUUCUAGGGUUUAGCCAUUACGAUCUCGUGGUAGAUCAACUCUUGUAAUACUCAUAUUCAUCAAGAUCAAUCAAGCAGAAAGUAGGGUAUUACCUCCAUAGAGAGGGCCCGAACCUGGUAAACAUCGUGUCCCCCGUCUCCUGUUACCAUCGAUCCUAGACGCAUAGUUCGGGACCCCCUACCCGAGAUCCAGCGGUUUUGACACCGACACCGGCCCCCUCCCCCUCCUCCACUCCUUUAUAUACGGGGGAGGGGGCACCCCAUAGAGACAGAAGUUGAUCAGUUGAUCUUUUAGCCGUGCGCGGUGCCCCCCUCCACCAUAAUCCACCUCGGUCAUAUCGUAGCGGUGCUUAGGCGAAGCCCUGCGUCGGUAGCAUCAUCAUCACCGUCAUCACGCUGUCGUGCCGAUGGAACUCUCCCUCGAAGCUCUGCUGGAUCGUGAGUUCGUGGGAUGUCACCAAGCCGAACGUGUGUUGAACUCGGAGGUGACAUGUGUUCGGUACUUGGAUCGGUCGGAUCGUGAAGAAGUACGACUAUAUCAACUGCGUUGUCAUAACGCUUCCGCUUACGGUCUACGAGGGUACGUAGACAACACUCUUCCCCUCGUUGCUAUGCAUCACCAUGAUCUUGCGUGUGCGUACGAAUUUUUUUGAAAUUACUACGUUCCCUAACACCGGUAACCCUCCGGCACUCCGGUUUUCUCCGAAAUCACCCGGAACAAUUCCGGUGUCCGAAUAUAGCCGUCCAAUAUAUCAAUCUUUAUGUCUCGACCAUUUCGAGACUCCUCGUCAUGUCCGUGAUUACAUCCGGGACUCCGAACUAUUUUCGGUACAUCAAAACACAUAAACUCAUAAUACCGAUCGUCACCGAACGUUAAGCGUGCGGACCCUACGGGUUCGAGAACUAUGUAGACAUGACCGAGACACGUUUCCGGUCAAUAACCAAUAGCGGAACCUGGAUGCUCAUAUUGGCUCCCACAUAUUCUACGAAGAUCUUUAUCGGUCAAACCGCAUAACAACAUAUGUUGUUCCCUUUGUCAUCGGUAUGUUACUUGCCCGAGAUUCGAUCGUCGGUAUCUCAAUACCUAGUUCAAUCUCGUUACCGGCAAGUCUCUUUACUCGUUCCGUAAUGCAUCAUCUCGCAACUAACUCAUUAGUCACAUUGCUUGCAAGGCUUAUAGUGAUGUGCAUUACCGAGAGGGCCCAGAGAUACCUCUCCGAUAAUCGGAGUGACAAAUCCUAAUCUCGAUCUAUGCCAACUCAACAAACACCAUCGGAGACACCUGUAGAGCACCUUUGUAAUCACCCAGUUACGUCGUGACGUUUGGUAGCACACAAAGUGUUCCUCCGGUAUUCGGGAGUUGCAUAAUCUCAUAGUCAUAGGAACAUGCAUAACUCAUGAAGCUAUAGCAACAAACUAAACGAUCAAGUGCUAAGCUAAUGAAAUGGGUCAAGUCAAUCACAUCAUUCUCUAAUGAUGUGAUCCCGUUCAUCAGUGACAACUCAUGUCUAUGGCUAGGAAACUUAGCCAUAUUUGAUUAAUGAGCUAGUCAAGUAGAGGCAUACUAGUGACACUCUGUUUGUCUAUGUAUUCACACAUGUACUAAGUUUCUGGUUAAUACAAUUCUAGCAUGAAUAAUAAACAUUUAUCAUGAUAUAAGGAAAUAUAAAUAACAACUUUAUUAUUGCCUCUAGGGCAUAUUUCCUUCAGUCUCCCACUUGCACUAGAGUCAAUAAUCUAGAUUACACAGUAAUGAUUCUAACACCCAUGGAGCCUUGGUGUUGAUCAUGUUUUGCUCAUGAGAGAGGCUUAGUCAACGGGUCUGCAACAUUCAGAUCUGUACGUUUCUUGCAAAUCUCUAUAUCUCCUUCCUUGACUUGAUCACGGAUGGAAUUGAAGUGUCUCUUGAUGUGAUUGGUUCUCUUGUGAAAUCUGGAUUCCUUUGCCAAGGCAAUUGCACCAGUAUUGUCACAAAAGAUUUUCAUUGGACCCGAUGCACUAGGUAUGACACCUAGAUCAGAUAUGAACUCCUUCAUCCAGACUCCUUCAUUUGCUGCUUCCGAAGCAGCUAUGUACUCCGCUUCACACGUAGAUCCUGCCAUGACGCUUUGCUUAGAACUGCACCAACUUACAGCUCCACCGUUCAAUAUAAAUACGUAUCUGGUUUGUGACUUAGAGUCAUCCGGAUCAGUGUCAAAGCUUGCAUCGACGUAACCAUUUACGAUGAGCUCUUUGUCACCUCCAUAAACGAGAAACAUAUCCUUAGUCCUUUUCAGGUAUUUCAGGAUGUUCUUGACCGCUGUCCAGUGAUCCACUCCUGGAUUACUUUGGUACCUCCCUACUAAGCUAAUAGCAAGGCACACAUCAGGUCUGGUACACAGCAUUGCAUACAUGAUAGAGCCUAUGGCUGAAGCAUAGGGAACAUCUUUCAUUUUCUCUCUUCUGCAGUGGUCGGGCAUUGAGUCUGACUCAACUUCACACCUUGUAACACAGGCAAGAACCCUUUCUUUGCUUGAUCCAUUUUGAACUUCUUCAAAACUUUAUCAAGGUAUGUGCUUUGUGAAAGUCCAAUUAAGCAUCUUGAUCUAUCUCUAUAGAUCUUGAUGCCCAAUAUAUAAGCAGCUUCACCGAGGUCUUUCAUUGAAAAACUCUUGUUCAAGUAUCCUUUUAUGCUAUCCAGAAAUUCUAUAUCAUUUCCAAUCAACAAUAUAUCAUCCACAUAUAAUAUUAGAAAUGCUACAGAGCUCCCACUCACUUUCUUGUAAAUACAGGCUUCUCCAAAAGUCUGUAUAAAACAGUAUGCUUUGAUCACACUAUCAAAACGUUUAUUCCAACUCCGAGAGGCUUGCACCAGUCCAUAAAUGGAUCGCUGGAGCUUGCACACUUUGUUAGCACUCUUUGGAUCGAUAAACCUUCACGUUGCAUCAUAUACAACUCUUCUACCAGAAAUCCAUUCAGGAAUGCAGUCUUUACAUCCAUUUGCCAAAUUUCAUAAUCAUAAAAUGCAGCAAUUGCUAACAUGAUUCGGACAGACUUAAGCAUCGCUACGGGUGAGAAGGUCUCAUCGUAGUCAACUCCUUGAACUUGUCGAAAACCUUUCACGACAAGUCGAGCUUUGUAGACAGUAACAUUACCGUCAGCGUCAGUCUUCUUCUUGAAGAUCCAUUUAUUCUCUAUGGCUUGCCGAUCAUCGGGCAAGUCAACCAAAGUCCAUACUUUGUUCUCAUACAUGGAUCCCAUCUCAGAUUUCAUGGCCUCAAGCCAUUUCGCGGAAUCUGGGCUCAUCAUCGCUUCCUCACAGUUCGUAGGUUCGUCAUGGUCUAGUAACAUGACCUCCAGAACAGGAUUACCGAACCACUCUGGUGCGGAUCUUAGUCUGGUUGACCUACGAGGUUCGGUAGUAACUUGAUCUGAAGUUUCAUGAUCAUUAUCAUUAGCUUCCUCACUAAUUGGUGUAGGGAUUACAGGAACUGAUUUCUGUGAUGAACUACUUUCCAAUAAGGGAGCAGGUAUAGUUACCUCAUCAAGUUCUACUUUCCCCCCACUCACUUCUUUCGAGAGAAACUCCUUCUCUAGAAAGGAUCCAUUCUUAGCAACAAAUGUCUUGCCUUCGGAUCUGUGAUAGAAUGUGUACCCAACAGUCUCCUUUGGGUAUCCUAUGAAGACAUAUUUCUCCGAUUUGGGUUUGAGCUUAUCAGGAUGAAACUUUUUCUUAUAAGCAUCGCAACCCCAAACUUUAAGAAACGACAACUUUGGUUUCUUGCCAAACCAUAGUUCAUACGGUGUCGUCUCAAACGACAACUUUGGUUUCUUGCCAAACCACAGUUCAUAAGGCGUCAUGUCAACGGAUUUAGAUGGUGCCCUAUUUAACUUGAAUGCAGCCGUCUCUAAAGCAUAACCCCAAAACGAUUGCGGUAAAUCAGUAAGAGACAUCAUAGAUCGCACCAUAUCUAAUAAAGUGCGGUUACGACAUUCGGACACACCAUUACGCUGUGGUGUUCCGGGUGGCGUGAGUUGCGAAACUAUUCCGCAUUGUUUCAAAUGAAGACCAAACUCGUAACUCAAAUAUUCUCCUCCACGAUCAGAUCGUAGAAACUUUAUUUUCUUGUUACGAUGAUUUUCCACUUCACUCUAAAAUUCUUUGAACUUUUCAAAUGUUUCAGACUUAUGUUUCAUCAAGUAGAUAUACCCAUAUCUGCUCAAAUCAUCUGUGAAGGUAAGAAAAUAACGAUACCCACCGCGAGCUUCAAUAUUCAUCGGACCACAUACAUCAGUAUGUAUGAUUUCCAAUAAAUCUGUUGCACGCUCCAUUGUUCCGGAGAACGGAGUUUUAGUCAUCUUGCCCAUGAGGCAUGGUUCGCAAGUACCAAGUGAUUCCAAAAGUCCAUCAGAAUGGAGUUUCUUAAUGCACUUUACACCAAUAUGACCCAAACGGAAGUGCCACAAAUAAGUUGCACUAUCAUUAUCAACUCUGCAUCUUUUGGCUUCAAUAUUAUGAAUAUGUGUAUCACUACUAUCGAGAUUCAACAAAAAUAGACCACUCUUCAAGGGUGCAUGACCAUAAAAGAUAUUACUCAUAUAAAUAGAACAACCAUUAUUCUCAGAUUUAAAUGAAUAAUCGUCUCGCAUCAAACAAGAUCCAGAUAUAAUGUUCAUGCUCAACGCUGGCACCAAAUAACAAUUAUUCAGGUCUAAAACUAAUCCCGAAGGUAGAUGUAGAGGUAGCGUGCCGACGGCGAUCACAUCGACUUUGGAACCAUUUCCCACGCGCAUCGUCACCUCGUCCUUAGCCAAUCUUCGCUUAAUCCGUAGUCCCUGUUUCAAGUUGCAAAUAUUAGCAACAGAACCAGUAUCAAAUACCCAGGUGCUACUGCAAGCAUUAGUAAGGUACACAUCAAUAACAUGUAUAUCACAUAUACCUUUGUUCACCUUGCCAUCCUUCUUAUCCGCCAAAUACUUGGGGCAGUUCCGCUUCCAGUGACCAGCCUCUUUGCAGUAGAAGCACUCAGUCUCGGGCUUAGGUCCAGACUUGGGCUUCUUCACUUGAGCAGCAACUUGCUUGUCGUUCUUCUUGAAGUUCCCCUUCUUCCCUUUACCCUUUUUAUUGAAACUGGUGGUCUUGUUGACCAUCAACACUUGAUGCUCCUUCUUGAUUUCUACCUCCGCAGCCUUUAGCAUCGCGAAGAGCUCGGGAAUUGUCUUAUCCAUCCCUUGCAUGCUAUAGUUCAUCACGAAGCUCUUGUAGCUUGGUGCCAGUGAUUGAAGAAUUCUGUCAAUGACACUAUCAUCAGGAAGAUUAACUCCCAGUUGAAUCAAGUGAUUGUUAUACCUAGACAUUUUGAAUAUAUGUUCACUGACAGAACUAUUCUCCUCCAUCUUGCAGUUGUAGAACUUAUUGGAGACUUCAUAUCUCUCAAUCCGGGCAUUUGCUUGAAAUAUUAACUUCAAAUCCUGUAACAUCUCAUAUGCUCCAUGACGUUCAAAACGUCGUUGAAGUUCCGGUUCUAAGCCGUAAAGCAUGGCACACUGAACUAUCGAGUAGUCAUUAGCUUUGCUCUGCCAGACGUUCUUAACGUCAUCUGUAGCAUCUGCAGCAGGCCUGGCACCCAGCGGUGCUUCCAGGACGUAAUUCUUCUGUGCAGCAAUGAGGAUAAUCCUCAAGUUACGGACCCAGUCCGUGUAAUUGCUACCAUCAUCUUUCAACUUAGCUUUCUCAAGGAACGCAUUAAAAUUCAAAGGAACGGUAGCACCGGCCAUUGAUCUACAACAACAUAGACAUGCAAAAUACUAUCAGGUACUAAGUUCAUGAUAAAUUAAAGUUCAGUUAAUCAUAUUACUUAAGAACUCCCACUUAGAUAGACAUCCCUCUAAUCAUCUAAGUGAUCAUGUGAUCCAAAUCAACUAAACCAUGUCCGAUCAUCACGUGAGAUGGAGUAGUUUUCAAUGGUGAACAUCACUAUGUUGAUCAUAUCUACUAUAUGGUUCAUGCUCGACCUUUCGGUCUCAGUGUUCCGAGGCCAAAUCUGCAUAUGCUAGGCUCGUCAAGUUUAACCCGAGUAUUCUGCGUGUGCAAAACUGGCUUGCACCCGUUGUAUGUGAACGUAGAGCUUAUCACACCCGAUCAUCACGUGGUGUCUCGGCACGACGAAAUUUCGCAACGGUGCAUACUUAGGGAGAACACUUAUACCUUGAAAUUUAGUGAGAGAUCGUCUUAUAAUGCUACCGUCAAUCAAAGCAAAAUAAGAUGCAUAAAAGAUAAGCAUCACAUGCAAUCAAUAUAAGUGAUAUGAUAUGGCCAUCAUCAUCUUGUGCCUUUGAUCUCCAUCUUCAAAGCACCGUCAUGAUCACCAUCGUCACCGGCACGACACCUUGAUCUCCAUCGUAGCAUCGUUGUCGUCUCGCCAACUAUUGUUUCUACGACUAUCGCUACCGCUUAGUGAUAAAGAAAAAAUAAUUACAGGGCGAUUGCAUUGCAUACAAUAAAGCGACAACCAUAUGGCUCCUGCCAGUUGCCGAUAACUCCGUUACAAAACAUGAUCAUCUCAUACAAUAAAAUUUAGCAUCAUGUCUUGACCAUAUCACAUCACAGCAUGCCCUGCAAAAACAAGUUAGACGUCCUCUACUUUGUUGUUGCAAGUUUUACGUGGCCGCUACGGGCCGAGCAAGAACCGUUCUUACCUACGCAUCAAAACCACAAUGAUAUUUCGUCAAGUAUGUGUUGUUUUAACCUUCACAAGGACCGGGCGUAGCGACACUCGAUUCAACUAAAGUUGGAGAAACUGACACCCGCCAGCCACCUGUGUGCGAAGCACGUCGGUAGAACCAGUCUCGCAUGAGCGUACGCGUAAUGUCGGUCCGGGCCGCUUCAUCCAACAAUGCCGCCGAAUCAAAGUAUGACAUGCUGGUAAGCAGUAUGACUAGUAUGGCCCACAACUCACUUCUGUUCUACUCGUGCAUAUAACAUCUACGCAUAAACCUGGCUCGGAUGCCACUGUUGGGGAACGUAGUAAUUUCAAAAUUUCCCUACGCACACGCAAGAUCAUGGUGAUGCAUAGCAACGAGCGGGACAGUGUUGUCCACGUACCCUCGUAGACCGUAAGCGAAAGCGUUUUGUCAACGCGGUUGAUGUAGUCGUACGUCUUCACGAUCUGACCGAUCCAAGUACCGAACGCACAACACCUCCGAGUUCAGCACACGUUCAGCUCGAUGACGUCCCACGAACUCACGAUCCAGCAGAGUGUCGAGGGAGAGUUUUGUCAGCAUGACAACAUGGUGACGGUGAUGAUGAAGCUACCGACGUAGGGCUUCGCCUAAGCACUACGACGAUAUGACUAAGGUGGAUUAUGGUGGAGGGGUGCACCGCACACGGCUGGAAACAAUCAACUUGUGUGUUAUAGGGUGCCCCCCUGCCCCCGUAUAUAAAGGAGCAAGGGGGGAGGCCGGUCGGCCCUUGUGGCGUGCCAGGAGAGGAGGAGUCCUCCUCCUAGUACGAGUAGGACUCCCCUUUCCUACUACUAGGAGGGGGAAAGGAAGGAGGAGAGGGAGAAGGAAAAGGGGGGCGCCGCCCCCCUCCUUGUCCAAUUCGGACUCCCAAGGGGGGGCGGCCUGCCCUGGCCAGCCCUCUCUCUCUCUCCACUAAGGCCCAUGAGGCCCAUUAGUUCUCCCGGGGGGUUCCGGUAACCCUCCGGCACUUCGGUUUUCUCCGAAAUCACCUGGAACAAUUCCGGUGUCCGAAUAUAGCCGUCCAAUACAUCAAUCUUUAUGCCUCGACCAUUUUGAGACUCCUCGUCAUGUCCGUGAUCACAUCCGGGACUCCGAACUAUCUUCGGUAAAUCAAAACACAUAAACUCAUAAUACCGAUCGUCACCGAACGUUAAGCGUGUGGUGAUAACCCACAAGUAUAGGGGAUCAAUUGUAGCCUCUUUCGAUAAGUAAGAGUGUCGAACCCAAUGAGGAGCUAAAGGUAGAACAAAUAUUCCCUCAAGUUCUAUCUACCACCGAUACAACUCUACGCACGCUUAACGUUCGCUUUACCUAGAACAAGUACGAAACUAGAAAUACUUUGUAGGUGUUUUUGGAUAGGUUUGCAAGAUAAUAAAGAGCGCGUAAAUAAAAUCUAGGGGCUGUUUAGAAGAAGACACAACUAAGUUAGUUUUUUAGUAGAGAGCUUUGUUGUCACACAAGAAAGUUAUUUGUCCCUAGGCAAUCGAUAACUAGACCGGUAAUCAUUAUUGCAAUUUUAUUUGAGGGAGAGGCAUAAGCUAACAUACUUUCUCUUCUUGGAUCAUAUGCACUUAUGAUUGGAACUCUAGCAAGCAUCCACAACUACCAAAGAUCAUUAAGGUAAAACCCAACCAUAGCAUUAAAGUAUCAAUUCCUCUUUAUUCCCAUACACCAUGACCCACUUAUCCGUGUUUGUGUUUCAGUCACUCACGCAACGCGGAUAAUAAGCAAACCAUGAACAUAUUGCAAACCCUACAGCGGGGAUCCCUCACGCUUGCGCGACAUAGAGAGCACCAUAGGACAGCACCAAUAAUAAAACAUGCAACUCAAACCAAUCACGACCAUCAACCCAUAGGACAAAACGGAUCUACUCAAACAUCAUAGGAUAGCCAUACAUCAUUGGUAAACAAUAUAUAGCGUUGAGCACCAUGUUUAAGUAGAGAUUACAGCGGGUAAAAGAGGGGUUAACCGCUGCAUAGAGGGGGGAAGAGUUGGUGAUGAUGGCGGUGAAGUUGUUGGUGUAGAUUGCGGUGAUGAUGAUGGCCCCGGCGGCGUUCCGGCGCCACCGGAAGAGAGGGGGAGAGCCCCCCCCCCUUCUUCUUCUUCUUCCUUGACCUUCUCCCUAGAUGGGAGAUGGGUUUCCCCUCUGGUCCAUGGCCUCCAUGGUGGCGGAGGGGCGAGAGCCCCUCCGAGAUUGGAUAUGUCUCUCGGUCUCUCUCUGUUUUUGCGCUCCCAGAUCUGGCCUUUCACCGUUUCUUAUAUUCCCGGAGAUCCGUAACUCCGAUUGGAUUGAAAUUCAAACACAAUUUUUAUCCAGAUAUUAGCUUCCUUGCGGCAAAAGAAGGGCUCCAACCACCCUACGGGGUGCCCACGAGGGUCAGAGGCGUGCCUGCCCCCCUGGGGCGCGCCCCCUGCCUCGUGGCCCCCUCGGGCAUCGUCUCGCGUUGAUUCCACUUCCCAAAAUUCACAUAUAUUCCAAAAAAAAAUCUCUGUCAGUUUUUAUCCCGUUUGGACUCUGUUUGAUAUGGAUUUUCCGCGAAACAAAAAAAUGCAACAAACAGGAACUGCCACUGGGCACUGGAUCAAUAUGUUAGUCCCAAAAAUAGUAUAAAAAGUUGCCAAAAGUAUAUGAAAGUUGCAGAACAAUCAAAAAUUAUAGAUAUGACGGAGACGUAUCAGCAUCCCCAAGCUUAAUUCCCGCUCGUCCUCGAGUAGGUAAAUGAAAAAAAAAUGAUGUGGAAUGCUACCUAGCAUAAUCUUGAUCAUGUAAUCUAAUCAUGGCAUGAAUAUUAAGACACGAGUGAUUCAAAGCAAUAGUCUAUCAUUUGACAUUAAGACAAUAAUACUUCAAGCAUACUAAUAAAGCAAUCAUGUCUUUUCAAAAUAACAUGGCCAAAGAAAGUUAUCCCUACAAAAUCAUAUGGUCUGGCUAUGCUCCAUCUUCACCACACAAAGUAUUUAAAUCAUGCACAACCCCGGUUUUAGCCAAGCAAUUGUUUCAUACUUUAGUAUUCUCAAACUUUUUCAACUUUCACGCAAUACAUGAGCGUGAGCCAUGGAUAUAGCACUAUAGGUGGAAUAGAAUAUGAUGGUGGAGGUUAUGUGGAGAAGACAAAAAGGAGAAAGUCUCACAUCGACGCGGCUAAUCAACGGGCUAUGGAGAUGCCCAUCAAUUGAUGUCAAUGUGAGGAGUAGGGAUUGCCACGCAACGGAUGCACUAAGAGCUAUAAGUGUAUGAAAGCUCAAACUGGAAACUAAGUGGGUCAACUUGCUUGCUCAUGAAGACCUCGGGCAUUUGAGGAAGCCCAUCAUCGGAAUAUACAGGCCAAGUUCUAUAAUGAAAAUUCCCACUAGUAUAUGAAAGUGAUAACCCAAGAGACUCUCUAUAUGAAGAACAUGGUGUUAUUCUGAAGCACAAGUGUGGUAAAAGGAUAGUAACAUUGCCCCUUCUCUCUUUUCUCUCAUUUUUUAUUUAUUUUUCUUUUUUUUGGUGGGCUUCUUUGGCCUCUCUUUUUUAUUUGGGCUUCUUUGGCCUCUUUUACUUUUCAUAAAGUCCGGAGCCUCAUCCCAACUUGUGAGGGAAUCAUUGCUUCCAUCAUCCUUUCCUCACAUGAGACAAUGCUCUAAUAAUGAUGAUCAUCACACUUUAUUUACUUACAACUCAACAUUACAACUCGAUAUCUGGAACAAAGAUAUGACUUUAUAUGAAUGCCUCCGGCGGUGUACCGGGAUGUGCAAUGAUCUAGCAUAGCAAUGACAUCAAAAGAACGGACAAGCCAUGAAAACAUCAUGCUAGCUAUCUUACGAUCAUGCAAAGCAAUAUGACAACGAAUGCUUAAGUCGUGUAUAUGAUGAUGAUGGAAGUUGCAUGGCAAUAUAUCUCGGAAUGGCUAUGGAAAUGCCAUGAUAGGUAGGUAUGGUGGCUGUUUUGAGGAAGAUAUAAGGAGGCUUAUGUGUGAUAGAGCGUAUCGUAUCACGGGGUUUGGAUGCACCGGGGAAGUUUGCACCAACUCUCGAGGUGAGAAAGGGCAAUGCACGGUACCGAAGAGGCUAGGAAUGAUGGAAGGGUGAGAGUGCGUAUAAUCCACGGACUCAACAUUAGUCAUAAAGAACUCACAUACUUAUUGCAAAAAUCUAUAAGUCAACAAAACCAAGUACUACACGCAUGCUCCUAGGGGAAGGGUUGGUAGAGUUCACCAUCGCGUGAUCCCGACCUCCACACAAAGGAUGACAAUCAAAAAAUAAAUCAUGCUCCGACUUCAUCACAUAACGGUUCACCAUACGUGCAUGCUUCGGGAAUCACAAACCUCAACACAAGUAUUUCUACUAAUCCACAACUACUCACUGGCAUGACUCUAAUAUCACCACCUUUAUAUCACAAAACUAUUGCAAGGAAUCAAACAUAUCAUAUUCAGCGAUCUACAAGUUUAUGUAGGAUUUUAUGACUAACCAUGUGAAUGACCAAUUCCUGUCAUCUCUCUAAAUAGAUAUAAGUGAAGCAAGAGAGUUUAAUUCUUUCUACAAAAGAUAUGCCCACUCUCUAACAAAUAUAAGUGAAGCAAAAGAGCAUUCUACAAAUGGCGGUUUUCUAUGUGAAGAGAAACAGGCAAUCCAAACUUCAAAUGAUAUAAGUGAAGCACAUGUAGCAUUCUAUAAAGCCAUACUCAAAAGAUAUAAGUGAAGUGCAAUGAGCAUUCUAUAAAUCAACCAUGGACUAUCUCAUACCAGCAUGGUGCAUAAAAUAAAAAUGAAAACUAAAUGCAAAAGAUGCUCCAAGAUUCGCACAUAUCGCAUGAAUGAAACGAAUCCGAAAACAUACCGAUACUUGUUGAAGAAAGAUGGGAUGCCUUACGGGGCAUCCCUAAGCUUAGAUGCUUGAUUCUCCUUGAAUAUUUACUUGGGGUGCCUUGGGCAUCCCCAAGCUUGAGCUCUUGCCUCUCCUCCUUCUCCUCAGAUCGAGACCUCCUCGAUCUUCGAACACUUCAUCCACACAAAACUCAACAGAAAGCUCGGUAAGAUCCGUUAGUAUAAUAAAGCAAAUCACUACUCUAAGUACUGUUGCAAGCCAAUUCAUAUUUUGUUUUUGCAUUAUAGCUACUGUAAUAUAACUUUUCCAUGGCUUAAUCCACUGAUAGGAAUCAAUAGUUUCAUCAAAACAAGCAAACUAUGCAUCAAAAACAGAAUCUGUCUUAAACAGGACAGUCUGUAGUAAUCUGAACAUUCACCAUACUUAUGGUACUCCAAAAAUUAUGCAAAAAUUAGGAAAAAAUAAACAAUUUGUAUAGAAAGACAGUGCAAAAAAUUUCAGAACCUUUUGACGUUCCAGUAAAAAAUAUAAAAUCGCGCACUACAGCCAAAGUUUCUGUUCUGCACCGCACAAACCAACAAGUAAUCUAAAACACCCUAAAGGCAAACCUUGGCACAUUAUUUUUAUUUUUAAACUCUAUAAAAGCACACAACAGAAAUAAAUGAAUCUCUAAAACUUCCGGGUUGUCUCCCUGGCAGCGCUUUCUUUAAGCCAUUAAGCUAGGCAUAUAGUGCUCAAGUAAUGGAUCCACCCGAAUCCCAAGGUAUAUCAAAGCCAAUUUUAAUUAACAAUGAUUUGUGAUUUAGUAGUGAGCACAAAGUAACAUAUAUCAUGCAACAACGAAGUCUAACUCUCUUCCUAUGCAUCGGCAUGUCAUAAAAGAACAAUUCAUGCACACAUAGUAAAGGCCAAUGCAUAGUAUAAACAGUUUCUUGCAAUUUUAUCAUAUUGGAAACAUGGAGAGGCGGAGAUGUAGUUCCCCUCUCAUAAUAAUUGCAAGUAGGAGCAGCAAGCACAUGCAUAUUAUAUCUAUCAAAAUCAUCAUGUGCAGUAGUGAAACGCAACCCAUCAAUAUAAUCCUUAAUAAGGGCAAACUUCUCCGAUAUAGUGUAGUCGGGAGAAUUCAAAAAGAUAAUAGGACUAUCAUGCGUGGGUGCAAUAGCAACAAUUUCAUGUUUAACAUAAGGAACUAUAGAAAGUUAAUCUCCAUAAGCAUAAUUCAUAUUGGCAUCUUGGCCACAAGCAUAGCAAGCAUCAUCAAAAAGGGAUAUUUCAAAAGAAUCAACGGGAUCAUAACAAUCAUCAUAGCAUUCAUCCUUGGUAAGCACGAAGGGAAAUUAAACAAUGUAUGAGUUGAAGAGUUACUCUCAUUAGAAGGUGGGCACGGGUGAUCAAUCCGCUCUUCCUCCUUUUGUUCUUCGCUCUCCUCCUCAUCUUUUUCAUCCAAUGAGCUCACAAUGUCAUUAAUUUCUUCUUCCAUAGACUCCUGCAAAAUAUUAGUCUCUUCUUGGACAGAGGAGACUCUCUCAAUAAAAUCAUCAAUAUCGGAAUUGAAUUCAUAAUUCUCAUAGCAAUAUUUAAGUAUAGCAAAAUUUUCAGGUCUAUAAACUGAAUCAUCAAAAUCUUCAAACUCUUUAAACAAAGAUUCAAUUUCAUAAGCACCCAUAAAAGCAACGAACUCUUCUAUUUGUUCCAUAUCAUAGUAAUCAUGUAUACCAUUAGCAUAAGAAGCUAAGGUUUCAUUAUCAUUAAAUUUGCAUGAAAAGGGAAGGUGUGGAGCCUUCAUCCUAGAACAACAAGUAUAAUCAUAUCUCAAGCAUAGUUGCCUAGCAUACCAAUACAACAUAUAAAUUUGAUCCCAUAAUAGUUUCCCUUUUUGAAUCAAGCGAUCCCUAAAGUACUCACGUUGAUCCAGCGUGUCUCCCAUUACAAAGUUGAAUGGGGUUUUCUCAGGAUUAUCAAAGUAGUACAUAAUAUCUUUCACAUAAUGAGCAUCGAGGGUUGUAGGAGGUUCCCCAUCUCCAUGAGUAGCAAGUACACCUAAUUUUUUUGGUAUUUCGUGUUCCAUAUCCAUAACUAAAGAUAUAGAACAACUUAGAACAGCAAAUAAAAAUUACUUAGUGAUAAAGCAAACAAGCACACACGAGAAUAUUCACCCCCACGCUAUAACUCCCCGGCAAUGGCGCCAGAAAAAGGUCUUGAUAACCCACAAGUAUAGGGGGUCAAUUGUAGCCUCUUUCGAUAAGUCAGAGUGUCGAACCCAACGAGGAGAUAAAGGUAGAACAAAUAUUCCCUCAAGUUCUAUCGACCACCGAUACAACUCUAUGCACGCUUAACAUUCGCUUUACCUAGAACAAGUAUGAAACUAGAAAUACUUUGUAGGUGUUUUUGGGUAGGUUUGCAAGAUAAUAAAGAGCGCGUAAAUAAAAUCUAGGGGCUGUUUAGAAGAAGACACAACUAAGUUAGUUUUUUAGUAGAGAGCUUUGUUGUCACACAAGAAAGUUAUUUGUCCCUAGGCAAUCAAUAACUAGACCGGUAAUCAUUAUUGCAAUUUUAUUUGAGGGAGAGGCAUAAGCUAACAUACUUUCUCUUCUUGGAUCAUAUGCACUUAUGAUUGGAACUCUAGCAAGCAUCCGCAACUACCAAAGAUCAUUAAGGUAAAACCCAACCAUAGCAUUAAAGUAUCAAGUCCUCUUUAUUCCCAUACACCAUGACCCACUUAUCCGUGUUUGUGUUUCAGUCACUCACGCAACGCAGACAAUAAUAAAACCAUGAACAUAUUGCAAACCCUAUAGCGGGGAUCCCUCACGCUUGCGCGACACGGAGAGCACCAUAGGACAGCACCAAUAAUAAAACAUGCAACCCAAACCAAUCACGAUCAUCAAUUAACCCAUAGGACAAAACGGAUCUACUCAAACAUCAUAGGAUAUCCAUACAUCAUUGGGAAAUAAUAUAUAGCGUUGAGCACCAUGUUUAAGUAGAGAUUAUAGUGGGUAAAAGAGGGGUUACACCACUGCAUAGAGGGGGGAAGAGUUGGUGAUGAUGGCGGUGAAGUUGUUGGUGUAGAUUGCGGUGAUGAUGAUGGCCCCGGCGGCGUUCCGGCGCCACCGGAAGAGAGGGGGACAGGCCCCCCCCCCUUCUUCUUCUUCUUCCUUGACCUUCUCCCUAGAUGGGAGAAGGGUUUCCCCUCUGGUCCAUGGCCUCCAUGGCGGCGGAGGGGCGAGAGCCCCUCCGAGAUUGGAUCUGUCUCUCUGUUUCUGUGCUCCCAGAUCUGGCCUUUCACCGUUUCUUAUAUUCCCGGAGAUCCGUAACUCCUAUUGGAUUGAAAUUCGAACACGAUUUUUAUCCGGAUAUUAGCAUUCUUGUGGCGAAAGAAGGGCUCCAACCGCCUUACAGGGUGCCCACGAGGGUCAGGGGCGCGCCUGCCCCCCUGGGGCGCUUCCCCUGCCUCGUGGCCCCCUCGGGCAUCGUCUCACGUUGAUUCCACUUCCCAAAAUUCACAUAUAUUCCAAAAGAAAUCUCCGUCAGUUUUUAUUCCGUUUGAUAUGGAUUUUCUGCGAAACAAAAAACAUGCAACAAAAAGGAACUGGCACUGGGCACUGGAUCAAUAUGUUAGUCCCAAAAAUAGUAUAAAAAGUUGCCAAAAGUAUAUGAAAGUUGCAUAACAUUGGCAUGGAACAAUCAAAAAUUAUAGAUACGAUGGAGAAGUAUCAUGCGGACCCUACCGGUUCGAGAACUAUGUAGACAUGACCGAGACACAUUUCCGGUCAAUAACCAAUAGCAGAAACUGGAUGCUCAUAUUGGCUCCCACAUAUUCUACGAAGAUCUUUAUUGGUCAAACCGCAUAACAACAUAUGCUGUUCCCUUUGUCAUCGGUAUGUUACUUGCCCGAGAUUUGAUCGUCGGUAUCUCAAUACCUAGUUCAAUCUCAUUACCGACAAGUCUCUUUACUCGUUCCGUAAUGCAUCAUCCCGCAACUAACUCAUUAGUCACAUUGCUUGCAAGGAUUAUAGUGAUGUGCAUUACCGAGAGGGCCCAGAGAUACCUCUCCGACAAUCGGAGUGACAAAUCCUAAUCUCGAUCUAUGCCAACUCAACAAACACCAUCGGAGACACCUGUAGAGCAACUUUAUAAUCACCCAGUUAUGUUGUGACGUUUGGUAGCACACAAAGUGUUCCUCCGAUAUUCGGGAGUUGCAUAAUCUCAUAGUCAUAGGAACAUGUAUAAGUCAUGAAGAAAGCAAUAGCAACAAACUAAACGAUCAAGUGCUAAGCUAAUGAAAUGGGUCAAGUCAAUCACAUCAUUCUCUAAUGAUGUGAUCCCGUUAAUCAAAUGACAACUCAUGUCUAUGGCUAGAAAACUUAGCCAUCUUUGAUUAAUGAGCUAGUCAAGUAGAGGCAUACUAGUGACACUCUGUUUGUCUAUGUAUUCACACAUGUACUAAGUUUCCGGUUAAUACAAUUCUAGCAUGAAUAAUAAACAUUUAUCAUGAUAUAAGGAAAUAUAAAUAACAACUUAUUAUUGCCUCUAGGGCAUAUUUCCUUCAAUAGAUCAUGAGAGAGAGAGAGAGAUAAAACACAUAGCUACUAGUACAAACCCUCAGCCUCGAGGGUGGACUACUCCCUCCUCAUCGUGGUGGCCGCCGGGAUGAUGAAGAUGGCCACUGGAGAUGAUUCCCCCCUCUGGCAGGGUGCCGUAACGGGUCUAGAUUGGUUUUCGGUGGCUACAGAGCCCUGCGGCGGCGGAACUUCUGAUCUAGGUUAACCCCGAUGGGUUUCGGAAUAUUUGGGAAUUUAUAGUGCGAAGAGGGGGUGCGGGAGGCCACCGAGGUGGGCACAACCCACCUGGGCGCGCCAGGGGGCCCUGGCGCGCCCUGGUGGGUUGUGCCCCCCUCGGGUCACCCCCCAGGUGCAGCUCAGGCCCAUUGGGUUCCUUCUGGUCCAAAAAAAACUCCAAAAAGUUUCGUGGUGUUUGGACUCCGUUUGAUAUUGAUUUCCUGCGAUGUAAAAAACAAGCAAAAAAUGGCAACUGGCACUGGGCACUGGGUCAAUAGGUUAGUACCAAAAAAUGAUAUAAAGUUGUUAUAAAAUGAUUGGAAAACACCCAAGAAUGAUAAUAAAACAGCAUGAAUACUUCGUAAAUUAUAGAUACGUUGGAGACGUAUCAGCAUCCCCAAGCUUAAUUCCUACUCGUCCUCGAGUAGGUAAAUGAUAAAAGAAAUAAUUUAUGAAGUCCGAAUGCUAGCAAAGUGCAUAAGUUUGAUCAAUGAUAAUUUCAAUCACUUUUCCUAGAAGCAUAACAGCAAUUCUUUCUUAUAAAACUUCUCAUGUUAUAGUGGCAACCAAUUCACAUGUUAAGGUUCAAACAAUGAACUCUCUUGAAACUCGACAACCUAUGUUCUUAGUCACCAAGCAAUUGCAAUUCAACUUAUUCAACAGAGUUUAAGUAAGAGCUCCACAUACUCAACUAUCAUGUAGUCUUCUAUGAUUGCUAACACUCACCGCAUACACAUGAGCAAAACGUUUCAACCGGACACAUAGGAAGAUAGGGGCUUAUUGUUUUGCCUCCCAACGUAUUCACCUCAAGGGUGAUGUCAACAAUAAUAACUCAUGCUACCCAUAUUCAACUGGACAUAUGUGCCUAGAUCUUUCCUCACCACAUGAUGCUUGCCAAAAGAGAAAAAUAAAAAGGAAUAGAGAGAAAAACUUUGACUCUUUGCAUAAAAGCAAAUACUGAAUAGUAAAAGAAAGGCCCUUCGCAGAGGGAAGUAAGGAUUUGUAGAGGUGCCAGAGCUCAAAGCGAAAAUCUUAGAGAUAAAAACAUUUUGGGAGGUGUAUCCAUCCCACCAACGGAAACGACAUAGAGUUCCCAACACUUUCCAUGCUAGAUAUAUCACAGGCGGUUCCCAAACAGAAAAUAAAGUUUAUUCCUUUUUCCACCAUACUUUCACUUUCCAUGGCUAACCGUAUCCACGAGUGCCCUCCAUACCAACACUUUCCAAGGAAUUUAUUAUUCGACAACAUAAAGUAAAUUCAUUUUUGCAUUUCGGGACUGGGCAUCCCUAAUACCUUUGCCUUACUCUCGUGCAAUGACAAGUGAAUAAACACUCAUCUUGAGAAUAACAUAUCUAGCAUGGAAAAUAUUAGCCACCCCUCACCGCUCCGCGAGCGAAACAAACACACAAAAGAGAAGUUUAUUUUGAAAAUUAGAGAUGGCACAUGCAAAUUUGCUUAGAACGGCAAAAGAAUAACGCAUAUAGGUAGAUAUAGCGGACUCUUGAAAAUAAGAUUUGGGUUUAAGGGUUUUCGGAUGCACAAGUAGUAUCUCUACUUGGUGCGGAAUUUUUGGCUAGCAAAGAUGGGGGCAAGCACCACAUGUUGAAGGAUCUAUGACAAUAUAACUUCUAUGUGAAUAUGAACAAACAUAAAUCAUUACAUUGUCUUCCUUGUCCAAUGUCAACAAUUUUGGCAUAUAAUAUUUUGGUGGGGGCUCACAAUCACAAAAGAUUUCCAUGAUAGUGUAUUUAUAUGUGAAAGUUCUCUUCCUUAUACUAAUCAUUCGUGAAUUGCUUGUAUGACCAAUAUUGUGAUUGUCAAGCCUCAAAAGGUUUCACUUUCUAAACCCAAAUGUGAAGCUACCACUAGGCAUGAUAUGAUUUCAAUUUCAUGAUAUUCAAUUCAUUCAACAAUUUUACUCAAAGGAUAUAAGUGAAGCACAAGAGUAAAUGACAAACUACUCCAAAAAGAUAUAAGUGAAGAUCAUGCGAGUAGUUAAAUAAAUAGGUAGCUAUUUGAGGACUCUCUCUUAUUAAAAACUCUCAGAUCUAAGUAAUUUAUUAAAACAGCAAGGAAAACAAAACAAAAUGACAUUCCAAGGAUAGCAUACAUCAUGUGAAGAAGCAAAAACUUAGGCUCAACCGAUACUAACCGAUAAUUGUUGAAGAAGAAAGGUGGGAUGGCUACCGGGGCAUCCCAAGCUUAGAUGCUUGAGAAUUCUUGGAAUAUUAUCUUGAGAUGCCUUGGGCAUCCCCAAGCUUGAGCUUUUGUGUCUCCUUAAUUCCUUUUAUUUCACGGUUUCCCCAAAUCUUAAAAACUUCAUCCACACAAAACUCAAUAAGAACUCGUGAGAUAAGUUAGUAUAAACCAAUGCAAAAACCUUAUCAUACUCUACUGUGGCGAAUCACAAAAAUUAUUAUUCAACAUUGCAUACUAAAUGCCUCUGCAUAUUUAAUACUCCUAUCCUCAAAUAGAUUCAUUAAACAAGCAAGCAUAUGCAAACAAUGCAAACAUAACAGCAAUCUGCCAAAACAGUACAGUCUGUAAAGAAUGCAAGAGUAUCAAUACUUAUUCAAAUCCAAACAUUAUGAAAUUCUACCACACUGUAGAGAAUUUAUCAGAGCUCAUUUUGCAAAAAGUUUCAACAUUUUAUCACAUUCUGACUUUUCUAGGGAAUUUUUGCAACAUCGGUAAACUUUCUGUUUUGAAACAGCAACAUGUAGACUUGUAAAAUAAGCAUAGUAAAGGCUAUCAAUGCCACUUUUAUUCAUAUAAAAUAUGCAAAACAUUAUUCUAAAUAAAAGAAAGCAAAUCCUAACAAAAUAAAUUGACGCUCCAAGUAAAACUCAUAUCAUGUGAUGAAUGAAAACAUAGCUCCAAGUGAGGUUACCGAUAAUGUUGGAGACGAAAGAGGGGAUGCCUUCCGGGGCAUCCCCAAGCUUAGUUUCUUGGAUCUUCCUUGAAUAUUAUAUUCGGGGUGCCUUGGGCAUCCCCAAGCUUAGGGUCUUGUCACUCCUUAUUCUCCUCAUAUUGAUAUCUCACCCAAAACUUGAAAACUUCAAUCACACAAAACUUAACGGAACUUCGUGAGAUGCGUUAGUAUGAUAAAGAGCAAACCAUUUCACUUUGGUACUGUUAAAGAAAAGAUUCAUAAUUGUUGCCACACAAUGCCUAUUGUAGCUUAUCAUUUCCACAAUUUAUAUUGAGUAAUAAAAGCCAUAGAAACUAGAAAGCAAGCAAACUAUGCAUUGAAACCAGAAUCUGUCAAAAACAGAACAGUCUGUAAUGAUCUGGAUAACUACCAUACUUCUGCUACUCCAAAAAUUAUGAAAAAAAUUAGGACCACAUGAGAAAUUUUUAUAUUAAACUUCUGCAAAAAGAAUCAACUCAGAAGCACUCUUCUGUUAAAAAUGAGACUUAUUCUCGUGAGCGCAAAAGUUUCUGUUUUUCAGCAGGGUCAAAGCAACUAUCACCCAACAUGAUCCCAAAGGCAUUACUUGGCACUUUAUUGAAACAAAAGCAAUAAAACAUGAUAAAUACAGUAGCAUAAUCAUGUGAACACACAAAAACAGUAGGUAAAAGUGUUGGGUUGUCUCCCAACAAGCGCUUUUCUUUAAUGCCUUUUAGCUAGGCAUGAUGAUUUCAAUGAUGCUCGCAUAAAAGAUAAGAAUUGAAACACAAAGACAGCAUCAUGAAGCAUAUGACUAGUACAUUUAAGUCUAACCCACUUCCUAUUCAUAGGGAUUUUGUGAGCAAACAACUUCUGGGAACAAUAAUCAACUAGCAUAGGAAGGCAAAACAAGCAUAACUUCAAAACUUUCAACACAUAGAAAGGAAACUUGAUAUUAUUGCAAUUCCUACAAGCAUAAGUUCCUCCCUCAUAAUAAUUUUCAGUGGCAUCAUGAAUGAAUUCAACAAAAUAGCUAUCACAUAAAGCAUUCUUUUCAUGAUUCACAAGCAUAGAAAUUUUAUUACUCUCCACAUAAGCAAAUUUAUUCUCAUCAAUAGUAGUGGGAGCAAACUCAAUAAAAUAACUAUCAUGUGAUUGGAAAUUAAAAUCAUGAUGACAAGUUUCAUGUUUAUCAUUAUUCUUUAUAGCAUACAUGUCAUCACCAUGGUCAUCAUAGAUAGGAACUUUGUUGUCAUAAUCAAUUAUGACUUCUUCCAACAUAGUGGAAUCAUCAUUAAAUAAAGGCAUGACCUCUCCAAAUCCACUUUCAUCAAUAUAAUCAUCAUAAAUAGGAGGCAUGCUUUCAUCAUAAUAAAUUUUCUCAUCAAAAAUUGGGGGACUAAAAACAUCAUCUUCAUCAAACAUAGCAUCCCCAAGCUUGUAGCUUUGCAUAUCAUUAGCAUCACGGAUAUUCAAAGAAUUCAUACUAACAACAUUGUAAUCAUGCUCAUCAUUCAAAUAAUUUUUGCCAAACAUUUUAUUGACUUCUUCUUCUAACAAUUGAGCACAAUUUUCCGAACCAUCAUUUUCAAGAAAGAUAUUAUAAGGAUGAUCAAUAAUAUGAUGUAACCUAAAUUCCAUUUUUUUAGUUUCCUUUUUAUAAACCAAACUAGUGAUAAAACAAGAAACUAAAAGAUUCGAUUGCAAGAUCUAAAGAUAUACCUUCAAGCACUCACCCCCCCAGCAACGGCGCCAGAAAAGAGCUUCGUUGACGGGAUGUGAGUGCCGCUUUCCUAACCUCCCCGACAACGGCACCAGAAAAGAUCUUGAUGUCUACUACGCAACUUUAUUCUUGUAGACUCGUGUUGGGCCUCCAAGCGCAGAGUUUUGUAGGACAGUAGCAAUUUUCCCUCAAGUGGAUGACCUAAGGUUUAUCAAUCCGUGGGAGGCAUAGGAUGAAGAUGGUCUCUCUCAAACGACCCUGCAACCAAAUACAAGAAAUCUCUUGUGUCCCCAACACACCCGAUACAAUGGCAAAUUGUAUAGGUGCACUAGUUCGGCGAAGAGAUGGUGAUAAAAGUGUAAUAUUGAUGGUAUAAAUAUAUUUUUAUAAUCUGAAUAAAUAAAAACAGCAAGGUAGCAAAUAGUAAACGGGCACAAAAACGGUAUUGCAAAAAGGAGGCCUAGGGUCCGUACUUUCGCUAGUGCAAUCUCUCAACAGUGCUAACAUAGUUGGAUCAUAUGAUUAUCCCUCAAAGUACAGCAAAGAAUCACUCCCGAGUUCCUAUUAGCGGAGAACAAAAGAUAGGAAUUGGUUUGUAGGGUACGAAACCAUCUCAAAGCUAUUCUUUCCGUUCGAUCUAUCCUAGAGUUUGUACUAGAAUAACGCAAGCUAUUCUUUCCGAUCGAUCUAAUCAAGAGUUCGUACUAAGAUAACACCAAAGCAAAUUCAUAUUCAUAAUACUCAAUCCACACAAAGAACUAUAAAGAGACCCCGAAGUUUCUACGAGAGAAAAACGUGCAUCAACCCCUAUGCAUAGAUUACCCCAAUAUCACCGCGGGAAUCCACGACUUGAAUGCCAUAACAUAUAUCAAGUGAAUCAAUAAGAUACCCCAAUUGUCACCUCAAGUAUUCAUAACGCAAGACAUAUAUCAUGUGUUCUCAUCUCUGAAUAUUCAAUCCGAUAUGACAAAACUUCAAAGGGUAAAGAUUCAAUUCAUCACAACGAGAGUAUAGAGGGGAGAAACAUUGCGGCGGCGGAGCCCUGCGGCGGCGGAACUUUUGAUCUAGGUUAACCCCGAUGGGUUUCGGAAUAUUUGGGAAUUUAUAGUGCAAAGAGGGGGUGCAGGAGGCCACCGAGGUGGGCACAACCCACCUGGGCGUGCCAGGGGGCCCUAGCGCGCCCUGGUGGGUUGUGCCCCCCUUGGGGCACCCCCCAGGUGCAGCUCAGGCCCAUUGGGUUCCUUCUGGUCCAAAAAAACUCCAAAAAGUUUCGUGGUGUUUGGACUCCGUUUGAUAUUGAUUUCCUGCGAUGUAAAAAACAAGCAAAAAACAGCAACUGGCACUGGCACUGGGUCAAUAGGUUAGUACCAAAAAAUGAUAUAAAGUUGCUAUAAAAUGAUUGUAAAACACCCAAGAAUGAUAAUAAAACAGCAUGAAUACUUCGUAAACUAUAGAUACGUUGGAGACGUAUCAGGCGCUGAAACGAAGGCGAGCGCCUCCUCAUCAUCCAUGACGAUGCGUAUCAGCAUGGGGACAUAGCCGGGCGUGCCAGCAGCUUCAGCGGUGGGCGUCAGCGUCGACGGCGCGAGCCACUCGGCCGGCGGAGGAGGGGGUGGAGGCGGGUACCCAGGGUGCGGUGCAGGCGCGGCUGCAGCCCCGCACACCAUGGGGGCACUCGGGCCAGCCACUAGCCAAGGGUCGAACCCCAUGGGCGUGGCCACGGGCGAGGGGAGCACCACGGUGGGCGCGUCCAGGAGCGCGGUGACCCUAUCCAGGGGCGUGGUGAGCACCGCGAGGGGCUCGUGCAGUGGCGCGGUGGCUUAUGACCCACGAGUAUAUGGGAUCUAUCGUAGUCCUUUAGAUAAGUAAGAGUGUCGAACCCAACGAGGAGCAGAAGGAAAUGACAAGCGGUUUUCAGCAAGGUAUUUUCUGCAAGCACUGAAAUUAUCGGUAACAGAUAGUUUUGUGAUAAGAUAAUUCAUAAUGGGUAACAAGUGACAAGUGUAGCAAAGGUGCAGCAAGGUGGGCCAAUCCUUUUUAUAGCAAAGGACAAGCCUUGACAAACUCUUAUAUAAAGCAAAGCGCUCCCGAGAACACAUGGGAAUUACUGUCAAGUUAGUUUUCAUCAUGCUCAUAUGAUUAGCUAUCGUUACUUUGAUAAUUUGAUAUGUGGGUGGACCGGUGCUCGGGUGAUGUCCUUACUUGGACAAGCCUCUCACUUAUGAUUAACCCCUCUCGCAAGCAUCCGCAACUACGAAAGAAUAAUUAAGAUAAAUCUAACCAUAGCAUGAAACAUGUGGAUCCAAAUCAGCCCCUUACGAAGCAACGCAUAAACUAGGGUUUAAGUUUCUGUCAUUCUAGCAACCCAUCAUCUACUUAUUACUUCCCAAUGCCUUCCCCUAGGCCCAAAUCAUGGUGAAGUGUCAUGUAGUCGACGUUCACAUAACACCACUAGAGGAAAGACAACAUACAUCUCAUCAAAAUAUCGAACGAAUACCAAAUUUACAUGAUUACUUAUAACAAGACUUCUCCCAUGCCCUCAGGAACAAAAGUAACUACUCACAAAGCAUGUUCAUGUUCAAAAUCAGAGGGGUAAUAAAUAUCAUUAAGGAUCUGAACAUAUGAUCUUGCACCAAGUAAACCAACUAGCAUCAACUACAAGGAGUAAUCAACACUACUAGCAACCUACAGGUACCAAUCUGAGGUUCUGAAGCAAAGAUUGAAGGGAUUUUUAUUUAUGUGCCCCUGGUUCCUUAGCUCUACUCAUUCAUCCCCACUCUGUUAACUUUUGCUCACUUUUCCCCACUCCCUUGCCUGAAACCCUCAUAACUGGUUAUAACGGCCGUUGCCGUCGGGCCAAUGCCUUUGACUGUUAGCUGACGAGUGGGGCCGCGUAUACGUGGGCGCAUGCAAGACUGCGGUCGUGGGGUAGCACAUCAUAUAAAGAGGGCAACCACCUCCAUCGCCCCUACCAUUUUCCCCAAAUCCCCUCGCUGCGCCCAACGCGUUUGGGUCGGCUCGUGCGCCCAACGCUGGCCCGACCCAUUUUAAUGGUGCCGACAAAAAAAACUGUGCAUGCAUAUUUAAAAUAAAAACAACUUAAUUAAACAUUAAAGCCGGCCAGGAAGGUCGGCGAGAGUCCACGCGUCCACAUUAGCAUUAAAAGAAAUUAAAAACAACCUAAGUGCGAGGCGGCGCGCUGCCCGCGCCCUAGGCGUCGUCGUCGUCGUCCUCGGGGUGGGUGAGGUCGAUGAGCGUCGGCGCAGGGCCGGCCCAGGGGAACGCCGUGUUCCAGGCGGCGGCGGUGUAGGCAGCGGGCAGCUGUUCCGGCAGGGGCAGUGCCGGCGCGGGGGGGCUGUGCGGCCGCCUGUGCAGCCGCGGCUUGGCGCGCCUCCUCCUCGAGGCCGCGCUCGAGCAUCUCCUCGUACUCACUGCGACGGCGCUCCUCGCGAGCCGUCGCUGGCGCCACAUCUCAAGGUACGCCGCCUCCUGCUCCGGGGUCGCCCCCAUCCAAACCGGUGGCGCGGACACUCACUCGCGCACCACUCCCGUCCAGGAGAAGCGCGCGAUGGGCUCCGGCUCCGGCUUGGGCUCCGGCUGCGGCUCCGGGUCAGCCUUGACGAGCCGUCGGGGAGGGAACCGUGGGGUCACCGGCGGCACGACGCAAUCGCCGGGCGCAGAGAGGGCGAGGGCCUGCGCCAUGGCCGCCUCGUAGCGAGCCUCCUCUUCCUCCACCGCCUCCACCCUGCGCCGCUCGUCCUCCUCGCUCUCGCGGUAAACCGCCUCAAGGGCCGCCUGGUAGGCGGCCUCCGCCGCCUGGUGUUCCUCCCGGACGACGAGCGGGGACGGCGGCACACUGCGGUCGACCUCCCGCACGCCGCAUCGCCUCGCCUCCUCGUGCUCGAAGGUGAACCACCUCACCCAGCUAGGCGAGUCAGUGGUGUAGGUGGCGUCGCAGCGCUGCUUCGGCAUCAACAUUGCCCGCCGGCGUCGCGGCGCUGCUUCGGCGUCAGCAUUGCCCGCUGACACCGCACCUCCUCCGCCUGCGCCCUAGUCGACUGCGGCGCCGCCGGCACUGGGAUCCUCUCUGGAUCUAGAUGCCAGUCCUGCAGCAGGGUGACGUCAGGGUACGGCAGAGGGACGAGGUGCUGCCAGUGCCACUCCGCCUGGUGCACUGGCACGCUCACUCUCACCUUCUGCCGGUGAGCCGGCGCCGGCGGAGGCGGUACGAACUCAGAGGGGAAAGGAAUGGCGGGGGCCUUGCCCUUGGACUUGCUGCUGCCGGCGCCGGAGAAGAGCCCCAUCUGGCUAGGGUUGGCUAGGGUUUUUGCUAGGGUUUGUCGGCGAGGGAGCGAGCUUGCCUAGAUGGGGACGGCGAGUUUGGAUGAGGAUGGCCCCGUCGCACGGUCGGCUUAAAAAAGGGCGACCGCCAUCGCUGACGCGUGGGCCCGUGGUCAUAAAUUAAGCUGACCGCAAGUGGGCGGCUGCCAGGUGGGGACGCGGCGGACAGCGAGAAGGCACGGGUGGCGUCCGUUCGAUGUCCGCGCCGAUGCAUUUGGGGCGCAAAUUUGAAGUGAUUUAGAGGAGGUCAAAUAAAUUUGAAUUUGAGAAAAUGUGCUCCAAAUGAGCUCCCAAGCUAGGGUAAACAACCCAUUUGUAAUCAAGUUUUUUUGAACCUACUCUAAAUGAGCCAAAUGUUUUUUUAUUAACACAUAUUCACUUUCCAUAGUGUAGAUUCGAAGUCUCGCUAUUUUUUGAUUUUUUUUUUUUUAAAAAACAGAAGGUAACACCACCUCCUCUCCUUGAACUCUAUGAAAUCAUGUACAUGAUAGCUCAUAUGUGUGAAGGUUUUCUCAUGAAAAUGACCAUAGAGCAAGUUUAUGAUUUUUGGUUGGUAACAUAUCACAUAAGACAACAUUGUGCAUAGGUUUUAUAUUAUUUUUUUGAUUUUUUUAAAUUAAUGGUGCUCAUUUGACCUCGAUCGUGCCAGCUAGGGUUUUUUUCAGGAAAAUGACCACGGACCAAGUUUAGUAUUUUUCCUUGUUAGUUUGUCUUAUAAAACGACGAACGGCGAAGAUUUCAUAUUUUUUUGAUUUUUUUAAAUUAGUUAUGCUCAGUCAAAGCCUUCGAAACCCCAUGACCAGCUCAAAACCCCUCUAAACCCCGCGGGGUUUCGCCUAACCCUAGCUCCCAACGUCAGCCGUCCGAUCAUCCCUCGCGCCAAACAACAGCCUUGAGAUCUGGCCUUCUAGAAGGAACUAGGUGGGCUGGCUGUGUGCAGGCUCCGCGCCGUUGGAUCACAAGGACGGCUCCGCAUCGUUGGAUCAUGGGGCGAUCCGCGAGAGGCGAUCCUAUUGGUUGUGCUCGGCUGCUCGCCCACCACUGACUCCGUGAAAAAAAAACUUUGUUAUUGGGCCCAAAAGGAAACCAAGCUCUGGGUCGUCGAAUUGCGUCGUUUUUUUUUGCAUCGUUUGCUCUGUUUUUUGUGAACGUGCUGACUCUGUAUUUUUGCAUCGUUCGCUCUGUUUUUUGCAUCGUUCUUUUUGUUCUAUACAAAUGUAAAAUGACCAAAUUUAUAAGGGCUAAAUGUAUUUUUAUCAUGUAAAAUGGCCACAAACUAUCAAAAAAUGGGUCAUUUUGCAUUUGUAUAAUGGCCACAAGCCCUCUAUCUCUUUUUAUCAUGUAAAAUGACCAAAUUUUAAGGGCCAAAUUUAUUUUUAUCAUUCAAAAUGGCCACAAGCUCUUCAAAAAUUGUCUCUUUUUGUUCAUAUAAUAUAGGGUAUGACCACAGAUUCCCACGCGUGCAAUUAGCUUCUUUUUCUUCUCCUUUUCAAACCACUGUUUCCCACGCGUGUACACUCCCGAUGCUGCGGUGGGUUUGAAAACGAGCUACUAACUUCACAUUUGACCCCGUUAUUGCCACGACCAAAUAACACGUAGCACUACGGCUAUUUAAGCUACAUAUUGGCAUCGGCGCAUGCAGGCUCGAUCGACGCAUGCAGGCAGGGUUUGCUGGGUGCAUGCAUAGCAGGCUUCUGUCCUGGCGGCGCGCGCAGACAUUUAAUGCAAGGGACGGGCCAACGAAACCACGGCCCAAUGGUCGAACAGCGACACCACCCAACGAGGCACAGUCCAGCGUGGCCCCACUAGUCAGAGUUAACGGUGAAGCCUUUGACCCGACGGCAACGUCGUUGUGCCCAGUUAUGAGGGUUUCUGGCAAGAGAGUGGGGAAAAUUGAGCAAAAGUUAAGAACGCGGGGAUGAAUGAGUAGAGCUAAGGAACCAGGGGCACAGAUGUAAAAAUCUCAAGAUUGAAUACGAGAGAUGAACUAGGGUUUGAGAGGAGAUGGUGCUGGUGAAGAUGUUGAUGGAGAUUGACCCUCCCUCAAUGAGAGGAUCGUUGGUGAUGACGAUGGUUUCGAUUUCCCCCUCCCGGAGGGAAGUGUCCCCGGCAGAAUCGCUUUGCCGGAGCUCUAGAUUGCUCCUGCCCAGGUUCCGCCUCGAGACGGCGGCGCUUCGUCCCGAAAGCUUCCUCCUUUUUUUUCUAGGUCAAAACCAACCAUAUAGNNNNNNNNNNNNNNNNNNNNNNNNNNNNNNNNNNNNNNNNNNNNNNNNNNNNNNNNNNNNNNNNNNNNNNNNNNNNNNNNNNNNNNNNNNNNNNNNNNNNNNNNNNNNNNNNNNNNNNNNNNNNNNNNNNNNNNNNNNNNNNNNNNNNNNNNNNNNNNNNNNNNNNNNNNNNNNNNNNNNNNNNNNNNNNNNNNNNNNNNNNNNNNNNNNNNNNNNNNNNNNNNNNNNNNNNNNNNNNNNNNNNNNNNNNNNNNNNNNNNNNNNNNNNNNNNNNNNNNNNNNNNNNNNNNNNNNNNNNNNNNNNNNNNNNNNNNNNNNNNNNNNNNNNNNNNNNNNNNNNNNNNNNNNNNNNNNNNNNNNNNNNNNNNNNNNNNNNNNNNNNNNNNNNNNNNNNNNNNNNNNNNNNNNNNNNNNNNNNNNNNNNNNNNNNNNNNNNNNNNNNNNNNNNNNNNNNNNNNNNNNNNNNNNNNNNNNNNNNNNNNNNNNGAUCAGGCGGAGGAGGGAGACAAGGCCAGGCAUCUCACCGACGGCGAGUGCUCCCUCCCUUCUCUCUUUCUCGGUUGUUUUUUUUUUUUUUUUUUGCUCUCUUGCUCUCGCUGGCUCUUCUAGCGUGUGUGAUAACGUGUGUUGAAGCGAAUGGGAAAACUUGUAUUGAUCGGGAGUUGCAGAUUACAAUUUAUACUAUCCGGAGAGUCGCGAUGGGAAAGAAUGCGUCGGUUUUGAAGAAAGACCCGAGAGGCGUCUGUUGCGGAUGUAACCGCACGCCGUUUGGGUAAGUGGAGGUUUUCCCCUAAUUACAUGUGCUAAUUAAUCACAACAUAAAGCUUGUGGAUUUGCCCUAAAAAAAAUUCACGGGGCAUCUCGGCGGCCUUCUUUUCCGUGUCUCCCCCCGCUCAGCUCGUGCUCUGCUUUCUGUACGAGCUGGCCAUUCCCAAGAAUAAUAUGUUCCUUCUUCCAGUGAACAGAUAUACAGUAUCUACUUGUGCGUGUGUCGUUUUUCUUUUGAUUUCCCACCGUGGUUGGUAAAAGUUGGAACAUUACAACUUUGACCUUAUUUUUAAGGUAAUAAAUGUUAAAAGUUCGGGCGUACAAACGUUGACAUCAGUAUUUAGAGUGCGAUUUUAAAACAUCACAAAUAACUAUAUUGCCAUUAUAAAAUAUCACAAGUUUGCAUUAGAUUUUCCUGUCUAGUGAUUUAAGACCGCACCAUCAGUAAAUUCGCAGCCACCGUGAGAGCGAUACUGCAGGCGAUUUAAGGUCCGACACCAUAGUAAAAUCUAUUCCUACAUUGGUUAGGAAUACGAUGAAAUGACAAGAGUUUUAGGCCAUGACCCAAGGCCAACACCAGCACGACACAGCCACAAAAACAACACAAGGGUGCCAGACGAACGGAUUAAGAUCAAUAUCCAAAUGCCAGCACGGCACAUAAUCCCGAUAACACAAUCUAUAACUCCAGCAAGAUAAUAACCAAAACUCAAAGGAACAGGUCCGUUGUGCAGGGUGCCAGACUUUAACAAAAACGCAUUUCACUCGUCGUCGUCCUCGUCGUCAUCGGCGGCACCGGCAGAGUUGUUGAGGGCGUUGAGCCUUUCGACGAGGCUGGCCUUCCUCUGCUCAUAGGUCAGCUUCUUGGGGUUGUACCUGCAUCCAAAAG